GACCAGGAAAGACAAACUUAUGAACUUGCAAGCAUGGUAAUCAGAUCGACAUCCACACAAUGUCAAUAUGAACAUUGUCUUGAUACAACUUUAUUUGUAUUUUAUUUCAGAAUUUAAACAACUAGUUUGGGCGGGUCACACACGACGUUGUGUGACACUUUAUUUGUCACCGCUGCAUCGACAUAUCCAUCGACUAAACAACGGUGAUCCAACUAUAUAUUACUAGAGACCUUUCCUUAUCAGUAGGCACCAACUCCGGUGCCAACGCUGAAUGGCACACUAGUGGUGGUUCUAUACAAGGGCACAUUGACACGGCACAUCGUUGGCAGGGUACGGAGCGCAAUGGAAGUCAUCACCUCAAGCUGAGCUAUCUGGUGUGGAUGCAAAAAGGUACCCUGUGCCAAUUGUUGUUGUUGAGGUUGUUGCCCGAGUUGCUGCUGCGACUGCUGUUGGGGUUGGGAAACGCAUUGGCCCAACUAUUGCGGUUGCUGCUGCUGAGUUUGGAUGGAACCCUGAACCUGUUGUUGUUCUUGCAGGACGAUGGAGUAGAUGAUAGCACGGAUUGCCUCAUAGCGGGAUUGCUGGGGGAUUUGCGGCAACUGCUGGCAACAUUGUUGUUGCAUCACAUGGCAACUGCUCUGCUGCAACAUUUGCGACCUAGCAAGACUUUGUGGCAUUGCCACAGGGCUGCAUUGCUGCUGGAGGAAUACCUUGCAUGGGUUUAGUUGCUGCAAGAUAGAUGGAUGAACAAAUGGUAUUUGUUGUUGCGGUAGAACUGAUUGUUGUUGUUGCGAAAAUGGUGGUUGUUGCGGUAGUACUGGUUGUUGUUGUUGCGAAAAUGGUGGUUGUUGCUGUGAAAAUGGUGGUAGUUGUUGCUGCGAAAAUGAUGGUUGUUGCGGUAGAACUGGUUGUUGUUGCUGCAAAAAUGGUGGUUGUUGCUAUGAAAAUGGUGGUUGUUGCGAUAGAACUGGUUGUUGUUGCUGUGAAAAUGGUGGUUGUUGCUGUGAAAAUGGUGGUUGUUGUUGCUGUGAAUAUGGUGGUUGUUGUUGCUGCGAAAAUGGUGGUUGUUGUUGCUGCGAUAAUGGUGGUUGUUGUUGUUGCUGUGAACAUGGUUGCUGUUGUGGAAAUGGUUGUGGUUGUUGUUGGAUAGGUUGUUCUUGUUGUUGGUGCCAUAAUGUUUGUUGUGGUGGUAAUGGUUGUUGCUGCGAUGGUCUCUCCAAACCAGGGAUGUGGCUAUUCUCCAUUUGUGCAAUGGCACUUGUCGCCGCAACGGCGAGGAGGGCAAAGAUGAGGAAGGUCUUCAUGGUGGAUUGGUGUUAACUAGUGUUGCUUGGUUUUGAUGCUUGUGCUUGUGACGAUCUUUAUACUUCAUGCCUAUUUAUAGUAGCCCGGGCACCACCUUUUUCUUCUUUGCAUUAGCUUUAAUAAUUUUGUUUGGAUGCAAAAAUGAUUUUUGGUACAAUGUGUUAGGUUGCACUAGCUACACGCGUACUUUUGGAUUGAUCAUCAAAGUUGCUUUUUAGUUGUGCAUAUGAUCACACAUAAAGUACAGAAACCUUGAUGUUUGGUAUAUAUGACUCACCUUAUUCACUUUACAUGUCACACACUUAUCUGGAUAGUAUCACUUUUGCAACCGAGUUUGGAACCUUGUAUAGGCUGUCAUCCAUAAACAAGAAAGGCAAAACUUGUGUAGGACUAAGUGUAGAACUAACUUUGUAUUUUUCCUCUAAAAUGAUUAGAUGAACCGACGCCUAUAGAGCAUGACAUGACUCAUCGAAUUCCCUUUACAUGUAAAGGAUGGUAAUUGCUUACAAGCUACUCCUACUAGCAUAUAUCCGGUCCUAACUCUUGACACGUCAUCAUCAGUUUCGCCUAUUUUUUUAGAUAAAUCAUCAGUUUCAUCUAUUUGUGAAGGGUUUUUUUGGGGGAAAUGAUAGUUUUUUUAUGCUAGGGGGAUUUUUUUGGGGGGGGGGGAUGACGCUAGGGGGAAAUGAUAGAUGGGGCUGGAACAGAGGCCCCCAGCCUGGAGCGAGAGAUUAGGCCCAACAUAAGUGCCGUGUGUUAGGGCACCAAUUCGAUUUGGGCUAUAGUUCUCGUAGGCCCCAACGACACAAGCCCAGCCCACACUCCGCGGAUCUGCGUCCCUCCCUUCCUCGUCCUCCUCGCCGGCCGGACCGCUCGCCGUCGCAGCCUCUCCCGGACGCCCACCGCUCGCGGCCCCUCCACGUACCUCCGCGGCAGCGGAGACGUCAGCCUCCCUCCCACCCUCAACAUCCGGCCCCCCACCACCACCACCACCGCUCGACAAAAAAGGUCACUUUUGAAGCUCCUCCGUCGAUUGUGGGCCGUACGUCGACGGCAGCCACUCCGACCUCCCCAUCAACACAAGGUAUCGAUUUGUUUCGUCUGUCUCUUCCAACGAUUCAAUGCACAUAAAUCCGAGAGGCAGACCCAUCUCCAUGCUAGCUGCACGGAUUAGGAGGGUCAGGCAUCAGAAUUCAGCUGGGAAGCCUGACAGUAAUGUACAUUUGUGGCUUUAGUAGCUGAAUAUAACUAUGUGCUUUCUGAGAAUUUCACUUCAAAAGUUCCAAUAAUCAUCAAAUUUCCCCCUAUGCGCGCUAAGCAGGUGGACCAUAUAUUUCUCAUGUCGACGAACGAAAAAACAAAACUCCACAACUAGAAGUCUAUGAUAUUGACACGGAACCGUGCUGUAGGGUCGCAAGUAAAAAUAUGAAAAGCAUGCCUAAUAAGCGAGAUGACGCAGUUCCUGACCGCCCCGCUACGACUAUUGGUUCCAGCGUGGCGUUUGAAUUAUGCCGCGCUAGAUGUCUUUUGUCCGGCGAGGAACAAGUGGGGUCAAGCGUGCUUCGGCAAUUCCCGCCGUCAGAAGACUUCCUUGUAGUCCGGUGUAGAGGUGAGGUUGUGGGGAGAUACAUCGACUAGCACUACUAGGGAAAAGGCUAGCAGCAGCGCGGGUUUUAGAUGUAUCAGUAGUGCGGGUACCCGCGCUACUAAUACGGCGCUACAGCUAACUCAUAGCAGUAACGCGUGAGCACCCGCGCUACUGCUACACAAGUGUAGCAGCAGCGCGGUUAUGAGAAGCUCGCUACCGCUAGUAGCGCUAGCGCUCUUUGGCCGGACGCUCUACUGCUAUUGAGGCGCUGCUGCUAACUUUUGUACACUCGCUACUGGUAAUUUAAGUAGUUUUUUGGCAUAUUUGUUUUGUAUUUGAACCGGCUUUGUAGAAGAAUCUUUAGCACAUAGAAAUGUCAUCAUGAUACACAUACAAAUGCCUGCGAGACCACAAAUGUAAUCAUAGCAUGUACAUACAAAUAGUCUCUUCAUAAUCAUCAUCCAACACAAAGUGAUAUCUUGUCAUCAUCUCGAAAAUAGCAAUACAUGCAAGUCUCGAAUACUUGCAACUACAACAACGUCAUCCAUCUAAACAAAGGUAUACGCAAGAAGUGCUAUCACUAUGAGUGAGAGCGGAACCAUGCAGUACAUGAGGUGGCGGUUAUGAGUCCUCUCUUGCGCUAGCGUGAACCUCAAGUAACUAGCUUCUCCUUCUUGUCUGCUUUUGAAGCCUUUAUGGCUGGCGCCCGUGAACCCAUUCACUUGCGCCUGACACUCAUGCCACUCGUUGUACACCCCCGGAACCUUCCCUUUGUACACGACAUAGCAUUUCCAUCUCGCCAUCAAGAAACUAGGUACCUGUUAGAGAUGCAUGUUCAUGAAGAGGAUGUACAAUCAUAUAUAUGCAACAAAAUAUACUAGAGCAACACUAAGAAAGAAAGGUUAGCAACUAGAUGCAACAUAUACAUUACGCAAAUUAAUUAACUAGAGGUACGCAGGUCAUCGUACGCAAACUAACAAAGUAGCGUUACGCAAGUUUGGCAGGGACCAUGGACAUCACAAAGUUUCAUCGCUACAAAAAGUAUACAAGUUCAACCGACACAUAUCAUCAUCAUCGGCAUCAUAAAUCACUAGAAGUUCCAUCCUUCCAUAUCAUCGAGGACGAACCCUAGCUGCUUGAACGGCGUGAGGUCUAGACGUUGCAUGCCUAUGCGAGUUCGGACGUCAGCUCGCGAUAUAGGGCCGUGGUGGAACAUCCCCUUCUCAUCGACGACUUCUUUCAUGAUGAUCAUCGCAAUGUCGCUUUGGAUGCGAAAGAAGUCAUCUCUAAGUUUAUAAUUCGCUUCUCCAUGAGAUUCUAGCCACUUGUGGAUAUGAUCAUCAUUUCUGCUGUUAAUGCGAAGCUUUUGGUGAUCCGUGUUGAACUGAAUCAUGAGAUGGACGAUGUAGAAUCCAUCCUUCUUGCUUGGUUUUGGGACGUGGAUGCAGGAGAAGUUAGUUUUAUGCGCGAAACCCAUCUUCUUGUUCCUUUGUUUCCUGAUAUGCACGUGGCCACCUCUAAAGUUGAAGCCUUGGAGAGCAUCAUCUAGAAUAUUCAUUAUGUGGGUGUAGUCCUUUUUCUCGUAGUCUCUAGAAGGGUCAAAAUACACGGCGUGGGAGACUUGCGGGUAAAGAAUGAUAAGGACGGCGCGCCCGUUGCUGCGGGGAAAAGACACCUCAAAUUAUUCCCCAUAUGAGAGAGAAGGAAUGAUUGAAAUGUACGAAAGGGUUGUCCGGAACUGACUUACUUUGGAUGAUAAGGCACGAGGACAAUUUCCCGGUCCUUAUUCUGUACCAUGAAGUUUUGGAGGUACUCCCUAGCAGUUUCACGCUCAAAGUCGCCGAGACUCAAGAAAGACUCGUGCAUGUAGUACGGAUCCGCCACACAGAUUUGCGAGACUUCUUCACUCUUCACGACGGAGCUCAUAUGUAGCGCAAAAAGGCGGACGAUAGUAAAAUCAAGCCGCCUUGUUAGAAACAUCUCAAAGAUAUGGUCAAACCGCAGGAAGAACACCUCCGUGGGCCGUGUGUCGACGUAGCACUUCCCCUCAGGCACACGAGCUGCGUAUGUCGGAUAUCCUGGAUCCUUUGAGGCUAGUAGGCUUUUCUCAGUCGACAGCACGUGGUCGUGCAGUCUCCUGAGAUUCCCUGAUAGUGCCUCCAGCGGUUUCGGCGGUAGCAUCGGCUCGCCCGUGAGAUGGAACAUGACCGCACCUUUCACGGGUACACGCUCUUCAGAAUGCAUCGUCUGGCUGCUGUGUGCUCUGGCUUGUUUGGAGGCAGUUACCUUCCCCAAUCUCUUCCUCUCCUUUUUCUUGGGCACACCUUCCAGACCCUUCCUUAACCCCUGCCCAAGUGUUCCCGGGCUAAGUAUUGUACGACCCUCACGCCCGGCUAGUUGAGCCUGUGUUGAGGCGGCAUCUUCAGGCGUGUCCUGUGAGGAUUUCAUGAAGAGAGACUUUUUGCAUUCCAUGGUACGGCCCUGCCCGGGCAUAUCAUCCAUAUCCUCAUUAGCAAGCUGAUAGCCCGAUUCGUCAUAUGGUUGACUCAUCAUAUCUAUGUCACAGUCAUACGCGUUUGUAUUGAGGUAAUCCAUCGGGUCGACCUCCGUCUCAUCAUCCAUUCUCUGUUCUACAGGAGAAAUUACAUCAGCCAGUACUAUUGCACCCCCUUCAUCAUGUCGUCCGCCGCUCUCACACGGCACUACUACAGGAGCUGGUAAUUGCGUAGGUGGGGUGGUGGUCUCCGCACAUGCUUGCUGAUGUGUGGUAGUUAUUGGUGUGCUCUCGGCCGGCUCCAGACGAAUAAGAUUCUUCGGCCAUAGCAGCACCCAACCCUUGCAGCGUCCAAUCCGCGGCGGGGUCUCGUCGUCCGCUCCCACCUGCUGUACUGGAGGAGGCAAAUCCUCGUGCCCCGAUUUCACACUGGUCAAGCUAACCCUGAAGUGCCCAGCGGGGAUCGGCUGGUUGUGGAAUGUGCGUUGAGAGGGGUCCAUUAUCAUCCCCUUUCCCACGUCCACCUUCUGGCCUUUGAUCAAGUAGAGUAUGGUGCAUGGGGUUUCUUUCGCCUGCAAACACAUAUGUCUGUGGUGUAAAACAACCGAAAGGCAACAAAAAUGGAAUAUUAUAUAUAUAUAUAUGUUGGUGCGACAUGUAAUUACCGUGACGGCGUCGAGCUCAGCCAAAGACGAAGGCCCACCUAGCGCGCCUGAGACUGAGGACGGGCUGCUAUGAGCUGGAGCGGCUGCGAGAGGAGGCCCGGUUGCUUGAGCAAGUGAUGGUGCGAUGGUGUUGUUCAUGGAGUUGCUCGCGACGAAACUGGGCAUUGGGAAAUCAUGUACCGUCUUGUCUGGAUUUUCCUUCGCCCAGUUGAUGAUAACUGGAACCAAGUUAGUAGCGAAAUCAUUUCUGCAGGCAUUUACAGCUGCAUUGACUGCCUGCUGUAGCAACUCAUAUUUGUCCUUGGCUGCUUUUUUCGCGUCCUCGGCUGCUUUUUUCUCGACCGCAAGCUUCACCUUUGCGUCGAUGUCCGCCUAACUAAACUUCUUUUUCUGCUUCUUGGCCUCCGGGCCGUCGUUGUAAAACACCUUCCACGUGGCGCCGUCUCCAGCGCCGUGCACACGACCAUAUUGCGGCCGCUGGUCCAACGGGAGUCCCUUAAGUUCGUUCAAGGCCCAGUUGAGAGGUGUGUCCCACUUGGGCCUCAUCGGAGAAGUAGGGCUUUCGGCUGCAAGCCGGUGUUGCUUCUCCAGUAGUCUAAUCAAUUUCCUCGUGAUCUUGUCCGUGUAAAAAACCUUUUUCUCCUUGUCCCACUUGUAGCGGGCCCUGAUGAAGUCAUGCUCCAAGGGGUUGGUGAACUUCGCGAAGGGGUCUGGGAGACCCGCGGCUUCACGUUCCGCGUCCUCCUUAUCCCAUAUGGGCCUUUUACCGAGGUAGCCACGGCUUCCGAGGCGAUGCUUCCCCAUGUUCCGGAGCUGAAGGCUUUUGAAUUUCGCAGCCUUAGCCUUGGCUGCCUUGGUAGCGCAAGUGUCCUUGAACUUUUCGAACUCCUCUUCCGUAAGUGUCGGAUUUUCCUCCAGAAUCUUGGACAGGGGUUCAUCAGCCUCAAUAGCUCGUUUCACCCUCCCUUUCCAGGAGGCCAAAUCAUUGCUGAACAUGCCCAUGGCGUGAUUGUUAAUCUUUUUCAUCUUCGGAUCAUCCCACGGUUGUUCUAUGUUAUCAUCCCGGUCGGGGAACUUGAAUCUCUUCUGCAACUUCGUUAGGAGCAACUGCGUCAAAUGUUCUUUACUCCUUAAGUCAUCAUCGUUGAUGCUCGCGCAUUCCCGUAGGAUGCAUCCUACUUGGUUCCCAUAGCACUUGCGAGGUUCUUCCGGCUCUAACGGCUCAAACUUUCCAGGUGCCAUCUUUGUGAUCACAAGUCGUCCAAUCCCUAGUUUGUUAGGUUUUCGUAUCCUCUGCUUCUUAUGCUUCCUCUUUUCGGUAUCGGCAUCGGGGCCGGUACCUUCCCCGCCGGUCUCGGCGCCGCCAUCGGUGCCGGCGCCGUCGGUGCCGGCACCGUAGGUGUCGAUGUCGGCGUCAGUACCAUCAUCGAGGCCGACCUGCAAACCUUGCUUAGCAGUCAAAUAGUCGAGGUACUCUUGUUCACCCUCAUAAUCCAUCUCGUCUGCAUCUUGGUCAGAAGGCCCAGUUUCUUCGUUGUUCGACAUGUUUCCUAUGAUUAAGUGGCCUCAUUUAUUUCUAAAAGUAUGAAUAAAUGAGAAAUGACAUAAAAAGAAAUCUAUGUGCCAACACUCGAUAUGCCAACUAUGUAGCACAAAUCAUGCCUUUAUUCACGGGAAAUUUCGGCAUGACCUUUGCUAAAAAAUGGACAUAUCGAGCGCCUGAAAUUCACCGAAACGGAAAUGAAUCAACAUUCCUGCGCAACAUAGGCCACUCGGAUCAUUUUCCAAACAUGACAUGUCCAAAACAUGACAUAUGCACAUAUCACAUGUCCAGUUCAAAUUUCCAUAUAAAUUCAGCUAAUUCAUAACUAAAUAGAUAACCUAAUUAAUUAACAUGAAGANNNNNNNNNNNNNNNNNNNNNNNNNNNNNNNNNNNNNNNNNNNNNNNNNNNNNNNNNNNNNNNNNNNNNNNNNNNNNNNNNNNNNNNNNNNNNNNNNNNNNNNNNNNNNNNNNNNNNNNNNNNNNNNNNNNNNNNNNNNNNNNNNNNNNNNNNNNNNNNNNNNNNNNNNNNNNNNNNNNNNNNNNNNNNNNNNNNNNNNNNNNNNNNNNNNNNNNNNNNNNNNNNNNNNNNNNNGGGGGCGAGCGACAUGGUCGGGGGCGAGCACGCCGGAGUCGGGGUCGAGAGCGGGACAGGGGCGAGCGCCGGGGCUGGCACCGGCGCCGGCAGGGUCGGGGGCGAGCGCCGGGGCCGGGUCGGGCACGGCGGAGCGACGGGGGCCGGAGAGAGAGUGGGGAUUUGGGGGGAAAUGGCGGGAUGAAGCUGGGCGAGUGCGAAUUUUGGGUUAAGUGGACGUAGCAGUAGCGGGUUAUGUCAAAACGCGCUGCUACUAUAUUCUGUAGCGGCAGCGGUUUAUGAGAAACACGCUACUACUAUGGUGCGUAGCUGCAGCGCUUUAUGGGAAACUCGCUACUACUAUGGUGCGUAGCGGCAGCGGUUUAUGAGAAACACGCUACUACUAAGAUCUAGCAGCAGCGGUUUUGUGGAAACGCGCUGCUACUGCCGUCGCUACUGCCAGGUUUCCUUUUUCUUUUCCUUUAUUUUAUCCCACUUUUAUUUCCCGAGGGCAAUGAACGAAGGGAGGGCGAUAUAUAUUGCAUCAUUUGACGGUUAAAUAUGUAUGCAAAAUAGGAACAUAUAUAUUACACAUCAUUGGACCCAUGCAUAAUAAUGACUAAGUGUGUAUACAAAUUAAAUAGGAACAUAUAUAUAUUACACAUCAUUGGACCCAUAACAUACGUUUCCUCAGUGCUGACGUUUUCGUUUUUGAGUCAGCUUCUUUCCCUUCUUGUUCGUCGAAGAAUAAUUGAGCCCCUCAUUGUGACUUUGCCUUUUCCAUGGAGUACGAUUUUUCUUAGGUAAUGUAGUAUUGAUUCUUCUUUUGACGUAUACUUCAUCAUCAUCAUCAUCUUCCCUCAUUGGGUUGCUGUACUGAUCAUAGUCUUCCUCGUUGGCGACUCCAUCCAUUCCAAUGAUGUUCCUUUUGCCUCUCCUCACGACAACACGGCUGGGAUUGCGCGGGUCAGUUAUGAAGAAACAUUGUGUCACGUGCUUAGCGUGUACCCAUGGCUCGUUUUUUGCGAUAGCGUUCAUGGUAGCGCUCUUGGCGUCGGGUAUAGUCAUGGUAGUGAACAUCCGGCUUUCUCUUUCGACAUUCUUAGCCCAUCUGACACGGAACAUCAUCGUGCUGUGCAGUCCAGAGUAGUCAAGCUCCCAGAUCUCCUCGACCCUUCCAUAAAAUCGUUCAGUUGUGCCGUUGUCGCUGCCGGUCAUGCAUUCCAUCGUCACCCCUGAGUUCUGAUCAUCACUGUCCAUAUCUUUUGCCUCUGUGUAGAAUGUGUAUCCGUUGAUAUCAUAUGCCUGAUAGGUUACGAGGUUGGGCGAGGGGCCAUGUGCUAAGGCGUAUAUGAGCAAUCCGUCCUUAGAGCCCUCCUCCGGUGGAUUAGCAAUAAUAUGCUCUUUGAACCAAUGCAGGAAAGUGGAGUUGUGCUCUCUAGUAACUUCGGCGUCCGUCCUGCAUACCCCCCGGUCACGAUACUUCUUUGUGAUAAUUUCUUUGUGCAGUGCCACGAAAGGAUCUACCUCGUCUAGGUGUUGUAGCACUACCAAGUUUGCUCUGUCAAAGUCGCUGCGUCGAUCUGAGUAUGCCACGUGCAGUUCCCUGCGACCGUUGCAGUGACCAUCUCCUUUGAGCCUCCCAUCGUGCUUGUUAACGGGCAAACCAACACUAACACCAGGCGGCUGGUCUGCGCCAUAUAAAAAAUUCUCACAGAAAGAGAUGCACUCUUGUGCCAAAUAGCCCUGGACGAUGCUUCCAUCCGGACGGGACAUGUUACGAACGAAUCCUUUGAUGAUCCCAUUCAUCCACUCAAACGGGAUCAUGUUGUGCAGGAAUGACGGCCCCAGGUCUAUUAUGUCAUCCACAAUAUGGACACACAGAUGCACCAUCACGUCGAAGAACGCGGGCGGGAAGUACAUCUCAAGCUCAUUCAGUAUCACAACGAUCUCUUCCUGUAGCCUUUGGAGCUGCUUCACACUGAUCGACUUUCGAGAGAUGACAUCGAAAAAGUUGCAGAGACCAAUAAGCGUGUCACGGACGUGCUUGUCCAUUAUCCCUCUAAGGGCAACAGGUAGUAUCUGCGUCAUCAUCACAUGACAGUCAUGAGACUUCAUCCCGCUGAACCUUUUCUUGUCCGUGUCUAGAUAUCUGCUUAUCUUGCCACAGUAACCGGAACUAACUUUCACUCCGGUAAGGCACUUAAAGAAUUGAUUGAUCUCAGCCUGACUUAAGGUGAAGCAAGAGGGGGGGCAAUAAUCUUCUUUCUUUAAUUUCUUGCCCUUCUUCUCCCGUGCCUCUGUCUUCGUCUCUGUCUCGUCUGACAUUUUACGGGGCGGCAUCUGCAGAUCUUCCCUGAUUUUCAAAUCUUGCAAGUCUUUUCUUGCCUUCGGCCCAUCCUUGGUCUUAUCCGGCAUGUUCAUCAGUGUUGCGAGCAAGCUCUCAAGGACAUUCUUACAGAUAUGCAUUUGAUCAAGGCAAUGAGGUGUAUCGAGUUUGUGCCAGUACUCCAAGUCCCAGAACACGACCUCGUCUUCCAUACCUUCAGCAGCGGCUCCGGCGCCUUUCUCAUCGUCUUUCCCGGCGCGGGGCACUCAUUCCAGUUUUUCAAUAGCUCAUCGAUUUCGGCACCGCUCCGCUUACGUGGAGGUCCUCGAUGCUCAGCGUGACCAUUGAAUAGAUCUCCACGGUUUCUCCACGGGUCGUCCUGUUCAAGCCAUCUUCGAUGCCCCAUGUACAUGAUUUUCGCAGACCCGCCAUCUUUCCUUGACGUUAGCUGCUGAGACGUUGUAUCAUCCAUGCACCGCGUGCAUCCGCAAUAUCCAUGGCACACCUGGCCUGCCACAUAUCCGUAACCGAGAUAGUCCUGCACUGUCGUGAUCAGCGCGGCUCUCAUGUUGAAAUACUCACCUUUGCUGGCGUCCCAUGUCUUGGCCGGUGUUUUCCAUAACGUGUCUAACUCCUCUUGAAGUAGCCCCAGAUACAAAUUAAUAUUAUUUCCUGGUUGUUUCGGCCCUUGAAUAAGCAUGCUCAUGUGAAUGUACUUCGAUUUCAUACACAACCAGGGGGGGAGGUUGUACAUCCAUACAAACACGGGCCAUGUACUAUGGUUGGUGUUCUAGUUGCCAAAUGGAUUCAUGCCAUCGGUACACGCGCCGAGCACGAUGUUCCUUGCAUCACAUUCAAAAUACCGUUAGAAGCUGUUCAACGCUCUCCACUGGCUUCCAUCCUUCACGUGUCUCAGCUUCGGAUCAUCUCCAUCGUCGGGCUUCUUCCUCUCCGCGUGCCAGCGCAUUAGCUUUGCUUCCUUGGGAUCUACAAAAUACCUCUGAAGACGGGGAGUGAUCGGUAAGUACCAUACAACUUUCUGGGGACAUUUCUUCCCGGCCUUCUUGUAUCGAGAAGCAUUGCACACCGGACAGCUUGUUUUUUCCGCGUGCUCCUUCCGAUAAAUUAUGCAAUCGUUGAUGCAUGCAUGGUAUCUAACGUGUGGCAGAUCAAGAGGGCACACGAUCUUCUUGGCCUCAUCAACACUAGUAGGACAUAGAUUACCCGCGGGAAGAAUAUCCUUUAGGUACUUGAGAUGGUCAUCGAGGCUAGUGUCGGUCCAUUUGUUUUUAGCCUUCGUCUUCAGGAGUUGGAGCGUGAAACUCAACCGGGUCACCUCAGGAUUGCAACCAUCAUACAAUGGAGUGUUCGAGUCUACCACCAGUUGCUCCAGCUUAGCCUCCUCUCUAGAAGCAGCUCUCUCAGUACUCGUCUCCUUGCGAAGCAAUGCUUGAACAUGAGGGUCCCGCACAAUUGAACUUAGUACCGACGAACUCUGCUGCGUGGAGUCCAUGUCGUUCUCUCCGCCGCCAUGUCCGGCCCCUUCUCCUCCGCCAUGUCCGGCCACUUCUCCGCUGCCAUGUCCGGCCUCUUCCCCGCCGCCAUUAUCGAUCAUCUCUUCGUCUUGCCCCGUGUCAUCAUUGCCUGCCCCGUCGGCAUCCUCAACAUCUUCAUCCUCAUCUUCAAUUAUCCACCGAGUAUAGCCAUCCAUGAAACCAGUCAUGAGCAGGUGCGCUUCGACACGACCAUCGUCAUGGGGGUCGAGCCAAACUAUUCCUUUGCAUUUUCAACACGGACAUAAAACCUCUGUCCGGUUAUUUUCUUUCAUGUCUUGCACCGCCGACCGCAACCACCUGUCCACCAUUGUUCCACUGACCAUCGUCAACUCUGCACGGUAAUAAUAAAAAAAUUGAUUGUAAAAAUGCAUGCAUGCAUCAAAGUCAUAAAAAAAUUUGGCAUGACCUUCCCUAAAAAUAGGACAUAUAUGGAUCUAGAGUUUGCCCGAAAUUCGCCGAAACGAAAAUAAAUCGACAUUUCGGCAAAACAUAGGCAACUCAAAAGCACAAUUUGGCGGCGUCAACUCAUGCCACAGACACAAUUUCCACAAACAUAUCACACAUACACAUAAACACAUUUCCAUUUUGCAAAAGCAUGAAAUUUUCAUCACCUCUAUCUCGAUGGCCGGAGAUGAUGUUGUAGGGAGAUCAAAAGUGCACAAAGCUAUUCUUGACAAAGAUAGAUCUAGUUAGGGGGCAAAUAGGUCACUUAACUAAAUCCUACAUCUACCUAGCUACCUAAUUUGGAAGGAGACAACUUCAACUAGUGGAGGGGGAGGAAAAAGAGAAAGAAGAUGCAUUAAUUAAUGGAGGUGGUGUAGUUAUGUAGGAGUAAUGAAGAGAGAGAAGGUGGAUAGAGAANNNNNNNNNNNNNNNNNNNNNNNNNNNNNNNNNNNNNNNNNNNNNNNNNNNNNNNNNNNNNNNNNNNNNNNNNNNNNNNNNNNNNNNNNNNNNNNNNNNNNNNNNNNNNNNNNNNNNNNNNNNNNNNNNNNNNNNNNNNNNNNNNNNNNNNNNNNNNNNNNNNNNNNNNNNNNNNNNNNNNNNNNNNNNNNNNNNNNNNNNNNNNNNNNNNNNNNNNNNNNNNNNNNNNNNNNNNNNNNNNNNNNNNNNNNNNNNNNNNNNNNNNNNNNNNNNNNUGUGGUGGAGGGAAGAGAGGAGAGGGGGAGGUAGGGGGGAAGGGAAAAAAGGAAGGGGGAGGGGAGGGACGGGUUGGGGGUUGGUGGGGUUAGCAGUAGCGCGGGAGAUAAAACGCGCUGCUGCUAAGAACUUAGCAGCUGCGCGCUUUGCGGUAAGGCGCUACUGCUAACUGGGACAAAAAAUUGUGGCAAUUUGAAACUUACCAGCAGCGAUCUCGAGGAAACCGCGCUACUACUACGUACUUAGCAGUAGCGCUGUUAUUGCGACCGCGCUACUGCUACUUAGAGUUGGGGGAACACCGCCGGUCGAUAUUUGUAGCAGCGCGUUUCUUGUCGAGCGCGCUACUGCUAAAUCUUUAUCAGUAGCGAGUUUACGUAACCCGCGCUACAACUACUUAGCAGCAGCGCUCUAUUUUGAACCGCGCUGCUGCUAAGAUUCUGUGUAUAGGCUUUUCCCUAGUAGUGUAGGAAGGAAUGACCACAUGAAUGAGCAUACGUAUGAUGUGAUUAAGUCUCUCGAUUGGGUAUCUGGUGCCUUAUGUACGGUGUCUUCUUUUUGUCAAGCUAUGACAUCUUUCAGUUUGAGUGUCUGAUAUUAGGGUUGCAUACGUUUUGUUAUUCAGUUGCCUGUUGUGAACUCUACGGUUAUAUCAUCUCGAUGUGUGAGUCAAUGUGUUUGAACCAAUGUAGAGUUUCAUGUGAAUGUUACAAGUGUGAUUGAUAUGUUCAUGUUAUCCGCGGUUGCCUUGGUAAGAAACUGAAAGAGCAAACCGUUAUCGUGCUAGGACAAAAGUCAUCACUCAAUAUAAGUGCUUCUCUAGAACAGCCACACCUUGUGAAAGAAGAUGGCAAACACCCAAUCAUGUCUGGUUCGAUAUGGGCGUGGCUAUGGGUAGCUUAUAGCGACAUGGAAGCCAGCAUCGCUGGAAGAAACGCCCGGGUGGGCCGGCCUAGAGACAUUUCUUGAUAUCUACCCUUAGUUUUGUUUUUCUGCCCUUCUUUCUUUAUAUUUAUAUUUUUCCCGACAUGUUCACUACUUGAUGCUCAACUGGGAUCUCAUCCUUCACAAAUACGGAGAGCCAUUAUUGUUAGAGUUAAUCUUGACAUGUGUGUAUGUGCAUGUGUGCAUUGCAUGUUAGUGGUCUAGAGAUGGCCGGGUCGAUGCGUCUGUUCUGUGCUGGAGUGAGUCCAGCAGUUUGUUUUGGUCAGGUCGUGGUGGCUAGAGCCAUUCUAGGAGAGGAUCAAGUCAAGUUGUUAGCUGAACUCGGCUGGGUAGUGUUUGGCCGUUGAGGAUAGGCUGUACUAGUGGUGGGCAUGGCCGUGCAUAUAGCUAGCGAUUAGUUACACUAGUAGAAAACCACCCAUUAGUCCCGGUUCGUAAGGGCCUUUAGUCUCGGUUCAGGAACCGGGACUAAUGGGUCGUUACUAAUACCUCCACCCAUUAGCCCCGGUUCAAACACGAACCGGGACCAAUGUGCCUCCACGUGGCCCUGUGCGGCGAGCCCAGUCAGGGGGCCUUUGGUCCCGGCUGGUGGCUCCAACCGGGACCAAAAGGCAUCCACGCGUCUGCAUUCUAGUGGUUUCUGGUUUUUGUUUUUUUUUUGAAAGGAGGGGGGUUGGGGGUUUUGGGGAGUUAAUUUAGGUGUUUCGUAUAUUGUGUUAACUAGCUAAUUAAUAGAGAGAAGUGUCCUCUCUUAUGUCCGUGCUUGGUCGACGCUACGUAGUAUAUAUACAUAAGUAAUCGAGAGAACCAUUCAGUACAGAAGUUCGUCAUGCAUACCGAGAGAAGUGAUCGAUCGACCUCUCCUUCUCCGAGAGAUUGGUCGAACAACAAGUUUUUUACUGGCUACAUACAUGUACAAUAUGUAUAAGAUCUCUUAAUUACAAACCCAUAGCAUUUGAAAUCAACUUCCACAUGGUAUUCUCCGGCUUUACUGAUGACGUGUUCAAGAAAGAAUCCCGCUAAUUCCUCUUGAAUUGCUUUCAUGCGAUCUGGUUCUAGGAGUUCACCCCGCAUCUGCCACGUCUAAUUAAUUUGAAGAAGGGGGUUAAUUAAUACAUAUAUAUGAAUGAAACUCAACAGAAAAUGAUGGUGUAAUAAAAUGAAAUUGUGAAUAUUAUUGCUUACGCACUUCAUAUUGUCUUCUAGAGUAGCCCCGCUUGUUUCUCAAAGUUGCGUUGUGGAUGAACUCGCACACGUAGUAUCCACAAAAAUCAUUCCCUUCCUCCUGUCACAAGCACUUUACGAGAAACAGAGGUCAAUCAAACUGAUAAUGAAGCAUUAUAAAUGGCAUUGAUGAAAGUAUAGCUAUAGAAUCAACGGGAGAUGCACGCAACUAGCUAGCCAGUAGUACUUACUUUCGGGUAUACAUAUCGCAGCUCCUUCGGCAGUCCCGGAGCUUGUGCGGUGAACUGUUUCCGAACCCUGCAAGACAAAGAAAAUAAUUAUUAUUACUUGAGAUAUCAGGAAAUGAACAAAAAGUUGCCGAUAUGGUGCGAUAAUGAUCGAUUGAACUUACUUGCUGAGCAUUUCAGUCAUGUCCACAUAGGUGCUGGGAUCUUUCCGUCUCGAGUCUAAGACGGUUACUAGUCCACGCUCAAGCUUAAUCUCCAGAAGAAUAUAGUGGUACCUGCGCACGCGUGCAUAACUCAUCAAUUACAUUAACCUCGCUCGAGUAAUAAGGGAAACCGAAUAUGCACACGACAGUAACACUCACGGGCCGUUGUAAGGAAAGAGUAUGGUAUCUUUGUUUUGAUUUUUGAUCAACGAUUGUAGCAAGUUGUCCUCGGCCUCUUCGACGUUCUUUUCAACCAGAAAUACAUCUAUGAUAUUUGUGUUAAUGAACCCAAUAUCAUAAAUUUUUUGUUUUUUGCACUCGACGAUCUUCAAUCUGCAUAAUAUAUUGAGGAUAAUUAAUUAUAAAUACAUGCAAUGAAAGAUCCGAGCUAUAUAUAGAGACUUAAUGUCAGAAAUAGUACUUACAUGCAGUAGCAAAAGACCAUUAAUUUAUCGAGGGCCUUUUGAUUGAAGAACUCAAAGAACUCCUCAAAUGGAACACACAACAGAUCAUUUGAAAUGAGGUCGUGCUCCUCUUUAAUAUUCAAAUACAAACUGUUCGUCCCCUCAGACUCUCUGCAGGUUUUCAUGUACCAAUUAUGGAAUCUUCGCAUCAUUAUUGUCAGAGAUUUUUCAUCUUUGACGAGAGGCUUCCCGUACUCGUAUCUGAAUACGUCCACCUCCAUGAAAUCAGGAAGUGCAUCGUCAGGCAGGUAAUCUUCAAGAUUGCCAUAACCGGCCACCGUCCCCGGAGGAUUAGACACAUUGAGCGGGGGGCACGAUUGCUGUGCUUGUUCGCCGAGCUGGGCAAUUUUUUUCCCCUUUGCUCGUUGUUCUUUUGACCUUUUAUCAUUGACAGUAGUUCCCGACCGCUUGGCUUGGAGAUAUGUCUGUUCAGUAAUGCGCUCAUAGUUGGUUCUCGGCGGAGACUUUGGUGGUUUCCUCAGGGCAUCGAGAGUGCGCUUUGCUUUCACCGGAUCUACCUUCUCCUCCGGAGGUGGAUGUCUCUUUGCUUUCACCCCUUCAAAGAACUCCUUCACGUGGGCCUGCACGAUCGUAUUGUUUUCCUCCUUGGUCCUCUCGUACGGUAACUUCUCUAGAGGCUUUAGAGGUGGACCGUAUCUGUAUUGCCUCUCUCUUCUUGUGCUGCUAGACGCCGGAGCAGACGGAGCGGCUGUGGCGUCUGUCUUCUUCCGUGCUUGCUUAUGAGGCGGAGGAGAAGGACUACGACGCGCCGGAGCAGCCGGGGCGGCGGCGGGUCUCUUCCGCCCUUGCUGGCGAGGCGGAGAGGAGGAGGCGGAGUGCCGCCACAUGCCGGAGAAGGAGGCGGAGUGCCGCCAUGCGUGCCCUGAUCGUCACUCGCCGGAGGAGGAGGCGGUGGAGGAGGCGGAGUGCCGCCACGCGUGCCCUGAUCGUCACUCGCCGGAGGAGGACGCGGUGGAGGAGGCGGAGUGCCCUGACUCGCUGAAAGAGGAGGAGGAGGCGGAGGCGUCCAGUUCAGAAGGUUGAUGAGCUCCUUCUGCCAUAGGCAUGGAGUCUUCAGAGCAGAACCCAGCCUAGUCUCCCCUUCACCGGUAGUGUGCUCAAGCACGAGGUCCUCAAAUCCCUCCGUUAUUUCAUCCACCAUCACCUUAGCAAAUCCUUCUGGAAUUGGCUGGCAGUGAUAAGUUGUGCCGGGUCCACUAGGAUAAACUUGGCCAACAGCCGCCUUGACCUUCAAAUUCAUCCAUCACACAAUAAUGUGGCAAUUUUGAGACUCCGUGAUACCAUCCACGGGAUAGCUGGCAGGAGCCGUCAAGACAUGCUCCGGCUGAAGCAGCUCAGUGGAAGCCACGCUGCUUCUCUGCUGAGAUGGCGGGGUAGCUUCGGGGGAAGCUUCGGCAGGUCGUUUGUUGUGAUCUGCUGCUUCUUGUUCCUCUAGCCCCAUUACCCUUUCGUGCAGCGCCUGCAUUUGGUCCUGCUCCAGUUUCUUCCUCCUCUCGUAGGCUUUGUAAACGCCUGCGUCCAGAAAACCAACCUUCCACGGAAUGGAGCCUGGCGUGCCUCGUGUCCGUCCAGGGUGCUCGGGAUUCCCAAGGGCCAUUGUGAGCUCGUCCUUCUCCCUGUUUGGAAGGAACGUCCCUCGUUGUGCUGCAUCGAUAUAGUGUCGAAGGUUCUUGACUGGUGUUUGCAGUUGCUCGUCCGUCCACUGACGCUUCCCUGUUACAGGGUCCAAGGUUCCGCCAGCCCCGAAGACCCAAGUCCGGCAACGGUCUGGCCAGCGCAUUGUCUCUGGUUCGAUUCCUUUUUCAAGCAGAUCAUGCUCAGCCUUGGACCACUUAGGCCGGGCUUUGAGGUAGCCACCUGACUCCGUGCGAUGGUGAAGCUUCUUCUUCGCAGCAUUUUUCUUGUUUGUCUCCGACAUCGUCUUACUCUUUUCCGAUGUCUUGUGGGCCACAAAUGCGGGCCAGUGAUCUUUGAUCUUCUCAUAUUUGCUGAUGAAUUCUGGUGUCUUUUUUUUCUCGAGAAACUGGUUCAGCUCUUUCCUCCACCUCCUCAUUAGGCUUGCCAUCUUCUUAAGAGCACAAGACUUGAUUAAUUGCUCUUUAACUGGCUUCUCCGGAUCCUCCUCUGGCGGUAGGGUGAAAUUUGCCUUCAGCUCAGUCCAAAGAUCUUCUUUCUGCAUAUCAUUGACAUAAGACACCUCAGGGUCUUCAUCCUUAGCAGGCUUAUACCAUUGCUGGAUGCUGAUCGGGAUCUUGUCCCUAACAAGAACCCCGCACUGAGCAGAAAAUGCCUUCCUUGUCCGGAUGGGUUCAAUCGGUUCGCCGUCGGGCGCGAUUUCUAUGAUCUCAAACUUUUCAUCCGAGAUCAACUUUUUCUUCGGGCCUCGUCUCCUUACCGAAGUUGUGCUCGAUCCGGAGGGCUAGAAAUUAUAAGGAAGAAAGACGACAGUAAUUAAUAUGUGUACAUAUACCAAAACAAUGGAUGCAUCAAUUAACUAGUCAGCACGGGCUUAACUAAUAUAUAUAUACCUGGCCGGACUCGGUUCGGUGACCGGAGCAGUCAGCACGGUCUCCUUGUACCUCCAUUGUGUCACCGGAGCCAUCAUGAACAUAGUCCUCCUCUUGUACCGGCAUUAAUGGGUCGAAGCCAUCAUAAACAUAGCCCUCUUCUUCAUCCAGUCCUUCCAGCUGACCAUCGGUGUCGAUGAGAAAUGACGCAACAUCAUCACUUCCAUUUGCGAUUAUGUCCCCCAACAUCGCUUCUGUUUCUUCGUCUCGGGAGUGCUCCAUAGUUUCUGCAAAUAUUUACAACAUGUCAAUUAUUAUUCAAACAUGGUACAAAUGGAUAUAUAUAUAUAUAUAUAUAUAUAUAUAUAUAUAUAUAUAUGAAAAUGGAUUGGUACUCCUAGGAGUACAUACUCUCACCUACACCCGUCAUCGUUGGAAACAUUCAUCCCGCUAACUACUAAAAAAAGAGCUAACUAACUACGGAUAAAGCCUUUGGAUUUAAAAAUUAGUUGAACCGCUUCCUUUUUUUUCAGCUCUCGUAGGCGUGCCUUCCAGGGAUUCCAUUUGAAACGGCGUUCUCAUCUCUUGCCAGCACCCAUGAACAUAAAAAAACAGAGCAUCGGCUCGCCUCCGCCCCGCCGACUGACCGGAAGACUUGGUCGACAUGGCCGACGAUGAUCCCCGUGCUUCUUCCCUCGCAAACUAGGCUUCAACCACCACGUCCAUCAAUCAGAGGAAGAUUGAUUCAUCAUCUGUAGUUUGCGAGGGUACGUGCAAUUGAUGUUUCCCGAUUUUUCUGUUCGGCUACCACAACCGUGUUCAUGUUCCCGCUGACCCCUUGAUCCAUUCCUGUCCAGUAUGUCAUCGUCCGAGAAGAAAAUAGGACGGAGAUGAUUGAUCGGCCAGAUUGAUCGGCCAAGUCUACUAGUACCACUGGUGGAAAAAAGGCCUUUGGUCGCGGUUCGCAACUGCCAUUAGUCGCGGUUGCGCAACCGCGACCAAAUAAGCGCGACUAAAGCCCCCCACCUUUAGUCGCGGCUGCUUAAGAACCGCGACUAAAGGCCCGUCCAUGUGGGCGCCAGGCGGCCGUCGGGACGGAGGACCUUUAGUCGCGGUUCUUCUGGCCAACCGCGACUAAAGGCCGCCACAGGUUUAGGGUUUUAGCCCCCCCCCUAAACCUGUUUUCUGUUUAAUUUGUAUUGUUUUAUUUCUUUUGUGCUUUAUUUUAAUUUUGAAGGAGUUUCAUAUAUUCUACGGUACUACAUACAUGCAUAUGAAUGUACAAUUUCAAAUAAAUUUGAAAUUAGAACCAAAAAGAAUUCAAGAGGAAUAUACAAUAUAUAUUCAAUAUCAUCGGAUGACCAUAUACAAUUUUGAACAAGUUUCCAUACAUGAUUUAAUGCAUAUAAAGUUCUACGUCCUCGUAAUAGUGUUCUCCUUUAGGAUGGAGGACUUCCCUGCUGAACCAUCCAGCUAGUUCCUCUUGAAGUGGUCGGAAGCGAGCUUCUGGACUAAGCAUCCACCGGAGGUUAUUCCUCUGAGCAUUGGUAUCACUCGGAACCCGCUCAGAGGUGUAUCUCCGGAUCAUCUCACAGACAUAGUAUCCACAUAGAUUGGUCUCCGGUGGCUGAAUAUCCCCAGCAUUCUUAGCCACUGACCUUUUGAAUUCUAGCUCUUUUUUGAAUUCACCGACCUUUGUAUCUACGAACCGUCUCCAAACCCUACGAGGCAAAGAAAAUUAAAUGAACAAGAGAGUUAUUAGUUACUUGAUAUUAGGAAAUGAACGAAAUAGGCCGAUUGAUAUAGAGCGCAAAUGAAUGAAAAUAAUUACUUCUGCAGCAUUCUUCUCAUGCCGCCCCAAAGCUUUGGAUCCAUAUUCACAGAGUCGUGGACGAGACAUUCUGAGGUGUUAACUUUAAUUACUAGCAGAAUCCAGUGGAACCUGCGGACACGAUACAUGCACAGUACGUCAUGCAUAACUCAUCGAUUAGCCGGCCACAUACCAUGCAUGGAGUAAACAAAAGAGAAUGUGCUCAAGACACAAACACUCACCCAAAAUGGUAAGGAAAUAGAAUAUCACUUUUGAGUUCCUGCUUUGUAAGAAACUGCCACAGGUCUACCUCCACGUCGGCGGGGUGACGCUCCAACACAUGUCCAUUAACGAUGUGUGGGUCAAUGAACCCAACAUCAUGGAUGUUCCUUACUCUGCAUUCCUUAAUCUUCAUUCUGCAUGUAUAAUAGCGGACACAACAAUAUAGUUAGGACAUAUAUAUAGUGCAGGCAAUAUGAACGAGAUGGGGUAGAAAUUAAUAAAUCACUUACAGAACGUAGCAACUGAUGAUAGAUUUAUCGAGCUCGCGCAGAUUGAAAAGCUGGAACAAUUCACUCAGUUCAAUUUGUACAUAGUAAUGUUUGAAGUGAUGCUCAUGUCUAACUUCCGCAUAAAUAUAUUCUUUGGCGUUUUUAUUUUUUAUGUAACCCUUGUACCAUUUCAGCAGACCUUUCAUUUGUGGAGGUAGAUCCUUUUCCUGCGCAGGCUCGACGAGAGGCCCAUUCUUGACAUAUGUAAUUACUACCUCCUUCACUGGCGCCUCAUCAAGGCCUAACAGUUCACGAAGAGUAAUACCUAAGUUGGCCGCUUGUUCUAUGGCACUCGUUACAGUCAAUCCCUGUGCUGCCGCAGCUUGUAUGAUCUCGGGGGCAUCCGGACAGAAGGCUUCCACUAUAAGCGGGGCAAUCGAUUGUUUACUUUGUUCCCCGAGCUGGGCAACUUGUUUCCCGCUUUUUUUACUUUCGGCCUUCUCCCGCUCUUUGUUCUCCUUGAACAUGAGUGCCUGCCUGCGAAGUUCACGUGCAUAGUCGUUAGGCAGAUUCUUCGCGGCUUGGGACGGUGUGCUCAAAAAUGACUUAGCCCACUUGUUUUGCUCAUCAGAAAAUACUGGCUUGGGCUCGAGCUCUCUUUUCUUCUUGCAGUCCGCCUUCCAUUUCUCCAAAUCAGCAGCCGCGGCCGCGUCGACUUCCUCGGCACUACGUUCCCAAGGCCUUGUGGGGAGAGGCUUCAGUGAUGGCUCCGGUACCUUUGUGGUCUUAGGUACAUAAGGGUCCGGGUUAAUAAUCCAGGACUGCUUCUGCUUCUUUGCCGGAGGUGGAUUGGGGGGCGGCGUCUGAUCACCCGCCGGACGAGGACUGGGGGGCGGCGGCUGAUCACCCGCCGGACGUUGUGGACUGGGGGGCGGCGUCGGCUGACGUGACGGAGGUGUAGGUGAACCGCCACCACCACCACCACCACCACCACCGCCACCGCCACCACCACCACCGUAGGGGGGUGGACUUGUUGUCCUUGGCGCCUCGCCUGGAAACUUGAUAAACUUCUUUUGCCAUAGAAUGAAAUGGCGCUUGACAUCUCCAAGUCUUUUCUCCCCUUCAGGUGUAGCAAUGUCAAUCUCCAGGUCCUCAAACCCUUGGACUAUGUCCUCCACCGUGACACGAGCAUAGCCAUCUUGAAUGGGGUUGUUGUGGUGGAGUGCUCCAGGUAAACAUGGUAAAGCACUGCCGAUGGCUACCUUCAUGGACAUGUUCCCGAUAGGAUAAUACAGAUGACAUUCUUCUCCGCUGCUGGCUUCCGAGAUCUGCUGGAUGAUCUUCAUGCUGCACCCGAGCUGCAUCUCUUUCGGCUACUAGUACACUCAUGGUUUUCUUCAUCACAUCCAUUUCCGAUGCCAACCGCGCCACAACAUCUGCUUCCCGAUCCACCUUUCUCUUACGGCUUCUGUAACCGUACGGGUCAUCGUUCUGGGGGAACCCUAUUUUCCACGGAAUGUGCCCCAUGCCUCGUACACGUCCUCCGUGUUCAGGAUUCCCGAGGGAUUUUGUCAGCGCGUCGUUCUCUCUGUUGAACUUGAUCUUCCCCUGUUGAGCAUCCCUCAUUGCGUUAAUAAGGGCUUGGGUGGGUUUAAUUAAUUUGCCCCGGUAAACACACUCCCCUGUCUCCGGGUUCAGCGUUCCCCCAUGCCCGUACCACCAACUUUUGGCCCUUGGGUCCCAUCCCUCCGUACCUGCACGGAUUCCUCGCGCCCUCAGCUCGUUCUCCAUCUUCUCCAACCUAGGCACCCAAAUGCGAUACCCUCCUGGCCCCAUAACAUGAUUGUACUCCUUCUUAGCCGCAUUUUCCUUAUUUUUUCGAUAUUUGAAUGAACUGCUCCGAUUUCUUUUGCUUCACAAAUUCUGGCCAAUCAUGUUUCAGUUUCUCAUAUUGUCCUUUGAAAUCCGGAGUCUUGUUCUGCUUGACAAAGUCAUGGGCUAGAUUUUGCUUGAAUUUCCGGAAUGCGUCGGCCAUCUUAUGAAGAGCGAACUGUUUGACUAGCCUCCUCCUCUCCUUGUUUUCUUCAAUCUUGUUACCCUCCUCAUCGAAUUUGUUGUAUUCCGGAGGUAGAACGAAAUGUUCCAUAAGCUUCUUGAAGCAAUCUUUUUUUGUUCUCUUAUCGACAAAAGUGAAACCAUCAAUUCGUGCCUUCUUUGGCUCAUUCCACUCCUGGACGGUGAUCGAGACGUUGUCUCUAACAAUGGCUCCGCAUUGGCUGACAAACUUGGUGGCGUUCUUGCGGGGCUCCAGCGGCCUGCCGGUUGCACUGUCGACAACCUCGAUGGUGCAUGUUUCUCCUUGUUUCAUCGUCUUGGUUGCGCCACGCUUUGACGACGUACUCGAUUGUUUCGACGAUCCGGCCGAGGGCUAAAAUAAGAAAGAGUCGCGCGCGUUAGUACACACAUAUUUAUUCAAAUCAGUUAGUUUGUAUCACCAGAGGCUCAAUGUAUAUAUAUACCUCGGCGCCGGAGGUGGUUGCUACAUCCAUUUGAAGAUCGUCGUUUAUCGACGUUUGUUCGGCAUCAUCUUGCUGACGGCGCCCUUCAUCUUCACCGUCAAGGUUCAGAUAAGAAGAGAUAUCAUCUUCUUCUUCUCCGGUCGGCACAUAUAGAAUAUCGCCGUUUAUGAUGCCGAACAUAUGUGCUUCACCGUCCGGAUCAUAGUUGUCCAUAAUCGGGUCAGCUCUAUCGUCCGCCAUUAUGUCAGUCCUGAAAACAUGUAGUAAAAACAAAUUAAUUAAGUGAAGAAGGGGGGCGGUGGCGGUGGCGGUGGCGAAAGGGUGGUGGCAAAAGGAGGGGGCGAGGAAGGGGUGGGAGAGGGUGUCGCGGUAGAGCGCGAGACGGGGCGGCACGAACGUCAUUUUGUGAAGAAACUUUGCAAGCAAUUAAACAUUUGUCAAUGUUUGGUAAAAAAAAUACAGGUAGCGUCUGUUGCUCCUAAUGAUUGGAAACGGUUUCCAAUUGCCAACGAGGAUUUAGAUCGACUACUACUACUAGUUGCAUUGCUCCCCAUCGGGACGAUGUUGCUCCUAAUCCCCUCCUUUGGAAUCUAUAGUACUAGUGCAUACUAGCUGGCCGUUGACCGUUGUUGCUCAUCGCGUUUUCUCAAAGUCCACUGAUUUUGCUCAGGGCCAGUUCGGAGAUUUUGCUGGUCCACUGAUUUUGGAUCAACGCCGGGAUGGCAUGGGCGCUCGGCGAUGAUGCGAAGUAGACUUGCACAGGCAACGUGAUGUACAUGGAUGUGUCAGUACGGUACGCUCGGCGAUGCCACGGUAUGGAUGACUUCUCGAGUGGAGAUUGGAGAACCAAGUUCGCCGGUGAAACGUCGGCUCCUGAUCAGAUCUGGGGGUCGCGAACUAGCGAUUGGAUCUCGGAAGGGAGUUAGGAAAGCGAACAGACGUGCGUUCAAGGCUACAACUUUUUUUUUCAGGAUCUUGAAAACAGCUACGCGUUCAAGGCCCGGUCCUGAUUUUGCUCAUCUACCCGGGGCGGCGUUCGCACUGCGCGAGGGCCGACUCCGCGGGGUGCUGCCGCGUCGCCUCGUCGACGCUGAGCGAGUUGGCGAGGACCGUGUACAUGGUCGGCACGUCGCCGGCGGAGAGGGUCAUGCUGUCCCCGACCAGCGGCGGCCACGGACGGGGAGGGCGGCGGCGGUGACUGGGAAGGAAUGAUAGGAGAGGAAGGAAGGUCGCGUGGGGUUGAGGGCGGNNNNNNNNNNGGCGAGGAGGGACUCCUUGGCGGAGAGGCGCUCCGUCUCGCGGGCGUAGCUGGCAGCGGGCUCCCACGCCUGCGCGUACACGUCGUCCCGCCGUGCGUUCAAGGCUACAACUUUUUUUUUUAGGAUCUUGAAAACAACUACGCGUUCAAGGCCGGCCCGGUCCUGAUUUUGCUCAUCUACCCGGGGCGGCGUUCGCACUGCGCGAGGGCCGACUCCGCGGGGUGCUGCCGCGUCGCCUCGUCGACGCUGAGCGAGUUGGCGAGCACCGUGUACAUGGUCGGCACGUCGCCGGCGGAGAGGGUCAUGCUGUCCCCGACCAGCGGCGGCCACGGACGGGGAGGGCGGCGGCGGUGACUGGGAAGGAAUGAUCGGAGAGGAAGGAAGGUCGCGUGGGGUUGAGGGCGGGCGAGCGAGGCGGCAGUACCGAGGCUGGCCGGCGGCGCGCGCGCGGUGGGCGAGGGCGACGGCGGGCGGCGUCGAGGGCGAGGGCGACGGCGGGCGGCGUCGAGGGCGCGGCAGAGACGAACAGGCGAGAAACGGCGGGCGGCGUCGAGGGAGCCUUGUAUUUAUAGCCCCCCCNNNNNNNNNNNNNNNNNNNNNNNNNNNNNNNNNNNNNNNNNNNNNNNNNNNNNNNNNNNNNNNNNNNNNNNNNNNNNNNNNNNNNNNNNNNNNNNNNNNNNNNNNNNNNNNNNNNNNNNNNNNNNNNNNNNNNNNNNNNNNNNNNNNNNNNNNNNNNNNNNNNNNNNNNNNNNNNNNNNNNNNNNNNNNNNNNNNNNNNNNNNNNNNNNNNNNNNNNNNNNNNNNNNNNNNNNNNNNNNNNNNNNNNNNNNNNNNNNNNNNNNNNNNNNNNNNNNNNNNNNNNNNNNNNNNNNNNNNNNNNNNNNNNNNNNNNNNNNNNNNNNNNNNNNNNNNNNNNNNNNNNNNNNNNNNNNNNNNNNNNNNNNNNNNNNNNNNNNNNNNNNNNNNNNNNNNNNNNNNNNNNNNNNNNNNNNNNNNNNNNNNNNNNNNNNNNNNNNNNNNNNNNNNNNNNNNNNNNNNNNNNNNNNNNNNNNNNNNNNNNNNNNNNNNNNNNNNNNNNNNNNNNNNNNNNNNNNNNNNNNNNNNNNNNNNNNNNNNNNNNNNNNNNNNNNNNNNNNNNNNNNNNNNNNNNNNNNNNNNNNNNNNNNNNNNNNNNNNNNNNNNNNNNNNNNNNNNNNNNNNNNNNNNNNNNNNNNNNNNNNNNNNNNNNNNNNNNNNNNNNNNNNNNNNNNNNNNNNNNNNNNNNNNNNNNNNNNNNNNNNNNNNNNNNNNNNNNNNNNNNNNNNNNNNNNNNNNNNNNNNNNNNNNNNNNNNNNNNNNNNNNNNNNNNNNNNNNNNNNNNNNNNNNNNNNNNNNNNNNNNNNNNNNNNNNNNNNNNNNNNNNNNNNNNNNNNNNNNNNNNNNNNNNNNNNNNNNNNNNNNNNNNNNNNNNNNNNNNNNNNNNNNNNNNNNNNNNNNNNNNNNNNNNNNNNNNNNNNNNNNNNNNNNNNNNNNNNNNNNNNNNNNNNNNNNNNNNNNNNNNNNNNNNNNNNNNNNNNNNNNNNNNNNNNNNNNNNNNNNNNNNNNNNNNNNNNNNNNNNNNNNNNNNNNNNNNNNNNNNNNNNNNNNNNCGAGGAAGACCAAUCGGCUUAAGGUCAGGAACAAAGUCAACACAAAACUCAAUUACCUCCUCAUUUCCAUAGCCCUUGGCGAUGCUUCCUUCUGGCCUAGCACGGUUACGAACAUAUUUCUUUAAUACUCCCAUGAACCUCUCGAAGGGGAACAUAUUGUGUAGAAAUACAGGACCGAGAACGAAAAUCUCUUCGACUAGGUGAACCAGGAGGUGCGUCAUAAUAUUGAAGAAGGAUGGCGGGAACACCAACUCGAAACUGACAAGACAUUGGAUCACAUCGUUCUGUAACCAUGGUAGAACUUCUGGAUUGAUUACCUUCUGAGAGAUUGCAUUGAGGAAUGCACAUAGCUUCACAAUGGCUACUCGAACAUUUUCCGGCAGGAGCCCCCUCAAAGCAAUCGGAAGCAAUUGCGUCAUAAUCACGUGGCAGUCGUGAGACUUCAGGUUUUGGAACUUUUUCUCCGCCAUGUUUAUUAUUCCUUUUAUAUUGGACGAGAAUCCAGACGGGACCUUCAUACUGCUCAGGCAUUCAAAAAAGAUGACCUUCUCUUCUUUGGUCAGAGCGUAGCUGGCACGACCUUGAAACCAUUCCGGAUGCCGGUCAUCAGGGUCUUUCAAACGUUGCUGGUCCUGCCGUGCUUCCUUUGUAUCAUUUGUCUUCCCAUACACGCCCAAGAAGCUUAGGAGGUUCACGCAAAUAUUCUUCGUAACGUGCAUCACGUCGAUUGCAGAGCGGACAUCUAGGACUUUCCAAUAUUCUAGCUCCCAGAAUAUAGAUUUCUUCUUCCACAUGGCUGCGUUCCCGUCUGCUCCCUUCGGAACUGAUUGUCCGCCAGGACCCUUUCCAAAGAUGACUUUCAAAUCCUUGACCAUAUCAAAUACCUCAGCACCAGUGCAUUCCGCAGGCUUCGGCCGGUGAUCUGCCUUGCCGUUGUAAUGCUUGCCUUUCUUUCUUACUGGAUGAAUUUUCGGAAGAAAUCGAUGAUGCCCAAGGUACACGUUCUUCUUACAAUUUGGCAAAUGUACACUUUCAGUCUCAUGUAAGCAGUGCGUGCAUGCAUUGUAUCCCUUAUUUGACAGUCCCGAAAGGUUACUAAGAGCAGGCCAAUCGUUGAUGGUUACGAAAAGCAACGCUCGUAGGUCAAAUUCCUCUUGUUUGUGCUCAUCCCACACACGGACACCACCCCACAGCUGUAAAAGUUCAUCAACUAAUGGCCUUAGGUACACAUCGAUGUCGUUGCCGGGUUGCUUCGGACCUUGGAUGAGCACUGGCAUCAUAAUGAACUUCCGCUUCAUGCACAACCAAGAAGGAAGGUUGUAGAUGCAUAGAGUCACGGGCCAGGUGCUAUGGCUGGAGCUCUGCUCGCCAAAAGGAUUCAUGCCAUCCGUACUUAGAGCAAAUCUUAUGUUCCUUGCGUCAGCUGCAAAAUCUUUGAACCAUCUGUCGAUCUUUCUCCAUUGCGUUCCAUCUGCGGUGUGUCUCAACUCCCCGUCCGACUUACGGUCCUCUUUGUGCCAUCGCAACAACUUGGCAUGCUCUUUGUUCCUGAACAGACGUUUCAACCGUGGUAUUAUAGGAGCAUACCACAUCACCUUGGCGGGAACCCUCUUCCUGGGUUUCUGGCCCUCAACAUCGUCACCAGGGUCAUCGCCUCUGAUCUUAUAACGCAAUGCAGUGCAUAUCGGGCAUUCAUUCAAAUUCUCGUAUUCACCGCGGUAGAGGAUGCAGUCGUUGAUGCAUGCAUGUAUCUUCAGAACCUCUAAACCUAGAGGGCAGACAACCUUCUUUGCUUCGUACGUACUGGCGGGCAACUCGUUAUCCUUUGGAAACAUACUCUUCAACAUUUUCAGCAAGUUUUCAAAUGCCGAGUCAGCUACACCUGCCUCUGCCUUCCAUUUCAGCAAAUCCAGUGUGCAGCCCAGCUUUUUCAGACCAUCAUCGCAUCCGGGGUACAGCGCCUUUCUGUGAUCCUCUAACAUGCGAUCCAAAUUCUCCCUCUCCUUUUCAGUUUCGCAGCGUCUCCGUGCAUCAGCAAUGGUCCGACCAAGAUCAUCAACGGGAUCAUCACGUGCCUCUUCUUCACCUUCCCCUUCACCUUCAGCAUCCUCCAUGAAAGUAUCACCGAGAUGAGCAAGAUAGCUUUCAUCGAUGAAAUCAUCCCCUUCUUCAUCUUCUUCCAUUAUAACCCCUCUUUCUCCAUGCUUGGUCCAACAAUUAUAGCUUGGCAUGAAACCGUGCCGAAGCAGAUGCAUGUGAACAUCUCUUGAGGAAGAGUAACCCUUCUGAUUCUUACAGAUAACACAUGGACAGAUAACAAAAAACCCCUGCUUGUUCGCAUUAGCCACUACGAGGAAAUCUUUCAAACCCGUAGUGAACUCGCCGGAGAGUCGGUUACCGUACAUCCAUUGCCGAUUCAUCUGCAUUAUUAUAAUAUAAAAUAUAUAAUUAACCAUCAUGCAUUUGUUAAACUAACUAGCUACAAACAAUAUAAAUUAAACAAUGAACUGCACACAUGCAUAUUUUAUCAAUGACACAUCAAAGGUUCAUCAAGUUGCUAACCGCGAUCGAGGAGUGUGGCUCCAACACUUCAUGUCAUGUUUGUUUCAUGCUCUUGGGGCAUUUCAUCAAACACCUUAUGUGCAUAAGAGGAACCAAAAGCAAACCUACACCCACUUGUGAAGAGAAUGGCUCCAAAUGGCUAAGUGUUGGCUGCUGGAUGGGUAUAUAUAGGGGAGGGGCUUUAGUUGCGGUUGGCUUGGCAAACCGUGACUAAAGGUGCCCGAAGGCCUUUAGUCGCGGUUGUCCUGGCCAACCGCGACUAAAGACCCUCACGUGCGCCAGCUGGCCACCGAGCGCCCUGAGCCCAGGCCUUUGGUCGCGGUUCACCUCCAGAACCGCGACUAAAGGUCCCAUUAGUCGCGGUUCCUACAGCUUCGCGACUUAUGGGGCUGGACGGAAGCUUGUUUUUCCACCAGUGUACUAGGUAAGGUGUCGUUCCAGUCAAAUUGAUGAAUUCAUCUUUUGUUACCUUUGUUAUAGGAAUAUAGGCUGCAUUUAUUAGUCAUAUCGAGCUCUCAAGGAGUCAAGAUCUUGUUAACUUACUAAUAAUUUCUAUAUACCUGCAGCGUUAUGGCCUAUGGUGCAGGGCAAAGACAACAAGGACGACAUGCGGCGGCGACGUGGCCAUGGUGAAGCUACUUCGUCCGGCUACCCCAUGGUUGGCGUGUCUGCCGUCCUCUCAAUCUAUCACACGUACGUCCGGUGCAUGCAUGGUGUCGGGCCGAAGAGCACACAAAUCUACAUCCAGGCCCUGGGCACUAGCAACCGCUGAUGCACUUAGCCACUUACCAAUGUAUUCCUAUUGUACGUAUAUAAUAAAGUGGUUAGUACGUCGACGUAGAAAUAGUUAGUAGCUUGCUUUGCACUCACACAAUCGAGUCAUGAUUGUUACUGAUGAUCAAAAUUUUAUGUAUUUUUUAUGCCGGAUGGGUUUACUACUUCUUCUUCGGUUGUAUAUAAAGCUUCCAAAAAAUUAGUAUAUAAUCCUCCAGAAUAAAUCAGUAUAUAGUCCUCCAAAAAAAUGAGUAUAUACACUUUGUAACGCAGCAUAUACCCCAUAAAAAAUGUAGUAUAACGCUGCAGAAAUAAGACAUACUCCUUUUCUAGUUGCAUAUACCCAAUCACAAAACUACACUGAAAUAAUUAGUAGUACAUACUCCUUUUCUAUUUUGGAAAGGAACGUCCAUUUCCCUCUUCAACAAGUGCUUUAUUUUUCUAGGGGUAGCCUUGUGUUUUUACUGCCAUGCGACGACAUUACAAAAUGUAUUACACCCAUUAUUCAUCUAAUUUUUUAUAUACCCUUUUAUGCAUACUUUGAAUUUAUCACUCAUUUGGGCGACCAGCCCGCUCUCUCAUUGCAGCGACUCGACUCUCACAUAAAGCCAGUAUAUACUCACGUAAAAAAAAGCAGUAUAGACUCCCUUACUGAAAAAGAACUAUAUACUCCCCUACCAAAAAAAGUAGUAUAUGCUCCAUUACCAAAAAGGCAGUAUAUACUCAUAUACAAAAGGUGGUAUAUACUGUCUUCCCAAAGUAGUAUAUAUCUUUUUCCUUGCGUUAGAGAAGUAGUAUAACCAGAACAGAUAGUUCAUACUUGUGUGCUGAAAAAAGUAGUAUAUAAAUAUAUAUGUAAGAGUGAGUAUGGUAGAUAUGUAUCGGUCCUUACAAAAAAAAUCAACCACUGUUAUUGUUUAUUUGCACCGAACUAACCUUAUCUGUAUGCUAGGAUCCUUGAAUCUCUCAAUCUGUUGAUGCACAUGCAUGCGUCGGCCGGUGGAGCAAUUAGCAACUAGAUCUAAUAACUGCCAACCUGUUCAGUCCAUGGGAGUACAUACUCCUGGGAGUAUAAAAGAGGAGUCUAUAUAUAUAUAUAUAUAUAUAUAUAUAUACGGUGGCGCUAUUGUGUGCGUGAGCGCAGAUUUACUUAUCGUGCGCGCCGGUCAUUGCGUGCGCCACUCGUAUUCCUAAUGAUGGUAAAAUUCCUGGCAGAAAUAGUAAUAUAAUUUAAUUGGUUACUGCCUGCCACCACCACGGUAGCGAUUUAAUUGGUUAGGUCUACUAGUAAAAAUGCAUAGCAGAAAAAGUAAAAGAGCUAAAAGUAUUACUGUUGGAUGCAUCGGUCCCCGCUUCGACUGCCUACUAGUAAAACACCUCAUAAAAGUAGUAAUAGGAUUACCCUACACGCAUCAGCCCCUUGCCAUACUUGUGAACAGGUAAACUUCAUGUGAAGAAUAGUACUGGAUGGUAACUGUGUUACCAUAGAACGGACACUUGCUAUUAGCUAGCUACAUGGUAAUUUUAUUACCGCUAACUUUCAUCGGUUUAAUACCUAAUCAUGUUACCACUUAUUUUCUUAGUAGUAUUGGAUGGUAACUAUGUUACCACAUGACGAAAAAAUUGCUAUUAGCUAAUAGCUACACGGUAAUUGCAUUACCACUCAUGUGUAGAAGCAUGAUACACGGUCUUUUUUCCAAUUACGUUUGGUCGAAGACGCAAGGGUUUGCUAAUCGCUAAAGUGGGGUCGAAGCAGUAAUAAGUUUCCAACCGUUACCAUGUUUCUUAAGGUAUGUUACGUAUGGGCGCAAGACAUGUUCUUUAAUAGGAGCGGGACAACGGUUGCUUAGACGGAGAAUGGCGCGCAGUCUGGCCGGAGCGUAGAAUUAGACUUCUGCGCUCAGGCUUAGUUUAGCACGUCUAUAUAUAUAUAUAUAUAUAUAUAUAUAUAUAUACAUACAUGUUAGUGGCCUCGACGCUGCUUCUCUAGGGUUUGGGGUCGCCUCGACACAACGCUUCAAGGGUUUGGGGUGGCCUCGACGACAACGUUUUUUUAACUUGAUAAAUUUGGGUGGCCUCGAGAGAGUUAAUUUGUCGGGUAGGGGCGCGGCGGGAGGGGGUAGGAGACCAACAUCGUUUUCUCUCUAGGGUUUGGGUGUCCUCGAGAGUUAUCGGGGAGGGGGUAUCGGUACCACCCCCUAGCUCGUGUUGAAGUUUCUUCUUUCUCCUCUAUUCCUUUCUUUCUUCUUCUCCUCUUCUUUUUCUUCUUCUCCCUCGAGAAAGGAAAAUANNNNNNNNNNNNNNNNNNNNNNNNNNNNNNNNNNNNNNNNNNNNNNNNNNNNNNNNNNNNNNNNNNNNNNNNNNNNNNNNNNNNNNNNNNNNNNNNNNNNNNNNNNNNNNNNNNNNNNNNNNNNNNNNNNNNNNNNNNNNNNNNNNNNNNNNNNNNNNNNNNNNNNNNNNNNNNNNNNNNNNNNNNNNNNNNNNNNNNNNNNNNNNNNNNNNNNNNNNNNNNNNNNNNNNNNNNNNNNNNNNNNNNNNNNNNNNNNNNNNNNNNNNNNNNNNNNNNNNNNNNNNNNNNNNNNNNNNNNNNNNNNNNNNNNNNNNNNNNNNNNNNNNNNNNNNNNNNNNNNNNNNNNNNNNNNNNNNNNNNNNNNNNNNNNNNNNNNNNNNNNNNNNNNNNNNNNNNNNNNNNNNNNNNNNNNNNNNNNNNNNNNNNNNNNNNNNNNNNNNNNNNNNNNNNNNNNNNNNNNNNNNNNNNNNNNNNNNNNNNNNNNNNNNNNNNNNNNNNNNNNNNNNNNNNNNNNNNNNNNNNNNNNNNNNNNNNNNNNNNNNNNNNNNNNNNNNNNNNNNNNNNNNNNNNNNNNNNNNNNNNNNNNNNNNNNNNNNNNNNNNNNNNNNNNNNNNNNNNNNNNNNNNNNNNNNNNNNNNNNNNNNNNNNNNNNNNNNNNNNNNNNNNNNNNNNNNNNNNNNNNNNNNNNNNNNNNNNNNNNNNNNNNNNNNNNNNNNNNNNNNNNNNNNNNNNNNNNNNNNNNNNNNNNNNNNNNNNNNNNNNNNNNNNNNNNNNNNNNNNNNNNNNNNNNNNNNNNNNNNNNNNNNNNNNNNNNNNNNNNNNNNNNNNNNNNNNNNNNNNNNNNNNNNNNNNNNNNNNNNNNNNNNNNNNNNNNNNNNNNNNNNNNNNNNNNNNNNNNNNNNNNNNNNNNNNNNNNNNNNNNNNNNNNNNNNNNNNNNNNNNNNNNNNNNNNNNNNNNNNNNNNNNNNNNNNNNNNNNNNNNNNNNNNNNNNNNNNNNNNNNNNNNNNNNNNNNNNNNNNNNNNNNNNNNNNNNNNNNNNNNNNNNNNNNNNNNNNNNNNNNNNNNNNNNNNNNNUGAAAACACUUUUUUUUGUUUUCUUUCUUGCUUUAUUUAUUUUAUUUUGUUUCUACUUGCAAUAAAAUACUUAUUGUUGUUUUUUUGUUUUGUUUUCUGCAUUAUUUAUUUUCUUUUGUUUUUUGCUUUAUUUUUUAAUUCUUUUUGCUUUUAGUUUUAGGAAAAUUAUAAACUUUCUAUUAGUGCCAUUACUUUUCAAAUUUGAAAACACUUUUUUGUUUUUUAGUUUUCUUUCUUGCUUUAUUUAUUUUAUUUUGUUUCUACUUACAACAAAAUACUUAUUGUUGCUAUUUUUAAUUAUUACGAAGGCCAAACCAUAAGACAUUAAAGCAUUUCAAAUGAACUCUGAAAAAGUUGAAAGUUGGCAUGGUAUCAUAAAUUGACCCACACAUAGCAUGUGCAUGUACAAAACGGACAAUGUUAUCAUACUCGUCAGUUACAAAGUUGGCAUGGUAUCAUCAUAAUAGUUGCGGGAGAAAGUCUUCACUUUUUCUUCGCUUGUGUCAUUUGCUUAUUGCGCCGUAACCAUGGAUAAUCUUCAUCGUUUAUCAGGAUGCUGGGGUCAGCCUUGACUUUAAAGGGAGGAAUUUCAUGAAACUUUUCAUAAUCUUCAGACAUGUCUGUCUUGUCCUCCUCUCCCACGAUGUCCCUUUUUCCUGAAAGAACUAUGUGGCGCUUUGGCUCAUCGUAUGAUGUAUUCGCUUCCUUAUCUUUUCUCUUUCUUGGUCUGGUAGACAUGUCCAUCACAUAGAUAACCUGUGCCACAUCAUUGGCUAGGACGAACGGUUCGUCAGUGUACCCAAGAUUUUUCGGAUCCACUGUUGUCGUUCCGUACUGUGGGUCUACAUGUACCCCGCCUCCUGACAGAUUGACCCAUUUGCACUUAAACAAAGGGACCUUAAAAUCAUGUCCUUAGUCAAGUUCCCAUAUGUCCACUAUGUAACCAUAAUAUGUGUCCUUUCCCCUCUCGGUUGUUGCAUCAAAGCGGACACCGCUGUUUUGGUUGGUGCUCUUUUGAUCUUGGUUAAUCGUGUAAAAUGUCUUCCCAUUUAUCUCAUAUCCUUUCCAAAUCGUAACAGUCGAAGAUGGUCCCCUGGAUAACAAGUACAUCUCAUCACAAACAGCGUUGUCACCUCUGAUACGUGCUUCCAACCAACUGCUGAAAGUCCUGAUGUGUUCACAUGUAAUUCAGUCGUCGCACUGCUCCGGGUGUUUGGAGCGCAGACUGUUCUUGUGUUCAUCCACAUACGGGGUCACCAAGGUAGAGUUCUGUAGAACUGUGUAGUGUGCUUGAGACCAAGAAUAUCUGUCCCUGCAUAUUAUUGAGUCCCUUCCAAGCAUGCCUUUUCCAGUCAGUCUCCCCUCAUACCGCGAUUUAGGGAGACCUAUCUUCUUAUGGCCAGGAAUGAAGUCAACACAAAACCCGAUGACAUCCUCUGUUUGAUGGCCCAUGGAGAUGCUUCCUUCUGGCCUAGCGCGAUGAGGGACAUAUUUCUUUAGGACUCCCAUGAACCUCUCAAAGGGGUACAUAUUGUGUAGAAAUACGGGGCCCAAAAUGACAAUCUCGUCAACUAGAUGAACUAGGACGUGCGUCAUGAUAUUGAAGAAGGAUGGUGGGAACACCAGCUCGAAACUGACAAGACAUUGCACCACAUCACUCCUUAGCCUUGGUAUGAUUUCUGGAUCGAUCACCUUCUGAGAGAUUGCAUUGAGGAAUGCACAUAGCUUCACAAUGGCUAAUCGGACGUUUUCCGGUAGAAGCCCCCUCAAUGCAACCGGAAGCAGUUGUGUCAUAAUCACGUGGCAGUCAUGAGACUUUAGGUUCUGAAACUUUUUCUUUGCCAUAUUUAUUAUUCCUUUUAUAUUCGACGAGAAGCCAGUCGGGACCUUCAUACUAAGCAGGCAUUCAAAGAAGAUUUCCUUCUCUUCUUUGGUAAGAGCAUAGCUGGCAGGACCUUCAUACUGCUUUGGAGGCAUGCCGUCUUUUUCGUGCAAAUGUUGCAGGUCCUCCCGUGCCUCAGCUGUAUCUUUUGUCUUCCCAUACACGCCCAAGAAGCCUAGCAGGUUCACGCAAAGGUUCUUCGUCACGUGCAUCACGUCGAUCGAAGAGCGGACCUCUAGGUCUUUCUAGUAGGGUAGGUCCCAAAAUAUAGAUUUCUUCUUCCACAUGGGUGCGUGUCCCCCAACGUCACUCGGAACAGCUAGUCUGCCGGGACCCUUUCCAAAGAUUACGUGUAAAUCAUUGACCAUAGCAAGUACGUGACCACCGGUACGCAUGGCGGGCUUCUUCCGGUGAUCUGCCUCGCCUUUGAAAUGCUUGCCUUUCUUUCGACAUUGAUGGUUGGUCGGAAGAAAUCGACGAUGGCCCAGGUACACAUUCUUCCUACAGCUUGCCAGGUAUAUACUAACGGUGUCAAGUAAACAGUGCGUGCAUGCGUGGUAUCCCUUGUUUGUCUGUCCUAAAAGGUUACUGAGAGCAGGCCAAUCGUUGAUGGUCACGAACAGCAACGCCUUUAGGUUAAAUUUCUCCUGUUUGUGCUCAUCCCACGUACGUACACCGUUUCCAUUCCACAGCUGUAAAAGUUCUUCAACUAAUGGCCUUAGGUACACAUCAAUGUCAUUGCCGGGUUGCUUAGGGCCUUGGAUGAGAACUGGCAUCAUAAUGAACUUCCGCUUCAUGCACAUCCAAGGAGGAAGGUUAUACAUACAUAGAGUCACGGGCCAGGUGCUGUGAUUGCUGCUCUGCUCCCCGAAAGGAUUAAUGCCAUCCGCACUUAAAGCAAACCAUACGUUCCUUGGCUCACUUGCAAACUCAUCCCAGUACUUUCUCUCAUUUUUCUCCAUUGCGACCCGUCAGCGGGUGCUCUCAACUUCCCGUCUUUCUUACGGUCCUCACUAUGCCAUCGCAUCAACUUGGCAUGCUCUCCGUUUCUGAACAGACGUUUCAACCGUGGUAUUAUAGGAGCAUACCACAUCACCACUACUAGGGAAAAGCCUAUACAUAGAAUCUUACCAGCAGCGCUCUUCAAAAUACAACGCUACUGCUACUUAGCAGCAGCGCGUGUCUGCCAAACACGCUGCUGACUUGGAAGUAGCAGUAGCGGGUGCAUCGCAUACAGCGCUACUGCUAUAGUUGCCAUGACCUUGCCCCCCCCCCCCCNNNNNNNNNNNNNNNNNNNNNNNNNNNNNNNNNNNNNNNNNNNNNNNNNNNNNNNNNNNNNNNNNNNNNNNNNNNNNNNNNNNNNNNNNNNNNNNNNNNNNNNNNNNNNNNNNNNNNNNNNNNNNNNNNNNNNNNNNNNNNNNNNNNNNNNNNNNNNNNNNNNNNNNNNNNNNNNNNNNNNNNNNNNNNNNNNNNNNNNNNNNNNNNNNNNNNNNNNNNNNNNNNNNNNNNNNNNNGCAAACGCGCUACAACUAUCCCUACCUUAUCCCCAUGCGCACGACCGGCCCUCUCACUCACACUCUCACUCUCGCCCACGUCAACCGUCGUCGUCCGUCGCCGCCGCCGCCGCCUUCGUCCGUCCGCCGCCGAGGUACUCCCCUCCUUCCGUCCCUCCUCCAUCCUCCUUGCACAUCCUCCCUCCGCCUGUGGCCGCCCCUCCUUCCUCCGCCGCUGCCCUCCUCCCUCCGCCUGCGGCCGCCCCUCCUCCCUCCUCCGACGGCAGCCCUCCUCCCACCGCCCUCGACCUCGCUGCCCCUAGCUACCUCUCCGUCGCCCCCCACCCCUGCCACUAGUUAGUACUAGAUUUAGUAGUAGUAGAUGUUAAUUUAGGGUUAGCUAGUACUAGAUGUUGCUUAGUUAGUACUAGAUUUUUAGUAGUAGUAGUGGUAGUUGAACUACUUUAGUUGUAGUUGAACUAGUUUAGUAAGUAAAUUAAUAAACGAGUUGAACUAGUUGAAUUAAUAGAACUAAUCUAUUUUUAGUAAGAUAAUUAAUAUAACUAGUUGAACUACUUUAUUUUUAGAAAGAACUAAUUUUUUUCUAUUUAUAUUAAGUUUAUAUUUAGUAAGAACUAGUUGAAUUAAUAAAACUAGUUGAACAUGUCAUGUUUGUUGUUAGUGAUAACUUAUAUGGUUUCAGGUGACCUCCGUCGUCCCCGUCACCGACCCCCUCCGACAUCCCCGUCGUCGUCCCAGUCACCGACCCCCUCCGACAUCGAGGUGAGACCAGCCAAAUAUCCUUGUAUAUCUUGUGUUGUUGCUCAAAUUGGAUAUGUGGUUGCCCAAGUGGCCGUUCAUGUAGUUUACAUCUCCGAGUGGCCUAUGUUUUGCCGGAGUGUUGAUUAAUUUCCGUUCCGACAAAUUUCAGGCGCUCGAUAUGUCCUUUUUUAGCAAAGGUCAUGCCGGAUUUUGUCGUGAAUUCUGGUAUGACUUGUGCUAGAAUAUGUACAAGUUUAAUCUUUGAAUUAUGAUUGUAGGAAAUGUCGUACUCGGACGACGAAGGUCUCCCGGGGGAGUGUAGCUGGUGCCACGACGAUCGAGGUAUGUGCGAUAGGUUCGUUCGGCUGGACGAAGAUCGGCGCUUCAACAUUAAGCUCGAGGAGACCUUCGAUUGUGAAAUGGUACGCAACAACGACAAGUGUUUUUUCUCCAUUAAGCAUGACUUCAACUAUUUCAACGUCUAAUUUUCAUAUUUUACAAUUCGACUAGCUUAUCCCAUGCCAUGCAAGACGCUAUGUCUUGGAGAGGAUGGGUUUUGAAGACCAUGAAAAUUUCAAAACAAAGAAAAUACACCUAAGGACCCAUCAUGAUAUGGAUUUUGAAGUAAACCUGUGCAAUGCUCAGAGCGCAACCCAUUUUGGUUGCCAAAAUUGGGAAGCACUUUGCAAAAUGUAUGGUUUUUAUGAGGGUAUGAUUGUCACCAUGGAUCUUGGUGAUCCUGACAGUGAGGAAGACAAUAUGGACAUUUGGGUCCUUGUUGAUACGCUUCCGAUUGUACCGCUAUGUGACUUUCUCAAACAUAGUUAUUAACUAAUUUAUAUUGUUUAUUUCAAAAUAGUUGAUAGCUUAUUUCCAUUGACAGCUUAUUUUGAUUCUUCAAAGACUGUGCGGAAGAUGGUAGAUAAAACCCACUACACCGAAGGCACCCAAUUAACGUAUAAGGAGAAAAAUCAUCUGAUCGCAUUUUGUACUCUUCUUGAGAAUUACAAUGACUAUAAUCGAACUCCUCCAGAUUAUGGUGAAUAUGUGCCACUAGUGCAUGUGUUGAACAACGAUAACUUAUCUGGAGAUACCCUGGUAAGAUUUUUUACUAUUACGACAUCCGUGUAUUUUUUGCAUACUUCUAAAACUAGUACAUCAUUGCUAACUACGAAGUUAUUAUUAUGUUUUUCAACAGAAACUCCCGAUGGAUUGUGUGCCUCAUCUGAUGUCUCUGCAUGGUCGCCUCUCAGUUCUGAACAUACUGCCAGGUAAAUCUACAGAGCUCACCUAUGCAUAUCAGAUUUCUAAAACCCGUGAACACAUGAUCAUCAGAGAAUGGAAGAAAUGUAUGGACAUUCGCAAGGAGGUUCUUGGAAGUAACAUUCAGCGAAACGUAAGAAUGGGAGACAGGCUAAUCUCCAUUCUCCAUAAUGGAGAGUCAGGGGCUAUCUUGUUUUUUGUUAUUUUACCUUAGAAAAUGUAGUAGGUCUUAAUCGAAUGUAAUAGGUCCUAUGAGGUACAAUAUGUUUAUUAUGUGGUAAUGUGUUAGAGUUGAUAAUGAUGAUCUUGAGGAGGUGUUAUGUGAUGUCAAUGAUGAAAACGAUGAUAUUGAGGAGGUGUUAUAUGACAAUGAUGUAUUAUGAUGCUAAGUUGUUAAUGAUAUGAUGAUGAUGAUGAUAUUAUUAUAUCAUUGGGUGAAAGAACCGUGGAUUAGUUUCAAGUGGAUGGACAUCCACUUGAAACUAGUCCACGGUUCUUUCACCCCAUGAUGUAAUAACUCAUUAUGAUGUAAAAACAAUCUCUAAAUUCCUGUUGUAUGAAAACUUGUGUAAGGGUGUAUGAAUACAACAUGAAAAAGAAAAGAAAUAAAAUACUAAAUAAUAGUAGUAGCGCGGGUAAGGAGAAGCGCUACUACUAAUUACCAGUAGCGAUGUUCUAAAGAACCGCUGCUACUAAGUCAAUUUAGCAGUAGCGCGUGUCAAGACGCGCUAUUGCUAAGCAUUAGCUGUAGCGCCUUAUCAGUAGCGCUCCUGCCCGCGCUACUGAUAGGCCCAAAACCCGCGCUGCUGCUAGGCUUUUCCCUAGUAGUGCACCUUCGCAGGAACCCUCUUCCUGGGGGGCUCGCCGUCAACAUCACCAGGGUCAUCUCGUCUGAUCUUAUACCAUAAUGCACCGCAUACCAGGCAUGCGUUCAGAUCCUUAUAUGCACCGCGGUAGAGGAUGCAGUCAUUAGGGCAUGCAGGUAUCUUCUGCACCUCCAAUCCUAGAGGGCAUACGACCUUCUUUGCUGCGUAUGUACUGUCGGGCAAUUCGUUAUCCUUUGGAAGCUUCUUCUUCAAUAUUUUCAGUAGCUUCUCAAAUCCUUUGUCAGGCACAGCAUUCUCUUAAAGGAAAUAUGCCCUAGAGGCAAUAAUAAAGUUAUUAUUUAUUUCCUCAUAUCAUGAUAAAUGUUUAUUAUUCAUGCUAGAAUUGUAUUAACCGGAAACAUGAUACAUGUGUGAAUACAUAGACAAAACUAUAGUCACUAGUAUGCCUCUACUUGACUAGCUCAUUAAUCAAAGAUGGUUAUGUUUCCUGACCAUAGACAUGUGUUGUCAUUUGAUUAGUGGGAUCACAUCAUUAAGAGAAUGAUGUGAUUGACAUGACCCAUUCUGUUAGCCCAGCACUUGAUCGUUUAGUAUACUGCUAUUGCUUUCUUCAUGACUUAUACAAAGUUCCUGCAACUAUGAGAUUGUGCAACUCCCGUUUACCGGAAGAACACUUUGUGUGCUACCAAACAUCACAACGUAACUGGGUGAUUAUAAAGGUGCUCUACAGGUGUUUCCGAAGGUACAUGUUGGGUUGGCAUAAUUCGAGAUUAGGAUUUGUCACUCCGAUUGUCGGAGAGGUAUCUCUGGGCCCUCUCGGAAAUACUCAUCACAUAAGCCUUGCAAGCAUGUAACUAAUGAGUUAGUUAUGAGAUGACGUAUUACGAAACGAGUAAAGAGACUUGCCGGUAACGAGAUUGAACUAGGUAUUGGAUACCGACGAUCAAAUCUCGGGCAAGUAACAUACCGAUGACAAAGGGAACAAAGUAUGUUGUUAUGCGGUUUGACCGAUAAAGAUCUUCGUAGAAUAUGUAGGAACCAAUAUGGGCAUCCAGGUCCCGCUAUUGGUUAUUGACCGAGAAUGGUUUUAGGUCAUGACUACAUAGUUCUCAAACCCGUAGGGUCCGCACGCUUAACUUUUUGAUGAUAGUUUUAUUAUGAGUUUAUAAGUUUUGAUGUACCAAAGUUUGUUCGGAGUUCCGGAUGUGAUCACGGAUAUGAUGAGGAGUCUCGGAAUGCUUGAGCCAUAAAGAUUGAUAUAUUGGACGACUAUAUUCGGACACCGGAAAGGUUCCGGGAGUUUUCGGAGAAAACCGGAGUGCCCGGGGGGUUACCGAAACCCCCCGGGAGAGUUAAUGGGCCACAUGGGCCUAGGUGGGAAGAGAAAGGGGCGGCCAGGGUGAGCCGCGCGCCCCCUCUCCCUCUAGUCCGAAUUGGACUAGGAGGGGGGGCGGCGCCCCCUUUCCUUCCCCCCCUCUCUUCCUUCCUUCCCCCUCCUAGUAGGAGUAGGAAAGGAGGAAUCCUACUCCUACUAGGAGGAGGAUUCCUCCUCCCUUGCGCGCCCCAAGGGGCCGGCCGGCCUCCCCCUCCCUCCUUUAUAUACGGGGGCAGGGGGCACCCCAUAGACACACAAGUUGAUCUACGGAUCGUUCCUUAGCCGUGUGCGGUGCCCCCUUCCACCAUAUUCCACCUCGGUCAUAUCGUCGCGAAGCUUAGGCGAAGUCCUGCGCCGGUAGAACAUCAAGAUCGUCACCACGCCGUCGUGCUGACGGAACUCUCCCUCGACACUCGGCUGGAUCGGAGUUCGAGGGACGUCAUCGAGCUGAAUGUGUGCUGAACUCGGAGGCUCCGUACGUUCGGUUCUUGGAUCGGUCGGAUCGUGAAGACGUAUGACUACAUCAACCGCGUUGUCAUAACGCUUCCGCUUACGGUCUACGAGGGUACAUGGACAUACACUCUCCCCUCUCGUUGCUAUGUCAUCACCAUGAUCUUGCGUGUGCGUAGGAAAAUUUUGAAAUUACUACGUUCCCCGACAGUGGUAUCAGAGCCUAGGUUUUAUGCGUUGAUGUUAUAUGCACGAGUAGAACACAAGUGAGUUGUGGACGAUAUAAGUCAUACUGCCUACCAGUGUGUCAUACUUUGGUUCAGCGGUAUUGUGAGAUGAAGCGGCCCGGACCGACAUUACGGGUACGCUUACGCGAGACUAGUUUCACCGUUAUGAGCACUCGUGCUUAAAGGUGGCUGGCGGGUGUCUGUCUCUCUCACUUUAGUUGAACCGAGUGUGGCUACGCCCGGCCCUUGUGAAGGUUAAAACGGAGUCUAUUUGACAAACUAUCGUUGUGGUUUUGAUGCGUAGGUAAGAACGGUUCUUGCUAAGCCCGUAGCAUCCACGUAAAAUUUGCAACAACAAAGUAGAGGACGUCUAACUUGUUUUUGCAGGGCAUGUUGUGAUAUGAUAUGGUCAAGACGUGAUGCUAUAUUUUAUUGUAUGAGAUGAUCAUGUUUUGUAACCGAAGUUAUCGGCAACUGGCUGGAGCCAUAUGGUUGUCGCUUUAUUGUAUGAAAUGCAAACGCCCUGUAAUUGCUUUACUUUAUCUCUAAGCGGUAGCGAUAGUCGUAGAAGCAAUAGAUGGCGUAAACGACAACGAUGCUACGAUGGAGAUCAAGGUGUCGCGCCGGUGACGAUGGUGAUCAUGACGGUGCUUCGAAGAUGGAGAUCACAAGCACAAGAUGAUGAUGGCCAUAUCAUAUCACUUAUAUUGAUUGCAUGUGAUGUUUAUCCUUUAUGCAUCUUAUCUUGCUUUGAUUGACGGUAGCAUUUUAAGAUGAUCUCUCACUAAAAUUAUCAAGUAGUGUUCUCCCUGAGUAUGCACCGUUGCCAAAGUUCAUCGUGCCGAGACACCACGUGAUGAUCGGGUGUGAUAAGCUCUACGUCCAUCUACAACGGGUGCAAGCCAGUUUUGCACACGCAGAAUACUCAGGUUAAACUUGACGAGCCUAGCAUAUGCAGAUAUGGCCUCGGAACACAGAGACCGAAAGGUCGAGCGUGAAUCAUAUAGUAGAUAUGAUCAACAUAAUGAUGUUCACCAUUGAAAACUACUCCAUCUCACGUGAUGAUCGGUUAUGGUUUAGUUGAUUUGGAUCACGUGAUCACUUAGAUGACUAGAGAGAUGUCUGUCUAUGUGGGAGUUCUUAAGUAAUAUGAUUAAUUGAACUUAAAUUUAUCAUGAACUUAGUACCUGAUAGUAUCUUGCUUGUCUAUGUUUGUUUGUAGAUAGAUGGCUCGUGCUGUUGUUCCGUUGAAUUUUAAUGCGUUCCUUGAGAAAGCAAAGUUGAAAGAUGAUGGUAGCAAUUACACGGACUGGGUCCGUAACCUGAGGAUUAUCCUCAUUGUUGCACAGAAGAGUUACGUCCUGGAAGCACCGCUGGGUGCCAGGCCUGCUGCUGAUGCAACUGACGACGUUAAGAACGUCUGGCAGAGCAAAGCUGAUGACUACUCUAUAGUUCAGUGUGCCAUGCUUUACGGCUUAGAACCGGGUCUUCAACGACGUUUUGAACGUCAUGGAGCAUAUGAGAUGUUCCAGGAGUUGAAGUUAAUAUUUCAAGCAAAUGCCCGGAUUGAGAGAUAUGAAGUCUCCAAUAAGUUCUAUAGCUGCAAGAUGGAGGAGAAUAGUUCUGUCAGUGAACAUAUACUCAGAAUGUCUGGGUAUAACAAUCACUUGAUUCAACUGGGAGUUAAUCUUCCUGAUGAUAGUGUCAUUGACAGAAUUCUUCAAUCACUGCCACCAAGCUACAAGAGCUUUGUGAUGAACUAUAAUAUGCAAGGGAUGAACAAGACUAUUCCCGAGCUCUUCGCGAUGCUGAAAGCCGCAGAGGUAGAAAUCAAGAAGGAGCAUCAAGUGUUGAUGGUCAACAAGACCACUAGUUUCAAGAAGAAGGGCAAAGGAAAGAAGAAGGGGAACUUCAAAAAGAACGGCAAGCAAGUUGCUGCUCAAGAGAAGAAACCCAAGUCUGGACCUAAGCCUGAAACUGAGUGCUUCUACUGCAAGCAGACUGGUCACUGGAAGCGGAACUGCCCCAAGUAUUUGGCGGAUAAGAAGGAUGGCAAAGUAAACAAAGGUAUAUGUGAUAUACAUGUUAUUGAUGUGUACCUAACUAGAGCUCGUAGUAGCACCUGGGUAUUUGAUACUGGUUCUGUUGCUAAUAUUUGCAACUCGAAACAGGGACUACGGAAUAAGCGAGCACUGGCCAAGGACGAGGUGACGAUGCGCGUGGAAAACGGUUCCAAAGUCGAUGUGAUCGCGGUCGGCACGCUACCUCUACAUCUACCAUCGGGAUUAGUUUUAGACCUAAAUAAUUGUUAUUUGGUGCCAGCGUUGAGCAUGAACAUUAUAUCUGGAUCUUGUUUGAUGCAAGACGGUUAUUCAUUUAAAUCAGAGAAUAAUGGUUGUUCUAUUUAUAUGAGUAAUAUCUUUUAUGGUCAUGCACCCUUGAAGAGUGGUCUAUUUUUAUUGAAUCUCGAUAGUAGUGAUACACAUAUUCAUAUUGUAGAAGCCAAAAGAUGCAGAGUUGAUAAUGAUAGUGCAACUUAUUUGUGGCACUGCCGUUUGGGUCAUAUCGGUGUACAACGCAUGAAGAAACUCCAUACUGAUGGACUUCUGGAAUCACUUGAUUAUGAAUCACUUGGUACUUGCGAACCGUGCCUUAUGGGCAAGAUGACUAAAACACCGUUCUCCGGAACUAUGGAGAGAGCAACAGAUUUGUUGGAAAUCAUACAUACAGAUGUAUGUGGUCCGAUGAAUGUUGAGGCUCGUGGCGGAUAUCAUUAUUUUCUCACCUUCACUGAUGAUUUAAGCAGAUAUGGGUAUAUCUACUUAAUGAAGUACAAGUCUGAAACAUUUGAAAAGUUCAAAGAAUUUCAGAGUGAAGUAGAAAAUCAUCGUAACAAGAAAAUAAAGUUUCUACGAUCUGACCGUGGAGGAGAAUAUUUGAGUUACGAGUUUGGUUUACAUUUGAAACAAUGCGGAAUAGUUUCGCAACUCACGCCACCUGGAACACCACAACGAAAUGGUGUGUCCAAACGUCGUACUCGUACUUUACUUGAUAUGGUGCGAUCUAUGAUGUCUCUUACCGAUUUACCGCUAUCGUUUUGGGGUUAUGCUUUAGAGACGGCCGCAUUCACGUUAAAUAGGGCACCAUCAAAAUCCGUUGAGAUGACGCCUUAUGAACUGUGGUUUGGCAAGAAACCAAAGUUGUCGUUUCUUAAAGUUUGGGGCUGCGGUACUUAUGUGAAGAAACUUCAACCAGAUAAGCUCGAACCCAAAUCGGAGAAAUGUGUCUUCGUAGGAUACCCAAAGGAGACUAUUGGGUACACCUUCUAUCACAGAUCUGAAGGCAAGAUUUUCGUUGCUAAAUUCGGAUCCUUUCUAGAGAAGGAAUUUCUCUCGAAAGAAGUGAGUGGGAGGAAAGUAGAACUUGAUGAGAUAACUGUAUCUACUCCCUUAUUGGAAGGUAGUUCAUCACGAGAACUGGUUCCCAUGACAACUACACCAAUUAUUGAGGAAGCUAAUAAUAUUGAUCAUGAAACUUCAGAUCAAGUUUCUGCUGAACCUCGUAGGUCUACCAGAGUAAGAUCCGCACCAGAGUGGUACGGUAAUCCUAUUCUGGAAGUCAUGUUACUUGACCAUGAUGAACCUACGAACUAUGAGGAACCGAUGAUGAGCCCAGAUUCCGCAAAAUGGCUAGAGGCCAUGAAAUCUGAGAUGGGAUCCAUGGAUGAAAACAAAGUAUGGACUUUGGUUGACUUGCCCGAUGAUCGGCAAGCCAUUGAGAAUAAAUGGAUCUUUAAGAAGAAGACUGACGCUGAUGGUAAUGUUACUGUCUAUAAAGCUCGACUUGUUGCGAAAGGUUUUCGACAAGUUCAAGGGGUUGACUAUGAUGAGACUUUCUCACCCGUAGCGAUGCUUAAGUCUGUCCGAAUCAUGUUGGCUAUUGCUGCAUUUCAUGAUUAUGAAAUUUGGCAAAUGGAUGUCAAAACUGCAUUCUUGAAUGGAUUUCUAGAAGAAGAGUUGUAUAUGAUGCAGCCGGAAGGUUUUGUUGAUCCAAAAGGUGCUGACAAAGUGUGUAAGCUCCAAUGUUCCAUUUAUGGACUGGUGCAAGCAUCUCGGAGUUGGAAUAAACGUUUUGACAGUGUGAUCAAGGCAUAUGGUUUUAUACAGACUUUUGGAGAAGCCUGUAUUUACAAGAAAGUGAGUGGGAGCUCUGUAGCAUUUCUAGUUUUAUAUGUUGAUGACAUAUUAUUAAUUGGAAAUGAUAUAGAAUUUCUGGAGAGCAUAAAGGGAUACUUGAAUAAAAGUUUUUCAAUGAAAGACCUCGGUGAAGCUGCUUACAUAUUGGGCAUCAAGAUCUAUAGAGAUAGAUCAAGACGCUUAAUAGGACUUUCACAAAGCACAUACCUUGACAAAAUUUUGAAAAAGUUCAAAAUGGAUCAGGCAAAGAAAGGAUUCUUGCCUGUGCUACAAGGUGUGAAGUUGAGUCAAACUCAAUGCCCGACCACAUCAGAAGAUAGAGAGAAAAUGAAAAAUGUUCCCUAUGCUUCAGCCAUAGGCUCUAUCAUGUAUGCAAUGCUGUGUACCAGACUUGACGUAUGCUUAGCAAUAAGCUUGGCAGGAAGGUACCAAAGUAAUCCAGGAGUGGAUCACUGGACAGCGGUCAAGAACAUCCUUAAAUACCUGAAAAGGACUAAGGAUAUAUUUCUCGUAUAUGUAGGUGACAAAGAGCUCGUCGUAAAUGGUUACGUCGAUGCAAGCUUUGACACUGAUCCAGACGAUUCUAAAUCGCAAACCGGAUACGUGUUUAUAUUAAACGGUGGAGCUGUAAGUUGGUGCAGUUCUAAACAAAGCGUCGUGGCGGGAUCUACAUGUGAAGCGGAGUACAUAGCUGCUUCUGAAGCAGCAAAUGAAGGAGUCUGGAUGAAGGAGUUCAUUUCCGAUCUAGGUGUCAUACCUAGUGCAUCGGGACCAAUGAAGAUCUUCUGUGACAAUACAGGUGCAAUUGCUUUGGCAAAGGAAUCCAGAUUUCACAAGAGGACCAAGCACAUCACGAGACGCUUAAAUUCCAUUCGGGACCAAGUCCAAGUGGGAGACAUACAGAUUUGCAAGAUACAUACGGAUCUGAAUAUUGCAGACCCGUUGACUAAGCAUCUCUCACGAGCAAAACAUGAUCAGCACCAAGACUCCAUGGGUGUUAGAAUCAUUAUUGUGUAAUCUAGAUUAUUGACUCUAGUGCAAGUGGGAGACUAAAGGAAAUAUGCCCUAGAGGCAAUAAUAAAGUUAUUAUUUAUUUCCUCAUAUCAUGAUAAAUGUUUAUUAUUCAUGCUAGAAUUGUAUUAACCGGAAACAUGAUACAUGUGUGAAUACAUAGACAAAACUAUAGUCACUAGUAUGCCUCUACUUGACUAGCUCAUUAAUCAAAGAUGGUUAUGUUUCCUGACCAUAGACAUGUGUUGUCAUUUGAUUAGUGGGAUCACAUCAUUAAGAGAAUGAUGUGAUUGACAUGACCCAUUCUGUUAGCCUAGCACUUGAUCGUUUAGUAUACUGCUAUUGCUUUCUUCAUGACUUAUACAAAGUUCCUGCAACUAUGAGAUUGUGCAACUCCCGUUUACCAAAAGAACACUUUGUGUGCUACCAAACGUCACAACGUAACUGGGUGAUUAUAAAGGUUCUCUACAGGUGUUUCCGAAGGUACAUGUUGGGUUGGCAUAAUUCGAGAUUAGGAUUUGUCACUCCGAUUGUCGGAGAGGUAUCUUUGGGCCCUCUCGGUAAUACUCAUCACAUAAGCCUUGCAAGCAUGUAACUAAUGAGUUAGUUAUGAGAUGACGUAUUACGGAACGAGUAAAGAGACUUGCCGGUAACGAGAUUGAACUAGGUAUUGGAUACCAACGAUCAAAUCUCGGGCAAGUAACAUACCGAUGACAAAGGGAACAAAGUAUGUUGUUAUGCGGUUUGACCGAUAAAGAUCUUCAUAGAAUAUGUAGGAACCAAUAUGGGCAUCCAGGUCCCGCUAUUGGUUAUUGACCGAGAAUGGUUUUAGGUCAUGACUACAUAGUUCUCGAACCCGUAGGGUCCGCACGCUUAACGUUUCGAUGAUAGUUUUAUUAUGAGUUUAUAAGUUUUGAUGUACCGAAGUUUGUUCGGAGUCCCAGAUGUGAUCACAGACAUGACGAGGAGUCUUGGAAUGGUCGAGACAUAAAGAUUGAUAUAUUGGACGACUAUAUUCGGACACCGGAAAGGUUCCGGGAGUUUUCGGAGAAAACCGGAGUGCCGGGGGGGUUACCGGAACCCCCCGGGAGAGUUAAUGGGCCACAUGGGCCUAGGUGGGAAGAGAGAGGUGCGGCCAGGGUGGGCCGCGCGCCCCCUCUCCCUCUAGUUCGAAUUGGACUAGGAGGGGGGGCGGCGCCCCCCUUUCCUUCCCCCCCUCUCUUCCUUCCUUCCCCCUCCUAGUAGGAGUAGGAAAGGAGGAAUCCUACUCCUACUAGGAGGAGGAUUCCUCCUCCCUUGGAGCGCCCCAAGGGGCUGGCCGGCCUCCCCCUCCCUCCUUUAUAUACGAGGGCAGGGGGCACCCCAUAGACACACAAGUUGAACUACGGAUCGUUCCUUAGCCGUGUGCGGUGCCCCCUUCCACCAUAUUCCACCUCGGUCAUAUUGUCGCGAAGCUUAGGCGAAGCCCUGCGCCGGUAGAACAUCAAGAUCGUCACCACGCCGUCGUGCUGACGGAACUCUCCCUCGACACUCGGCUGGAUCGGAGUUCGAGGGACGUCAUCGAGCUGAACAUCUGCUGAACUCGGAGGCUCCGUACGUUAGGUGCUUGGAUCGGUCGGAUCGUGAAGACGUACGACUACAUCAACCGCGUUGUCAUAACGCUUCCGCUUACGGUCUACGAGGGUACGUGGACAUACACUCUCCCCUCUCGUUGCUAUUUCAUCACCAUGAUCUUGCUUGUGCGUAGGAAAAUUUUGAAAUUACUACGUUCCCCAACAUCUCUGCCUUCCACUGCAGCAAUUCCAGUACGGUACCGAGCUUUGUGUUGCCAUCUUCGCAAUUGGGGUACAACCCUUUUUUUUGGUCCUCUAGCAUGCGAUCGAACUUCAGCUUCUCCUUUUGACUUUUGCAUUGCGUCCUUGCAUCGACAAUGACCCGGCGGAGAUCAUCAUCAUCGGGCACAUCGUCUGGUUCCUCUUGAUCUUCAGCAGCUUCGCCUGUUGCAGCAUCAUCGUGCACAUCGUCUGGUUCCUCUUGAUCUUCAGGAGCAUCACCGUAUUCAGGGGCACAUAGUUGUCAUCGUACUCUUCUUCACCGUCUUCCAUCAUAACCCCUAUUUCUCCGUGCCUCAUCCAAACAUUAUAGUGUGGCAUGAAACCCUUGUAAAGCAGGUGGGUGUGGAGGAUUUUCCGGUCAGAGUAAGACUUCGUAUUCCCACAUAUAGGACAUGGACAACACAUAAAACCAUUCUGCUUGUUUGCCUCAGCCACUUCGAGAAAAUCAUGCACGCGCUUAAUGUACUCGGAGGUGUGUCUUGAACCGUACAUCCAUUGCCGGUUCAUCUGCGUGCAUUAUAUAAUGAAGUGACCAAAUUAAUAGAAGUUCAUCAUCACAUUAAAACCAAAGUACAUACAUAGUUCUCAUCUAACAACAUAAAGCUCUGCAGAGCAUCUAAAUUAAUUAAACCAUACACUGAAACUAUGUAAAACAUUUCAAUGCGAAAACAAAUGCAACCAUAAUCGCAACCAAUGUAACAACUGAUCCAACGGCAUAAUGAUACCAAGCCUCAGUAUGAAUGGCAUAUUUUCUAAUCUUUCUAAUCUUCAAGCGCAUUGCAUCCAUCUUGAUCUUGUGAUCAUCGACGACAUCCCCAACAUGCAACUCCAAUAUCAUCUUCUCCUCCUCAAUUUUUCUAAUUUUUUCCUUCAAGAAAUUGUUUUCUUCUUCAACUGAAUUUAACCUCUCGACAAUAGGGUCGGUUGGAAUUUCCGGUUCAACAACCUCCUAGAUAAAUAAAAUCUAUGUCACGUUGGUCGGCAUAAUUGUCAUAAACAAUAAAUGAACCAAUAGUUAUGAAAAGAUAAUAUAUACCACAUCCGAAUCAUAGACAGGACGAGGGCCGACGGGGGCGGAUACCAAAACCAUCGCACUAUAUAAGAUGCAAUAAUAAAAGUAAGAAAAUAAUACAAGUAUCUAUCUAAACAUACAAGUAAGAAUAUUUUUCCUUUCAGAAAGAAGAUAAGAACAAGAGGCUCACCACGGUGGUGCCGGCGAUGAGAUCGGCGCGGGUGAUCGACGACGAUGAAGACAAGGACGGGGCGUGACGGACCGCUAAACCUAGACAAAUAUUGAGGAAAAUGGAGCUUGGCGGUCGAGCUUGGAGGGGAGAAAGCUUAAGUAGUGUGGCUCGGGCAUUCCAUCGAACACCUCGUGUGCAUAGGAGGUGAGCUAGAGCACCACAAAGCUCUCCCCUCGCCGGCCACGAAAAACAGAGCACUGGGAGUGCUCUGCUCGCGAGCGGGGGGUAUAUAUAGGCACCACCAUUGGUCCCGGUUGGUCGCACGAACCGGGACUAAAGGUUGGCCUUUGGUCCCGGUUCGUGCCACCAACUGGGACCAAUGGUGGUGGGCCAGGAGCGAGGCCCAUUGGUCCCGGUUCGUCCCUCCAACCGGGACCAAAAGGUCCAGACAAACCGGGACCAAUGGCCCACGUGUUGGGUUUCGUAGUAAUUUCAAAAAAUUUCCUACGCACACGCAAGAUCAUGUGAUGCAUAGCAACGAGGGGAGAGUGUUGUCUACGUACCCAACGCAGACCGACUGCGGAAGCGAUGACACGACGUAGAGGAAGUAGUCGUACGUCUUCACGAUCCAACCGAUCAAGCACCGAAACUACGGCACCUCCGAGUUCGAGCACACGUUCAGCUCGAUGACGAUCCCCGGACUCCGAUCCAGCAAAGUGUCGGGGAAGAGUUCCGUCAGCACGACGGCGUGGUGACGAUCUUGAUGAACUACAGCAGCAGGGCUUCGCCUAAACUCCGCUACAGUAUUAUCGAGGUAUAUGGUGGCAGGGGCACCGCACACGGCUAAGGAAUAGAUCACGUGGAUCAACUUGUGUGUAUAGAGGUGCCCCCUGCCUCCGUAUAUAAAGGAGGAGAGGAGGGGAGGCUGGCCGGCCAAGGAGGGGAGGCGCAGGAGAGUCCUACUCCCUCUGGGAGUAGGAUUCCCCCCAAUCCUAGUCCAACUAGGAUUCCUCGGAGGGGAAGGGAGAGAGGGGGGCCGGCCACCUUCUCCUAGUCCUAAUAGGACUAGGGGAGGGGGAAGUGGCGCAGCCACCUUGGGCUGCCCCUUUCUCCUUUCCACUAAGGCCCAUGAAGGCCCAUAUGGCUCCCGGGGGGUUCCGGUAAUCCUCCCGGUACUCCGGUAAAAUCCCGAUUUCACCCGGAACACUUCCGAUGUCCAAACAUAGGCUUCCAAUAUAUCAAUCUUUAUGUCUCGACCGUUUCGAGACUCCUCGUCAUGUCCAUGAUCACAUCCGGGACUCCAAACAACCUUCGGUACAUCAAAAUGCAUAAACUCAUAAUGUAACUGUCAUCGUAACCUUAAGCGUGCGGACCCUACGGGUUCGAGAACAAUGUAGACAUGACCGAGACACGUCUCCGGUCAAUAACCAAUAGCGGGACCUGGAUGCCCAUAUUGGCUCCUACAUAUUCUACGAAGAUCUUUAUCGGUCAGACCGCAUAACAACAUACGUUGUUCCCUUUGUCAUCGGUACGUUACUUGCCCGAGAUUCGAUCGUCGGUAUCCAAUACCUAGUUCAAUCUCGUCACCGGCAAGUCUCUUUACUCGUUCUAUAAUGCAUCAUCCCGUAACCAACUCAUUGGUCACAUUGCUUGCAAGGCUUAUAAUGAUGUGCAUUACCGAGAGGGCCCAGAGAUACCUCUCCGACAAUCGGAGUGACAAAACCUAAUCUCGAAAUACGCCAACUCAACAUGUACCUUCGGAGACACCUGUAGUACUCCUUUAUAAUCACCCAGUUAAGUUGUGACGUUUGGUAGUACCCAAAGUGUUCCUCCGGUAAACGGGAGUUGCAUAAUCUCAUAGUUACAGGAACAUGUAUAAGUCAUGAAGAAAGCAAUAGCAACAUACUAAACGAUCAAGUGCUAAGCUAACGGAAUGGGUGAAGUCAAUCACAUCAUUCUCCUAAUGAUGUGACCCCGUUAAUCAAAUGACAACUCUUUUGUCCAUGGCUAGGAAACAUAACCAUCUUUGAUAAACGAGCUAGUCAAGUAGAGGCAUACUAGUGACACUAUGUUUGUCUAUGUAUUCACACAUGUAUUAUGUUUCUGGUUAAUACAAUUCUAGCAUGAAUAAUAAACAUUUAUCAUGAAAUAAGGAAAUAAAUAAUAACUUUAUUAUUGCCUCUAGGGCAUAUUUCCUUCAGUCUCCCACUUGCACUAGAGUCAAUAAUCUAGUUCACAUCGUCAUGUGAUUUAACAACAAUAUUCAUAUCUGUAUAUGAUUAACACCCAUAGUUCACAUUAUCAUGUGACCAACACCCAAAGGGUUUACUAGAGUAAAUAAUCUAGUUCACAUCUCUAUGUGAUUAACACCCAAAGAGUACUAAGGUGUGAUCAUGUUUUGCUCGUGAAAGAAGCUUAGUCAAUGGGUCUGUCACAUUCAGAGCCGUAUGCAUUUUGCAAAUAUUUUAUGUCUACAAUGCUCUGCACGGUGCUACUCUAGCAAUUGCUCCCACUUUCAAUAUGUAUCCAGAUUGAGACUUAGAGUCAUCUGGAUCGGUGUGAAAACUUGCACCGAGGUAACUUUUACGACGGGCUCUUUUAUCACCUCCAUAAUCGAGAAAUAUUUCCUUAGUCCUCACUAAGGAUAUUCUUGACCAAUGUCGAGUGAUCUACUCCUAGAUCACUAUUGUACUCCCUUGUCAAAUACUGAGCAAGGUAUACAAUAGUUCUGGUACAUAGCAUAGCAUACUUUAUAGAACCUAUGACUGAGGCAUAGGGAAUGACUUUUCAUUUUUUCUAUUUUCUGUUGUGGUCGGGAUUUGAGUCUUACUCAAUUUCAUACCUUUGCAACACAGGCAAGAACUCUUUCUUUGACUGUUCCAUUUUGAACUAUUUCAAAAUCUUGCCAAGGUAUGUACUCAUUGAAAAUCUUAUCAAGCGUCUUGAUCUAUCUCAAUAUAUCUUGAUGCUCAAUAUGUAAGUAGCUUUUACUGAGGUCUUUUCCUUUUAAAGAACUCCUUUAAAACACUCCUUUAUGCUUUGCAGAAAAAUUCUACAUCAUUUCUGAUCAACAAUAUGUCACUCGUAUAUACUAAUCAGAAAGGCUAUAGUGCUCCCACUCACUUUAUUGUAAAUACAGGCUUCUCAAAAAGUCUGUAUAAAACCAUAUGCUUUGAUCAACUCAUCAAAGCGUAUAUUCCAACUCCGAGAGGCUUGCACCAGUCCAUAGAUGGAUCGCUGGAGCUUGCACAUUUUUUUAGCACCUUUAGGAUUGACAAAACCUUCUGGUUGCAUCAUAUACAACUCUUCUUUAAUAAAUCCAUUAAGGAAUGCAGUUUUGAUAUCCAUUUGCCAGAUUUCAUAAAAUGUGGCAAUUGCUAACAUGAUUCAGACAGACUUAAGAAUCGAUACGAGUGAGAAAAUCUCAUCGUAUUCAACACCUUGAACUUGUUGAAAACCUUUCGCAACAAGUCGAGCUUGGUAGAUAGUAACACUACUAUCAGUGUCCGUCUUCCUCUUGAAGAUCCAUUCAUUUAACAUGGCUUGCUGAUCAUCGAGCAAGUCAAUCAAAGUCCAUACUUUGUUCUCAUACAUGGAUCAUAUCUCAGAUUUUAUGGCCUCGAGCCAUUUCGCGGAAUCUGGGCUCAUCAUCGCUUCUUCAUAGUUCGUAGGUUCAUCAUGAUCUAGUAUCAUGACUUCCAGAAUAGGAUUACCGUACCAUUCUGGUGCGGAUCUUACUCUGGUUGAUCUACGAGGUUCAUCAGUAUCUUGAUCUGAAGUUUCAUGAUCAUUAUCAUUGGCUUCCUCACUAACUGGUGUAGGUGUCACUGAAACAGUUUUCUGUGAUGAACUACUUUCCAGUAAGGGAGCAGGUACAGUUACCUCGUCAAGUUCUACUUUCCUCCCACUCACUUCUUUCGAGAGAAACUCCUUCUCUAGAAAGGAUCCAUUCUUAGCAACGAAUGUCUUGCCUUCGGAUCUGUGAUAGAAGGUGUACCCAAUAGUCUCCUUUGGGUAUCCUAUGAAGACACAUUUCUCCGAUUUGGGUUCGAGCUUAUCAGGUUGAAGCUUUUUCACAUAAGCAUCGCAGCCCCAAACUUUAAGAAACGACAACUUUGGUUUCUUGCCAAACCACAGUUCAUAAGGCGUCGUCUCAACGGAUUUUGAUGGUGCCCUAUUUAACGUGAAUGCGGCCGUCUCUAAAGCAUAUCCCCAAAAUGAUAGCGGUAAAUCAGUAAGAGACAUCAUAGAUCGCACCAUAUCUAGUAAAGUACGAUUACGAUGUUCGGACACACCAUUACGCUGUGGUGUUCCGGGUGGCGUGAGUUGCGAAACUAUUCCACAGUUUUUCAAAUGUACACCAAACUCGUAACUCAAAUAUUCUCCUCCACGAUCAGAUCGUAGAAACUUUAUUUUCUUGUUACGAUGAUUUUCAACUUCACUCUGAAAUUCUUUGAAAUUUUCAAAUGUUUCAGACUUAUGUUUCAUUAAGUAGAUAUACCCAUAUCUGCUUAAAUCAUCUGUGAAGGUGAGAAAAUAACGAUAUCCGCCACGAGCCUCAGUAUUCAUCGGGCCACAUACAUCGGUAUGUAUGAUUUCCAACAAAUCUGUUGCUCUCUCCAUAGUACCGGAGAACGGUGUUUUAGUCAUCUUGCCCAUGAGGCACGGUUCGCAAGUACCAAGUGAUUCAUAAUCAAGUGGUUCCAAAAGUCCAUCAGUAUGGAGUUUCUUCAUGCGCUUUAUACCGAUAUGACCUAAACGACAGUGCCACAAAUAAGUUGCACUUUCAUUAUCAACUCUGCAUCUUUUGGCUUCAACAUUAUGAAUAUGUGUAUUACUACUAUCGAGAUCCAACAAACCAUUUUCAUUGGGUGUAUGACCAUAGAAGGUUUUAUUCAUGUAAACAGAACAACAAUUAUUCUCUAACUUACAUGAAUAACCGUAUUGCAAUAAACAUGAUCAAAUCAUAUUCAUGCUCAACGCAAACACCAAAUAACACUUAUUUAGGUUUAACACUAAUCCCAAAAGUAUAGGGAGUGUGCGAUGAUGAUCAUAUCAAUCUUGGAACUAUUUCCAACACACAUCGUCACUUCACCCUUUAACUAGUCUCUGUUUAUUCUGCAACUCCCGUUUCGAGUUACUAAUCUUAGCAACUGAACUAAUAUCAAAUACUGAGGGGUUGCUAUAAACACUAGUAACGUACACAUCAAUAACAUGUAUAUCAAAUAUACUUAUGUUCACUUUGCCAUCCUUCUUAUCCGCCAAUCACUUGGGGUAGUACCUCUUCCAGUGACCAGUCUCUUUGAAGUAGAAGCACUUAGUCUCAGGCUUAGGACCAGACUUGGGUUUCUUCACUUGAGCAGCAACUUGCUUGCCGUUCUUCUUGAAGUUCCCUUUCUUUCCCUUUGCCCUUUUCUUGAAACUAGUGAUCUUGUUAACCAUCAACACUUGAUGCUCUUUCUUGAUUUCUACCUUCGUUGAUUUCAGCAUCAUGAAGAGCUUGGGAAUCGUUUUCGUCAUCCCUUGCAUACUAUAGUUCAUCACGAAGUUCUAGUAACUUAGUGAUGGUGACUAGAGAAUUCUGUCAAUCACUAUCUUACCUGGAAGAUUAACUCCCACUUGAUUCAAGCGAUUGAAAUACCCAGACAAUCUGAGCACAUGCUCACUAGUUGAGCGAUUCUCCUCCAUCUUUUAGCUAUAGAACUUGUUGGAGACUUCAUAUCUCUCAACUCGGGUAUUUGCUUGAAAUAUUAACUUCAAUUCCUGGAACAUCUCAUAUGGUCCAUGACGUUCAAAACGUCUUUGAAGUCCCGAUUCUAAGCCGUUAAGCAUGGUGCACUAAACUAUCAAGUAGUCAUCAUCUUGAGCUAGCCAGACGUUCAUAACUUCUGCAUCUGCUCCUGCAAUAGGUCUGUCACCUAGCGGUGCAUUAAGGACAUAAUUCUUCUGUGCAGCACUGAGGAUAAACCUCAGAUCACGGAUCGAAUCCGCAUCAUUGCUACUAACAUUUUUCAACACAAUAUUCUCUAGGAACAUAUCAAAAUAAACAUAUGAAAGCAACAACGCGAGCUAUUGAUCUACAACAUAAUUUGCAAAAUACUACUAGGACUAAGUUCAUGAUAAAUUAAAGUUCAAUUAAUCAUAUUACUUAAGAACUCCCACUUAGAUAGACAUCCCUCUAAUCCUCUAAGUGAUCACGUGAUCCAAAUCAACUAAACCAUGUCCGAUCAUCACGUGAGAUGGAGUAGUUUCAAUGGUGAACAUCACUAUGUUGAUCAUAUCUACUAUAUGAUUCACGCUCGACCUUUCGGUCUCUGUGUUCCGAGGCCAUAUCUGUAUAUGCUAGGCUCGUCAAGUAUAACCUGAGUAUUCCGCGCGUGCAACUGUUUUGCACCCGUUGUAUUUGAACGUAGAGCCUAUCACACCCGAUCAUCACGUGGUGUCUCAGCACGACGAACUUUGGCAACGGUGCAUACUCAGGGAGAACACUUCUUGAUAAUUUAGUGAGAGAUCAUCUUAUAAUGCUACCAUCAAUAAAAGCAAGAUAAGAUGCAUAAAAAGAUAAACAUCACAUGCAAUCAAUAUAAGUGAUAUGAUAUGGCCAUCAUCAUCGUGUGCUUGUGAUCUCCAUCUCCGAAGCACCGUCAUGAUCACCAUCGUCACCGGCGCGACACCUUGAUCUCCAUCGUAGCAUCGUUGUCGUCUCGCCAAUCUUAUGCUUCCACGACUAUCACUACUGUUUAGUAAUAAAGUAAAGCAUUACAUCGCGAUUGCAUUGCAUACAAUAAAGCGACAACCAUAUGGCUCCUGCCAGUUGCCGAUAACUCGGUUACAAAACAUGAUCAUCUCAUACAAUAAAAUUCAGCAUCAUGCCUUGACCAUAUCACAUCACAACAUGCCCUGCAAAAACAAGUUAGACGUCCUCUACUUUGUUGUUGCAUGUUUUACGUGGCUGCUACGGGCUUAAGUAAGAACCAAUCUCACCUACGCAUCAAAACCACAACGAUAGUUUGUCAAAUAGACUCCGUUUUAACCUUCUCAAGGACCGGGCGUAGCCAUACUCGGUUCAACUAAAGUUGGAGAGACAGUCGCCCGCAAGCCAUCCAUGUGCAAAGCACGUCGAGGGAACCGGUCUCGCGUAAGCGUACGCGUAAGGUUGGUCCAGGUCGUCUCGUCCAACAAUACCGCCGAACCAAAGUAUGACAUGCUGGUAGGCAGUAUGACUUGUAUCGUCCACAACUCACUUGUGUUCUACUCGUGCAUAUAACAUCAACAUAAAUAACCUAGGCUCGGAUGCCACUGUUGGGUUUCGUAGUAAUUUCAAAAAAUUUCCUACGCACACGCAAGAUCAUGUGAAGCAUAGCAACGAGGGGAGAGUGUUGUCUACGUACCCAACGCAGACCAACUGCGGAAGCGAUGACACGACGUAGAGGAAGUAGUCGUACGUCUUCACGAUCCAACCGAUCAAGCACCGAAACUACGGCACCUCCGAGUUCGAGCACACGUUCAGCUCGAUGACGAUCCCCGGACUCCGAUCCAGCAAAGUGUCGGGGAAGAGUUCCGUCAGCACGACGGCGUGGUGACGAUCUUGAUGAACUACAGCAGCAGGGCUUCGCCUAAACUCCACUACAGUAUUAUCGAGGUAUAUGGUGGCAGGGGGCACCGCACACGACUAAGGAAUAGAUCACGUGGAUCAACUUGUGUGUAUAGAGGUGCCCCCUGCCUCCGUAUAUAAAGGAGGAGAGGAGGGGAGGCUGGCCGGCCAAGGAGGGGAGGCGCAGGAGAGUCCUACUCCCUCUAGGAGUAGGAUUCCCCCCAAUCCUAGUCCAACUAGGAUUCCUCGGAGGGGAAGGGAGAGAGGGGGGCCCGCAGCCACCUUGGGCUGCCCCUUUCUCCUUUCCACUAAGGCCCAUGAAGGCCCAUAUGGCUCCCGGGGGGUUCCGGUAACCCUCCCGGUACUCCGGUAAAAUCCCGAUUUCACCCGGAACACUUCCGAUGUCCAAACAUAGGCUUCCAAUAUAUCAAUCUUUACGUCUUGACCAUUUUGAGACUCCUCGUCAUGUCCGUGAUCACAUCCGGGACUCCGAACAACCUUCGGUACAUCAAAAUGCAUAAACUCAUAAUGUAACUGUCAUCGUAACCUUAAGCGUGCGGACCCUACGGGUUCGAGAACAAUGUAGACAUGACCGAGACACGUCUCCGGUCAAUAACCAAUAGCGGGACCUGGAUGCCCAUAUUGGCUCCUACAUAUUCUACGAAGAUCUUUAUCGGUCAGACCGCAUAACAACAUACGUUGUUCCCUUUGUCAUCGGUAUGUUACUUGCCCGAGAUUCGAUCGUCGGUAUCCAAUACCUAGUUCAAUCUCGUCACCGGCAAGUCUCUUUACUCGUUCUAUAAUGCAUCAUCCCGUAACCAACUCAUUGGUCACAUUGCUUGCAAGGCUUAUAAUGAUGUGCAUUACCGAGAGGGCCCAGAGAUACCUCUCCGACAAUCGGAGUGACAAAACCUAAUCUCGAAAUACGCCAACUCAACAUGUACCUUCGGAGACACCUGUAGUACUCCUUUAUAAUCACCCAGUUACGUUGUGACGUUUGGUAGUACCCAAAGUGUUCCUCCGGUAAACGGGAGUUGCAUAAUCUCAUAGUUACAGAAACAUGUAUAAGUCAUGAAGAAAGCAAUAGCAACAUACUAAACGAUCAAGUGCUAAGCUAACGGAAUGGGUGAAGUCAAUCACAUCAUUCUCCUAAUGAUGCGACCCCGUUAAUCAAAUGACAACUCUUUUGUCCAUGGCUAGGAAACAUAACCAUCUUUGAUAAACGAGCUAGUCAAGUAGAGGCAUACUAGUGACACUAUGUUUGUCUAUGUAUUCACACAUGUAUUAUGUUUCCGGUUAAUACAAUUCUAGCAUGAAUAAUAAACAUUUAUCAUGAAAUAAGGAAAUAAAUAAUAACUUUAUUGUUGCCUCUAGGGCAUAUUUCCUUCACCACGUGGCCCGGCCGGCCCCCGGGGCUCAAGAACCAGGUCCAAUGCCCCCAUUGGUCCCGGUUUUGGAUUGAACCGGGACUAAUGGGCUGGACCGGCCUGGACCAUCGCCCCCUUUUCUACUAGUGUUAGUGCAUGGUGGUUAGUGAAGUUAGUGGAGCAUGGUGUGAGUGCGUGGGUCAUGGUUGAGUGCCAGACUUUGUAUAAAUUGUCAUUUGAGUCAAUGAGAAAAUGUAAGGCCGAGAGGGCCAGUGCAAAGAUGUAGCAUUUGUGGUAGCCAAGGGAGAUUAACUGGGCAAAGCUAUGUGUUCUUCCUUGGUCUAUGCGUGUGUGUGUUCUGUGUGUGUUCUCUCUCUGCGUCCUUGUGUUCAUGGGAGUGUUUUUGAGAGAAGCCAGAAGAGAGAGUUGUGAGAGGCAGCUCGAGGUAGAAGAAGGAGCGGUGCUGCUCCGAGAGGAGGCGGCGCCAACAAUUAUUGACGAAAGGGAUAUUAUAUUGCGCAAGGUAUAAUCAGACGCGUCGGGGAUGGAGCGACUACACACAUAUGGGAUCACAACUGGAUUAUGAGGGAAAGCUAUAAGAGGCCAAUAAAUAAGUUAGUGCAGAUCCCCCCUCAGAAACAUUUUAUGUAUACACGUUAACAUUUCCCAGAUAUAUGAUUAAUAUUUUUAGAAAACUUCUAUUUUUUAUGUGUACUUUUUAUACAUUUUGUAAUAUCAGAAAUAGUUUUUAUAGAAGGUUUAACAUUUUUCAAAUACAUGAUUACCUUUUUGUAAACUUAUAUUGUUUGACGUUUACUUUUUUCCAUAGACAUAGUGAGGGGUUAUAUCUAAGGAAUAGGCCCAAGUACAUGUAGGCACAACCAAAGGCCCAUGUUAAUCAAGGAUGUUCCACAAGACAAAUGGGAAAACACACCGGGGCUAAUGGAGCUACAAGGCCAAGGCAUCGGAUACAAGGGGAGAGUCAACUGUGUACAGUCAGAUUACACAACCCUUAACAGACAAGACUCAUCAGUUGGUCCACUAUAGGAAUCAGGUCAUUUGCCGUCAGCCGAGAACAGAUGCGAAGGCUUUGCCGUGAGCAAGUUGACGACAAACACAAUCAGCAAAGACUAUAUCAGCAAAGAGCUAAUUUGACGUCAACUUUUCAUCGCGCUGAUGACAAAGACUUUGCCGUCAAUUAAACUAUGUGUUUGUCGUCUGUAGAAAAAACACAAAUGGCAAAGAAAUUAAACAAAUGGUCAUUUUAUAAUAAUUUUUCGAAAUGUAUAUAGUGUAUUUUAAAAUGUUAAAUAUGUAUCAAGAAUUAUUUCAUAAAUAUACAGAAGAUGUACAACGUGUAUGAAAAUUAUGUAGACAUCAGAACAUAUUAUAGAAAUGUUAAUCUUGUAUUUAAAAAUGUUAAAUACACAUAAAUAAAAAUGUUUUUGAUGUACAUAAAAAAAUUGUACAUCGUGUGUGAACAAAGUAUGCAUUGAAAAAAAAAUCUUGUUGGAAAGAAAAUCUCGUGCUAUAUACGAAAAUGUAAAAGGUGUAUGAAAAUAAUUAGAUAUAUGCUUAACGAAAAAAAGGAAAGAAGGCGCAAAAAAAUCCGAUCAACACCAAGAUAGGAACAAGAAAACCUGAAGAAGACCAUUGAAAAAAAAGAAAAGAAUACAAGAAAGAGGAAAAAAAACAAAAAAAUGAAGAAGCUGAUGCAGAACAGGGAACUUGGUGAAAACGAAUAAAAAUUGAUGAAAACCGAGAAGAAAAACAAGAAAACUGAAGCAAAAAAAUAAUAAAAAUAUGUAAAAAAAUGAUGAAACAUUGCAAAACACUGAAAUACUAUGAAAACCAAAGGAAGAAAAGACUCAAAAAGAAGAACAUACAGCGAGCGAAUGAACAACAACUGAGUGAACGAGCGACCAUGCGAGAACACGUUAAUUGUCCGGCCCAUACUUGUGGACUCCAGAGGCGAGCCAGAAUAGGCGAGAUAUAGCUAUGACGAUUUGAUACCCUUCACAGCUUCACGAAUGCUAUAUCUCGCUCACAGCGAAAGUAUAUUUUGUCUGGCCUGAAGGUGCAAGAAUAGCAUCAGGUCGCUGUAAGGUUUGUGAUCCUACAAUGAGAGCUCCGAUAAGAUUAAAGUUCAUUUUUCUGACAACCUUUGGUCGUUCGUUCGCGCUCAGGUCGUCCGCUCACUCGAUUCCACGUACUAGUUUGGUUAUGUUGUUUUUUUCAUUUUGUUCUUUUUUUGUUUCUUCACUGGCUUUCUUUGGUUUUUAUAUCGGUUUUCUUUGUUUCCUUCACGUUUUAUUCCUGUUUUCCUUUUUACUGGUUUAUUUAUUCCUUUUUUUCUUUGUUUCUUUCUUGGUUUUCUUUGUUUUUCUUUCUUUUGAUGUCAAUCUUUUUACAUACGCAUUCAACAAUUUCCGUAUACAUCAGAAACAUUUUAUGUAUACACAUUAACAUUUCCCAGAUAUAUGAUUAAUAUUUUUGGAAAACCUCUAUUUUUUAUGUGUACUUUUUGAUACAUUUUGUAUAUAUCAGAAAUAUUUUUUUAGAAGGUUUAACAUUUUUUUAAAUACAUGAUUACCUUUUUGUAAACUUAUAUUGUUUGACGUUUAUUUUUUUCCAUAGACAUAGUGAGGGGUUAUAUCUAAGGAAUAGGCCCAAGUACAUAUAUGGCACAACCAAAGACCCAUGUUAAUCAAGGAUGUGGUCCACAAAACAAAUGGGGAAACACACGGGGGCCAAUGGAGCUACAAGGCCAAAGCAUCGGAUAUAAGGGGAGAAUAAGUGUGUACAGUCGGAUUACACAACACUUGACAGACAAGACUCAUUAGUUGGUCCACUAUAGGAAUCGAGUAAUUUGCCGUCAGCCGAGAACAGACUCGAAGUCUUUGCCGUCAGCAAGUUGAUGACAAACACAGUGAGCAAAGACUAUAUCGGCAAAGAGCUAAUUUGACGUUAACUUUUCAUCCGCUGAUGACAAAGACUUUGCCGUCAAUUAAACUAUGUGUUUGUCGUCUGUAGAAAAAACACAAAUGGCAAAGAAAAGCAUCUUUGCCAUCAGCAACUGAUUCACAUGUGUCGUCAGCCAGACUCGUCUUGUCACUAGCCUCAAACAUCACAGAUGGCAAAGAUUUUUUUUUAUUUUUAAAAUUCCGCGUCGACCACCCUAUCGCUCGUGCAGCCACCGCCUGGCCGCGCUCGCCUCCCUGCUCACAUGCCCUGCCAGCUUGCGCCGUUGCCAUCCGGCAGCGCUCGCCCGACCCUGCUCAUCGCCCGGCCGAGCUCGCCCGCCCUGCUCGGUCGCGUCGUCGGCAGCUGCCCUGCUUGCACACGUACCUGCCCAGCCUUGCUCAUACCGCCGGCCACCCUGCUCGCUAGAGAAAGGAAGGCGAGAGAGGAGGCUCGGGGGAGAAAGAAAAAACAAAGGAGAGAGAGAGGAUGCUACCACUGCCACAUCACCAAUACGCAUGAUCGAUCUGCAAGAUGUGCUCUCUCUUUUGCCGCCUCUGAUGGCAAAGUAUGUCUUUAUCGUCUAUAAUAAGAUUACAAACAGCAAAGUGAGCUCUUUGCCGUCUGUAAAAAAACGGACGACAAACAAACUUUGUUGUCAGCUGCCGACGGCAAAAAGUGCUCUUUACCGCAGCCUCGAUGAGAAGCUGAAGGCAAAGUGCCCCACAGACGGCAAAUUAGUUGAUUCCUGGGUGGUUAUGAGCAAGACAGGAGCAAUAACCCUAUCUACACUCGGUCAUCUGGAAGACAGGAGUAGUCGAACCAUCUAUAGUCGGCUACAUCUGAGGUUACCGUGACCCUUACGAUGCAUUCAUUAUCGCCGUUACUCAAUGGAGUAGUUAAAUACGUCAGUUAGCAAUAAUAAUAGCCACGAACAGUCAAUCAUGCAUGUGACCAUCAAUAGCAUUUAUACCAACCCAUUACGGCACUUCCUCCUAGCACACUCUAUAUAAGCCAGGAGUAGGACAUGAGAGUGAGGGAUGAACUCUCUCACAGUAUAACCUACGCCAAGAGCAGGAACACCACAUGAAUAGAGAUUACCUCCACCAACGUACUCCCAUCCGUUUUAUGUACCGAUCAAUGUAUAUAAUGGCUUCUACAUUCACAUCCCGUAGUAUUGUCAGGAUUAUAUCCACGACAGAAACUAUAUUUUGUUAUACAUCAAGAACAUUUUAUAUAUAAAUAUUUACAAUUUUUUAAAUACAUGAUUAAUAUUUUUUCAAACAUAUAUUUUGUAUGUCUCCUUUUCAUAAUCUUUGAUCCCUGGAAGUUUCAGAUUUUUUCCGAUUUGUUCUCAUUUUUUUAUGAAUUUACUGUUCAUGAGGGUGUAGGGGCACCCAGGAGCUGUUAGGCAUAAUAUUUCUGCUGUUGUUGUCAUCAUCAAGGGGAAUGAGAAGGGUUGAAGUUUUCGUUUUCUUUGAGGGGGAAAUCAGAGUUGGGGGCUGGAAGUGAGUGAUUAGGCCCAACAUAAGCGCUGUGUGUGUGUGUCUCGUCACGGGCACCAAAUUCGAACUGGGCUAUUGUUUUCUGAGAACCCAACGUCACAAGCCCAACCAACAGUCUGCCGAUCUGCAUCUUCCUCUCCUUGUCCAUCCUCCUCGUUGGCCGGACCGCCUCGAGCCACGGCCGCUCCCUGGCGCAGCGUCCUCCCCUUCCUCUCCACCCCCAAAUUCUCUUGUAUCCUCUUCUGAUCUCCUUCCUUACUUCCUCUCGCUGAUGGUCUCCACAAGAAGGUCUCCGAGCUCCUCGGAGGGUUCCGGCUGUACGUCGACGCAGCCUCUCCGACCUCCCCAUGAACAUGAGCUAUCGACCCUGAAAGCCUGUCUCUUCCAUGAUUCGAUUCACAUGAAUUCACGAGCCGCAUGAAUCAUGAAGGUCAUGGAGCAGAAUUCAGUCGUGUAGCCUGACAGUGAUGUACAUUUGUGGCUUUUCUGGCUAAAUAGCUCUGUACCCUAUGUGGAUGCCACUUCAAAUAAUCGUCAAAAUAAUUCUCCUGCACGCGUUAUACAAAUGGCGAAGAAGAAGUUCGCGUGGAACAUUUCGUUUCUUAUUGAUGUCCGAGAGAAAAGCUCCUAGGAAGUUCAUCCGCUCGGUGGAUUAUAAGUUUAAGUUUGUUACAACAUCCAAUCAUCCAUAUAAUCUCUGUGUUUCUUCUGUUUUCUACCAGUCAUAUAUCAUAUGUGCAUCAGAGGAAAAAUGCUUUCAGCAGUCAUGUUGGAGCGCGCAUACCAAGUUCCCACAUUGCAAAUAUGAUCCUAGCCAUUAAUAUGUUUCAUUCCACAUUUUCUUGAUCUAAUUUCUAAAUGAUUGGACAACCUGUUAUAGUCUUAUAGAAUUAUGAGCCGCCAAAUCCACAUUUCUCUUGGUCUAAUUUCUAAAUGAUAAUGUGCAGCAUCUAUCUCCUGGUGAACCUUUUUUUCUUGCGACUGUAUCUCCUGAUGAACCUAGUUUUCUCUAGGUAGCACAAUAAUUGUACUGGUUUGAUGUAAAGGACAUAAAUACAAGGGAAUAAAUUGGAAGCUUAUUUCAAAUUAACUAGCUAGUGGUGUUUGUGAAGUUCAAGAAAAAGCUGGUCUUUUUCUCGACAAAUAAUUUAACAUGCAAAGAAUCAAUAAAUGUAUUUGCAAGAAAGCAAACAUAAUUAACGAUAAAACUGGUUUAUUGUCACUGUAGACAACGGUAGUAGUUGGAACUAGAUACAAACCAAUAAAAAACAAGAUCUCAAAUCUCCAACCAAUAAAGAGUUCAACCCAAAUUUUACAGUAACACCAUUAUAUUCAAAUAGUGAUUAUUCCAACACAUGGAUAAUUAAUUAAGGCACCAGGUUGCCCUUGUGACUAGGAAAGACAAACUUAUGAACUUGCAAGCAUGGCAAUCAGAUCGACAUCCACACAAUGCCAAUAUGAACAUUGUCUUGAUACAACUUUAUUUUUAUUUUAUUUCAGAAUUUAAACAACUAGUAUGGGCGGGUCACACACGACAUUGUGUGACACUUUAUUUGUCACCGCUGCAUCGACAUAUCCAUCGACUAAACAACGGUGAUCCAACUAUAUAUUACUAGAGACCUUUCCUUAUUAGUAGGAACCAACUCCGGUGCCAACACCGAAUGGCACACUAGUGGUGGUUCUAUACAACGGCACAUUGACACGGCACAUCGUUGGCAGGGUACGGAGCGCAAUGGAAGUCAUCACCUCAAGCUGAGCUAUCUGGUGUGGCUGCAAAAAGGUACCUUGUGCCAAUUGUUGUUGUUGAGGUUGUUGCCCGAGUUGUUGUUGUGACUGCUGUUGGGGUUGGGAAACACAUUGGCCCAACUGUUGGGGUUGCUGCUGAGGAGUUUGGAUGGAACCCUGAACCUGUUGUUGUUCUUGCAGGAUGAUGGAGUAGAUGAUAGCACGGAUUGCCUCAUAGCGGGAUUGCUGGGGGAUUUGCGGCAACUGCUGGCAACAUUGUUGUUGCAUCACAUGGCAACUGCUCUGCUGCAACAUUUGCGACCUAGCAAGACUUUGUGGCAUUGCCACAGGGCUGCAUUGCUGCUGGAGGAAUACCUUGCAUGGGUUUAGCUGCUGCAAGAUAGAUGGAUGAACAAAUGGUAUUUGUUGUUGCGGUAGAACUAGUUGUUGUUGUUGCUGCGAAAAUGGUGGUUGUUGCGGUAGACUUGGUUGUUGUUGUUGCAAAAAUGGUGGUUGUUGCUGUAGUACUAUUUGUUGUUGUUGCGAAAACGGUGAUUGUUGCUGUGAAAAUGGUGGUAGUUGUUGCUGUGAAAAUGAUGGUUGUUGCGGUAGAACUGGUUGUUGUUGCUGCGAAAAUGGUGGUUGUUGUUGUGAAAAUGGUGGUUGUUGUUGCUGCGAAAAUGGUGGUUGUUGUUGUGAAAANNNNNNNNNNNNNNNNNNNNNNNNNNNNNNNNNNNNNNNNNNNNNNNNNNNNNNNNNNNNNNNNNNNNNNNNNNNNNNNNNNNNNNNNNNNNNNNNNNNNNNNNNNNNNNNNNNNNNNNNNNNNNNNNNNNNNNNNNNNNNNNNNNNNNNNNNNNNNNNNNNNNNNNNNNNNNNNNNNNNNNNNNNNNNNNNNNNNNNNNNNNNUGGUUGUUGUUGCUGCGAUAAUGGUUGUUGUUGUUGCUGCGAAAAUGGUGGUUGUUGUUGUGAAAAUGGUGGUUGUUGUUGCUGCGAUAAUGGUUGUUGUUGUUGUUGCUGUGAACAUGGUUGCUGUUGUGAAAAUGGUUGUGGUUGUUGUUGGAUGGGUUGUUGUUGUUGGUGGUGCGAUAAUGUUUGUUGUGGUGGUAAUGGUUGUUGCUGCGAUGGUCUCUCCAAACCAGGGAUGUGGCUAUUCUCCAUUUGUGCAAUGGCACUUGUCGCCACAAUGGCGAGGAGAGCAAAGAUGAGGAAGGUCUUCAUGGUGGAUUGGUGUUAACCAGUGUUGCUUGGUUUUGAUGCUUGUGCUUGUGAUGAUCUUUAUACUUCAUGCCUAUUUAUAGUAGCCCGGGCACCACCUCUUUUCUUCUUUGCAUUAGCUUUAAUAAUUCUGUUUGGAUGCAUCUAAAAUGAUUUUUGGUACAAUGUGUUAGGUUGCACUAGCUACACGCGUACUUUUGGAUUGAUCAUCAAAGUUGCUUUUUAGUUGUGCAUAUGAUCACACACAAAGUACAGAAACCUUGAUGUUUGGUACAUAUGACUCACCUUAUUCACUUUACAUGUCACACACUUAUCUGGAUAGUAUCACUUUUGCAACCGAGUUUGGAACCUUGUAUAGGCUGUCAUCCAUAAACAAGAAAGGCAAAACUUGUGUAGGACUAAGUUUGCAAUCGGAGGGUUCUUCUAGACUCGAUUUCUUUUCGUAAAACUAACUUUGUAUUUUUCCUCUAAGAUGAUAAGAUGAACCGACGCCUAUAGAGCAUGACAUGACUCAUCGAAUUCCCUUUACAUGUAAAGGAUGGUAAUUGCUUACAAGCUACUCCUACUAGCAUAUAUCCGGUUCCAAGCCUAGACACGUCAUCAUCAGUUUCGUCUAUUUUUUUAGAUAAAUCAUCAGUUCUAUCUAUUUGUGAAGGGUUUUUUUGGGGGGAAAUGAUAGUUUUUUUAUGCUAGGGGGGUUUUUUNNNNNNNNNNNNNNNNNNNNNNNNNNNNNNNNNNNNNNNNNNNNNNNNNNNNNNNNNNNNNNNNNNNNNNNNNNNNNNNNNNNNNNNNNNNNNNNNNNNNNNNNNNNNNNNNNNNNNNNNNNNNNNNNNNNNNNNNNNNNNNNNNNNNNNNNNNNNNNNNNNNNNNNNNNNNNNNNNNNNNNNNNNNNNNNNNNNNNNNNNNNNNNNNNNNNNNNNNNNNNNNNNNNNNNNNNNNNNNNNNNNNNNNNNNNNNNNNNNNNNNNNNNNNNNNNNNNNNNNNNNNNNNNNNNNNNNNNNNNNNNNNNNNNNNNNNNNNNNNNNNNNNNNNNNNNNNNNNNNNNNNNNNNNNNNNNNNNNNNNNNNNNNNNNNNNNNNNNNNNNNNNNNNNNNNNNNNNNNNNNNNNNNNNNNNNNNNNNNNNNNNNNNNNNNNNNNNNNNNNNNNNNNNNNNNNNNNNNNNNNNNNNNNNNNNNNNNNNNNNNNNNNNNNNNNNNNNNNNNNNNNNNNNNNNNNNNNNNNNNNNNNNNNNNNNNNNNNNNNNNNNNNNNNNNNNNNNNNNNNNNNNNNNNNNNNNNNNNNNNNNNNNNNNNNNNNNNNNNNNNNNNNNNNNNNNNNNGCCGCCACCGCUCGACAAAAAAGGUCACUUUUGUAGCUCCCCCGUCGAUUGCGGGCCGUACGUCGACGGCAGCCACUCCGACCUCCCCGUCAACACAAGGUAUCGAUCUGUUUCGUCUGUCUCUUCCAGCGAUUCAAUGCACAUAAAUCCGAGAGGCAGACCCAUCUCCAUGCUAGCUGCACGGAUCAGGAGGGUCAGGCAUCAGAAUUCAGCUGGGAAGCCUGACACUAAUGUACAUUUGUGGCUUUAGUAGCUGAAUAUAACUAUGUGUUUUCUGAGAAUUUCACUUCAAAAGUUCCAAUAAUCAUCAAAUUUCCGCCUAUGCGCGCUAAGCAGGUGGACCAUAUAUUUCUCAUGUCGACGAACGAAAAAACAAAACUCCACAACUAGAAGUCUAUGAUAUUGACACGGAACCGUGCUGUAGGGUCGCAAGUAAAAAUAUGAAAAGCAUGCCUAACACUACUAGGAAAAGGGCUAUAGAUGGAAUUGACACUAAUGACGCACCAGACAUGUGGUGCGCCAUUAGUAUAUACUAAUGGCGCACCAUCUUCUGAUGCGCCAUUAGUGUUGAAAUUACUAAUGGCGCACCCUGCCCACGGUGCGCCAUUAGUACCAAUUUUUUUUUGAACUAGUGCGCCUGUCCAAACAUACUAAUGGCGCAUCCGCUGGUGGUGCGCCAUUACUAGUUGUAACUAGUAAUGGUGCACCAGCCAGAGGGUGCGCCACUAAAGUUAUUUUUUUUAUUAUUGUUUUUAUUCCUUUUUUUGCAAAAGUACUAAUGGCGCACUCACACGCGGUGCGCCAUUACUAGUUCAAACUAGUAAUGGCGCACCGUGGCAGAGUGCGCCAUUAGUAUGUUUUUUUUUCAAAACUACUAAUGGCGCACCACCUGGUGGUGCGCCAUUAGUAACCUGGAUUACUAAUGGCGCAUUUGUUGCUGGUGCGCCAUUAGUAAGUGGGCAGCAACAAGAUAUUUUGGACAGCCUCUCCUCCCACACUCACUUUCUCCCCAUUUCAUUCUCUCCACCGCCUCCUCAUGUCUCGGGUGCCUCCUCUUUUUCACCUCAUUUCCACCAUAGAUUCAUUCAAAUUAAGUGGUUAAGUUACCUUGUUUUGCUAGGUAAGUAAGGGGGGAAGCUAUAUUUAUGUUGUUCUCCCUACAACAGUGUGCACAUGCACUUUUUAUGGCCUAGCUAGAUCUAUGUAUGUUCGUGGUGUUGCAUAUGUUUGUGGUGUUGCAUAUGUGUUUGUGUUUGAAGGUGUACCGGUAUUUGAAAUGCGAUAGUUGCCAAUAUUUUGCCGGAAUGUUGAUUCAUUUCCGUUUCGGCGAGAAUUUUGGCAUUAAGCAUUCUUUUUGGUCCUAUUUUUAGGGAAAGUCAUGCCAAAUUUUUUCUUGGUUCUAAAAUAUCGUUUUGCUCUACCCCGCAGGCGACCAUGGUCCGCACGAUGACCGAAGGCAUCGUGAAUAGGUUUUUGAGGUCCACGAAGGCCGAGAUGCUUCAAAAGAACGAGACGGAGAUAAGAUGUCCGUGUCGAAGAUGCAAGCUGAAUAGCCUUAUUGCGGACCCGGAUUCCGGGCAGGUGCGGGACCACCUGCUCUUGCGUGGUUUCAUGGAUGGCUGUCGGUGGCAAGGUGAUGAAGAUGACUACGAAGUCGUCCAUGGGGGCCGGGCAAGAAAUGAGGAAGGGCAGCAAGACAACCACCGCGGCUCGGGGGGGCGAGAAGAAGAAGAAUCCCCAGGAGAUGAUCACGACGGUGAUGUUGUACACAGUCAUCAUGUAGAAGAUGCAGGACAUGAUGAUGAUGCCGGCGGAGCAGACGACGCUGGACCAUCGAUGGGCUGGGUGCAGGACCCUCAUAUUCAAGAGCUGCUUCUCAAGCAGACGGAUAACGCAAGAGCUGCCGCCCGAGAGAAAGCCAAGAUGGAUCAACUUGAGUUAGACGCGGUUACUCCAUUGUAUGAAGGAUGCAGGCCCGAGGAUACCCGCCUGAAAGUAACACUCAUGGCUCUGGAGAUGAAGGUAAAACACAAAAUGACCGACGCAUGCUUCGACGAGAACAUGUCAUUCUGGCACGAACGUCUUCCCAAAGGGAACAAGUGCCCGACCAGUUUGGAGGAGGCGAAGAAAAUCGUGUGUCCUCUGGAUUUACCGCACGUGAAAUACCAUGUGUGCAUGAACAAUUGCAUCAUUUAUCGGGACGAGCACGCGGAGUCUACCAUAUGUCCGGUGUGCGGUGUCACUCGAUACAAGAAGGGGAAGAAAGCUCCUCGAAAAGUGGUGUGGUACUUUCCGAUCACUCCUCGUCUGCAGCGGUAUUUCGCGGACCCUAAGGUAGCAAAGCUCCUGCGUUGGCACGCGGAUAGGGAGGAGAAGAAGCGAGAAGAUGACGCAAAUGAUACGGAGAUAGAUAAAAAAGACAAGAUGCUGAGUCACCCUAAGGAUGCGAGCCAGUGGCAAGCGUUGAACUUCGAAUAACCAGAAUUUGGGAACGAUCCAAGGAACAUCGUGCUGGGCGCGAGCACCGGUGGAGUCAAUCCGUUUGGCAGCCAGAGAAGCACACAUAGCACCUGGCCUGUGUUUGUGUGGAUGUACAACCUUCCCCCCUGGUUGUGCAUGAAGAGGAAGUACAUUCACAUGAGUAUGCUAAUUGAAGGGCCGAAACAACCAGGGAACGACAUCAAUCUGUAUCUGGGGCUGCUGAAAGAGGAGCUUGACACGCUGUGGAAAACGCCCACCAAUACGUGGGACGCCGCAGAGAAAGAAUAUUUCCCUAUGAGAGCCGCACUGCUCACGACGGUGCACGACUAUCUCGGUUACGGAUAUCUUGCGGGGCAGGUAGUCCACGGAUUUUCUGGAUGCGUAAGGUGCAUGGAUGACACAACGUAUCGCCAGCUAGAUAGAGACGAUGACCCGUGGAGGAAACGCAAGGAUCUGUUCGAUGGUGAAACCAAACCCCGAAAACGCCCGUGUACGAGGAGCGGCGAGGAAAUAGACAAGCUGUUGAAAAAUCGGAAAGACUGCCCACUGCCGGGAAAGAAGCAAAAGGUGCCAGAGCCGGGAAAGAAGCGAAAGGCGCCAGAGCCGCUGCUGAAGCUAUGGAAAACGAGGUCUGUUUUCUGGGACUUGCCGUACUGGAAGAUCCACCGUGUGCCUCACAGCCUUGAUGUCAUGCAUAUCACGAAGAACGUGUGCGAGAGUCUGCUUGGUACCCUGCUCAACAUGCCAGAGAGGACCAAAGAUGGGCCGAAAGCGAGGGCAGACUUGAAAUCAAUGGGCAUCAGGCAGGAGCUUCACGCUAUAUAUGAUGAUGAUGAUGAUGAUGAUGAUGAUGAUGAGGCGAAGCAGGACACAGAAAGUCGUCGCAAAGGCAAAAAGGCCAAGAAGACCGGAAAUGACUACCCUCCCGCGUGCUUCACUCUAAGUCAGGAGGAGAUCGAGCAGUUUUUCACCUGCCUCCUAGGAGUAAAACUUCCUUACGGUUACGCGGGGAAGAUAAGCAGAUACCUAGACCCAGCGAAGCAGAAGUUCAGCGGGAUGAAGUCUCACGAUUGUCACAUGCUGAUGACGCAGAUACUUCCAGUUGCAAUCCGUGGGAUCAUGGACGCGCACGUCCGUGAAACGCUAUUUGGCCUAUGCAACUUCUUCGACGUCAUCUCUCAGAAGUCGAUUGGCAUGAGGCAACUCAGAAGGCUACAGGAAGAGAUCGUGGUGAUACUAUGCGAGCUUGAGAUGUACUUCCCGCCCGCAUUCUUCGAUGUUAUGGUGCAUCUGCUGGUCCAUAUAGUGGGGGAUAUCAUCCAACUCGGGCCGAUGUUCCUGCACAGCAUGAUGCCGUUCGAAAGGAUGAAUGGUGUCAUCAAAGGAUACGUUCGCAACAUGUCACGUCCAGAAGGAAGCAUAGCCAGGGGCUUUCUGACCGAAGAGUGCAUCUACUAGUGCGCGAAUUAUCUAGGCAUCGAGAACCCCGUUGGUCUGCCCGUCAACAGGCACCUCGGCAGGCUCGCUGGAUGGGGUCACCGUGAGGGUCGCCGCGAAAUGCAUGUCGACUUCGAGGGUCGACUCGCCGACUUUGAAAGAGCAAACCUAGUCGCGCUACAACACAUAGACGUGGUCGAUGCUUGGGUGGUAGAGCACAAAACCUUUAUUAAGAAGACGUACAAUGACCGAGGCCAACAGAGGACGGACGGAGAUAUACUCAAAGAGCACAACUCAUGUUUCACGCGUUGGUUCAAGCAGAAGCUUCUGUCGUACCCUUUACAUGAGGAUUCUUCCGCGGAAGAACAACUCAUAUUCGCCUUGUCACAGGGCGCCGAGCACAACCUGAUGACCUAUGAGGCGUACGAUAUCAACGGCUACACAUUCUACACCGAGGCCAAGGACAUGAAGAGCGAUGGUUAUCAGAACUCCGGGGUAACGAUGGAAUCCUACACCGGUAACGACAAGGACAGAUACUACGGAAGGAUCGAGGAGAUCUGGGAGCUGAGCUAUGCUGGAGAGAAGGUCCCGAUGUUCCGUGUCAGAUGGGCCAAGAACGUCAUAAAAGAAGACCGGUAUUUCACCACCAUGGUUAUACCCGGAGCCAAAUCCAAGACCGCGAGCGCAAACGUCACCGCGAAAAAUGAGCCAUGGGUACUGGCUUCCCAAGUGGACCAAUGCUUCUUCAUUACCGACCCGCCAAAGCCCAGUCGUGUUGUCGUGAGGAGAGGCAAAAGGAAGAUCAUCGGAAUGGAUGGAGUAGCCAAUGAGCAAGACUUCGACAAGUACGGCGACCCGAGGAUCGAACAUGACGACGAUGAUGAAGUAGCAGCAUACACCACAAGAAGAAGCAGGACCACCCUACCUAAAGGACGUCCGUUCCACAGAAGAACUCCAUUUGCGAAAAAGAAGGGCAAGAAGAUUGUGAACAGAUAGCUAGCUAAGAUCGAUUGUAUUUAAAUCGUAGCCUUCAUUUCUCGAUUGUAUUUCAUGGGUACUUUUUGAACUAUCAUGAAUAUUUUUAAAUUUAAUGGACACUCGAUCUCGAUCCCCCUCCAUCUCGAUCGCUAUCCCACCUCGCCAGAUCCGGUCCCCCUCGCCGCCAAGCACCCCCCCAGCCCACCGGCCGCCGCCGCCGACCCCCCGCACCCUCGAUUCCCCUACCCAACCGCCGCCGCCGACCCACCGCACCCCGCGCACCCUCCCCUGCUCCACCAGCAUUACUGUUUGAUGAUAUUUUUAAAAAAAUUAUUAUUGUCUUAUAAAAAAAUAUUACUGUUAUGAUUUAAACAAGUUUGAACAUAUUUAAACACAAAUAAGUAUCAAACAGGUUUUUAAAUGCUAAAAAAAAUUUGUGGAGCCUGGGAGUCGAACCCAGGACCUCCUGGUGUGAGAACUGGCUGCUGACCAGUCGAGCUAGUAGAGGGGACUUGAUGUGGAUCAAUUCUGGUGGUACAUAACCUGUUGGCUCGAGUUGAAAUAAAAAAAAUACUAAUGGCGCACCACGGUGAGGUGCGCCAUUAGUAUGGAUGUACUUAUGGCGCACCGAGGGGUGGUGCGCCAUUAGUAUUGUGCCCGAUCCCUUCCCUCUCCCCCUUCGCCCGAUCCCCCCUUCCCUCUCCCCCUUGCCAGUUCCCUCUCCCUCGAUCCACCGCCGCCGCCGCCGCUGCCCUGACCCACUGCGCCGCAGCCGCCCACGCGCCCCCGCCGCCUCCCUCUCCCCUUCCUCCCCCUCGAGCCCGCGCCGUCCGCCCAAACCUAACCCGACGCCGUCCGCCGCGCCCGCUCCACCGCCGCCGCCCUGCCUCUCCGCCCUCUCCCUCCCUCNNNNNNNNNNNNNNNNNNNNNNNNNNNNNNNNNNNNNNNNNNNNNNNNNNNNNNNNNNNNNNNNNNNNNNNNNNNNNNNNNNNNNNNNNNNNNNNNNNNNNNNNNNNNNNNNNNNNNNNNNNNNNNNNNNNNNNNNNNNNNNNNNNNNNNCGUCGCCCCGCCGCCCCGACACCACCGUCCGUCGCCCCGCCGCCCCGCCGCCCCUCUCGCAGCAAGGUAUGCGGCUGGUUCGUCCCCUGUCAUGGUUCUCUCUUCGUUUAUUUUCCUGAAAUCUCUGCUGUUCAUUGGCCGAUGAUGUCUUACAAGUAAAAUAUCUGGCAAACUUGUGCUGUAAACUGUACAUUGCUGAGGCUGUGGGCAACCUGUUCUUCUCUUUGCCAUACUAGUGCUUUUGUUCAUUGGCCGAUGAUGUCUCUGUUGGUUUACGUCCCCGGCAAAUUAGGUACCCGUGAACCAUUUAUAGGCCCAACUUUCUUACUCUCAAUGACCACAAUGUGCUUAUUUUGUUAGGAUUGUGCAUUUGCGCGAUUUGUGCAGUGCUUAUUUGUUGGCACCUCACCAGCUUUCAAAUUCAGCAUUUGUAACACAGUUCAAUUUGAUCUAAGGGCCUAUCUUGUCUCAUUUCCAACAUGUAAUAAACUUCCCCCGAGGCCAUAGAUGAGAAUACUUCUUUCAGUACAUUUUGCUGAUUUCUCACUGUUGAAUACUUCAUUUCUGUUUGCCUUUGGCCAAAGAUGCAUUCAGUUCUUUCUGCCCUUAGCGGUUUGAUUCAAGUUUGUCAGGUUCUGUUAACUAAAAAGGUUCAGAUUCAGAAACAUUGUUGGACUACUAGGAAGUUGGACUACUAGGAACAUGUUUAGAUUCAGGUUCUGUUAACUAAAAAAGUUCAGGUUCUGUUAACUAAAAAAGUUCAGAUUCAGAAACCUGUAAUUUCUACUUUUAUGCCUCUGUUACUCCAGUCAAAAUUUUAUGUUUGAUGCCCAUGGUAGUUGAGCUCUCACCUCACCUCACGCAACAUGCAUGAUGCCACAAUGUCUAGUAUGUACUGCCAAGCAACUGGCAAAUAAUUAUAACUUAGAAUAAAUAAAUCUGAUGUAAGAUAAGCAUGGCAUGAGCUUUAAUUAAAUAGCAUAAUACACGUUGGUAGUCCAUCUCUCUCAAAAAAAAUACAUGUUGGUAGCAGAAAAAAAUACAUGUUGGUAGCAGAAAUUUUUUUGAGCCCUUAUUAGCUACUCACACUAUUUGCCCCGCAGUUUCUCUGUCAUGGCUACCAAGUGAUUGACGGUGGGCUAGAAAAAUAAAACCACCAAACUAUCAGUAAAAGAUGUGAACCAACAUCUUUCAUUGUUAUGCAUAUCAAACACCAAGGGUUAUUUUCACUUAAAGUUUUAGAAUGGGUGCAUUACAAUUCAGUCUGAUAUCUAAUAAGACACUCUGGGCUGAUAUAAUUAUGGAACAGAACCAACCAUGAUAAAUAAAAGGUGAUGUUGUCUAUGCAUUACCAAAAAUGUAUCUUUGUGAACAAAUAAAUUGGUACCAACAGCAAUGCCAUCUUACUGUAGAAUUAGAAUACAUGGACAUGAUCAGCUCAGCUCCCAAACUGCCAUUCAUCACAUCAAUUUCCCCUUAUGUAACUCCAGUCAAAAUUUUAUGUUGGUCUACCUAGUAGAUGCCCAUGGUUUGAUUUUAUGUUUGUUCCUAUCAAUACAAAUGCUGAGCUAUGUUCCAUUUUUACUGUUCUUUGUGAUAGUUUUUGCAACUUUACUUCCCAUCUUAAGGCAAGCCCCAUUUUUACUGUUCUUUGUUAGCAGAGCUGCUUGUUUCUAAGAACUUUGAUACUAUUUGGAUCAAAGUUAAAUGAGCACAUAGAUGACAAAAAAAAGUUCAGAUUGUAAAAUGUUCAUUUUGCUGCUAGUGCCCAUUUUGAGUAAUUGCUUAGAGGGAUGAUCCUGUGUGAGCUGGUGGAGUGAUUUGUUUUCUACAUAAAGCUCUUUAGUCAGGCUGGUUUUCGUGAAAUACACAUGAAGCUUCACCAGCUCCUGUGGGUGUGGGAUCCAUGUGACAUGUGACAUUGCAUCCAUGUCCACCUGGGAUAAUGAUUUUGCAUGUACCCCGAGAGGCCCUUAAGUUUGCCGGAAUGUCGAUUAACUUCCGUUCCGGCAAAUUCGGGUACUCCAUAUGUCCUAUUUUCAGCAAAGGUCAUGCUGAAAUUUUCCGUGAAUUUUAGCAUGACUUUGCAAAAAAUAGGACAUAUGGGGUACUUGUGACUAAUGCAUGGGCCGGGGUAUCAUAGUAGUUAAUUAAGUAGGAUCAAGUGCCCCGGCGUACUUGUGACUGAUGCAUGGCUUUUAGGGUGCCUCGGUGUUGAUAAAAACCGAAAUGAUGAAAGCUUAGGCUUUUAGGGUGCCUCGGCGUCGAAAAACCCUCAAUGAUAAAAGCUUAGGUCUUAGGAUGCCUCGGUGUCGACAAACCCUAAAUGAUGAGACCAUGUCUUGUUCCUUGACAAUAACCAACUUUUUGACCAAACUUUGUUUCUAUUUAGAGAGAAACAUGGCCCACAACGAUGAGGCCGGGGGUUCGGGCGGCAAGGCAUUCUGGGAGCUGUCCCAGGAGAUGGAGGAACAACCUCACUUGUAUGAGGCCGCCGCCUUCCCCACCGAUCCUGAGACCACUGAUGGUGCCGCCGAGGAUGACCACACUGAUGCCACCACUGAUGGUGCCGCCGAGGAUGCCACCACUGAUGAUGGCAGCGCCCGCACAGAUGGCAGCCAACCGAAGAGGCAACGGAAGGACCGACGCCCGAUCGUGCUCCUCACCCUCAAGGAGGAAGUUACUGAAGUGGACUCCAACGGGUAUCCAACGGCGCCCGAACGAAUAGUCAAGGGGUACUCGCUUCAGCUCGGGUGCAUUGUCCGGAGCACCGUCUCGAUCAACACCGAGAACCUGAGGCAUCCUGACCGAGGGAAUUUGUGCCACCUCCUCUUCACGAAGCUGCACGAAUGAUACAAGUUCCCCGCUGAAUUUGCAAACAGAAGCCUCAAAGGGAAUAAAGUGAACAAUGCUGCCCUCACGAAGAUGAGCAAGGCCCUGUCUACUUGGAAAAGCAAUGUGAAGAAAAUGAUCGAUAAAGGUGAGAGUUAUCAGAAGAUCAAGGAGAAAAAUCCUUCGAUCACCAAAGAUGACUACAAUGACUUCAAGAUCAAUUGCUCGAGCACCGCAAGCUCCCAAUCAAGUGAGUGGGGGAAACAAAUGCGGGAGCUGAACAUAGGGGAACACACACUCGGUCCCGACGGUUACAGAGUGGCGGAGCCUAUAUGGGACAAGGAGGAGGCGGACCGUGCCGAGCAAGGCCUACCGCCCCUCUUCGAGAAAUACAGCGGUAACAAGCAGACCAGGAACUUUGUCAGGGCCCGGUACAAGAAGGACCCGAAAACAAAGGAGCUUACCACGGAUCCGAAGACCAGGCAGCUUGAGCUUGUUCUGGUAAGGAAUACACCCCCGCGUAAUUAGCUCCAUAUGGUUGCAUUCUAAUUAAUGAAGCCAAAUUUCUAAAUGGUUCACAUUCCUUCCGCAGGCGACUGAAAGCAGUAGCGCGGGGUCGACUAAGAGCAACCCUUGGGACACCACUCUAAAUAGGGCGAUGAAUGUAAUGAAGAAGAAGGAUAAGCUCAGUAAGCCGACGUCAGCUGGUCGUGUGGCCGGCAAAGGCUUGUCGACAAAAUGGGGGUCAUACUAUACCGCUGGUGUGCGGAAGGAGAAAAAGACCAGCUCGGAAAGCCAGGCGCGAGAGGAUCAAGAACUCAAGGAACAGGUGACGCGGAUUCCGGAGAUUGUCCAAGAGCAAGUGGAACAAUGACUCGGAGCGACGAUCACCGCCAUUGUGCCUACCUUGAUCUCGGGGUUGAGUGCGUGGAUUGCGGGCGGCCAACAGGGGCCGCCCCCGAUUCCUAGCUUCACGGCCAGCAACUCGCAUAAUGCGAUGGCGGGGCCAUUGGUGCCUCCGGCGGAGGCGGCAUUGGUGUCUCCGACGCCGGCACGGGAGCUUAAUGCACCCGGGUGUACGCCGGCCGGCACCUCUGCAGCAAGCGGCCCCUCCGUCAACUGCACGCCCGCCGUUGGCGGUGCGUCGACAUUAGCCGAGCUCGACGCCAUCAACACGGUAACUAAUUAAGCCUCUCUCGGCCGAGGACUUCAUCUCCUUGCCUUUGACUAGGCAUCCCUGACGCCCUACAUGUUUUCGCAGGGCGCCGCCGACGUUCCGUGCACUCUCCUCCACUUCGUGAACAACGAGUUGGUCGAUGUCGCCAAGGGCAAAAUCGUUCAACCGGCAACCCCUUGUUCCACGGUACCCAGAUGCCACCCAACUUGUUUAGGGUUCAACUGGUUCGGGUGUUGCCAGGCUGCGACGACUUGUUACCUCUGAUUCGACCCGUUGGGGCCGACGAUGAAGACGUGAUGACCCUCAGCGCCUGCCUGAGCUGGCCCCUAGUUUGGCCGAAGAGCCAGAUUCGUUUGGGGGCGGGGGACACCACCCCAAAGACAACACCGCCAGUCGUGCUGGUGCCAAGUCGGCCCCAUGGCAAGACCGCCGUAACGGUGCCGGACAUCCCUAUGCCACUGGAUCCAAACAUGCAUAUGGCACAGGAUCAGAAUGACGACGACAACGACGAUGAUACAUUUGGCAACGUCGAUCAGUACUUUGCCGAUCAUGGGUACGAUGGCGACUUCAUGGGGCCUCCUUCUCAAGAACCAAACCCAACAAAAGACGUGUGCGAUCUAGCUGGUACCGCAGAGAAGCCAAGUUGCAACAGGCGCCGUCUGGCGUUCAGCUCUCAGGAGACGCCUCCAGCUGCCGACUUCACCGAUCCUCAGAUAGGCGAGGUGCGAAAUAUUAUCAGCCCCAACACACUCAAGAAGGCGGUCUGUGAGCAGAACUCGGUCCCAUUACAGGAGAAGAAGAAGGCACGCAAAAGAAAGACUAAGAAGGGUGCGAGCCAGCCGGCACCGAGUACGAUCCGUGCUCAGGACGGGCCACCUUCACCGCAGGAUAUCUCGAGGAGGGUGCAUGUGGCGGGUAGGGCGAUGCUACCGACAAAUAUGCUCAAUGCUGCAACCGGUGCUAUGCGGAGUCUGCAUGACAGUGUUCUUGCUUUGGAGAAGCGGCGUCUCAGAGAGAAGGAUGUGGCAUACCCGGUUUUCGCGGCCAAGGUGCCAAAGGGCAAGGGCUUUGUGGAUAACUCCAUCGGGCGUACGAUCGUCCUGCGUUUUGAUGACAUCCACGCUAUGUUGAACCUUCAUCCGCUGCACUACACCUUCGUUCGGCUAUUUUCGCUGAGUAUGGAGAUGCGGAUCAUUCGCGACAAGACCCCGGACAUCGUGAUAGUCGACCCCUUCUACAUGCGUGCCAAGAUCUUGGGCAGCGCUGGGGACCGGCAAGUCGCGAGUUCUUACCUCGAAGGCAUCAUUCUGGCAAACCAAGAUAAGGAUAACUUCCUCGUGCCUUACUUUCCCGAGUAAGUCCUCCCCUCAACCGGCCCGUAACAUAUGAAUUCUUACAUUUCGAUCGUUUUUCUUUUAACAUUCCGUGUUUUUUGCAGUGACACACGUUGCACGCUCAUCCUCCUAAGCCCCAAAUAUUCCAUGGCCACAUAUUUCGACCCGGACUGUUAGUCGAACGUAGACUACACAAAUGUCAAGAAGGUUCUUGAUGAUGUUCUCCCCGGCUAUGCCAAAUCUGGAGGCACCUUCACCAGGCCUAAUCGUAAGUACGGCAAGCAUGUUUUCUCCCACAAUACGAUGUUCUACUGCGUCAAGCAGCCGCCUGGUGGUCAGAAGGGUGCCUACUACGCCAUCCAUCACAUGCGGGCGAUCGUACGGGACCAUCAUCAACUUCUGCUACCGAGUAAACUCAAAGAUUGGGCAAAGAGCGUGUCGGCAAUCGAGGACGCGGACCUCCGACAAGAAUUCUUUCGCAUCCAGUCGGAGUUUGCGGAAAUCAUCCAUCAAGAUGUCCUUCGUACCUCGGGGCAGUUCUACCUCAACAAUCAACCGUCCAAUAGUGACAUCGACAUAAUGCUACAAAUGCAGGCUGACAACGACCGUUAUUUCAUGACUCCCACGAUAGACGGCGGCUUCAUCCACGCUCCGGUCCCUUGAGUCGAGUCGAAAGCAGUGAUGCUGUGUCUAGUUCUGAAACAUCGAUUGGCUCAUGUUGUAAUUAAACUUUAAUGAACUUGUAGUAUGUCUCUUUGGUUUCGAGAGUCGUUCAACUUAGAUGUAAUCGAUGCUAUUAAUGUCUUGCUUUUCUCUUCCGAUUGUUCUGUUGCAUACUUAUAUAUUGCUUAUGUAUUGUCUGUGAAUUGGUACUAACGUUUCGUUUGGCUAGUGCAUAGCGAUGCCGACGUAUGUCGUGUACAAGGGUAAGGUUCCCGUAGUCUACGAUGACUGGGAGGAGUGUCGGAGACAGGUUCACCGAUUCAGCGGUAACAGUUACAAAGGGUACACCACUAGGGCCGAGGCCGAAUCUAGAUACGCCCGCUAUCUAGCGGGAGAGGGGAGGGAGCGUUGGAGGAACCGGAUGAAGACGAGUUUCAUCGUGAUGAUGCUCAUCGUGAUGACCGCAGCUCUCUUCUAUGUGAUGGUAGUUUAGAUGAUCGAUAUCGACUUGUAAUGUGAAGACAAACUCGCUACUCGCGGUCUCGAGACUUGUAAUAUAAUGUUCUAUCUUUGUUCGGUCUUUUUAAUUCGGAGACUAAUAUGAUGAAUUGUAUUCGGAGACUAAUAUGAUGAAUUGUAUUCAAAGACUAAUCUUCUAUUGUAUUCGAUGAAUCUGUUGUUGAUGUGUGCUGUCUAUAUUUUGUCAAAUUAUACAUUUUGUAACCUGUGCAAAAAACAGAAAAUAAAAAAUAAAAAAAACCUAAUAUUCAUACUAAUGACGCAUCACAUGAUAGUGCGCCAUUAGUAUGACAGUGCAUACUAAUGGCGCAUCACUGGGCAGUGCGCCAUUAGUAUGCCGCGGUUACUAAUGGCGCAUCCAGCGGUGGUGCGCCAUUAGUAUGCCAAAGCACCUGGGUAUACAUGGCCCCUGGGAGGCAUACUAAUGGCGCACCCUUGCCUAUACUAAUGGCGCACGCGCGGUGCGCCAUUAGUAUACCAGAUACUAAUGGCGCACCAGGUGGUGCGCCAUUAGUAAAAAUUACUAAUGGCGUGCUAUUAAUGGCGCACCACAGAUGCGCCAUUAAUGGCCAUUUUAGGUGCGCCAUUAGUAGGGGUUUUUCUAGUAGUGUAAUAAGCGAGAUGACGCAGUUCCUGACCGCCCCGCUACCACUACUGGUUCCAGCGUGGCGUUUGAAUUAUGCCGCGCUAGAUGCCUUUUGUCCAGCGAGGAACAAGUGGGGUCAAGCGUGCUUUGGCAAUUCCCGCCGUCAGAAGACUUCCUUGUAGUCCGGUGUAGAGGUGAGGUUGUAGGGAGAUGCAUCGACUAGGAAGGAGUGGCCACAUGAACGAGCAUAUGUAUGAUGUGAUUAAGUCUCUCGAUCGGGUAUCUGGUGCCUUACGUACGGUGUCUUAUUUUUGUCAAGCUAUGACAUCUUUCAGUUUGAGUGUCUGAUAUUAGGGUUGCAUACGUUUUGUUAUUCAGUUGCCUGUUGUCAACUCUAUGGUUAUAUCACCUCGAUGUGUGAGUCAAUGUGUUUGAACCAAUGUAGAGUUUCAUGUGAAUGUUACAAGUGUGAUUGAUAUCUUCAUGUUAUAACCGCAGUUGCCUUGGUAAGAAAUUGAAAGAGCAAACCGUUAUCGUGUUAGGAAAAAAGUCAUCGCUCAAUAUAAGUUGCUUCUCUAGAACAACCACACCUUUCCCUCAAAAAAAAGAACAACCACACCUUGUGAAAGAAGAUGGCAAACACCCAAUUAUGUCUGGUUAGAUAUGGGCAUGGCUAUGGGUAGCUUAUAGCGACACGGAAGCUAGCAUCGCCUGAAGAAACACCCGGAUGGGCCGGCCUAGAGACAAAUUUCUUCAUUUCUACCCUUAGUUUUGUUUUUCUGCCCUUUUUUCUUUAUAUUUUAUAUUUUUCCCGACAUGUUCACUACUUGAUGCUCAACUGGGAUCUCAUCUGAUGCGGAGCAUCCUAUGGACAUCACCAUGUCAAGAGUCCGUUCGGCAAGUGACACGUGUGACAUCUACUUCUCAUACAUAAAGGUGAAUCUUCUCCUUUACACGUGUUUACUUGACCCCUUCGAGGAUGGUAUACUACUUGACACUUCUCCCGUGUGCAUGCAUAGGUAUUGUCGGAGCUUCAUGGAUGUCGAGGAGGAGUGCAAGCGCCAAGGAAUGACUACACCGUCCGCGAGGGAAGCAUGGAAGAGAAGGAGGAAGAGAACCUGGCUACUCCAGAACGAGCGGUACUACUGCCCACUCCAAGCGGUACUACCGCCGAGGCCACCCAAGCGGCACUACCGCCCAGCAUCCGCCCUUCUACUGCUCAACCCGACAAACUCCAGUGAUCGAGCGGUGUAAGUCCGGUACUACUGCCCCUCCAAGCGGUACUACCGCUCAAGCGGUACUACCACCCAUGAGUCCGGUACUACCGCCCUGCCUCUGCCCAGCCGUGGGCCUUUGGCCUUGUAUCCCUCUCCCACUUACCCCUUCGUGGCUUAGACUAUAAAUAGGCCACCUCCACCUCCUUUCUAGGGUUAGCACAGAUUUAGCUCAUUUUGAGAUAGAGCUUUGCUCAUCCAUACGGAUCUACUCCUCGUGAGAGACCGCGACCUCUUCGGAGAAGAUCCAUCUUGGAUUCAAGACCCCCUCGUGGGAAGAUCCGUCUAGGAUACCAACAAGACCUCCUCUUGGAGAUGAACCUUACCUUGUAUCUUUCCCUUUGUUGUUCAUGUACCCUUGUGGAUCUUGUGUGUUUGAUUGUCUAGUGGAUGUGUGAUUGGACUUGUACUUGAGUGUUUCCCCUUGUGAUUUCUCUCCGUUCUUCCACGUGUUCUUCAUAGGGAUCCGCUCCAAACGUGAAAGAUCGGCCUCUAGGGUUCUAGCCUACAUCAUCUUGGAUCAGAGCAAGGUUGAUCACGGAUUUGGAGCCCCUACCCCUCUUUUUCUAGCCUUCUUUUGCUUGCUUUCGUCCUAAAAUCCCCACAAAAAAUAGCCCCAAUUUUUUUGUGAUUUGUUCGUUUGAUGAUUUUUUGUUGAUUUUGAUCCAUGGAUUUGCUUGGUUUUGAGUGGAUCUAGCAUCUCUCCAAGUUUCCCCACCUUCCAUCCACGAAAUCCAUCCAAUUUUGCCCCUGAAAUCAUCCUUUUCCGCCCCAAAUUCGCCCCGAUUUCGAUCUGUGAAUUUUCCCGACACGAGCGGUACUACCGCCCUCGAAGCGGUACUACCGCCCUCGAAGCGGUACUACCGCUGAGCACCACAAGCGGUACUACCACCCUCCCAAGCUAUGACGCCCGGAUAAUUAAGCUACAGUAAUCCCCUUCUAAUGGUGCCAUGUCAUCACAUUACUGUUGCUAAUCCUCGCUUGAUCCAAAUCUUAGUUCAAACUCAAAUUCAAAUUAAAGACCAAAAUUCAAAUUUCUCAAGCAUGCAAAAUAAAAUGUUCAAAGUGUGGCAAAUAAUCGCUGGAUAUUUGUCAUGUUGCAAACAACCUCUUUUGAAUUCUCAAAAUGCCCCUGGGAAUUAAUUUUUGGUCCAGUAGUAAAUUAAAUGGCAUUUGCAAAAUAAAGAAUUGUUUAUUUAACUCCAAUUGCCUCCAAACUUUAUGUGCCACUCCAAAAUAUUUGUGGCUCUGUCUAAGAUCGCCAAGGAAUUAAAAGGGCACUUCCCAUAUUUUCCCUAAGUAAAUAGUGUGCCCAAAAUAUUCUCUUAACCAUCUCUAUUUUUUUAAAUAAAAAAAGGCGAAGAAGAACUCCCCCGGGCCUCGGGCCACUCCCACUUACCAGCCCACCUAAGCCGGCCCACUCCCCCGCUCCCCUAGCCUAUAGGCCACGGCCGACCGAACCCUAACCCCGCAUGAUCCCCCCACUCCCCACUCCUCUCCCCUCUCGAUCCGAUCUGGAUCGGACCGAAACCGGCGCAAUUGGUCGAUCCAUGUAUAAAGUAAAAAUAACUAGGCCCAAUUGGUCGAUCCAUGACAGUUUUCGUGACGGUACUUCCACGUCUGUCAUGAGGGGGCUACCCUACUUGGCCCCAAAUGGAUCUUGCUAAUUGGUGACGGUUUCCGUGAUAGAUUUCUGGAACGUCACCAGAAAUCCGUCAUUGAUUAACAGAUUUCCGCACAAUCCCCCCACUCCCCACUCCUCUUCCCUCCUGAUCCGAUCUGGAUCGGACCGAAAUCGGCGCCGCGACGCCAACCGCCGUCGCUGGAGGCGUCCCCGACUCCACGCCGGGCCGCCCCGUCACUGGACCUCCUCCCCGUCGCCACUCGUCACUCGCUGGACCGCCUCGUCCCCACCAAUGCCGCCCCCACCCCAACGUCCCCGACGCCUUCGCCGUCGGCACCGCCCCAAUGUCGCCGCCACCCGACGCCGGCGCCCUCGACAUCGCCACCCCGAGCCCACUGCCACCCCUACGCUCCGCUAUGAGCCCCUCGCUGAUUCCCCCUCCUUCCCGUCGUCGUAGGUGGCUGCGCGCGUCGUUGGCCAUCGUGGCCGCGCUCCGGCCGUUCCCCAUCCGUGCGCUGGCCUCGCCUUCCUCGGAUUGCAAACAUUGAACUUUUCCCCUCGGGUUCAUCUAUCUGACAGACGUUCGGGACCAGAAAAACUUUCCCGGAUGUUUCCCCCUUCGCCAGUAUCACCUAGCACCGCGUUAGAACACUUCUAGCCCCGCUUAUUGUCUUGUUAUGCAUAUGUUUGCGUGUAUUUACUGUUUCUUCCCCCUCUUCUUCUCCGGUAGACCUCGAGACCGUUGCUGAUGCCCCUGUGGUCGACUACGUCGACGGCGACCCUCCUUGUCUGAGCAACGAGGCAAGCCCCCCCUUUGAUCAUCCCGAUAUCGCCCAUUCCAUUCUCUAAUGCUUGCACUAGAUUUUCUACUGUAUUUGAUUGCUCCUAUUCUGAUGCAUAGCAUGCUUUUCUACCUGCUGUUGUACCUUACCUGCUUAUCCUAAACUGCUUAGUAUAGGUUGGCUAGUGAUCCAUCAGUGACCCCCACCUUGUCUUUGUUGCCCCUGCUUCAUCAUUGACGACUCGAUCAACGUGAUCGACGACCGGAGCCUGACACCUCACAUCACAUCACGCCCCUUUUUGUUGCUCGACUCUGCAGAGUUACCAUCGAGUGCCGAGGGUGGAACCUCAUACAUCACUCCUUAUGAGAUCUCUGUAGUGUAGCUAUUCGGUCGUGGUCAUCGAGGGUGGUUCCUCCUUCACCAUUCCUAAUACGGCUCUGUCGUGCAACACCUCAAGUGUGAACCUCGAGGGUGGUUCCUCUUACGUUCACCUUGAUGAUUACAUCGAGUGGAAUCCACCGGGGGUGAUUCCUCGGAUUUUCCCCUUUAUGUCUGGACACACAGUUACCUUGACUUCACUUGAGACCGUUUUGAAAGCCGGGCAGGCCCGGAGAGCACCCGUGCGGUGUGACGGUGGCGGCUGGCUGUUUAGCGGUAUCACCCGGGAGGGGGUGAUAGCUCCGGACUUGUCCCGACAGCCGUCACUUCUUUUAAUAAUGCACUAACAGGUUUGGGUAUUUUUUCUAAGUUCACUAACCACGACGCUAGAAUAGUUAUGGGUCUCGAUGUUGCAGUAUCAGCCGAAGCUUUCUCAGACGUCCAGUUCAGCAUUGUGGCCGGGCCGAAUCAUGCCAUCCACUUCACGGGUGGUGCUGGUAUCCCCUUGCGCACAACGACCCAGAGUGCAACGGGCGAUGGGCCCAGACCCCGGAGUGCUUAGGAUGUAGACCGGCAGGGACCUCUCUGCUGAGCCUAGGUAGGGCAGCUACGUGUUGAUCUUCCGAGGCCGGGCAUUGACCCCAGAAAGGUGUGUCCUUCCAGAGUGAUCGAGCGUGUUGGGUAACGUGGUGCCCCCCUGCAGGGAAGAUUAUCUAUUAAUAGCCGUGUCCACGGUAACGGACGUUCAAACUUAUAUCUUGAUCUUAUACAACUACAAAUGGAUACUUGAGAUAUGUGGCUCCGGGAUUGCUUUCUCGCAGGGAGUCGAGGAAGGAUCUCUGGGCGUUGUUGUCACAACAUGCUUGUUAAUUAAACUGCUAUUCUUUACUCUUCUACAUGCUGCAAGAUGCUUGGAGCUACUUGAAGAUGCUAGUCUUCAUGAGGCUAGGCCUUCCCCUCUAUUCUGGCAUUCUGCAGUUCAGUCCACAGAUACAACCCUUCCAUUUGAUACCAAUGCAUACUUAGUAUAGAUCUGAUGCUUGCGAGUACUUUGGAUGAGUACUCACGGUUGCUUUGCUACCCCAUUUCCCCCUUCUUUCUUCUUUCCGGUUGACGCAACCAAAUGGUGGAUCCCUGGAGCCAGAUGCCAGCGCUGAUAGAUGCUACUAUGUGAAGAUCGCCGACGACCAGGAGUAGUUAGGAGGUCCCAAGCAGGAGGCCUUGCCUCUUCGAUCAUUGUUGCUUUUGUGCUAGCCUUCUUAAGGCAUCUUUGUUUAACUUAUGUCUGUACUCAGAUAUUGUUGCUUCCGCUGACUCUUGUGUAUCGAGCUAUGUAUUCAAGCCCUCGAGGCCCCUGGCUUGUAAUAUAAAGCUUGUAUUAUUUUGAUUUGUGUCUAUAGUUGUGUUGUGAUAUCUUCCCGUGAGUCCCUGAUCUUGAUCAUACACAUUUGCGUGCAUGAUUAGUGUACGAUUGAAUCGGGGACGUCACAAGUUGGUAUCAGAGCCGACUGUUUGUAGGAUCCCCCUUUCCAACUCCUUGGCUGAAGUUGAGUCUAGUCUUUGAAAAAAAUUGUUUUACUAACAUGGUUGUGUGGCUUACGGGCCCAUGUCGCCAUUGGGUGGUAUUAGGAUCUUUUACUCCUCGACCUUUACUCUGGGACUCUAAUCGCUCUUCUAUUCGGGUUAAAUGGUCUCGCAAACUAUAACUCUAGGUUCUCGUAAAUACUUUCUCCCGGAGAGCCCCUUCAUUCCAGAUGAUGGCCUGCUUCACCAGAUGAUUUCGAAGAUACCCUUCUGUAAUUUCCUGAGACUUUUGUACUCAUUGCUUUUGCAGUUCCCUACCUCUGAUAUAUCCUUACGGAUAACUUCAUACACUUGUCAUUCAUACAAUCAUUCCUAGUUGCUCUUGUUUUUACAAGAUACAUUGAAUUAUUCUCCGACUUUUAAGAAUCCCUUGCUUACUGCCCUGCAGUUCCUUGCCGCAUGAAUACCCCUACGGAUAAUUACUCGCACUUGCCGAGUAUCCGUUCGUCCAUAGUUGUUCAUGUGUUUCACAACAUUCUUUGGAAAGCUAUUUGAUCUUUUCAAAAAUCCUCAGUAGCCUAUUACUCUUGUUCCUCCUUACCUACUUACAGUAUGGUUACUUCCAUUUGUCUAGCAAUAUUCUUUAAAAUCCUUUGCGAUUGACAUCCUUACCCUAUUGUUUCAACAUGUGUGUGAAUGCACGCAAUCAUCAAUUGUUCCCUGGAAUUGUCCUUCUGGCUCAGACGUUACCCCGGACACGAGCUGGUGUUCGACAAAACAAACCUUGAUUGAUUUUGAAUCUAUGUCUAUACAACUUAAUUGUCUUUGAUCAGAGCCUCUGCUUUUGAUCCCCCAUUUUGAAAAUCAUAAUCCCCUUUGCAUUCGAGCAUAGAAUUAGUCAGUUGUUUCUAUAACCUGACCUCCUUGAAUUCUUUCUUCUUCUGGUUGAGUAUCGAUACUCACAUCAGAUCCAUUGUGGACCUCCAGGUCCUUUGUUGGUUUUUAUCCGACAGCAUCCUUCAUAUUCAGUAACCUUGUGAGCCUUUCCUCGAAUACACAAUGCCUUUGGUAAAUUGUAUCCCCCACUCUCGUCAACCAUACUCUGCUUCCGGGCUUGAGUUAUUUACUCGUGAAGUUUGUGGUAUAUGUUCCUAAUAUGUCCCUAUGGGUUGAAUCUAUGUCUUCCCUAAAUCUGUGUGAACCCUACGACUCAUACUCUACUGGUGUUAUGCCAGAUAAAAUCUCAACAGUACGGCUUCGUUGAAAAUGAGAAGUGAAUGAAAGGUUAUGCAUCGAAGAAGUGGGAGUCGACCUUGAGCCUUGUGUUCAUGCCCAUGGACACGAUGUGGAACUUAACAUGGAAGCUUCUUUUUAUAAUAAUAGCCCCCUAGCGAUAAGUACAUCUUGUAUCCAUGUGUGGUCCAUUGCAAUCGUGGUUCCGACCAUAUUGUUCUUGUUUGAUCCAUUUAUCGGACAAGUUAAAGUACUUGUCUUCUUCAAAUUGUUUCACAUGUUCAACCUCUACAUUGAUAUACCUUCGAGCAUUAUCCUCUGGUAUCUCGAGAAUAUCACGGAACUACAUAACUUCUUAUGAGUUCUUGAUCAACUAUUAUUUCUCACUGAUUCAAAUUUUUCACUAGUUGGGAGUUGUUAGACACUCGAGAAUACAGUUAACUGAUUCAAGUCUACGCUUUCCUUUCCAUUGUUCUGUUUAAUCUUUCUGGUAACCUAUCUUAUCUGAGAACUGAUAAUUCCCUGCUUAUGUAAACACCUCGGUGUACAAGCUCUGUCUGUAAGACCUUGUUACUAUUGUUGAGGACAUUCCGAUAGCUACCGAUGGACGAGAACUUUGCCUAUUGGUCCGCCUCAUCUUAACGAGCAGGAAAAUGGUUCUCUUUGUCCCUCUCCCUUGGUACCAACGUUGUUGCCAACAUAACUGACAAGUUGUCCUCUGACCUGCCUUGCUAUCAUGACCAUGCAAAAUGCUAGCGCCCUUCCUGCUUUUAACCCACAAGGUGGGCCUGAGGGAGUCCUGGACUAGGCGGUGUCCGGACAGCCGGACUAUCAUCGUCCGCCGGACUCCAAGACUACGAAGAUACAAGAUUGAAGACUCCGUCCCGUGUCUGGAUGGGACUUUCCUUGGCGUGGAAGGCAAGCUUGGAAAUACGGAUAUGUAGAUCUCCUACCAUUGUAACCGACUCUGUGUAACCCUAGCCUCCUCCGGUGUCUAUAUAAACCGGAGGGCUUUAGUCCGUAGGACACAACAUACAUUACAACAAUCAUACCAUAGGCUAGCUUUAGGGUUUAGCCUCCUUGAUCUCGUGGUAGAUCCACUCUUGUACUACCCAUAUCAUCAAUAUUAAUCAAGCAGGAUGUAGGGUUUUACCUCCAUCGAGAGGGCCCGAACCUGGGUAAAACAUCGUGUCCCUCGUCUCCGGUUACCAUCCGCCUAGACGCACAGUUCGGGACCCCCUACCUGAGAUCCGCCGAUUUUGACACCGACAUUGGUGCUUUUAUUGAGAGUUCCUCUGUGUCGUCACCAAUAGGCUCGAUGGCAUCUUCAACCAACAACGCUGUCCAGGGUGAGACUUUUCUCCCCGGACAGAUCUUUGUAUUCGGCGGCUUCGCACUGCGGGCUAAUUCGUUUGGCCAUCGGAGCAGAUCGAAAGCUACGCCCCUGGCCGUCAGGUCAGAUUCGGAAGUCUCAACUUCACGGCCGACGUCCGCGGAGACUUGAUCUUCGACGGGCUCGAGCCACAGCCAAGCGCGCCGCACUGUUACGAUGGGCAUGAUCUAGCUCUGUCGCCGAACAGUGCCUUGGUGGCCGCCCACGAAUCCGCUUCGGCCUUUAGUCCGGGGCCGAUCGCCCAGACCGAGGAACGGUGGAUGGACACCGCCUCGGGGGCUUCAACUUCCACGGCGAUGGAGCCGAACACUAAUCUUGUCCCUCGCAAAACUCGUGAUUCCGAGGUGCCGGACUCCUUGCCGGACUCCGAAGCUCCCACGCCCCUACCAACCGAAUCGGAUUGGGCGCCGGUUAUGGAAUUCACCGCCGCGGACAUCUUCCAAUACUCGCCUUUUGGCGACAUCCUGAAUUCGCUAAAGCAUCUCUCGUUAUCAGGAGAGCCCUGGCCGGACUAUGGCCAGGAUGGUUGGGAUACGGACGACGAAGAAAUUCAGAGCCCACCCACCACCCACUUUGUAGCCACUGUCGACGAUCUAACCGACAUGCUAGACUACGACUCCGAAGACAUCAACGCUAUGGACGACAAUGCCAGAGACGAACAGGAACCAGCGCCUACAGGGCACUGGAAGACCACCUCGUCAUAUGACAUAUACAUGGUGGAUACCCCAAAAGACGGGGACGGCGAAGAAACAGCGGAGGCAUAUUCUUUAAAGAAACAGCCCAAGCGCCGGCAUCAGCGGCGCUGCUCUAAAUCCCGCCACGGCAAGAAUGGAGAUUCCAGCACAGGAGAUAAUAAUACCCCAGAAAGUGCCGAAGAUAACCCCCUCCAGCAAGACUCAGCGCAGGAGGAUGCAGAAGCAAGCCCUCACGAGAAGGCGGCAGACAAAGAGGUUGAGGAUUACAACUAUAUGCCUCCCUCCGAAGACGAGGCAAGCCUCAACGAUGACGAAUUCGUCGUGCCCGAGGAUCCCGUCGAACAAGAGCGUUUUAAACGCAGGCUUAUGACCACGGCAAAUAGCCUAAAGAAAAAGCAGCAGCAGCUUCAAGCUGAUCAGGACCUGCUGGCCGAUCGAUGGACCGAGGUCCUCGCGGCCGAAGAGUAUAAACUCGAAUGCCCCUCCAAAAGCUAUCCAGGACGCAAGCUGCUCCCCCGAUUAGAGGAGGAAGCAUACAUACCUCCAUCACCAGCGCACGAUACGGCUGACCGACCACCCCGUGGUCGUGACAGAGAGGCAUCCAGGCCCCCAACCAAGACCGUACCCCGGCAUCGCUCGAAAAGUAUGAAGCCAAGAGGGAACGCGCCGGACUUGCGAGAUAUAUUGGAGGACAAAGCAAGGCAAUCCAGAUCCAUCUACGGAUCACGGGGGUGCCCCACGACCCAUGACGAAUACCGUCGCGCCGGAUACAAUAACCCCGGCCGGGCCGAACACAGCAGACAACGCUCUCUCGAGUUGCAUCGUGAUAUUGCUCAAUAUAGAGGCGCCGCACACCCGCUAUGCUUCACAGACGAAGUAAUGGAUCAUCAAAUCCCUGAAGGGUUUAAACCCGUAAACAUCGAAUCCUACGAUGGCACAACAGACCCUGCGGUUUGGAUCGAAGAUUACCUUCUCCACAUCCAUAUGGCCCGCGGCGACGAUCUACAUACCAUCAAGUACCUCCCACUCAAGCUUAAAGGACCAGCUCGGCAUUGGCUCAACAGCUUGCUCGCAGAGUCAAUUGGGUGUUGGGAAGACCUAGAAGCCGCAUUCCUUGAUAACUUCCAGGGCACGUAUGUGCGACCACCAGACGCCGAUGACCUAAGUCACAUCAUUCAGCAGCCAGACGAAUCGGCCAGACAAUUCUGGACACGGUUCUUGACAAAGAAAAAUCAAAUCGUCGACUGUCCGGAUGCAGAGGCCCUUGCAGCCUUCAAACAUAACACCCGCGACGAAUGGCUAGCCCGGCACCUGGGGCGGGAAAAGCCGAAAUCCAUGGCAGCCCUCACAUCAUUAAUGACCCGCUUUUGCGUGGGAGAGGAUAGCUGGCUAGCUCGCAGCAACAAUCUCCGUAAAAAUUCUGGCAGUCCAGACACCAAGAACAAUAAUGGCAGGUCACGUCGAAACAAAAACAAACGCCGCAUCAACGGCAAUGAUAAGGAGGAUACGGCAGUCAACGCCGGAUUCCGAGGCUCUAAACCCGGUCAACGGAAGAAGCCAUUCAAAAGAACCACUCCGGGUCCGUCUAAUUUGGACCGAAUACUCGACCGCUUAUGCCAGAUACAUGGCACCCCUGAAAAGCCAGCUAAUCACACUAAUAGAGACUGCUGGGUGUUCAAGCAGGCAGGUAAGUUAAUUGCCGAAAACAAUGACAAGGGGCUAAACAGCGAGGACGAGGAGGAGACCCGACCGCCGAACAAUAGAGGACAAAAGGGUUUUCCCCCACAAGUGCGGACGGUGAACAUGAUCUACGCGACCCAUAUACCCAAUUGGGAGAGGAAGCGUGCACUAAGGGACGUCUAUGCGAUGGAGCCAGUCGCCCCGAAGUACAAUCCAUGGUCCUCUUGUCCGAUCACUUUCGAUCGAAGAGACCAUCCGACCAGCAUACGCCAUGGCGGAUUCGCCGCAUUGGUUCUAGACACAAUCGUCGAUGGAUUUCACCUCACGAGAGUCCUGAUGGACGGCGGUAGUAGCCUGAACCUGCUUUAUCAGGACACAGUGUGCAAAAUGGGCAUAGACCCCUCAAGGAUUAAACCUACAAAGACAACCUUUAACAGUGUCAUACCAGGUGUGGAAGCCAACUGUACAGGCUCAGUCACACUGGAAGUGGUCUUCGGAUCCCCGGACAAUUUCCGGAGCGAGGAGUUAAUCUUCGACAUAGUCCCGUUUCGCAGCGGCUAUCACGCUCUGCUCGGACGAAUCGCGUUCGCAAAAUUCAACGCGGUGCCGCAUUGUGCAUACCUCAAGCUCAAGAUGCCAGGCCCUCAUGGAGUCAUCACGGUCAAUGGGAAUACGGAACGCUCCCUCCGAACGGAGGAACAUACAGCGGCUCUCACGGCAGAAGUACAGAGCAGCCUUUUAAGGCAAUUCUCGAGUCCGGCCAUUAAACGGCCGGAUACAUCAAAGCGCGCCCGAAGCAAUACCAACCAAGACCACCUGGCGUGAUCAGAGCACGCGUAGCAAUGCGGCCCCAACCCCCGCCCGCGCGUGAUUGCAAGAAUAACCCUCCGCGUACAUCAUUACGCUUUGGAGAUACCAUGGGCGCAGGGGAAGGGGCACGAUCACAACGGACCCAGAGUGCAGUUCGACCGCACCAGGGGCUCGCAAGUGUGCCCCCUUUUUUUUAUUGUUAUUUUCCCUCUUUGUGUACACAGGACUCCGUUAGCCAGAGGCCCUAUCCGGCGGUGAACCUGCCGAACUCAUGAUGCAAUAACCAGGGAAGAAAGAACGCUGCGACGAACACUCAGGUGGUCUCAAUUACAAGCAUUAAAUUCGAUUAUAUACACCAAGUCCGCAGCUUACCCUUGGAGGGGGACAUGUUUAAUUAGUCCAAAUCCCUUGCUUACCACACUAUUUGUAUCAGUCCGCACUCAUAGCAGACUUUCUUUCAUAAAUAAUGCAGCACCUUUUUGACUGCAAUUACAUUACCUUUUAUAUAUAUAUGCUCAUUACAUGACAUCUUGCACCCGUAUAUUUUGGUACGGCCUAAUACACCAGGGGCUUAUGUUCCCCACAUUAUGGUGUGAUAAGUCCGAACACUUUCGUAAGUGCAGCACCCCGAACUUAUAGCACUAUAUGAAUCGGCUCCGAAUCAUGUCUUGGGUCAAUAGUUGGGUUUGCCCGGCUCCCACGUUUUGGUGCCUUACGUUCCGUUCUGUCGGCUAAGGUGGCACUGGGAGAACCACUGCGAUUGCGCCCCGGUUGAGCCGGGCGAGCACCUCAGUGGAGAAAGCUAAAACUGACCGGCAUGAUAAGGCGAGAGACUGGUCGCUGUUCGAGAGGUUUUUUCGGGUCCUUAAAGACUCACGCCACUUCGAGCGAAGUUCCGGACCAUGUCUGACGAAGGCGUGGAUAGCGCCCCGGAUUCGGCCUUUCGGAUACCAGGGGCUUCGCCGAAAUUUAAAAUUAUAGAAUUCUAUGGCUAAGUGAGAGUGUUCAAGCAUUAUAAGUCCGGUCGCCUUGUUCGUUGUGUUGAGCACCUCCCUAGAUGGACCCAAAAAUGGGAAUAAGAGUGCUCAAGUUUAUCCCGAACACCCCAGCACUCGUGGCUCGGGGGCUGAAGCCAAUGACUUUCCAUCUCUCAGAUUUUAUAAACGGCCGCACAGAAGGUAAUAUUUUAAAUUAAAACAAGCGUUGCUCAUGGCGCAUCUGAACGAAGUUUUCAGCGCACAGGAUAAUACAUAGCGAGUUCACUCAAAGAUUACAUUUCUAGGGCACUCAUCCGCAAUAUCGCGGGCUCCCUUCAGGACAGUUUUAUAAUACAUUUCAGGCGUGCGAUACUCCUUGCCCGGCGGCGGUGGGUCUGUGAGAAGCUUCUCCGCAUCCAACCUGCCCCAAUGCACCUUUGUGCGGGCAAGGGCCCGACGAGCACCUUCAAUACAGGCGGAGCGCUUGAUGACCUCCACCCAGGGGCAUGCAUCCACCAGCCGCCGCACGAGGCCGAAGUAGCUACCAAGCAUGACCUGUUCAGGCCACAGCCGGACUAUAAGGCCCUUCAUGGCCUCUUCAGCUACCUUGUGGAGUUCGACCAGCUGCUUCAGCUGGUCGCUUGGGGGCACCGGAUGGCCUGCCUCAGCGUACUAAGACCAGAAGACCUUCUCCGUUGAGCUCCCCUCCUCGCCACGAUAGAAUGCGGCGGCAUCGGAGGCACUACACGGCAGAUCUGCAAACACCCCUGGAGAGCUCCGAAUGCGGGUAAUUGUCAGGUAGUUUACAUUAACAUGCUUGCUUUGCAUGAAAAAUGCCUUACCCGCCGCUAUCUUCUUUACAUCUUCAACCUCCUGAAGGGCCUUACGGGCCUCGGCCUUGGCGGACUUGGCACUUUCGAGAGCCGAGGCAAGCUCGGACUCUCGAGUCUUGGAGCCUCCUGCUUUUCUCGCUCCGCCCGUUCCGCGACCGCACUGCGUUCAGCCGCGGACACAGCCUCCUUCAGGGCUGCCACCUCGUUCGUGGCCCCUGCAAUACCCAUAUUAUCCUUGUUAAUUUUAUUGCAACCAAAAUCCUUUUCCGUAAGGUGACUAUUCAAAGCGGUGUUACUCACCUUCUUUGUCCUCGAGCUGCUUCUUGGCAGUGCCGAGCUCUUGCUCGGACCGCUCGAGAUCCUGCUUCAACACAUCGACCUCCGCCGUCAGUGCGGCAGAGGUCAGUAGCGCAGCCUGCAAACCCAUAUUGACAUAUUUUAAGCAACCCUGCGUAUAUCUUGUUAGAUCCUCAGUCCGGCUUUUCUUUCCGAACACCGAACUGAGCAUCAAGGGCUACUGUCUAUGCGGUAUUACAUUACAUAAUUUUAACUUCUUACCUCAAAGCCUGUUAGAAGGCUGCUGCAGGCUUCGGUCAGCCCGCUCUUGGCGAGCUAAACCUUUUGAAUCACCGCACUCAUGUUAGUGCGAUGUUUUUCCUCGAUGGAAGCGCCUUCAAGCGCCUCCAACAAGUUAUCCGGCGCCUCCGGUUGGACGGAGGUCGCCGGUGUCAAGGUCUUGCCCUUCUUUCGAAGGGGCCGCCCGCCGGACUCUAGAACCACUGCGGGUUCCGAUGUAGAGUCCGGCACAAAGUCUGGGAGGCAGCCUGACGACGCCUCCGGAGCCUCCUCCUGAUGGGUCCCUCUCUGGGAUCCCACCUCGGCGUCCCCGUCGGCGCGGGGGGUAGAGGCGGUCGGAAGUGAAUCCACAUCUAACGGGGCCAACGACCCGCUCGAUGAAGCGGGGAGAUCAUCAUCGGCCGGACUACGGACAGAACGCGGCAUUAGAAGGACACUACGCGACACGAAAGAAAUUGCAUAUCAUGGAUCCGGAUACUUACGAUCUUGUCGGACGCCUGGCCCUUGGAGGCCACUCAUCCUCGCCAACGGUGGUGUUGGCGAAACUGUCCGGGGGGAUAGUCCUCCCCCUCUUGGACCCUUCGGCCUCCCCUAUUGGGAAAGCCUUCCACUUCUUCUCUCCCUCCUCCGAGAGAGAGUCCUCUUCCUCCUCCUCGUCUUUGGGGGAGGAGUCCGCCUCGUCGUCGGACGCCUAAUUGCGGGAACUCUUUCGAGUCCCCGCGGCCACCUUCUUGGCCUUCUUCUCCGGCACCACGUGCGGUGCCGGAACCAGCAGCCCUGCUAAACGGGCGUUCUCUGGGUCUUCAGGCAUGGGAGCCGGGCUGAUGAGCUGCUUGGCCUUCUCCAUCCAUUCCUAUCAAAGGAAAAGAGAGAUUGAAACCCUCUUAGAAUCAGUUUAAUUACCACAAGUGUCCCGUAACGUGGUUGAAUCACUUACCUCGUCAGCCGGAUGCUGCGAGCGAAAUCCGUGAUCUUCCGUCGCGGAUGCGGGGGCUUCGGCGCCCUUAAACAGCACCCUCCAGGCGCCUUCGUAUGUCGUAUCGAAGAGCCCGCUCAGCGCCUGGUGCUGUUCCGGAUUGAACUCCCACAGAUUGAAUACCCGUUCUUGGCAUGGGAGAAUCCGGCGGAUGAGCAUGACUUGGACCACGUCGACGAGCCUGAGCUUAUUGCUCACCAGCUUCUGGAUGCAGGCUCGGAGUCCCGUCACCUCCUUCGGAUUUCCCCACAGCAAGCCCUUCUCUUUCCAGGAGGUGAACUGCGUGGGGACGCCAGAUCUAAACUCGGGGGCCGCCGCCCAUGUGGGCUUGCGCAGCUCGGUGAUGUAGAACCAACCCGAUUGCCACCCCUUGACGGAGUCCACGAAGGCCCCUUCGAGCCAAAGGACGUUGGGCAACUUACCCAACAUGGCGCCUCCGCAUUCCGCUUGCGUGCCCUUCACAACCUUCGGCCUCCCCUAUUGGGGAAGCCUUCCUCUUCUUCUCUCCCUCCUCCGGGAGAGAGUCCUCUUCCUCCUCCUCGUCUUCGGGGGAGGAGUCCGCCUCGUCGUCAGACGCCUGAUUGCGGGAACUCUUUCGAGUCCCCGCGGCCACCUUCUUGGACUUCUUCUCCGGCACCACGUGCGGUGCCGGAACCAGCAGCCCUGCUAAACGGGCGUUCUCUGGGUCUUCAGGCAUGGGAGCCGGGCUGAUGAGCUGCUUGGCCUUCUCCAUCCAUUCCUGUCAAAGGAAAAGAGAGAUUGAAACCCUCUUAGAAUCAGUUUAAUUACCACAAGUGUCCCAUAACGGGGUUGAAUCACUUACCUCGUCAACCGGAUGCUGCGAGCGAAAUCCGUGAUCUUCCGUCGCGGAUGCGGGUGCUUCGGCGCCCUUAAACAGCACCCUCCAGGCGCCUUCGUAUGUCGUAUCGAAGAGCCCGCUCAGCGCCUGGUGCUGUUCCGGAUUGAACUCCCACAGAUUGAAUGCCCGUUCUUGGCAUGGGAGAAUCCGGCGGAUGAGCAUGACUUGGACCACGUCGACGAGCCUGAGCUUAUUGCUCACCAGCUUCUGGAUGCAGGCUCGGAGUCCCGUCACCUCCUUCGGAUUGCCCCACAGCAAGCCCUUCUCUUUCCAGGAGGUGAACUGCGUGGGGACGCCAGAUCUAAACUCGGGGGCCGCCGCCCAUGUGGGCUUGCGCAGCUCGGUGAUGUAGAACCAACCCGAUUGCCACCCCUUGACGGAGUCCACGAAGGCCCCUUCGAGCCAAAGGACGUUGGGCAACUUACCCAACAUGGCGCCUCCGCAUUCCGCUUGCGUGCCCUUCACAACCUUCGGCUUGACGUUGAAGGUCUUGAGCCACAGGCCGAAGUGGGGCCGGAUGCAGAGGAAGGCCUUGCACACGACGAUAAACGCCGAGAUGUUGAGGAUGAAGUUCGGCGCCAGAUCGUGGAAAUCCAGGCCGUAGUAAAACAUGAUCCCCCGGACGAAUGGGUGGAGUGGAAAGCCCAGUCCGCGGAGGAAGUGGGGAAGGAAGACGACCCUCUCAUGGGGCCCAGGGGUAGGGAUGAGCUGCCCCUCGUCGGGCAGCCGAUGCGCGAUAUCGCCGGAAAGGUAUCCGGCGCUGCGAAGCUUGGUGAUAUGCUCCUCCUUAACGGUGGAGUCCAACCAUUUGCCUCCCGCUCCGGACAUAUUCGGAGAAGGUCGGGGCGAGAUGCGCGAGCUUGGGCGUUGGAGCUUGAGUGCACGGAGAUGGAUAAGCAAAGGAGGAAGAAGGCGUAGGUGAGAAGGUAAAUCCUUAUCCCUUAUAUAUAGGCGGACGAAAACUAUGCGUCCCCACCGGCCUGAUAAAACUCGCUUAUCUCCCAAGCGCCACCAUCAAUGGCGCGGUUGGGUUACCCACGUCCGUAUUGAUGGGAAUCCCGGAAUAAGGGGAACACAAUCUCUGCUUCGACAAGACGUGCCAAGGAAACCGCUUCGCUAAACGUGCUGAGGUGGUAUAGUAAAAAACGAUUCAAACAAAGGCUUGGUAGCGGUGUGAUGUCACGCCGCAUAAUACGUCAGCAGAUUGGACUGGUGUACAUUUUAUUCUCUCUACGGUGGAAUGUGGAAUUUAUUUUGCAGAGCCGGACACUAUCCUGGUGUUCAUGAUCUUCUCUGGAUUAUUCAAGGGAGGAACCCGCCUUGCAAUGCCGAACAUUAUGCGCGCCGGACUUAUCGUCAUUGAAGCCUGGUUCAGGGGCUACUGAGGGAGUCCUGGACUAGGGGGUGUCCGGACAGCCGGACUAUCAUCGUCCGCCGGACUCCAAGACUACGAAGAUACAAGAUUGAAGACUCCGUCCCGUGUCCAGAUGAGAUUUUCCUUGGCGUGGAAGGCAAGCUUGGCAAUACGGAUAUGUAGAUCUCCUACCAUUGUAACCGACUCUGUGUAACCCUAGCCUCCUCCGGUGUCUAUAUAAACCGGAGGGCUUUAGUCCGUAGGACACAACAUACAUUACAACAAUCAUACCAUAGGCUAGCUUUAGGGUUUAGCCUCCUUGAUCUCGUGGUAGAUCCACUCUUGUACUACCCAUAUCAUCAAUAUUAAUCAAGCAGGACGUAGGGUUUUACCUCCAUCGAGAGGGCCCGAACCUAGGUAAAACAUCGUGUCCCUCGUCUCCUGUUACCAUCCGCCUAGAUGCACAGUUCGGGACCCCCUACCCGAGAUCCGCCGGUUUUGACACCGACAGGGCCCAUAACCCACAGUUCCACAGGAUCGAAACCUGACUCAUGUACAUCCCUGUUUUUCAAAGUUGUUCCUCGCGCUUGGAUUCGUAUGUAAUUCACGAGCCACCUUCCUUGUGAUCUGUUCUGGUAUCAGAUGCAAUACUUAUUCCCAUUGCUCUAAACCCCUUUCACCUUCUUACCUUGCUCUCGAUGACUAUCCUGAAUUCCAACUCAAGAGAUGCCUCUAUGCCAUGUUGAGGUACCUAUCUUGUGUUGAGCUCCAUCCCUCCCGAGUCUUUCCCCCUUACUCACCCCUUAAAUCUCGAGACGAUAUUUCUUGUAGUGGAGGAGAAUUGUGACGCCCAAAUAAUUAAGCUACAGUAAUCCCCUUUUAAUGGUUCCAUGUCAUCACAUUACUAUUGCUAAUCCUCGCUUGAUCCAAAUCUUAGUUCAAACUAAUAUUCAAAUUAAAGACCAAAAUUCAAAUUUCUCAAGCAUGCAUAAUAAAAUGUUCAAAGUGUGGCAAAUAAUCCCUGGAUAUUUGUCAUGUUGGAAACAACCUCCUUAGAAUUUUCAAAAUGCCCCUGGGAGUUAAUUUUUGGUCAAGUAGUAAAUUAAAUGGCAUUUGCAAAACAAAUAAUUAUUUAUUUAACUCCAAUUGCCUCCUGUCGUGGGAAACGAACACCUAUGGGGCAGGGCCCCUUUUCGGUCUGGCAAGGGAGCGGAGGGCACACGAAGAGCAGAUCGAGGCGAAGCACGCGGGGGAAUUUUACCCAGCUUCGGAGCUCUCCGGAGAGAUAAAACUCCUACUGCUGCUUUGUGUUUCUAUUCUGUUCUUGCUCAAGAGUGUGGGUGUGUUGUAGUUUCGAAUGAGUCGAACCCCUUCUACGUGCGCAUGGGCCUCCUUUUUAUAGUCUAAAGGGGUCACCGACAGGUGGCAGCAUAGAGAGAGGGGUAAAAAAGUAAAAACGCGGGUUGGUACAACCGCUAUCAACAGUGCCCCCUACCUAACUCUGACAGCAGGGGACAAGGGCAUUUAAUGCCCAUCCGGUCGCCCAAACAGUGCAGGAAGUGACCGUUAGGGGCGCCACCAAUCGCCACGAUGGCCUCCUAGUCAUCUUCACUUGCCACCUCGCACCGCUUGGCUGCACAGCUACCCGCCACGUGCACCGGGAGCGAUCCUGCGGCGACACGUCAUCGGAUGCGCUGGAGCAUGGGCGCAGAGUUGUGGCUUUGCCGCGGCAAGCGCCUUGCCGCGGUCACUAUCUUGUUGCACCCGCAAGCUUGCCGCUCGCCGGGUCUUGGUUGGCCUUCCCGGCAAGAUCCUCCUGCCGGGGUCUUGUCCUUCCCGGCAAGCUUCUCUUGCCGGGGCUUCGUCUUCACAGUUAACACUUUGUUCUUGAAUGGCAGUAAAUAGGAAUGACGAAGGAUCUUGGCGGACGCCCGGCAAGCCUUGCCGCAGGACGCUGCGCCUGCCCGUGCACAAGUUCGGGGUACUAAGGUACCCCUACUUUAGUACACCGACUGGAGCCCCCGGGCCUGGGCCAUACACGGUGCUGAGCGCUGUUGGGCCAGGCCCAAAACAGGACACGGGCACGCGCGGCCUGGGUCCUAACUAAAUCCACUCCGUAUCCACCGCGUCCUCCCGUAACGGCACGCGUCAAUCGCGGCGUCGUGGGAGAGAUCGUGGGUGGAAGACGUUCGCGCGUAUCCACAGCCUGAUGGAGGGGUUUACCCUCCAUUUUAAGUUAAUGGAGGGCGAUCUCCUCUCCGUCAAGGUCUUCGGGUGCUUCGACACUCGGGCGAAGUGCUGCGUGGACAGCUCCUCCGAUAGCAAAGGCUCCCCCUCGAGCGAGAGCGACAAGGAGGAGAGCAACAGCGAUGAUGAGGGUAGCGGGCGGCGGGAUGGCGGGCCCGACUAGGUGUCGGGCGCCGCUUCGUGCGUCACCGGUGACCCCAUCAUCCGUGUCGCCGGCUCCUUGAACUCCCCGGGGUCGUCUCCUUGGGCGGCUGGCGUAGGGAGGCUGCGGAAGGGGAAGAGGGCUGGCGACAAGGCCGUCAAAUCGGAGUACGAGGGCGUAGUGCCCUCGACAGCGUGCUGACGUCCUGCCGCCCCAUCUUCGAGCCCCGCUUCCAGCGCCGCCAUCACCGUCCGGCCUUCGGACGGCCCCCGGGAUGUUCUCUUGGUGUCUUCGCCUAGGCGCCUCUUUUGCCCUUUUCGCCUCCUUGACCUACAUCCUGAAGAGAGGGACAGGAAAGGGAUUACGGGCAUCUUAUCUUUUUAAUUUGUAAGCCUUCGGGCCCUAGUCGCAUCUAAAACUUGUAACCCUCUCUUUCAUGUUUUUCAUCCUCUAUGGACUGUACCUGAGUGUGAUGUUUUUUUAAUGAAAAAGGGAUGCUUGCCGGGUUAUUUGUCUCAUGGGUUGAACCCACGCCAAGGAGCAAAUCCUUGGUAUCCCUCGGACAGGCAUUUCAUCUCCCGCCAACAGGCCCUGCCGCCUUCCCACGUCGCUCGACCUUUCUCACGCCUUUGACGGAGGCGGGAACGAGGUGGGUGCGGCCUCCUCAUUUCAUCCCUUUGCUGCUGUGACUACGACCAAACUUGGCCCCGGGAACGAGCCCCAGGGCCUAGAGUUGAGGGAGCACGGCAGUUUUCGGGAAGAAACGCGGUUUCGCAUUCCCCAGUCCAUAAGAGGAUGCAUGAUGAGGGACGAAAGACUUAUCUGAUAUCGCAGCCCCCGGCAACUCUGGCUUGCCGUGGAUGAAUCUUGGUACUCGCAGCCCCCAGCAACACUGGCUUGCCGGGGCCCAGGUGCCGGCGCGCCCUUCUUCUCCUUUCCUUGUCGCUGUUAUUUCAGUUAUGAGAACAAUUUAGUCAGUGCCGCAAUAAGUUACUCUUGUAAUAUAACUUUAUUCUGGGCAAUGCUUGUUAUGUUACAUCCUUUAUUUGAUUCCAUUCCUUGUAUGUUUGUACCCUUACGCUUUUACGGAACUUGCCGGUGCAAACACGCUUGCCACGAGCGCUGAGUGCAAAACAUCAGCAGCCUUCUAGCGGUGUUGCCUCCGGCAAGAAACCUUGUCGGGGCUAGUCGCAGCACACUUUCAUUGUUGAGCGGACUCAAAACAAAGUAAGGGUGCAACUUAACCACGAGCCGGUUCCUCUGCGCACAGGUUUUCCAUACAAGGCAUGGUCGUUCAAGGAAUAUAACUUAAAAAUUUAAAACUGACUGUGCUUAAACUUCGGCAACUUAGCUUUUUUGUUGUUUGUGUCCNNNNNNNNNNNNNNNNNNNNNNNNNNNNNNNNNNNNNNNNNNNNNNNNNNNNNNNNNNNNNNNNNNNNNNNNNNNNNNNNNNNNNNNNNNNNNNNNNNNNNNNNNNNNNNNNNNNNNNNNNNNNNNNNNNNNNNNNNNNNNNNNNNNNNNNNNNNNNNNNNNNNNNNNNNNNNNNNNNNNNNNNNNNNNNNNNNNNNNNNNNNNNNNNNNNNNNNNNNNNNNNNNNNNNNNNNNNNNNNNNNNNNNNNNNNNNNNNNNNNNNNNNNNNNNNNNNNNNNNNNNNNNNNNNNNNNNNNNNNUGUGGGCGCAGGAAUCUUCUCUUUGAGAAAAAGGAAGAAGAGAAAAUAAAGUUAUGGAGCCUUAAGGCUUGUUAUUGCUUACCGGGGGCAAGUUCUGCACAAAGUGUCAGUGUAUACAUGCUAAAAAGAAAAAGGCAUGAAUUUUGACAAUAUGUACUAAACAUAUGAUCUUUAUUUAUGCACGGGAUCUGCGCCCGGCUUUGUACAAAGGGUUACAUGCAACAACGGCAAGGCUUGUACAAAAGGUGGUUGCCAGGACAGCAGGUUCCGGCAACCGCGCCUUAUGGGUAAAACUUACGAAGAUGAUCUAUGUUCUAGGAGUUGCUCACCGGAAUGCCAUCUUCGGUCUCAAGGCGGACAGCGCCAGGCCUAGUGACUCGCUUUACCCGAUAAGGGCCUUCCCACUUCGGCGUCAACUUGUUGGAAUUCUUGGCAGAUUGAACGCGCCGAAGAACAAGGUCACCUUCCUCGAAGCUUCUGGCAUUAACUUCGCGGCUAUGGUAGCGGCGCAAAGCUUGCUGGUAGCGAGCAGCUCGUACAGCAGCCUGAAGACGAUCCUCCUCGAGGAGCAGCGCGUCAUCUUGCCGCAGCUGCUCUUGCUCAAGCUCAUCAUAAGCGAGCACUCGAGGCGAUCCGUAUACGAGUUCUGUGGGGAGAACUGCCUCUGCUCCAUAGACAAGAGCAAAAGGUGUCUGGCCAGUGGCUCGAUUUGGCGUCGUCCUGAUCGACCAAAGAACCACCUGUAGCUCCUCGAUCCAAUUUCUUCCGCACUUGUGCAGCCUGUCGAAAGUUCUGGUCUUGAGCCCACGCAGCACUUCAGCGUUUGCCCUCUCCGCUUGACCGUUGCUUCUCGGGUGAGCAACAGAAGCGAAGCAGAUCUUGGCGCCAAGAUCUUGGACGUACUGCAUGAAGGUGCAGCUCGUGAAUUGUGUGUUGUUGUCGGUGAUGAUCCUAUUAGGGACUCCGGAACGGCAAACAAUUGACCUGAAGAACUUGACUGUUGACUGUGCUGUCACCUUCCUCACUGGCUCCACCUCCGGCCACUUCGUGAACUUGUCGAUGGCCACGUACAAGUACUCGAAGCCCCCGACAGCUCGGGGAAAAGGGCCAAGGAUAUCAAGCCCCCAGACUGAAAAUGGCCAGGAUAAAGGGAUUGUUUGGAGAGCUUGAGCUGGUUGAUGAAUCUGUUUGGAGUGGAACUGGCACGCUUCACACUUGGUUACUUGUGCAGUCGCAUCCUGGAGGGCUGUUGGCCAAAAGCAACCUUGCCGGAAGGCUUUACUGGCAAGUGCUCUUGCGCCAAUGUGGUGGCCACAUAUGCCUCCAUGUAUCUCCGCCAACAGCUCUUGUCCUUCUUCCCGGGAAAUGCACUUCAAUUUCACUCCGUUGAAUCUUCUUCUGUACAGUAUGUCAUCGACAAACUGAUACAUACUUGAUUGUCGGGCUACUUUCUCUGCUUCUUCUUGCUCUUCGGGAAGUUCUCCUGUUUGAAGGAAAUGGACGAUCUGCUGUGCCCAUGCCGGAGCUUGUGGCUCGACGACAAGGACUAAAGGCGCAAAUGCUGCUGCGGGAACAUCCGCUUCUACGGCAAGAAUAUGAGAUCCUGCCGGAGCGUGAUGCUCCCCGGCAAGCGUGCCGGGGCACAGCUUGUCGGGAGCGUCUGCUUCAACGAAACAAACCCUAGGGCUUGUCGGAGCAGACUGCUCCUCAGCACUUUCUAUGUUGAUCCUGGGGACCUUCUUGGCGGCGGCUUCGGGGAGCUCUGCCGGAAAGUAGUCGCCAGUAACCAACUUUCUCUUCUUGCUCUGUCCAGUUGAUGGUGUUACAGAUGGCUGAGUCAGCUUGAGCACAAAAAUACCUGGUUCCACAGGUAACUUGAGUGCGGUGCACUUUGACAGGCCGUCUGCAAUGUCAUUCUGAGCUCUUGGAACAUGUUCCAUCUGCAGGCCGUCAAAAUGCUCUUCCAGCUUCCUCACUUCAUCAAUGUAGGCCUCCAUCAGCGGACUCUGAUAAUCUGUGUUAACUUGGCGGACGACAAGCUGUGAGUCACCCCUGACAAUAAGCUUCUUGAUCCCAAGUUCUGUCGUGAUCCUGAGUCCGGCAAGCAGGCCCUCAUAUUCUGCAGUAUUGUUUGUUGCUUGCUCCUUGGGAAAGUGCAUUUGGAUCAUGUACUUGAGGUGCUCUCCGGUGGGUGCGACAAGUAACACACCCGCACCGGCGCCUUGCAGCGAGAAAGCACCAUCAAAGUACAUGAUCCAUUCCCUGUUUGCUUCCUUGACGGGGAUCCUCGUCUCCGGAGUUUCUUCAUCUGGUGUUGGCGUCCACUCCACUAUGAAUUCUGCCAAUGCUCGGCUCUGGAUAGUUGAAGUACUUUCAAACUUGAGGCCAAAGCUUGACAGUUCCAGUGCCCACUCGACAAUCCUGCCUGUUGCUUCUGGAUUUUGCAAUAUCCUCUUCAACGGAAAGCGAGUGACAACUGUGAUCUGAUGUGCUUGAAAAUAAUGGCGCAGCUUCCUCGAGGCCAUGAGAAGGCCGAAAAGCAACUUUUGCACUCCAGAGUAUCUUGAUCUAGCCACCUGCAGAAGGGAGCUGACAAAAUAAACUGGGUGCUGCACCAUCUUCUUUUGUUUCUCUGCCUGCGGCUGCACAGACUCAUCCUUGUCGGGACCAGAGCUUGACGGAGAAGCCCCCUGCUUGUCGCUGGACUCGCUUGCCGCGGCCGCUGGCUCAUCAUCUGCCUCCCUCUCUGCUACUAACGCAGCACUAACCACUUGAUUGGUUGCUGCUAGAUACAGCAGCAACUUCUCUUGCGGCUUAGGUGCGACAAGUACUGGAGUGGAGGAUAGGUAUCUCUUCAAGUCCUGUAGCGCAGCCUCCGCUUCUGGAGUCCAUUUCAUUGGACCUGCCUUUUUCAAAAUUUUGAAAAACGGCAGGGCGCGCUCAGCAGACUUAGAGAUGAACCUACUGAGAGCAGCAACGCAGCCGGCAAGCCUUCGCACAUCCUUGAGGCGCUUCGGGGCUUCAAUCUGCUCGAUGGCCUUGAUCUUGUCGGGGUUGGCUUCGAUCCCCCUCUGGGACACGAAGAACCCGAGAAGCUUGCCGGAAGGAACUCCAAACACGCACUUCUCAGGGUUCAACUUGAGAUUGAUCUUGCGCAGAUUUGCAAAAGUCUCAUCCAAAUCUUGGAUCAAAGUUUCUCUAUCUUUGCUCUUGACCACUAUAUCAUCCAUGUAUGCUUCUACAUUCCUGUGCAGCUGUGGCUCAAAAGCAUGACUGACUAGUCUUGCAAACGUUGAACCAGCAUUCUUUAGUCUGAAAGGCAUUCAUACAAAGCAGUACGUGCCACAUGGAGUAAUGAAUGCGGUGUUCUCUUCAUCCUCUUUUGCCAUGAAAAUCUGAUGGUAUCCUGAGUAUGCAUCAAGAAAUGAAAGCAGAUCACAUCCUGCCGUGGAGUCGACAAUCCGGUCAAUGCGCGGCAAGGGAAAUGGAUCUUUGGGACAAGCUUUAUUAACAUCCGUGAAGUCAAUACAAAGCCUCCACUUCCCAUUCACCUUGCGCACAAUUACUGGAUUGGCUAACCACGUUGGAUGGAGUACUCCUCGGACGAGGCCUGUUGCUUCCAACUUCUUGAUCUCUUCUGCUAUGAACUCUUGGCGUUCCGCCGCUUGCUUCUUGACUCUCUACUUGACGGGCCGCGCGUGAGGACAGACGGCAAGGUGGUGCUCAAUUACUUUCCUGGGAACACCGGGGAUGUCAGAUGGUUGCCAUGCAAACACAUUGACAUUCGCCCGCAGGAAAGCAACGAGCGCGCUUUCCUAUUUAGGGUCAAGCGUGGCACUGAUGGUGAAGGUACCACUAGUGCCGUCCUCCUUGGCGGCCACUUUCUUGGUAUCAGGUGUCGCUAUCUUUGCCCUCUUGCACUUGCCGGUGGAGCUCGAUGGUGCGUCCUCGACGGUAGCACAGCACUCCGAAGAGGUGCGCUUGCCGGAGUGGGCAUCAGAGCUACUCUUGCCGGACUUGGUCUUCUUCUUCUUCCCCCCGGGAGCUUCAGCGGCAAGUGGUUUGUGCUCUGCUGCGGCUGCUGCUUCCUGGUAGAUCUUGUCGGUGCAGAUAAGCGCAUCCUUCUUGUCGCCUUGGACAGAAAUGACGCUUAUCGGACCGGGCAUCUUGACCACGUUGUAAGCAUAAUGAGAGGCUGCCAUGAACUUGGAAAGCGCUGGACGGCCGAGUAUCCCAUUGUAGGGCAACGGGAAAUCAGCAACAUCAAAUGUGACUCUCUCUGUCCUGAAGUUCAGUUUGCUGCCAAAUGUCACUGGUAGUGUAAUCUUCCCCUUGGGCUUGCUCCUUCCCGGGUUGAUUCCUUGAAAGGUACCAGUUUCUUCGAGCUCGCUGUCGGGGAUCUGGAGCUUGUUGAGCACCGCGGAAGAGAUCAGAUUUAGGCCGGCCCCACCGUCAACCAACAUCUUCGUGACCUUGAGGUUGCGGAUGGUUGGCGAAACCAACAUCGGCAAGCACCCGACCGCAGUGAUGCGAUCAGGGUGAUCCUCAACAUCAAAGACGAUGGGCGUACUGGACCACUUCAGGGGCUUGCGCGAUUCGACUGAUGGUUCAGCUGCAUUUACCUCCCGCACCCACUGCUUGAGUUGGCGGUGCGAGGUGUGCAGAGAAGCACCGCCGUCAACGCACAAAACCUCUGUUGCCUUCUGAAACUCUUGCUCGUCGGUCUCAUCCUCGUCCAUCUCAUCAUCCUCAUCUUCAUCUUCGUCCUUGUCACGGCCACGGGGAGGUCUGUCUCCUUGCCGCUGCUUGGCCUUGCCGCGGCGCCCUCCCCGGGCGGGACGCUUCUUGCCGGAUCCUCCGCCACCUUCCUGGGCCUUCUCCUUGUCGCGACGCUCGUAUUCAGCUUUCUGUAGUUCUGCCAUUUGCUCAACCUUCUUGCAUGCUUGGAGGUCAUGGCCCUUGGUGCGAUGGAUCUUGCAGUACUGCUUGCCGGAACAAUCCUGCUUGUCGGCGGCCACCACAGCCUCGCCGGAGUCACCAGCUUUGGCCUUGUCGGCGCCGCCUCCGUUGCCGGACUGCUCAACAACUAGCACAUCCUUAGCCUUUCUCUUUCUAUUAUUCCGCCUCCGGUUCUUCUUUGCCGGAGGGACGUCCUCAUUGUCCGAUCCUUCUGCUCCUGCAUUCUCUCCGGGAAGUUUCCUCCCCUCUUCAGCUCGUGCACACUUGUCAGCCAGAGCAUAUAGCUCGCUGACAUCUCUAAUCUUGCACAUCGCCAUCUCCUCCCUCAUCCUGCGGUUACGCACGUUCUGAUGGAAUGCGCUGAUAACCGCGGCAGGGUGGACGUCUGGGAUGUUGCGCUGCACCUGGCUGAAUCUCUGUAUGUACUUGCGCAGGGGUUCUCCUUCUUUCUGGGCGAGCAGAUGAAGAUUGCUCUCCUGACCAUGGGGUUUGUGGCCGCCUGUGAAGGCGCCGACAAACUGAUGGCACAGGUCCGCCCACGAAGAGAUGGAGUUGUCCGGCAAGUGCAUGAGCCAAGAUCUGACGUUGGGCUUGAGCACCAGCGGGAAGUAGUUGGCGAGGAUCUUCUCGUCGCGCCCCCCGGCAGCCUGCACCGCGAUGGUGUAGACGCUGAGGAACUCUGAUGGAUGUAUCCUGCCAUCGUACUUCUCGGGUAUGUCCGGCUUGAAGUUCUUGGUACUGGGCCACUGGACUUGCCGCAGCUCACGGGUGAACGCAGGGUAACCUGCCGCGUACGGCAAGUCGCCUGGUUCCCCUGGCGCAUGCAUAUCGACAGUGGGCCCAGCGCACUGGUCAGAUUAAUGUCGCGCUUCUCUUCUGCGCUCGAUGCGAGUACGAGCGUCUCUGUGUCGUCGUUCUUGGAGAACUUGGCGUUGAUCGCGGCGAGCUCGCGGGUCCGACGACGCGGUGGAGUCGGUGUCGAGGUUGGAACGGCGAGUUGGCGAUCAUGGCCUUCGGGGCGGGGAGUGCACGGUGGUGGCACCCCCAGCGGUCUUGUCGGUGUCGGCUUGCGCCCGGGCGUCUUGCCGGGGCUUUCGAUGUGCUCGGUUGCCGGGGCUUGUCGCCGUUGGCGAAGCCGAUGAGGCUUUGGAUGGUGAUCCUCCAGUCGUCGAUCUUGUCUGGCGCUGGAGGGUAAUCUAGAAGCAGCUGGGCUCGGGCCAGCGCUUCCUCUGGAGUCUUGGGCGGCGGUGGCGAGCGACGCGAGGUGCGGGAUAUGCUCAAACUUCUAACAGUGUUAGAAGGAGCAACAUCUCGCCCAGGCGACCGUACUUCGCUCGUGCCAGCGUGUUGACGUGUAUGUUGGCCUUGAGCGUCCCGCGAUCCGCCGGCUUGGCCUUGUUCCAACACGAGCACGGUGCUAGGAGUACCGUGGCAUUGCCGAUCUUGCACCUCCUGGGAGGGGUACGGUGGAUGUACAGACGCUGAAGCUUGCGGGGCCUUGUCCUCGGACCUGGUGACGAUGUGAGUCCCCCCGUCGGCGCCCGCUCCUCCGCCGGCGUCCACCCCACCACCCGUUUGCUCCGGUGGCGGUAGGAUAGUCGCAAACGGAGUGGCCACCUCCGAAGCCUUCUUCUUCGGUGGCAUGUCGAUGAAGAUGUUGAUGUAGCGCGCAGAUGCCGGAUCAGGUACGCACAACCUCGACGCCCACCUACCUGGCGCGCCAAAGAUGUCGUGGGAAACGAACACCUAUGGGGCAGGGCCCCUUUUCGGUCCAGCAAGGGAGCGGAGGGCGCACGAAGAGCAGAUCGAGGCGGAGCACGCGGGGGAAUUUUACCCAGCUUCGGAGCUCUCCGGAGAGAUAAAACUCCUACUGCUGCUUUGUGUUUCUAUUCUGUUCUUGCUCAAGAGCGUGGGUGUGUUGUAGUUUUGAAUGUGUCGAACCCCUUCUACGUGUGCAUGGGCCUCCUUUUUAUAGUCUAAAGGGGUCAGCGACAGGUGGCAGCGUAGAGAGAGGGGUAAAAAAGUAAAAACGCGGGUUGGUACAACCGCUAUCAACAGUGGCCCCUACCUAACUCUGACGGCAGGGGACAAGGGCAUUUAAUGCCCGUCCGGUCGCCCAAACAGUGCAGGAAGCGACCGUUAGGGGCGCCACCGAUCGCCAUGAUGGCCUCCUAGUCAUCUUCACUUGCCACCUCGCACCGCUUGGCUGCACAGCUACCCGCCACGUGCACCGGGAGCGAUCCUGCGGCGACACGUCGUCGGAUGCGCUGGAGCGUGGGCGCAGAGUUGUGGCUUCGCUGUAGCAAGCGCCUUGCCGCGGUCACUAUCUUGUCGCACCCGCAAGCUUGCCGCUCGCCGGGUCUUGGUUGGCCUUCCCGGCAAGCUCCUCUUGCCGGGGUCUUGUCCUUCCCGGCAAGCUUCUCUUGUCGGGGCUUCGUCUUCACAGUUAACACUUUGUUCUUGAAUGGCAGUAAAUAGGAAUGACGAAGGAUCUUGGCGGACGCCCGGCAAGCCUUGCCGCAGGACGCUGCGACUGCCCGUGCACAAGUUCGGGGUACUAAGGUACCCCUACUUUAGUACACCGACACCUCCAAACUUUAUGUGGCACUGCAAAAUAUUUGUGGCUCUGUCUAAGAUUGCCAAGGAAUUAAAAGGGGAACUUAACAUAUUUUUCCUAAGUAAAUAGUGUGCCCAAAAUAUUCUCUUAACCAUCUCUGUUUUUUUUAAUAAAAAAAGGCGAAUAAGAACUCGCCCGGGCCUCGGCCUACUCCCACUUACCAGCCCACCUAAGCCGGCCCACUCCCCCGCUCCCAUGGCCUAUAGGCCAUGCUCAACCGAACCCUAACCCCGCACGAUCCCCCCACUCCCCACUUCUCUCCCCUCCCGAUCCAAUCUGGAUCGGACCGAAACUGGCGCCCCGACGCCAACCGCCGUCGCUGGAGGCAUCCCCGACUCCACGCUGGGCCACCCCAUCACCUGACCUCCUCCCCGUCGUCGCUCGUCACUCGCUGGACCGCCUCGUCCCCACCAACGCCGCCCCGAGCCCAACGUCCCUGUCGUCGUCGCCGUCGGCAUCGCCCCGAUGUCGCCACCACCCGACGCCGGCGCCCUCGACAUCGCCACCCCGAGCCCACUGCCACCCCUACGCUCCACUGUGAGCCCCUCGCCGAUUCCCCCUCCUUCCUGUCAUCGUAGGUGGCCGCAUGCGCUGUUGGCCACCGUGGCCGCGCUCCGGCCGUUCCCCAUCCGUGUGCUAGCCUCGCCUUCCCCGGCUGCGGCCACCAGCCUCCUCGUCGCGCUCCCGCCUUCGCCCACACCUGCCCCUGUACGCCCAGCCGCUGCUGCUCGCCGGAUCCGCAUGUUCGCCCCCUAGCUUCGUCUCCGGCCGUCGAGUCCGCACCCGAUGCCGGCGCCCCAGCGCGUCCAUGCGCCCGUACGGGCGGGCGCCCACGCCCAUGCCCCUCCGCCCGUUAGCCCGCCCCGCUAAGGCCUGGGCACCUAACCAAGGGGCCCCACGCCCCUGUGUAAUAAAAAAGAUUUAAAAAAAAUAAAUAUAAAUAUAAUUAGUUAAUUAGUUAAUUAAUUGUAUAGUUAAUUAACUAACUUAAUUAACCUUGCUUAGUUAGCCUAAUGAACUAGUUUAGUUAAUUUAAAUCUGUUAGAUAGGUCUAUGAGAGAACGACCCCACAUGUCAGUUUAACCAGUCAACACUCUUUUGACUGCUGACAUCAUGAUGACGUCAGGCUGACAUCAUAAUUCCAAUUUUGAAUUAAUAAUAAUUUCAGAAUAUUAUUAAAACUUUGAAAAAUCAUAGAAAAUAAACCGUAUCUCGGAUGGAAGUUGCUUGGAACGACGAGACAAAUCCGAAUGCGCAGUUCGUUCAUCUGUCACGCGUCCCUAGCAUAGCAAACGUUGAACUUUUCCCCUCCGGUUCAUCUGUCUGAUAGACGUCCGGAACCGGGAAAACUUUCCCGGAUGUUUCCCCCUUCGCCAGUAUCACCUAGCACCUCGUUAGAACACUUCUAGCCCCGCUUAUUGUCUUGUUAUGCAUAUGUUUGCGUGUAUUUACUGUUUCUUCCCCCUCUUCUUCUCCGGUAGACCUCGAGACCGCUGAUGAUGCCCCUGUGAUCGACUACGUCGACGACGACCCUCCUUGUUUGAGCAACCAGGCAAGCCCACCCUUUGAUCAUCCCGAUAUCGCCCAUUCCAUUCUCUCAUGCUUGCACUAGAUUUUGCUACUGUAUUUGACUGCUCCUAUUCUGAUGCAUAGCCUGCUUUUGUACCUGCUAUUGUAACUUACCUGCUUAUCCUAAAUUUCUUAGUACAGGUUGGCUAGUGAUCCAUCAGUGACCCCCACCUUGUCUUUGUUGCCCCUGCUUCAUCAUCGACGACUCGAUCAACGUGAUCGACGACCGGAGCCUGACACCUCACAUCACAUCACGCCCCUUUUUCUUGCUCGACUCUGCAGAGUUACCAUCGAGUGCCGAGGGUGGAACCUCAUACAUCGCUCCUGAUGAGAUCUCUGUAGUGUAGCUAUUCGGUCGUGGUCAUCGAGGGUGGUUCCUCCUUCACCAUUCCUAAUACGGCUCUGUCGUGCAACACCUCAAGUGUGAACCUCGAGGGUGGUUCCUCUUACGUUCACCUUGAUGAUUACAUCAACUGGAAUCCACCGGGGGUGAUUCCUCGGAUUUUCCCCUUGAUGUCUGGACACAUAGUUACCUUGAUACUUGAGACCGUUGUGAAAGCCGGGCGAGCCCGGAGAGCACCCGUGCGAUGUGACGGUGGCGGCUGGCUGUUUAGCGGUAUCACCCGGGAGGGGUGAUAGCUCCGGACUUGUCCCGACAUCCGUCACUUCUUUUAAUAAUGCACUAACACGUUUGUGUAUUUGUUCUGAGUUGGCCUCUGGCCUUUACGCACUAACCACCACGCGAGAAUAGUUAUGGGCCUCGACGUUGCAGUAUCUUUCGAAGCUUUGUCAGACGUCCAGUUCAGCAUUGUGGCCGGGCCGGAUCGUGCCAUCCACUUCACCGGUGGUGCUGGUAUCCCCUUGUGCACAACGACCCGGAGUGCAAUGGGCGAUGGGCCCAGACCCCGGAGUGCUUAGGAUGUAGACCGGCGGGGACCUCUCUACUGAGCCUAGGUAGGGCUGCGACGUGUUGAUCUUCCGAGGCUGGGCAUUGACCCCAGAAAGGUGUGUCCGGCCAGAGUGAUCGAGCGUGUUGGGUAACGUGGUGCGCCCCUGCAGGGAAGAUUAUCUAUUAAUAGCCGUGUCCAUGGUAACGUACCUUCAGACUUAUAUCUUGAUCUUAUACAACUACAAAUGGAUACUUGAGAUAUGUGGCUCCGGGAUUGCUUUCUCGCAGGGAGUCGAGGAAGGAUCUCUGGGCGUUGUUGUUAAAACAUGCUUGUUAAUUAAACUGCUAUUCUUUACUCUUCUACAUGCUGCAAGAUGCUUGGAGCUGCUUGAAGAUGCUAGUCUUUGUUUGGCUAGGCCUUCCCCUCUAUUCUGGCAUUCUGCAAUUCAGUCCACAGAUACAACCCUUCCAUUUGAUACCAAUGCAUACUUAGUAUAGAUCUGAUGCUUGCGAGUACUUUGGAUGUGUACUCGCGGUUGCUUUGCUACCCCUUUUCCCCCUUCUUUCUUCUUUCCGGUUGACGCAACCAUAUGGUGGAUCCUUGGAGCCAGAUGCCACCGCCGAUGGAUGCUAGUACGUGAAGAUCGCCGACGACCAGGAGUAGUUAGGAGGUCCUAGGCAGGAGGCCUUGCCUCUUCGAUCGUUGUUGCUUUUGUGCUAGCCUUCUUAAGGCAUCCUUAUUUAACUUAUGUCUGUACUCAGCUAUUGUUGCUUCCGCUAACUCUUGUGUAUCGAGCUAUGUAUUCGAGCUCUCGAGGCCCCUGGCUUGUAAUAUAAAGCUUGUAUUAUUUUGAUUUGUGUCUAGAGUUGUGUUGUGAUAUCUUCCCGUGAGUCCCUGAUCUUGAUCGUACAUAUUGGCGUGCAUGAUUAGUGUACGAUUGAAUCAGGGGCGUCACACAAGCGGUACUACUGCCCCACCCAGUUUCAGCAUUUCGAGUUUCACCGUUUUGCCCAUAACUUCCACAUCCGGAGUCCGAUUUUUGCAUUUUUUAGCUCGUUGAGUAGCUAUUGACAUCCCCCAUCCAUCUAUAUAGGUUCCAACACCAUUUGACUCCAUCAAAUUUUCCAAAAUUUGGAAAGUUUGCCUAGGCCGUCCACCAUAUCAUCUGCAUAGCCACCACCGACCACCGCAACCUAACCCAUUUUGUUCCCCUUAGCAUUUGAGGUUGUUUGAGUUGUGGCUUGUGUCUCCUAAGGUGUUUCGGCUACUUAGGGAUGGUAACUUCAACUCCAACACGUGUAUAGCCCAUCAUUCCACUUCCGCAUUGCCGAGUGCAAACCACCACCUCUUUCCACUACCACCAUUUGACAUUUACCUUUGUAGAUUUUGAGUUUGCGAUUUUUCCGUUUCCUAGGGUGUUUUGGCUAACUAGGAAUGGGUCGACAUCAGCAACAUCGCCUCUCAUCAUCGCCAAGGACGGUAACCUCGAUGACACCAUUGUAUAUUCCCUUGCCAUUGCAUUGAUAACCCCUAGCCCAUUUUGCGUCACUUGCCUAUCGAGACUAGCCGUUUGAGUAUUGCCGGCAACGUGACUUGUGCACAUUAGUGAUCAUACUUCCCAUAGCAUCAUACCAUAUCAUCGUGGUGCAUAUAUUGGUAGCAUAUCUUGCGUCACAAGUUUGUUGCCGCAUAUACACAAUUGCUAUCUUGGUUUGUGCAUUAUGCAGAAGUGGCCAUACAAAAAAGAGAAAUAAAGCUUUUAAGCAAAAGAAAGAGAGAAAAGAAGCUUGUAAGCAAGUGCCAUAGCAUCAUACCAUAUUGCACAUAAGAUUGUCAUAUCCGAUCAUCUUGGAUCAUCUUGAGAGAACAUCGGGAACCAUACAUACAUAGCAUACUUGGGAUAGAAAGUAUAUCCAUUUGGCAUCUUGUAGGUUGUGCACAAGUGUCCUAUCCGCCUAUUGAGCAAUCGUGCUAGCGUCUCUCUUGAGUUGUGCAACACGAGCGUUUUCUGUGGAUUCCACAUUUUGUGCUCAUUGCUUGGUUGCACGACCCCAUUUAUCUAUCCGUGUGUGUGUUUCCGUGUGUCAUUCUUUGCUAUUGGUCUACUUGUUUCACUUGCAAAUUUGUGAAUCUCUUUCAACAUUAUUGACUCUUGCUAACAUUUUGCAUCAAAUUUUUGUGCCACUAUCCUCACCGAGCUCCACCAUAAGCUUUACUUGAUAGGUGUGAGUGAACAAGUCCGGUACCAAUUCCACUAUUCUUUCAUUUCACAUUGAGUUAAACGGGAUACAUCCUCAACUUUGGGAAAGGUAACUUCCUAUUGUUUAUCUCAUUUCCUACUGGCAUUUCACCUUCGGUCUACAACAACAACGACGAGUUCGAUGCCACGAACAACUCCAACGACGCCAAGAUGCAAGCUCAAAUGGAGGAGAUCAAAGCCCUCAUCAAGUCCUACAAGCAAUCUUCCUCAUCUUCGAGAAGACACUCACGUGCACAUGUUUCCGAGCUACCAUCUCCGGUAAGAUCACAUCAGCAUCGACACCAUCACCAACAAGAACGUGAAGGUCAAGAGCUCAACACCAACUACCGCUCAACGACUUCACCAUCUCCCUUGGCAUCUUCGCCAAGCGACUUCAAGGCAUCUUUGAGUACGGAUAUACGGCAUCUUCGCCAACAAGAACCUCAAGGCUACGCUCAAGAGAAGCUCCCCAAGCUCAAGUCCACGACUUCCAUGAGCUACUACGACCUCGACACCGACCACAAGAUUCCUUUCUAUGGAACUCAAGAACCCGAGGAGUACCUCGAGUGGGAGCGUUUGAUGGACGACUACCUCAAGCUACAUCAAGUCCCUUCCGAAGAUCAAGUGAAGUGCGCCACAAGAAACUUCCACGACUACGCCUCGACAUGGUGGCUUCACACACCUUCGGAGAGCUACGAGAUGAGUUAGCCCAAGACGAAGAGAGCUUUGCAGCGAGAGCUCGUGCCUCCAACCUACAUGGAACAACUUCGACGCCAAUUGGAGAACACCAUCCAAGGAUCCAAGUCCAUCGACGCGUACUUCAAGGAGAUGAAGAAUGCCUUGCGACGAGACGGCGUGGAUGACCCCAUUUCGAUGAAGUUCCACUUCAUGAUGCGAUUGAACAACGACAUCUCCAAGACUAUCUUCCUCGAGAACUACAAGUCCCUGGACAACUACUACAUUGGUGCUCUCAAGGCGGAACAAGAACUCAUGAAAGCCAAGGCUUCUCCACCCCAAGCACACUUCGCGGCGACCAAGCUGUACGACAAGCAUGAGGCUAGUACCACCAUGAUGUCCAAGCCCGACGAGCUCCAAGACAAUGCUCCCAAGUUCGACUUCACCGCCAUCCCUCUUUGUGGCAUUGAUGACGCCGAGUCUACCUUGACUCUUUUUCAAGACGGUGCGGCGACGAGUACGACUACGGAGACCUUCAAGGACCAAGCUUUGGAGGCGAGCGACAAGGUGGCGAGCAAGGAUGGUGUUUCCAUCUUUGGAGGCGAGAGUGAUGAUGUGCCAUCUUCGUCCUUCAUCCACGGCGACGAUGACGAGAUGAUCGAGCAUGGGAUUUUCCCUUCGGUCAUGGAGGAGAGUGAUGAUGUGCCAUCUUCGGCCUUCAUCCACGGAGACGACGACGAGAUGGUUGAGCAUGGGAUUCUCCCUUCGACCACGGUGACGUAUGAUGACUUGAGUGACUUUUGCCACCAUAUUGAGAGUGAGAGUGACUUCACCACUAGCCCCAUAUAUGACGAGUUGCCCCAAUUCCUAUGUGAGGAGAGCCACAACCCCCACCACUUGAGUGAGAUGAGUGACUCCACCAUAUGCGACUUUGAGUGCACCUAUUUUGAGGGAGUGAGUGAACCACCACAUAGAGAGAGUGUGAUAGUUGAUAGGUCUCGUGAGGCCAUUUGCAUUUCUAACAACUUGACCUCUACCUCUAUUGUGUCUUCUCAUUUGGUGCUAGGUCCCAUUUAUGAUGACGCGCCGAUCCUCGACGACUUCGUCCUCCCUUUGGACAAGACGAUGGCCAUGGUGGAAUAUGAUGCACCCCCCACAUGGUUCCAUCAAGAUGAAGAUGACCACCAUUUGGUCUUUCCCACCUCACCUACACCACUUGAGUGGAAUGAAAAAGGUAACAUAGGUGAAGGUGAUGCUCUAGUCCCACUAGUGGACAUUCUUGACAUUGAUUGCUUGCAUGAUGUUGAUCCACCUAGUACCAUGCUUCAUGCUAGUAUGAUUUCCCCAUGUGAUGAUUUGGCCAUUUAUGAUGAGUAUGAUGAUUCUCAUGUGGAGUCUCUUAGUUGUGAUGUCAUGUUACAUAGGAUUUCUUGUGACAAUUCUUUAGGUCACAUCAUGUUUGAUAAUCCGCUUGACUUGUCGUAUGCUAUGCAUGACAUUCACCAUAUGUCAUAUUUGCAAUCUCAUUGUAGUGACUAUGCAUAUGCCAUUCAAAUUAACCCAAUUUGCACUUAUGGCAUAGAUGACAAGCCCAUGGUUAUUGGGAUUUGUUUUUCUUGUGAUGAUAUUGAUAUGGUCCCUUUGCAUCAUUUAUCUCAUAUGCCAUGUCAUGCCCACCUAGCUUCGGAUAUGCAUUGUUUUGGAUGUUGUCCAUUUUCUCCAUAUGAUGUUUCCAAUCUUGCUCAUGAGGAGACCCCCAUAGUUCCCUCAUACAUGUUAGGAGAUUUUGAUCCAUCCCAUCCAUUGCAUGAUCCCAACAAUUGUGUGCACCAUAUGCUCCCCAUGAAUAAACAUGCUAUUGAUGUGCCAUAUACUUGCAUUCUCAAUUUGUGUCCCCAUCGUGUCAUACAUAAUAACUAUUCUUUCAUGAUGGAUGACAUGUUCUUAUACCAUGCAUCAAAUUUCGUUGAGCGAUGCUUAUCUUGUGCUAACUCACACGUGCACAUACACAUCAUGAUGGAUGAUGUGUACAUUUACCACACACACAAUUUAUUUGGUUUGUGUCUCUUUUGUGUAGGUACCCAGGAAUACUUGUCAACCUCGCAAUCCCACGAGUUGACAAAACGAGCUCUAGAGAGCAACGAUGAUUUGGGAUCCCAUGGAUUGUCUUUCCCACCGCUCUCUUCGCGCAAAGACUUAGCGCAUUUCUUCUACAUGGCCCUCACUUGGCUAUGGGUUGUUUUCCAUUACAUAUUAUAUGCCCAUCUUGCCAUGUUCACUUUGCAUGAUAUGCCCAUUCCCAUGCAUUUGUGACCCAUACUUUGCUUUACACAUGAUGAUUGACUCUCAUACUUUUAUGUGUAUUUGCAAGCUUGGUGGAGAUAUUGCUUGUUGUUUCCCUAUUCCAUUUUUGACCCACCCCUAUGAUGAUACUAUGAUCUUGCUUUGUGUUCGUGCUUGUGAUAUGUCAUGUGCAUUGUCUAUCCCUAUUAUUUGCUCACAUGACAUGAUUGCCAUGAUUUACUCUGGUGUGUUGCAUCUUCGCUCCACUAGUUUGCACCACAUGAUUGAUAUGCUUGCUUGUAUUGCAUCCCCCAUGAUUCAUACUUGCUCAUUUCAUGCGAUUGAUGACAACCAUUUCCAUACUUUGCACGUGAUUGCUAUAGCUUCUUGUCACAUAUCUACAUAUGUUGCCUCUCUCAUGCUAGAUCACUUGCCAUGUAUUUAGUGCAACAAUGCUCUUAUUCUUGCUCAUGAGAUUGCCCCCAUAGCAUUCUCACAUAUGAUUGGAGUUGACAUAAUUCUUGUGAAGCAUGCUUGCCUUCCUUCUUUGCACCAUAUGCCUAGUGCCAUGAAUAUUGCCAUUGUUGCAUCAUAUUGUUCAUGCACUUGUGCUACUAAAGGUUAUGUGCAAGAGAUGAGAACCAUCAUGAUGGAUGAUGUGUUUCUCUACCAUGCGCAUAUACUCUUUGUUUUGUUGUGUGCAUGUGUAGGAUACUUGGACUUCGUCUCGACUUCCACUUCAUGUGAGUUGACCAUUCAAGCUCUUAAGAGCGAGCCUCACACAUUCUACCACUACUCGCUUCUACACCGCAUUUGCUUGCGCUUCGGCAUUGUGAAGAAUGCACAAGGACAUGCCUUCAAGGUGACAUCUUUCUUGAGCAUGGAUAUUGCGGAUCAUACUACUUGUGUAGCUUGCACUGUGAGACUUAUUGGUCAUCUUGGACCACUUGAUUGCGCACUUGCUAGAGAUCUUGCUUUGACUUGCCAUUUUCACAUUCCCAUGCAUCAUGAUAUAUAUGCCUUGUGUGUUGCAUCCAAUUCUUGGAUUACUAUCACAACCUAGCUAGUCCAUGCAUUAGAGUGUUGCAUCAUGUCUACCUUUUAUCAGAAACUUGAAUUGGGGAAGACAGAACCCCCCAGAACCCCUCUGAAUUCAACUAGUGCUUACUAAAAAUAUUUUCAAUGAACCUGAAAUGCCCUUCUAAAAAGUUCACCCUCUUUGUCUUGGGUUAGAACCUCUGGCAAAAUUGGUGCACAAUUUUCUAGGUCAACAAAAGGCCAUUGAAUUAAAUCAUAUCUACUUUGAGUUUGGGCAUUUAAACUAUAUAAAAUAUUUCAAAUGCUCAAAUAACUCCAAACUAAAAUGUUCCAUACUGGAUAUAUUCCAACUAGGGACCAUGUGCAGUUUGGUGAUUUUUGGAGUUGCCUAAGUAUUUUUAGAAAUGCAACAAACUUACAGAAACAAUUAAAAACAGAAACAAAUGGGAAAAACCCUUACCUGGCCGAACCAAGCCCCAGCCCAGCUGGCCGGCCCAGCACUGUGCUGGCCCAUGCCAGCCAGCUGCUUCGCCGUCGCCACGCAGGCACAGAGCUGACGCCGGCAAGCGUGAGCUCGCAACGGCGCCAGCUGCUUGCCGCCCGCGCCCCCGAGCACCUGGGUGAGCUCCACGUCGCCGCCCCGACCCCGUGGACACCUCAUUCGCCCCCUGCCUCUCUCCCUCGCUCUCCCGCACCAUGGCCGACGCACCCGCCGCCGCACCCCCGACGUAGUCGCGCCCUCCGUCGUCCUCGUGCUGCACCACCGUGUCCCUUCGCUCCGCCGUCAUCGACUACAUCGAGUAGGCCGAGCCCCGAGCGCUCGCUGGCCCUGUUUCAUCUUCUUCGAGCUCGUCUUCACCGAGCACCGCCACAGAUCCCCUUCGCCGUCGCCGCCGUACCAGCUCGUCCCCGACCUUGCCGACCACUCCGUUGUGACCGCCGUGAGCUCAGCCACCUCCCCAUCCUCCCCGUUUGCCUUCUCGUGCACCGUAGCAACCGCAUGGAGCUUCAUCGCACGCACCACCGACGAGCUCGUCGCCGACGUGCCUCCGGCCAUCCACCGUCCACACCACGGUGUCUAACAUGCUCACCGCAUCGUGUAGAGUCUAACGCCCCACUCCACGCGCCUCGCCGUGCCCCGUAGCCAUGGGUCCAUUUUCAUCCGACUCCGGCGACCGCCGUGGUCGUCGCCGGCGACGUUCCUGGCCACCUCGACCUCAACCACCACCACCAAACGCCGCGACUUGUUCCCGGCUACACGUAGAUGGUCUCCGUCGUCCAUUUGGUCGCCAGAACAUGCUAACCCACUUCCUCCGCCGCGUCUGGCCUCGCCGGCGGCUAGACACCGGCAUGUUUGACCCGUUGACAUUCACUGGGUGGGCCAGGUUGACUCCCCUGAGUCUAUGACAAGUGCCCCCCCCUCUGCUAAUUAACCUAGUUUAGCUCUUACUAAAAUCAGUUAGUUUAAAUAAGUGCUGACAUGCGGGACCCACUGGUCAGUUUGACCUGAACGACCCCUUUGACCACUGACGUCACCCUGAUGCACUGCUGACGCAAUAACCAAUUUCUGGAUUUAUUGUUAUAUAGGAAAUUCCAGAAAUUGUUGCAAACUUCAAAAAUUCAUAGAAAUUAAUCUGUAACUCCAAAUGCAAAGAUUUAUAUAUGAAUUUUGAUCAGAAAAAUUCAAUCUAUCCAUUGGUAAUGGUUUCAUGCAUGUCAGAACAAGUUAACCUUGCUGUUUAAUCAAAACAAGUUAAUGCACUAAUAUGACUAUGUUAAAUGAACUACCAUUUGCAUCUUUGAUUCAAAUGAGUUCAUACCUUUCUGUUCUAGCUUGCAUUAGGCCAGGACACAUUCAUGUUGCCAUGUCAUAGCAUGCAUCAUAUUGUUGUAUAUCGUCAUGUGUUGUUCAUGUUCGGUGUGUUUUCGUGAUAGGUUCUGCCUCCGAGGAUAACCCCGAAUAUCCGUCUGAAGGGCUGUAUCCUACUACCACUACAUCAGGCAAGCAACCCAUUGAUCAUUCCGAUACAAACCCAUGUUCUUGCCUCUGCUCUUGUUUACUGCAUUAAGACAAUGCGAUUCAAACUUUUGUGUGUUGUGGUAGUUGAACCCACUUCCUUUGCAUGACCUGUCAUUGCCACAGUAACUAGAUGAAACUCAGUAGCAUGUGUAGGAGUUGAUUGAGCCAUAUCUGUGUUACCUACCAUGCUAUGCUUGCUAUGCUUAGAGUUGUGUCAGGUCUGGCUCAUUGGGAUGAUGAACUAGAGUGAAAGGUUGUGUCGGUAAUGAAGUGUUGAACACGAUUUGGUAAAGGUAUCGAUGAGAGGCCAUGUAGGAGUACAUGGUGGGUUGUUUCAUUGAGGCCGUCCUUAAGCACUGAGAUCUGUGUGUGUGAUUUAAGAUUCAGCUACUACCACGCAUUGGGCCCGAAACCAAUGGACCCUCUCGACUUAUUAACCACUCUUGUCCUCUGUCCGGGAGUUGCAAGUAGUUUUUGGUGUUUGUAGCAUGAUGGGGGCCGCACGCAGUGCUGACCUUAGGGGUGGGUUGGGUUGCGGUAGGCAUGUGGCACGGUGUAUCGAUUCGCCCGUUUGGUGUCUCGGGAACCAUGUUCACAUCAUUCGGGGCCGUUAGUGGAAACCUCGGCCGGACUCCCUGCGGAUGGAACCCGAAUAGGCGAUAAACCUGGACUAGGGACUCGUGUGUUUAGUCAGGCCGUGGCCGACACCCUCGCUGGGCUUCCGCUUGAGGCUUGCCGAGUACACGUCAUGUAGCGGUGAUAAGUGGUGAGAGCGUGUGUGAAGAAGUACACCCCUGCAGGGUAUAAAACUAUUCGAAUAGCCGCGUCCGCGGUAAAGGACUACUUGGUCACCUAUGCAGUUCAUAGACAAGUAAAUGGAUACUUCUAAAAGCCUCAAGUUAAGUGUGAGUACCGAGGAUGGCCCUCUCGUAGGUUGACAAGAGAGGAUCCUCGGUGGAGUAUUGUGUUGGUGAGUAGUGGACUCGUGUGCGACAAAUGUUUUGCAAGUUGUGUCUAUCGUAGAAUAGCUUAGCCAAGAGUCAAAGCUGGCUUGCUGCAAUAACUCCACUACCUUCUUGAGAAUGUGCAUGUAUGAUAGGAUUCUGUUGUAAGACUUGCUGAGUACCUCUGUACUCAUGUUUGCUUAAAUGUUUUCAGACGACAACACCAACCCCUCCGAUGGGUUCUACGUAGACCUCGACGUUGACGAGUGACUAACCACCCAAGUGGUGAUCCGAGACUUGUGAAGGGCCGAUGUAGAUAGAAAGGCUUCGUCAAGCCCUCUUUCUUUCUAGUGUCUGUACUCAGACUAGUUGCUUCCGCAUGUGCUUGUAUGCUUGUAUGACUUGAGUCUCAGGUCAUGUGACCCCUAUCUGUAUGAACAUGUUAUGUAUGGCUCCUUGGAGCCACUUAAAUAAAGUACUUUGAGUUGUAGAGUUUUGUUGUGAUGCCAUGUUGUAUGUACUCAUAUCGGGCAUAUUGUGUGUAUGUUUGAAAUGCUUGGUAUGAGUGGGAUCCGACAAUCUAGUUGUUUAUCCUUGGCAGCCUCUCAUAUGGGGAAAUGUAGUCUAGUGCUUCCUGAGCGAUAGUAGUCCGCUACAGCCCGGUUCACCGGAGUCCUGCUAGCCCAGUACUACAGCUCUGGACACUUGACUGGACAGCAUGUGUUUCACUUCGUUCCUGUGUCUGUCCCUUUGCGGAAAUGUCACGCGGUGGCAUUCGGAGUCCUGCCUAGCCUGCUACAGCCCGGGUUACUGUUGGGAAACGUAGUAAUUUCAAAAUUUUCCUACGCACACACAAGAUCAUGGUGAUGGCAUAGCAACGAGAGGGGAGAGUGUUCGUCCACGUACCCUCGUAGACCGUAAGCGGAAGCGUUAGCACAACGCGGUUGAUGUAGUCGUACGUCUUCACGAUCCGACUAAUCCAAGCACUGAACGUACGUGGCCUCCGAGUUCAGCACACGUUCAGCUCGAUGAUGAUCUCCGGCCUCCAAUCCAGCGAAGCUCCGGAGAUGAGUUCCGUCAGCACGACAGCAUGGUGACGAUGAUGAUGUUCUACCUGCGCAGGGCUUCGCCUAAAAUCCGCGACGAUAUGACUGAGGUGGAAUAUGGUGGAGGGGGGCACCGCACACGGCUAAGGAACGAUCCAUAGAUCAACUUGUGUGUCUAUGGGGUGCCCCCCCCCCCCCGCCCCUGUAUAUAAAGGAGAAAGGGGGAGGCCGGCCGGCCCCUUGGGCGCGCCAAGGGAGGAGGAAUNNNNNNNNNNNNNNNNNNNNNNNNNNNNNNNNNNNNNNNNNNNNNNNNNNNNNNNNNNNNNNNNNNNNNNNNNNNNNNNNNNNNNNNNNNNNNNNNNNNNNNNNNNNNNNNNNNNNNNNNNNNNNNNNNNNNNNNNNNNNNNNNNNNNNNNNNNNNNNNNNNNNNNNNNNNNNNNNNNNNNNNNNNNNNNNNNNNNNNNNNNNNNNNNNNNNNNNNNNNNNNNNNNNNNNNNNNNNNNNNNNNNNNNNNNNNNNNNNNNNNNNNNNNNNNNNNNNNNNNNNNNNNNNNNNNNNNNNNNNNNNNNNNNNNNNNNNNNNNNNNNNNNNNNNNNNNNNNNNNNNNNNNNNNNNNNNNNNNNUCCGGUUUUCUCCGAAAUCACCCGGAACAAUUUCGGUGUCCGAAUAUAGUCGUCCAAUAUAUCAAUCUUUAUGACUCGACCAUUUCGAGAUUCCUCGUCAUGUCCGUGAUGACAUCCGGGACUCCGAACAAACUUCGGUACAUCAAAACUUAUAAACUCAUAAUAAAACUGUCAUCGUAACGUUAAGCGUGCGGACCCUACGGGUUCGAGAACUAUGUAGACAUGACCUAGAACCAUUCUUGGUCAAUAACCAAUAGCGGGACCUAGAUGCCCAUAUUGGUUCCUACAUAUUCUACGAAGAUCUUUAUCGGUCAAACCGCAUAACAACAUACGUUGUUCCCUUUGUCAUCGAUAUGUUACUUGCCCGAGAUUUGAUCGUCGGUAUCCAAUACCUAGUGCAAUCUCGUUACUGGCAAGUCUCUUUACUCGUUCCGUAAUACAUCAUCUCAUAACUAACUUAUUAGUUACAAUGCUUGCAAGGCUUAGGUGAUGAGUAUUACCAAGAGGACCCAGAGAUACCUCUCCGACAAUCGGAGUGACAAAACCUAAUCCCGAAUUAUGCCAACUCAACAUGUACCUUCGGAAACACCUAUAGAGCACCUUUAUAAUCACCCAGUUACGUUGUGACGUUUGGUAGCACACAAAGUGUUCUUCCGGUAAACGGGAGUUGCACAAUCUCAUAGUUGCAGGAACUUGUAUAAGUCAUGAAGAAAGCAAUAGCAGUAUACUAAACGAUCAAGUGCUAGGCUAACGGAAUGGGUCAUGUCAAUCACAUCAUUCUCCUAAUGAUGUGAUCCCGUCAAUCAAAUGACAACUCUUUUGUCCAUGGUUAGGAAACAUAACCAUCUUUGAUAAACGAGCUAGUCAAGUAGAGGCAUACUAGUGACACUAUGUUUGUCUAUGUAUUCACACAUGUAUCAUGUUUCCGGUUAAUAUAAUUCUAGCAUGAAUAAUAAACAUUUAUCAUGAUAUGAGGAAAUAAAUAAUAACUUUAUUAUUGCCUCUAUGGCAUAUUUCCUUCAGUCUCCCACUUGCACUAGAGUCAAUAAUCUAGAUUACAUGGUAAUGAUUUUGACACCCAUGGAGUCUUGGUGCUGAUCAUGUUUUGCUCGUGAGAGAGGCUUAGUCAACGGGUCUGCAACAUUCAGAUCCGUAUGUAUCUUGCAAAUCUCUAUGUCUCCCACUUGGACUUGGUCCCGAAUGGAAUUGAAGCGUCUCUUGAUGUGUUUGGUCCUCUUGUGAAAUUUGGAUUCCUUUGCCAAGGCAAUUGCACCAGUAUUGUCACAGAAGAUGUUCAUUGGUCCCGAUGCACUAGGUAUGACACCUAGAUCGGAAAUGAGAUCCUUCAUCCAGACUCCUUCAUUUGCUGCUUCUGAAGCAGCUAUGUACUCCGCUUCACAUGUAGAUCCCGCCACGAUGCUUUGUUUAGAACUGCACCAACUUACAGCUCCACCGUUUAAUAAAAACACGUAUCUGGUUUGCGAUUUAGAAUCGUCCGGAUCAGUGUCAAAGCUUGCAUCGACGUAACCGUUUACGACUAGCUCUUUGUCACCUCCAUAUAUGAGAAACAUAUCCUUAGUCCUUUUCAGGUAUUUCAGGAUGUUCUUGACCGCUGUCCAGUGAUCCACUCCUGGAUUACUUUGGUACCUUCCUGCCAAGCUUAUUGCUAAGCAUACGUCAGGCCUGGUACACAGCAUUGCAUACAUGAUAGAGCCUAUGGCUGAAGCAUAGGGAACAUUUUUCAUUUUCUCUCUAUCUUCUGCUGUGGUCGGGCAUUGAGUUUGACUCAACUUCACACCUUGUAGCACAGGUAAGAAUCCUUUCUUUGCCUGAUCCAUUUUGAACUUUUUCAAAAAAAAUUCAAGGUAUGUGCUUUGUGAAAGUCCUAUUAAGCGUCUUGAUCUAUCUCUAUAGAUCUUGAUGAGUAAUAUGUAAGCAGCUUCACCGAGGUCUUUCAUUGAAAAACUUUUAUUCAAGUAUCCCUUUAUGCUAUGCAGAAAUUCUAUAUCAUUUCCAAUUAAUAAUAUGGCAUCUACAUAUAAAAUUAGAAAUGCUACAGAGCUCCCACUCACUUUCUUGUAAAUACAGGCUUCUCCAAAUGUCUGUAUAAAACCAUAUGCUUUGAUCACACUAUCAAAGCGUUUAUUCCAACUCCGAAAUGCUUGCACCAGUCCAUAAAUGGAACGCUGGAGCUUGCAUACUUUGUCAGCACCUUUUGGAUCAACAAAACCUUCCGGCUGCAUCAUAUACAACUCUUCUUCUAGAAAUCCAUUCAAGAAUGCAGUCUUGACAUCCAUAUGCCAAAUUUCAUAAUCAUGAAAUGCAGCAAUAGCUAACAUGAUUCGGACAGACUUAAGCAUCGCUACGGGUGAGAAAGUCUCAUCGUAGUCAACCCCUUGAACUUGUCGAAAACCUUUUGCAACAAGUCGAGCUUUAUAGACAGUUACAUUACCAUCAGCGUCAGUCUUCUUCUUAAAGAUCCAUUUAUUCUCAAUGGCUUGCCAAUCAUCGGGCAAGUCAACCAAAGUCCAUACUUUGUUUUCAUACAUGGAUCCCAUCUCAGAUUUCAUGGCUUCUAGCCAUUUUGCGGAAUCUGGGCUCAUCAUCGCUUCCUCAUAGUUCGUAGGUUCACCAUGGUCAAGUAACAUGACUUCCAGAAUAGGAUUACCAUACAACUCUAGUGCGGAUCUUACUCUGGUAGACCUACGAGGUUCAGUAGAAACUUGAACUCCUCACUAAUUGGUGUAGUUGUCACAGGAACCGGUUCUCGUGAUGAACUACUUUCCAAUAAGGGAGUAGAUACAGUUAUCUCAUCAAGUUCUACUUUCCUCCCACUCACUUCUUUCGAGAGAAACUCCUUCUCUAGAAAGGAUCCAUUCUUAGCAACGAAUGUCUUGCCUUCAGAUCUGUGAUAGAAGGUGUACCCAACAGUCUCUUUUGGGUAUCCUAUGAAAACACAUUUCUCCGAUUUGGGUUCGAGCUUAUCUGGUUGAAGUUUCUUCACAUAAGCAUCGCAGCCCCAAACUUUAAGAAACGACAACUUUGGUUUCUUGCCAAACCACAGUUCAUAAGGCGUCGUCUCAACGGAUUUUGAUGGUGCCCUAUUUAACGUGAAUGCGGCCGUCUCUAAAGCAUAACCCCAAAACGAUAGCAGUAAAUCAGUAAGAGACAUCAUAGAUCGCACCAUAUCAAGUAAAGUACGAUUAUGACGUUCGGACACACCAUUUCGUUGUGGUGUUCCGGGUGGCGUGAGUUGCGAAACUAUUCCACAUUGUUUCAAGUGUAGGCCAAACUCGUAACUCAAAUAUUCUCCUCCACGAUCAGAUCGUAGAAACUUUAUUUUCUUGUUACGAUGAUUUUCCACUUCACUCUGAAAUUCUUUGAACUUUUCAAAUGUUUCAGACUUGUGUUUCAUCAAGUAGAUAUACCCAUAUCUGCUCAAAUCAUCUGUGAAGGUGAGAAAAUAACGAUACCCGCCGCGAGCCUCAACAUUCAUUGGGCCACAAACAUCAGUAUGUAUGAUUUCCAACAAAUUAGUUGCUCGCUCCAUAGUUCCGGAGAAUGGCGUUUUAGUCAUCUUGCCCAUAAGGCACAGUUCGCAAGUACCAAGUGAUUCAUAAUCAAGUGAUUCCAAAAGUCCAUCAGUAUGGAGUUUCUUCAUGCGUUUUACACCGAUAUGACCCAAAAGGCAGUGCCACAAGUAAGUUGCACUAUCGUUAUCAACUCUGCAUCUUUUGGUUUCAACACUAUGAACAUGUGUAUCACUACUAUCGAGAUUUAAUAAAAAUAAACCACUCUUCAAGGGUGCAUGACCAUAAAAGAUAUUACUCAUAUAAAUAGAACAACCAUUAUUCUUUGAUUUAAAUGAAUAACCGUCUCGCAUCAAACAAGAUCCAGAUAUAAUGUUCAUGCUUAACGCUGGCACCAAAUAACAAUUAUUCAGGUCUAAAACUAAUCCCGAAGGUAGAUGUAGAGGUAGCGUGCCGACCGCGAUCACAUCGACUUUGGAACCGUUUCCCACGCGCAUCGUCACCUCGUCCUUGGCCAGUGCUCGCUUAUUCCGUAGUCCCUAUUUCGAGUUGCAAAUAUUAGCAACAGAACCAGUAUCAAAUUCCCAGGUGCUACUACGAGCUCUAGUUAGGUACACAUCAAUAACAUGUAUAUCACAUGUAGCUUUGUUUACUUUGCCAUCCUUCUUAUCCGCCAAAUACUUGGGGCAGUUCCGCUUCCAGUGACCAGUCUGCUUGCAGUAGAAGCACUCAGUUUCAGGCUUAGGUCCAGACUUGGGUUUCUUCUCUUGAGCAGCAACUUGCUUGCUGUUCUUCUUGAAGUUCCCCUUCUUCUUCCCUUUGCCCUUUUUCUUGAAACUAGUGGUCUUGUUGACCAUCAACACUUGAUGCUCCUUCUUGAUUUCUACCUCCGCAGCUUUUAGCAUUGCGAAGAGCUCGGGAAUAGUCUUGUUCAUCCCUUGCAUAUUAUAGUUCAUCACAAAGCUCUUGUAUCUUGGUGGCAGUGAUUGGAGAACUCUGUCAAUGACGCUAUCAUCCGGAAGAUUAACUCCCAGUUGAAUCAAGUGAUUAUUAUACCCAGACAUUUUGAGUAUAUGCUCACUGACAGAACUAUUCUCCUCCAUCUUGCAGCUGUAGAACUUAUUGGAGACUUCAUAUCUCUCAAUCCGGGCAUUUGCUUGAAAUAUUAACUUCAACUCCUGGAACAUCUCAUAUGCUCCAUGACGUUCAAAACGUCGUUGAAGGCCCGGUUCUAAGCCGUAAAGCAUGGCACACUGAACUAUAGAGUAGUCAUCAGCUUUGCUCUGCCAGACGUUCUUAACGUCGUCAGUUGCAUCAGCAGCAAGCCUGGCACCCAGCGGUGCUUCCAGGACGUAACUUUUCUGUGCAGCAAUGAGGAUAAUCCUCAGGUUACGGACCCAGUCCGUGUAAUUGCUACCAUCAUCUUUCAACUUUUCUUUCUCAAGGAACGCAUUAAAAUUCAACGGAACAACAGCACGAGCCAUCUAUCUACAAACAAACAUAGACAAGCAAAAUACUAUCAGGUACUAAGUUCAUGAUAAAUUUUAAGUUCAAUUAAUCAUAUUACUUAAGAACUCCCACUUAGACAGACAUCUCUCUAGUCAUCUAAGUGAUUACGUGAUCCAAAUCAACUAAACCAUAACCGAUCAUCAUGUGAGAUGGAGUAGUUUUCACUGGUGAACAUCACUAUGUUGAUCAUAUCUACUAUAUGAUUCAUGCUCGACCUUUCGGUCUCCGUGUUCCGAGGCCAUAUCUGCAUAUGCUAGGCUCGUCAAGUUUAACCUGAGUAUUCUGCGUGUGCAAAACUGGCUUGUACCCGUUGUAGAUGGACGUAGAGCUUAUCACACCCUAUCAUCACGUGGUGUCUGGGCACGACAAACUUUGGCAAUGGUGCAUACUCAGGGAGAACACUUCUUGAUAAUUUUUGUGAGAGAUCAUCUUAAAAUGCUACCGUCAAUCAAAGCAAGAUAAGAUGCAUAAAGGAUAAACAUCACAUGCAAUCAAUAUAAGUGAUAUGAUAUGGCCCUCAUCAUCUUGUGCUUGUGAUCUCCAUCUUUGAAGCACCAUCGUGAUCACCAUCGUCACCGGCGCGACACCUUGAUCUCCAUCGUAGCAUCGUUGUCGUUACGCCAUCUAUUGCUUCUACGACUAUCUAUACCGCUUAGUGAUAAAGUAAAGCAAUUACAGGGUGUUUGCAUUUCAUACAAUAAAGCGACAACCAUAUGGCUCCUGCCAGUUGCCGAUAACUUCGGUUACAAAACAUGAUCAUCUCAUACAAUAAAAUAUAUCAUCACGUCUUGACCAUAUCACAUCACAACAUGCCCUGAAAAACAAGUUAGACGUCCUCUACUUUGUUGUUGCAAGUUUUACGUGGCUGCUAUGGGCUUAGCAAGAACUGUUCUUACCUACGCAUCAAAACCACAACGAUAGUUCGUCAAGUUGGUGCUGUUUUAACCUUCGCAAGGACCGGGCGUAGCCACACUCGAUUCAGCUAAAGUGAGAGAGACAGACACCCGCCAGCCACCUUUAAGCACGAGUGCUCGUAACGGUGAAACCAGUCUCACGUAAGCGUACGCGUAAUGUCGGUCCGGGCCGCUUCAUCUCACAAUACCGCCGAACCAAAGUAUGAAAUGCUGGUAAGCAGUAUGACUUGUAUCGCCCACAACUCACUUGUGUUCUACUCGUGCAUAUAACAUCAACGCAUAAAACCUAGGCUCGGAUGCCACUGUUGGGAAACGUAGUAAUUUCAAAAUUUUCCUACGCACACGCAAGAUCAUGGUGAUGGCAUAGCAACGAGAGAGGAGAGUGUUCGUCCAUGUACCCUCGUAGACCGUAAGCGGAAGCGUUAGCACAACGCGGUUGAUGUAGUUGUACGUCUUCACGAUCCGACCGAUCCAAGCACCGAACGUACGGGGCCUCCGAGUUCAGCACACGUUCAGCUCGAUGACGAUCUCCGGCCUCCGAUCCAGUGAAGCUCCGGAGAUGAGUUCCGUCAGCACGACGGCGUGGUGACGAUGAUGAUGUUCUACCGGCACAGGGCUUCGCCUAAACUCCGCGACAAUAUGACCGAGGUGGAAUAUGGUGGAGGGGGGGCACCGCACACGGCUAAGGAACGAUCCGUAGAUCAACUUGUGUGUCUAUGGGGUGCCCCCCGCCCCUGUAUAUAAAGGAGCAAGGGGGAGAGGCCGGCCGGCCCCUUGGGCGCGCCAAGGGAGGAGGAAUCCUCCUCCUAGUAGGAGUAGGACUCCUCCUUUCCUACUCCUACUAGGAGGGGGAAGGAAGGAGGAGAGGGGGAAGGAAAGGGGGGGCGCCGCCCCCCUCGUAGUCCAAUUCGGACCAGAGGGGGGGAGGGGGCGUGCGGCCCAUGCUGGCCGCCCCUCUCUCCUUUCCCCUAAGGCCCAUAAGGCCCAAUACUCUCCCGGGGGGUUCCGGUAACCCCCGGCACUCCGGUUUUCUCCGAAAUCACCCGGAACAAUUCCGGUGUCCGAAUAUAGUCGUCCAAUAUAUCAAUCUUUAUGUCUCGACCAUUUCGAGAUUCCUCGUCAUGUCCGUGAUGACAUCCGGGACUCCGAACAAACUUCGGUACAUCAAAAGAUAUAAACUCAUAAUAAAACUGUCAUCGUAACGUUAAGCGUGCGGACCCUACAGGUUCGAGAACUAUGUAGACAUGACCUAGAACCAUUCUCGGUCAAUAACCAAUAGCGGGACCUGGAUGCCCAUAUUGGUUCCUACAUAUUCUACGAAGAUCUUUAUCGGUCAAACCGCAUAACAACAUACGUUGUUCCCUUUGUCAUGGGUACGUUACUUGCCCGAGAUUUGAUCGUCGGUAUCCAAUACCUAGUUCAAUCUCGUUACUGGCAAGUCUCUUUACUCGUUCCGUAAUAUAUCAUCUCAUAACUAACUUAUUAGUUACAAUGCUUGCAAGGCUUAGGUGAUGAGUAUUACCGAGAGGGCCCAGAGAUACCUCUCCGACAAUCGGAGUGACAAAACCUAAUCUCGAAUUAUGCCAACUCAACAUGUACCUUCGGAAACACCUGUAGAGCACCUUUAUAAUCACCCAGUUACGUUGUGACGUUUGGUAGCACACAAAGUGUUCUUCCGGUAAACGGGAGUUGCACAAUCUCAUAGUUGCAGGAACUUGUAUAAGUCAUGAAGAAAGCAAUAGCAGUAUACUAAACGAUCAAGUGCUAGGCUAACGGAAUGGGUCAUGUCAAUCACAUCAUUCUCCUAAUGAUGUGAUCCCGUCAAUCAAAUGACAACUCUUUUGUCCAUGGUUAGGAAACAUAACCAUCUUUGAUAAACGAGCUAGUCAAGUAGAGGCAUACUACUGACACUAUGUUUGUCUAUGUAUUCACACAUGUAUCAUGUUUCCGGUUAAUAUAAUUCUAGCAUGAAUAAUAAACAUUUAUCAUGAUAUGAGGAAAUAAAUAAUAACUUUAUUAUUGCCUCUAGGGCAUAUUUCCUUCAGUUACCGGAGUCCUGUUAGCCCAGUGUUACAGCCCGGAUGUAUACGUUGAUGACCGACAUGCUCGAUGUGACUCAUGUAUGCCUGUCCCCAUAGGUUAGCGCCGCUUUGGGUUCAUGACUAGCCAUGUCAGCCCGGGUUCUCUGUCAUAUGGAUGCUAGCGACACUAUCAUAUACGUGAGCCAAAAGGCGCAAACAGUCCCGGCCAUGGUAAGGCGACACCCGUGGGAUUACCGUGCGUGAGGCCGCAAAGUGAUAUGAGGUGUUACCGGCUAGAUCAAUGUGACUUGGAAUCAUGGUCCAGACAGCAUUGGCAUCAGAGCCGGACUGCCUGUAGGUUCCUAAGCCAAACUGGUCGAUGUCGAGUCUAGAAAUGCUUUAGUUAUAUGUAGGGGAAUUUAUUGUGGGAGGAAACGUAAGGCUCUUUUUACCCCUUUACCUUAUGCCCUCUGAUCUGUGUCAUCCUCUUCUCAUUCUACGUGGGUUAAGGACUAGGCUCUCUUCUCUCUAUCAGGUUCACGUGUUACUAAUCCGUAGUAACUUAUAGGAUUGUUGGUUACCAGUCUCAGUACAGUUCCUACUACUUUAGUAUGUUAUCAGUUGAACCUGAACCUUGAUAUGAUGUUGUUGAGUGGUUUUGCAAUCCGUUGUGAAUGUCUCAAAUCUGCUCCUGAGCAUUUACAGCUGUUAUGUUGUCCAAUUUUCCCUAGGAAUUCUAAUGUCUUUGCAUUGUGGUUGUGCUUUCAGAUGGCCACUCGCGCUCAGAACCAAGUGGUUCGCCUGACGCGGUGCCUCAAUGUGCCCGGUCAUACUGCUAUGUUAGUCCGGGUCAUGAUCGAGACAGGUUACCGUUGGUAUCCCGAAUACAUUGCCGAAGAGCAAUUCCAAGACUUUAAUCAAAGCCAAUACUUCUGCACUGUCAGGAUAUUUCCUUCAUAUCCUGGAUCCACCGAGCCCCUUCACUGCUCCUAUGGACUCGGGGUCACCAUUGAGAUGGCUGUACAGGAUGCGGCCUAUUCUAUGAUGACCAUCAUGCGAGUCAGGACUGGUCUGCUUCGGAACACCGACUUCCGUUAUAUGCCAGCAUCGCUCCCAGGAGCGCAAGGGUAUCUCCAGGCUAUCUAUGCUGAUUCCACCCAUGAGGACUCACUAACUCGCACCAUUGCGGAGAUGCUCGAGGAUAAGGACCGAGAGAAUCAGGCCUUGAGGUUGGAGCUUUUCAACACCUGCGCCGAUCAUUGGGCCACUUUGACUCGGUUUGCACCGGCUGUGCAAGCUGGAUGUAUGGAUAUGAGGGAUCUGUUUCCUGUGAGAUCUGCUCUGCCAGACAUGGUGGAUUGGCGUGAUGUGGGAGGCAUCAUCCCACCCCGUGGUCCCCGUAGGCCAUCGUUUGUUGGUCCAAGACCUCAUCCUAGCCCCUAUGGUCCACAGGCUCCUCAGGACCGUCUGUUCCCGGAUGAUCACGUUGAGCUUCCAAGCUAUGGAGGGGACUUCUAUGAGGACUACUACGGAGCUGUCUGAGUUAGUAGUAGUAUCUUUAGUAUUGUAAUAGUUGUAAUUCCAUCGUCCUGCGUGACCUGUGGAAUAUGACUUAGUGUGUAUCAGUUCCGGAGGUGUAGAAAAAUAAUGUAUCGGAGCUUGGAAUGCCUCCGAUGAGAUGUAACUUCUUCCACCGUAGUUGUACUAUAGUCGGGCUUGUACUAAACUAUGUAUGGUGUGUAUGACUGUUGGUGCAUAUAUGGCAGUUUCUGUAUUACCAUGUCAUACAGAUGAACAUCUCUGCAUUCCUUGUUAUCCAUUACAUUCUGCACUUCCUUGUCCAGAUUUGCCAUCCUUGUCUAAAGCGAUGUCUUGUUUUCCUAGGAUGGUCAACACCCGUAACAACCCUGCUACUCCGGAGCAGGGUGAAGCCAGUGCAGCUAGGAAUGAAAAUCUGCCUCAACCACCUUCUCUGGUCGAAGUUAUGCUGGAGGCAGAGCGAAAUAAGCGUGAGACCAAUCGCUUGCUGGAGCGGAUUGAGCAGAAUACCGCACGCCAGCCGAGGAACGACCUGGUGUCACUUAAUGACUUUGUCAAGCUGUAUCCACCGAAGUUUAAACAUUCCGUCGAGCCCCUUGAUGCGGAUGAAUGGCUUCGCAGCAUUACCCACAAGCUACGUUCUGUCAAUGUGGCCGAAGCUGAUAAGGUUAACUUUGCUACCUAUCACCUCGAAGGCCCUGCUAGCCUUUGGUGGGAAAACUUUGAGGCUAUGCGCCCGGUCGGCCAAAUUACUACUUGGGCUGAAUUCAGUAUGGAGCAUCACAUUCCGGAAGGUCUUAUGGAUCGCAAGCGUGAAGAGUUCUGCAACUUCACCCAGGGUAGACUGACUGUGGAUGCAUACAGUCGCGAGUUUGGAUAUCUAGCACGAUAUGCUCCUAAAGAGGUAUCCACCGACGCCAAGAAGCAGGCAAGGUUCCGCAAGGGACUUAGCCCCGAGCUUCGUCGUGAUCUUCGUCUGCACGAGUGCACCUCCUUCCAGAAGUUAGUCAACAAGGCCAUCAGUGCUGAGACAGGGCAGUCGGACUUUGAAGCUUCACGCAAGCACUCCCGUGACUUUGGACUUCAUCCGGCUGUGCAUCUCAGAAGCGCCGGGUCUGGAUUCCAAGCACUGCUCUGCCACCCAGGUUCACCCCGAGGCCAUCCUUUGACGCGCCUCGCCCCAACCAAUAGUAUACACCGCCCAAGGCCUAUGGUGGCCCCACUGCUAAUGCUACUCCAUGCCCCAAUGUGAUAACUUGUUUCAAGUGUGGGGAGACGGGUCACUACAUUCGUGAGUGUCCCCAAAACAACCCCAACCAGAUUGGAAAGUCUGUUGGCCGUGGCAAGCCAGCAGGAAAGGUGCUCUACGCCAAGCCAGCCACCACUGCCCGUGGCCAUGUCAACUAUGUCUCAGCAGAGGAGACUCAUGAGGAUCCCAACGUCGUUCUCGGUACGCUUCUUGUUAAUUGCCACCCGGCAACCAUUCUCUUUGAUACUGGAGCAUCUCAUUCAUUUAUAUCUGAAAGCUAUGCUCGAUUGCACAACACCACAUUUUGUGACAUGCCCACCUCCAUGGUAAUUCAAACCCCUGGUUCUAAGUGGCAAACCUCUAAAAUCAGCCAUGGAAAUGAAAUCCUUGUCGACAGAUUAGUCUUCCUUGCAUCACUAAUAGCUCUCAAGUCCUCGGACAUAAACAUCAUCUUGGGUAUGGACUGGAUGUCAGCCCAUUACGCUAAGAUCGAUUGCUCCACUAGAACUGUUCAACUCACCCACCCUUCGGGCAAGACAGCCAAUGUUUUGACCCGAGUGUCUAAGCGUCAGCUUUACUCUUUAAAUGCCAACCCCCUUCCAGACCUUGAAGAUAUUCCGGUAGUCCGUGACUUCCCGGAUGUCUUUCCAGAGGAACUGUCAGGUGUUCCACCUAACAGAGAUGUCAAGUUCGUGAUAGACCUUGUUCCAGGAACCAUGCCAACAUCUAGGAGACCUUAUAAGAUGGCACCCCUAGAACUAGCUGAGCUUAAGAAACAACUCGAUGAGUCCUUGCAAAAGGGUUUCAUCCAUCCUAGCUCUUCUCCAUGGGCUUGCCCCGUCCUUUUCGUCAAGAAGAAGGAUGGAACGGAUCGGAUGGUUGUAGAUUACCGGCCAGUCAACUUGGUCACUAUCAAGAACAAGUAUCCGCUCCCCAAGAUCAACGACCUGUAUGAUCAGCUCGCUGGAUCCUCAGUCUUUUCUAAAAUGGAUUUGAGGUUGGGCUACCAUCAAAUCAAAAUUAAGAACGGGGACAUUCCUAAAACGGCCUUUGUUACUCGAUAUGGCCAAUACGAGUACACCGUCAUGUCCUUCGGUCUAACCAAUGCCCCAGCCACCUUCUCUCGGUUAUUGAACUCGAUCUUCAUGGAGUAUUUUGAUAAAUUCGUCGUGGUUUACCUUGAUGAUAUACUCAUCUACUCCAAGAAUGAAGAAGAACAUGCCGAACAUCUAAGGCUAGUGUUGAUGAAACUUUGAGAGCAUUGUCUUUAUGCCAAAUUCUCUAGGUGUGAGUUUUGGUUGCCAGAAGUAACCUAUCUAGGACAUGUAAUCUCUGGUAAGGGCAUUGCUGUCAAUCCCAAGCGAGUUCAAGCCAUCCUUGACUGGACUCCACCUGAAACGGUCAAGCAAGUUCAGAGUUUUGUUGGUUUAGCGAGCUAUUGCCGCUGCUUCAUCGAGAAUUUCUCCAAGGUUGCUAAGCCUCUAACCGAACUCCUCAAGAAAGAUAAAAAGUUCGAAUGGACGCCAUAGUGCGAGUUCAGUUUUCAGGAACUGAAAAGACGCCUGACAUCUGCUCCUGUACUUGUUCCACCAGAUUUCUCUAAGGACUUCGUUAUCUACUGCGACGCCUCGCGACAAGGACUAGGUUGCAUACUCAUGCAAGAUCGUCAUGUGAUUGCCUACGCUUCUCGACAGCUGCGUCCACAUGAGGAUAACUAUCCCACACAUGAUCUACAGCUUGCAGCAGUGGUCCAUGCACUCAAAACCUGGCGACAUUACCUUCUCGGUAAUCGUUGCGAGAUUUACACCGAUCACCAAAGUCUGAAAUACAUCUUCACCAAACCGGAUUUGAAUCUCAGACAAAGACGUUGGGUCGAGUUGAUUACGGAUUACGAUCUAGGAAUAACCUACACCCCAGGAAAAGCCAAUGUCAUGGCUGAUGCAUUAAGCCGUAAAUCUUAUUGUAACAACCUGAUGUUACAACAAAGCCAACCAUUUCUCCACGAGGAAUUUCGUAAGCUUAACCUUCACAUCGUUCCUCGAGGUUUUCUUUCCACCCUGGUGGCGAAACCUACCCUUACGGAUCAGAUCAUCAAGGCACAGAAGGUAGAUCCGGGAAUAUCCCGUAUCAAGAGAAACAUCAAAAGGGAGUUGGACUGUUUCUCCAUAGAUGAUCAAGGUGUUGUGUUCUUUGGAGGCCAUCUAGUGGUUCCCAAGGUAUGCAACCUGAGGCGAUUGAUCCUUAAGGAAGCUCAUGAAUCCCCUCUCACUAUUCAUCCCAGUAGUACUAAAAUGUAUCAAGACCUACGCCAGAGGUUUUGGUGGACUAGGAUGAAGAGAGAAAUCGCUCAAUACAUUACCAAUUGCGACGUCUGUCGUCGAGUUAAAGAAGAGCAUCAACGACCUGCUGGCACCCUGCAACCUUUGGAAAUUCCCGAAUGGAAAUGGGAUAAAAUCGGUAUGGAUUUCAUUACCGGGUUUCCCAGGACCAAGAGGGGGAAUAAUGCUAUCUUCGUUGUUGUCGAUCGUCUUUCCAAAGUAGCCCACUUCCUACACGUUCGUGAGAGUUUAACCGCUAGCCAGCUAGCUGACUUAUACAUCUCCCGAAUAGUGUCUCUUCAUGGUGUUCCAUUGGAGACUAACUCAGACCGUGGAAGUCUCUUCACCUCUCGAUUUCGGGAAAGUUUCCAAAAUGCGAUGGGAACUCGUCUUUCUUUUAGCACCGCUUUCCAUCCUCAAUCAAGUGGUCAAGUAGAACGAGUCAAUCAAAUUCUAGAGGAUAUGCUUCGAGCUUCUGUCAUCUCUUUUGGUAUGAAUUGGGAGAAGUGCCUUCCAUUCGCUGAGUUCGCUUAUAACAAUAGUUAUCAAGCUAGCUUGGACAAAGCUCCUUUCAAAGUUCUCUAUGGAUGAAAAUGUCGAACACCUCUUAACUGGUCAGAAACCGGGUAAAGACAACUCUUUGGCCCGGAUAUGAUCCAGGAAGCAGAGGAGCAGGUUCACGUUAUUCGUGAGAAAUUGAAAACAGCCCAAUCUCAUCAAAAGAGCCAAUAUGACCGCAAACAUACACUAGUAGAAAAGGGGCCAAUGGUCCAGGCCGGUCCAGCCCAUUAGUCCCGGUUCAAUCCAGAACCGGGACCAAUGGGGGCAUUGGACCCGGUUCGUGAGCCCUGGGGGCCGGCCGGGCCACGUGGGCCAUUGGUCCCGGUUCGUCCUGACCUUUCGGUCCCGGUUGGUGGGACGAACCGGGACCAAUGGGCCUCGCUCCUGGCCCACCAACAUUGGUCCCGGUUGGUGGCUUGAACCGGGACCAAAGGCGUCCCUUUAGUCCCGGUUCAAGUCACCAACCGGGACCAAUUAGUUGCCUAUAUAUACCCCUCGCCUGCGAGCAGAGCACUCCCAGUGCUCUGUUUUUCGUGGCUGGCGAGGGGAGAGCUUUGUGGUGCUCUAGCUCACGUCCUAUGCACACAAGGUGUUCGAUGGAAUGCCCGAGCCACACUACUUAAGCUUUCUCCUCUCCAAGCUCGACCUCCAAGCUCCAUUUUCCUUCAUAUUUGUCUAGGUUUAGCGGUUCGUCACGUCCCGUCCCCAUCUUCACCACCGUUGAUCGCCCGCGCCGAUCUCGUCGCCGGCACCACCGUGGUGAGCCUCUUGUUCUUAUCUUCUUUCUGAAAGGAAAAAAAAUUCUUACUUGUAUGUUUAUAUAGAUACUUGUAUAAUUUUCUUACUUUUAUUAUUGCAUCUUAUAUAGUGCGAUGGUUUUGGUAUCCGCCCCCGUCGGCCCUCGUCCUGUCUAUGAUUCAGAUGUGGUAUAUAUAUAUUAUCUUUUCAUAACUAGUGGUUCAUUUAUUGUUUAUGACAAUUAUGCCGACCAACGUGACAUAGAUUUUAUUUAUCUAGGAGGUUGUUGAACCGGAAAUUCCAACCGACCCUAUUGUCGAGAGGUUAAAUUUAGUUGAAGAAAACAAUUUGUUGAAGGGAAAAAUUAGAAAAAUUGAGGAGGAGAAGAUGAUAUUGGAGUUGCAUGUUGCGGAUGUCAUCGAUGAUCACAAGAUCAAGAUGGAUGCAAUGCGCUUGAAGAUUAGAAAGAUUAGAAAAUAUGCCAUUCAUACCGAGGCUUGGUAUCAUUAUGUCGUUGGAUCAGUUGUUACAUUGGUUGCGAUUAUGAUCGUAUUUGUUUUCGCAUUGAAAUGUUUUACAUAGUUUCAGUGUAUGGUUUAAUUAAUUUAGAUGCCCUGCAGAGCUUUAUGUUGUUAGAUGAGAACUAUGUAUGUACUUUGGUUUUAAUGUGAUGAUGAACUUCUAUUAAUUUCGUCACUUAAUUAUCUAUUCAUGAUGUUCUGUAAUGAUUUUUGACACACUUAAUUAUAUAUAAUGCACGCAGAUGAACCGGCAAUGGAUGUACGGUUCAAGACACACCUCCGAGUACAUUAAGGGCGUGCAUGAUUUUCUCGAAGUGCCUGAGGCAACAAGAAGAAUGGUUUUAUGUGUUGUCCAUGCCCUAUAUGUGGGAAUACGAAGUCUUACUCUGACUGGAAAAUCCUCCACACCCACCUUCUUUACAAGGGUUUCAUGCCACACUAUAAUGUUUGGACGAGGCACGGAGAAAUAGGGGUUAUGAUGGAAGACGGCGAAGAAGAAGAGUACGAUGACAACUAUGUGCCCCCUGAAUACGGUGAUGCUACUGAAGAUCAAGAGGAACCAGACGAUGUGCCCGAUGAUGAUGAUCUCCGCCGGGUCAUUGUCGAUGCAAGGACGCAAUGCGAAAGUCAAAAGGAGAAGCUGAAGUUCGAUCGCAUGUUAGAGGACCACAAAAAAGGGUUGUACCCCAAUUGUGAAGAUGGCAACACAAAGCUCGGUACCGUACUGGAAUUGCUGCAGUGGAAGGCAGAGAAUGUUGUGCCUGACAAAGGAUUUGAGAAGCUACUGAAAAUAUUGAAGAAGAAGCUUCCAAAGGAUAACGAAUUGCCCGACAGUACAUACACAGCAAAGAAGUUCGUAUGCCCUCUAGGAUUGGAGGUGCAGAAGAUACAUGCAUGCCCUAAUGACUGCAUCCUCUACCGCGGUGCGUACAAGGAUCUGAACGCAUGCCCGGUAUGCGGUGCAUUACGGUAUAAGAUCAGACGAGAUGACCCUGGUGAUGUUGACGGCGAGCCCCCCAGGAAGAGGGUUCCUGCGAAGGUGAUGUGGUAUGCUCCCAUAAUACCACGGUUGAAACGUCUGUUCAGAAACGGAGAGCAUGCCAAGUUGAUGCGAUGGCACAGUGAGGACCGUAAGAAAGACGGGAAGUUGAGAGCACCCGCUGACGGGUCGCAGUGGAGAAAAAUCGAGGGAAAGUACUGGGAUGAGUUUGCAAGUGAGCCAAGGAACGUAUGGUUUGCUUUAAGCGCGGAUGGCAUUAAUCCUUUCGGGGAGCAGAGCAGCAAUCACAGCACCUGGCCCGUGACUCUAUGUAUGUAUAACCUUCCUCCUUUGAUGUGCAUGAAGCAGAAGUUCAUUAUGAUGCCAGUUCUCAUCCAAGGCCCUAAGCAACCCGGCGACGACAUUGAUGUGUACCUAAGGCCAUUAGUUGAAGAACUUUUAUAGCUGUGGAAUGGAAAUAGUGUACGUACGUGGGAUGAGCACAAACAGGAGGAAUUUAACCUAAAGGCGUUGCUGUUCGUGACCAUCAACAAUUGGCCCGCUCUCAGUAACCUUUCAGGACAGACAAACAAGGGAUACCACGCAUGCACGCACUGUUUACUUGACACCGAUAGUAUAUACCUAGCAAGUUGUAGGAAGAAUGUGUACCUGGGCCAUCAUCGAUUUCUUUCGACCAACCAUCAAUGUUGAAAGAAAGGCAAGCAUUUCAAAGGCGAGGCAGAUCACCGGAAGAAGCCCUCCAUGCGUACUGGUAUCACGUACUUGCUAUGGUAGUGAUUUACACGUAAUCUUUGGAAAGUGUCCCGGCGGACUAGCUGUUCCGAAUGACGCUGAGAAUCACGCACCCAUGUGGAAGAAGAAAUCUAUAUUUUGGGACCUACCCUACUAGAAAGACCUAGAGGUCCGCUCUUCGAUCGACGUGAUGCACGUGACGAAGAACCUUUGCGUGAACCUGCUAGGCUUCUUGGGCAUGUAUGGGAAGACAAAAGAUACAACUGAGGCACGGGAGGACCUGCAACGCUUGCACGAAAAAGUGGGCAUGCCUCCGAAGCAGUAUGAAGGUCCUGCCAGCUACGCUCUUACGAAAGAAGAGAAAUAAAUCUUCUUUGAAUGCCUGCUCAGUAUGAAGGUCCCGACUGGCUUCUCUUCGAAUAUAAAGGGAAUAAUAAAUAUGCCAGACAAAAAGUUCUAGAACCUAAAGUCUCAUGACUGCCACGUGAUUAUGACGCAACUGCUUCCGGUUGCAUUGAGGGGGCUUCUACCGGAAAACGUCCGAUUAGCCAUUGUGAACCUAUGUGCAUUCCUCAAUGCAAUCUCUCAGAAGGUGAUCGAUCCAGAAAUCAUACCAAGGCUAAGGACUGAUGUGGUGCAAUGUCUUGUCAGUUUCGAGCUGGUGUUCCCACCAUCCUUCUUCAAUAUCAUGACGCACGUCCUAGUUCAUCUAGUUGACGAGAUUGUCAUUCUGGGCCCCGUAUUUCUACACAAUAUGUACUUCUUUGAGAGGUUCAUGGGAGUCCUAAAGAAAUAUGUCUGUAACCGCGCUAGGCCAAAAGGAAGCAUCUCCAUGGGCUAUCAAACAGAGGAUGUCAUCGGGUUUUGUGUUGACUUCAUUCCUGGCCUUAAGAAUAUAGGUCUCCCUAAAUCGCGGUAUGAGGGGAGACUGACUGGAAAAGGCACGCUUGGAAGGGACUCAAUUAUAUGCAGGGACGGAUAUUCUUGGUCUCAAGCACACUACACAGUUCUACAGAACUCUACCUUGGUGACCCCGUAUGUCGAUGAACACAAGAACAGUCUGCGCUCCAAACACCCGGAGCAGUGCGACGACUAGAUUACAUGUGAACACAUCAGGACUUUCAGUAGUUGGUUGGAAGCACAUAUCAGAGGUGACAACACUGUUUGUGAUGAGUUGUACUUGUUGUCCAGGGGACCAUCUUUGACUGUAUUGAUUUGGAAAGGAUACGAGAUAAAUGGGAAUACAUUUUACACGAUUGACCAAGAUCAAAAGAGCACCAACCAAAACAGCGGUGUCCGCUUUGAUGAAACAACCGAGAGGGGAAAGGACACAUAUUGUGGUUACAUAGUGGACAUAUGGGAACUUGACUACGGACACGAUUUUAAGGUCCCUUUGUUUAAGUGCAAAUGGGUCAAUCUGUCAGGUGGCAGGGUACAGGUAGACCCACAGUACGGAAUGACAAUAGUGGAUCUGGAAAAUCUUGGAUACACUGACGAACUGUUCGUCCUAGCCAAUGAUGUGGCACAGGUUAUCUAUGUGAAGGACAUGUCUACCAGACCAAGAAAGAGAAAAGAUAAGGAAGCGAAUACAUCAUACGAUGAGCCAAAGUGCCACAUAGUUCUUUCAGGAAAAAGGGACAUCGUGGGAGUGGAGGACAAGACAGACAUGUCUGAAGAUUAUGAAAAGUUUCAUGAAAUUCCUCCCUUUAAUGUCAAGGCUGACCCCAGCAUCCUGAUAGACGAUGAAGAUUAUCCAUGGUUACGGCGCAAUAAGCAAAUGACACAAGCGAAGAAAAAGUGAAGACUUUCUCCCGCAACUAUUAUGAUGAUACCAUGCCAAAUUUGUAACUGACGAGUAUGAUACCAUUGUCCGUUUUGUACAUGCACAUGCUAUGUGGGUCAAUUUAUGAUACCAUGCCAACUUUCAACUUUUUCAGAGUUCAUUUGAAAUGCUUUAAUGUCUUAUGGUUCGGCCCUCGUAAUGAUUAAAAAUAGCAACAAUAAGUAUUUUGUUGUAAGUAGAAACAAAAUAAAAUAAAUAAAGCAAGAAAGAAAACAAAAAAAACAAAAAAAGUGUUUUCAAAUUUGAAAACUAAUGGUACUAACAGAAAGUUUAUAAUUUUCCUAAAACUAAAAGCAAAAAGAAUUGAAAAAUAAAGCAAAAAACAAAAGACAAUAAAUAAUGCAGAAAUCAAAACAAAAAACAACAAUAAGUAUUUUGUUGUAUGUAGAAACAAAACAAAAUAAAUAAAGCAAGAAAGAAAACAAAAAAACAAAAAAAGUGUUUUCAAAUUUGAAAACUAGGGCACUAACAGAAAGUUUAUAAUUUUCCUAAAACUAAAAGCAAAAAGAAUUAAAAAAUAAAGCAAAAAACAAAAGAAAAUAAAUAAUGCGGAAAACAAAACAAAAAAACUGGAAAAAAAAUAAAAUAGCAAAAAUAAGUAAAGAAAACAAAAAAAUGCCUCCUACUGGGCCCCCACGGCCUGAAUACGACUAGAAACCCUACUAUGGGCCAGGAUUCAGGCCCGCAGUAGGCCCAGAAGGCCCAUCAGGCAAAGCAAUAGCAAGUAGGCCCGAAAGCCUGCGGUGGAGAGGAGCUCGAGAGGGGUGCGGCAGUGGGGCUUAUAAACCACUGCACGCCCCUCUCAACUAGCGAGGUGGGACUAAACUUUGGCCCCGACGCGGGAAGCACAGGGGCCUUUGGUCCCGGUUGGUGGCACCAACCGGGACUAAAGGGGGGGGCAUUGGUACCGGUUCGUGGCACCAACCGGUACCAAAGGCCGCCGCUUCCCGCCCUUUGGGCUGCCGAAAAGGAGGCCUUUGGUCCUAGUUGGUGGCACUAACCGGGACUAAAGGGUGCAUUAGUCCCGGUUGAUUUCACGAACCGGGACCAAUGCCUUUGCUAUAUAAGCAAACACUUUGCAAAAUUUCAGAAUCCCAUCGCCAGUUGCCCCCGACGACGCCGACCCUCCUCGACGCUGCCAGGCUGCUCCACCUCGCCGUCGUCGCCGCCACCGCCAAGCCGUCGCCUCCCCGAGCCCGCGCCAUCCUCGUCGCCGGCCUCCCUGAGCCCGCGCCGUCCUCGUCGCCGGUCUCCUCGAGCCCGCUCCCCGUCCCGCCCCCGCGCGCCGCCGCCCCGAGCCCCUGCCCCGUCCUGCCCCCAUGCGCNNNNNNNNNNNNNNNNNNNNNNNNNNNNNNNNNNNNNNNNNNNNNNNNNNNNNNNNNNNNNNNNNNNNNNNNNNNNNNNNNNNNNNNNNNNNNNNNNNNNNNNNNNNNNNNNNNNNNNNNNNNNNNNNNNNNNNNNNNNNNNNNNNNNNNNNNNNNNNNNNNNNNNNNNNNNNNNNNNNNNNNNNNNNNNNNNNNNNNNNNNNNNNNNNNNNNNNNNNNNNNNNNNNNNNNNNNNNNNNNNNNNNNNNNNNNNNNNNNNNNNNNNNNNNNNNNNNNNNNNNNNNNNNNNNNNNNNNNNNNNNNNNNNNNNNNNNNNNNNNNNNNNNNNNNNNNNNNNNNNNNNNNNNNNNNNNNNNNNNNNNNNNNNNNNNNNNNNNNNNNNNNNNNNNNNNNNNNNNNNNNNNNNNNNNNNNNNNNNNNNNNNNNNNNNNNNNNNNNNNNNNNNNNNNNNNNNNNNNNNNNNNNNNNNNNNNNNNNNNNNNNNNNNNNNNNNNNNNNNNNNNNNNNNNNNNNNNNNNNNNNNNNNNNNNNNNNNNNNNNNNNNNNNNNNNNNNNNNNNNNNNNNNNNNNNNNNNNNNNNNNNNNNNNNNNNNNNNNNNNNNNNNNNNNNNNNNNNNNNNNNNNNNNNNNNNNNNNNNNNNNNNNNNNNNNNNNNNNNNNNNNNNNNNNNNNNNNNNNNNNNNNNNNNNNNNNNNNNNNNNNNNNNNNNNCGCUGCAUUGGCUCUGUUUUUUUUUCAUUUUUAUUAGUUUAAUUAUUUUUUUGUUCAUAUAUAUAUAUAUAUAUAUAAUGUAUAUGUGUAUGUAUGUGGCUAUAUAUGUGUAUGUAGAUGUUCAAAAAUUAUUCAGAGCACGUUUUUAUUCAUAUAUGUAUUUUUUGUUCAUAUGUGUAUUAAUGUUUUCAUAUAUGCAAAAGAUAGAUUUUUAGAAAAGUUAGGGUUUUUUUUUCUAUUCAUAGAUUUUUUUGGUGAUAUUAAUUAUUGUAGAAUAUGCAAAUGUUUGUAUAUUCAUAUGAACAAUGCAUUAGGCAAAACCUUUGUUUUUUUUGAAAUUUUUUAUUUGAACAUUUUUUAAAAACAAGCAAUACUAAAAGAAUGAGAGGAAAAAGGAAAAUAAGAAGAGGAAGAAAGGAGAAGAAGAGGAGAGGAAGAAGAGGAGAAAUAAAUAAGAAGAGGAAAAAAGAAGAGGGGAAGAAGAAAGGAAUAGAGGAGAAGAAGAAAAAUAGAAAUUUUCUAUUUUUCUUCUUCUCCUCUAUUCCUUUCUUCUUCUCCUCUUUAUUUUCUUCUUUUUUUUCUUCUUCCUUCUUCCUCUUUUCUUCCUUUUCCUUAUUUUCCUUUCUCGAGGGAGAAGAAGAAAAAGAAGAGUAAAAGAAGAAGAAAGGAAUAGAGGAGAAAGAAGAAACUUCAACACAAGGGGGGGUUACCGAUACCCCCUCCCCGAUAACAUUAUUUUCCCAUGUAUAUGUAUGUCGCGUCAUUGUCGAUAUAACCCCCUCGAGAUAACUUCGACAUGAGGGGCGGUCGAUAUAUAUACCCCCUCUCGACCGUGAUAACUUAUACAACGGCAGCACCCCCCUCGGCCCUCUCGCUCGACCAAAACUCUUGAGGACACCCAAACCCUAGAGAGAAAACGAUGUUGGUCUCCUACCCCCUCCCGCCGCGCCCCUACCCGACAUAUUAACUCUCUCGAGGCCACCCAAAUUUACCAAGUUAAAAGAGCGUUGUCGUCGAGGCCACCCCAAACCCUUGAAGCGUUGUGUCGAGGAGACCCCAAACCCUAGAGAAGCAGCGUCGAGGCCACUAACAUGGAUCGAUCCAUCUGUAAUAAUAAUUGACAUGGUGUAAAUAUUUGCAGAAACUAUGGAGCACUCCCGAGACGAAGAAACAGAAGCGAUGUUGGGGGACAUUAUCGCACAAGGAAGUGAUGAAGUUGCGUCAUUUCUCAACGACACCGAUGGUCAGGAACGACUGGGUGAAGAAGAGGGCUAUGUUCAUGAUGGCUUCGACCCAUUAAUGCCGGUACAAGAAGAGGACUAUGUUCAUGAUGGCUCUGGUGACACAAUGGAGGUACAAGAAGGAGACCGUGCUGACUGCUCCGGUGACCGAACCGAGUCCGGCCAGGUAUAUAUAUAUAUAUUAGUUAAGCCCGUGCUGACUAGUUAAUUGAUGCAUCCAUUGUUUUGGUAUAUGUACACAUAUUAAUUACUCUCGUCUUUCUUCCUUAUAAUUUCUAGCCCUCCGGAUCGAGCACAACUUCGGUAAGAAGACGAAGCCCGAAGAAAAAGUUGAGCUCGGAUGAAAAGUUUGAGAUCAUAGAAAUCGCGCCCGACGGCGAACCGAUUGAACCCAUCCGGACAAGGAAGGCAUUUUCUGCUCAGUGCGGGGUUCUUGUUAGGGACAAGAUCCCGAUCAGCAUCCAUCAAUGGUAUAAGCCUAAGGAGGAAGACCCCGAGGUGUCUUAUGUCAAUGAUAUGCAGAAAGAAGAUCUUUGGACUGAGCUAAAGGCAAAUUUCACCCUACCGCUAGAGGAGGAUCCGGAGAAGCCAGUUAUAGAGCAAUUAAUCAAUUCUUGUGCUCUUAAGAAGAUGGCAACCCUAAUGAGGAGGUGGAGGAAAGAGGUGAACCAGUUUGUCGAGAAAGAUAAGACACCAGAAUUCAUCGGCAAAUAUGAGAAGAUCAAAGAUCACUGGCCCGCAUUUGUGGCCCACAAGACAUCGGAAAAGAGUAAGAAGAUGUCGGCAACAAACAAGAAAAAUUCUGCAAAGAAGAAGCUUCACCAUCGCACGGGGUCAGGUGGCUACCUCAAAGCCCGGCCUAAGUGGUCCAAGGCUGAGCAUGAUCUGCUUGAAAAAGGGAUCGAACCAGAGACAAUGUACUGGCCAGACCGUUGUCGGACUUGGUUCUUCGGGGCUGGCGGAACCUUGGACCCUGUAACAGGGAAGUGCCAGUGGACGGAUGAGCAACUACAAAUACCAGUCAAGAAACUUCGACACUAUAUCGAUGCAGCGUAGCGAGGGACGCUCCUUCCAAACAGGGAGAAGGACGAGCUCACAAUGGCCCUUGGGAAUCCUGAGCACCCUGGAUGGACACGAGGCACGCCAGGCUCCAUUCCAUGGAAGGUUGGUCUUCCGCACACAGGGGGUUACAAAACCCACGAGAGGAGGAAGAAACUGGAGCAGGACCAAAUGCAGGCGCUGCACGAAAGGGUAAUGGGGCUAGAGGAACGAGAAGCAGCAGAUCGCAGCAAACGACAUGCCGAAGCUUCCCCCGAAGCUACCUCGCCAUCUCAGCGGAGAAGCAGCGUGGCUUCCACCGAGCUGCUUCAGCCGGAGCAUGUCUUGACGUCUCCUGCCAGCUAUCCCGUGGAUGGUAUCACGGAGUCUCAAAGUUGCCACAUUAUGACGCAAUGUAUGAAUUUGAAGGUCAAGGCGGCUGUUGGCCAAGUUUAUCCUAGUGGACCCGGCACAACUUAUCACUGCCAGCCGAUUCCAGAAGGAUUUGCUAAGGUGAUGGUGGAUGAAAUAACGGAGGGAUUUGAGGACCUCCUGCUUGAGCACCCUACCGGUGAAGGGGAGACUAGGCUGGGUUCUGCUCUGAAGACUCCAUGCCUAUGGCGGAAGGAGCUCAUCAACCUUCCGAACUGGACGCCUCCGCCUCCUCCUCCUCCUCCGGCGAGUCAGGGCACUCCGCCUCCUCCACCGCCUCCUCCUCCGGCGAGUGAUGAUCAGGGCACACGUGGCAGCACUCCGCCUCCUUCUCCGCCUGCGCCGGCGCGCCCGAGCAGCCAGCCUCCUCCUUCUCCGCCUCGUCAGCAAGGGCGAAAGAGACCCGCCGCUGCUCCGGCUGCUCCGGCGCGUCGUAAUCCUUCUCCUCCGCCUCACAAAAAGCAAGCAAAGAAGACAUCCACUCCGUCUGCUCUGUCGGUGUCUAGCAGUACAGCCAAAGGCGGGAAGAAAUACAGAUUUGGUCCUUCUCCGAAGACUCCAGAGAAGUUACCGUACGAGAGGACCGAGGAGGAAAACGCGGAGAUCACGCAGAACGAACUGGAUGGCUGGUUUGCAGGGUUGAAAGCAAAGAGACAUCCACCUCCGGAGGAGAAGGUAGAUCCGGUGAAAGUGAAGCGCACUCUGGCUGCCCUGAGGAAACCGGCAAAGUCUCCGCCGAGAACCAACUAUGAGCGCAUUACUGAACAGACAUAUCUCCAAGCGGAGCAGUCGGGAAGUACUGUCAGACAUCAAAGAGCAAAAGAACGAGCAGCUGCGAAAAAAGUUGACCAGCUCGGCGAACAACCAAACCAAUCGUGCCCCCCGCUCAAUGUGUCUAGCGGCAACAUCGUCGCUAAUGUUCCGGGGAUCAUGGACGGUUAUGGCAAUCCACAAUAUUACCUGCCUGACGAUGCACUUCCUGAAUUCAUGAUGGUGGAAGAACGCAGAUACGAGUACGGGAAGCCUCUCAUCAAAGAUGUAAAAUCUCUAACAACGAUGAUGCGAAGAUUCCAUACUUGGUACAUGAAAACCUGCAGAGAGUCUGGGGGGACGAAUAGUUUGUAUCUACACAUUAAAGAGGAGCACGACCUCGUUGGAACUGAUCUGUUGUGUGUUCCAUUUGAGGAGUUCUUCGCGUUCUUCAAUCAAAUAGCCCUCGAUAAAUUAACGGUCUUUUGCUACUGCCUGUAAGUACUAUUUCUGUCAUUAAGUCUCUAUAUAUAGCUUGGCUUUCAUUACAUGUAUUUAUAAUUAAUUAUCCUCAAUAUAUUAUGCAGAUUGAAGAUCGUCGAGUGCAAAAAAAUGAAAUCUAUGAUAUUGGGUUCAUUAACACAAAUAUCAUAGAUGUAUUUCUGGUUGAAAAGCACAUCGAAGAGGCCGAGGACAACUUGCUACGAUCAUUGAUCAAAAAUCAAAACAAAGAUACCAUACUCUUUCCUUACAACACCAAGUGAGUGUUACUGAUCAUUUGCAUAUUCGGUUUCCCUUAUUACUCGAGCGAGGUUAUAGUAAUGUAAUUGAUGAGUUAUGCAUGUGUGCGCAGGUACCACUAUAUUCUUCUGGAGAUUAAGCUUGAGCGUGGACUAGUAACCGUCUUAGACUCGAGACGGAAAGAUCCCAGCACCUAUGCGGACAUGACUGAAAUGCUCAGCAAGUAAGUUCAAUCGAUCAUUAUCGCACCAUAGCGGCAACUUUUUGUUCAUUUCCUGAUAUCUCAAGUAAUAAUAAUUAUUUUCUUUGUCUUGCAGGGUUUGGAAACAGUUCACCACAGUAGCUCGGGGACUGCCGAAGGAGCUGCGAUAUAUAUACCCGAAAGUAAGUACUACUGGCUAGCUAGUUGUGUGCAUCUCCUGUUGAUUCUAUAGCUAUACUUUCAUCACAUUUAUAAUGCUUCAUUAUCAGUUUGAUAGACCUCUAUUUCUCGUAAAGUGCUUGUGGUAGGAACAAGGGAAUGAUUUCUAUAGAUACUACGUGUGCGAGUUCAUCUACAACGCGACUUUGAAAAAUAAGCGGGGCUACUCUCAAAGACAAUAUGAAGUGCGUAAGCAAUUAAUAAUAUUCACAAUUUCUGUUGAGUUUCAUUCAUAUAUAUAUAUAUAUAUAUAUAUAUAUAUAUAUAUGUAUUAAUUAACCCCCUUCUUCAAAUUAGACGUGGCAGAUGCGGAAUGAACUCCUAGAACCAGAUCGCAUGAAAGGAAUUCAAGAGGAAUUGGCGGGAUUCUUUCUUGACCACGUCAUCAAUAAAGCCGGAGAAUACCAUGUGGAACUUGAUUUCAAAUGCUAGGGGACUGUAAUUGAGAGAUCUUAUAUAUUGUACAUGUUGUAUGUAGCCAGUAGCGUCGGACAUACAUGAUACAAAAACUUGUUGUUUGACCAAUCUCUCGGAGAAGGAGACGUCGAUCGAUCACUUCUCUCGGUAUGCAUGACGAACUUCUGUACUUAAUGGUUUCCUUCAUUUUCUUACUAGCUAGCGUGUCGAGAGCCUCUCUAUGUAUAGUACGUAGCGUCGACCAAGCACGGACAUAAGAGAGGACACUUCUCUCUAUUAAUUAGCUAGCUAACACAAUAUAUGAAACACCUAAAUUAACCCCCAAAACCNNNNNNNNNNNNNNNNNNNNNNNNNNNNNNNNNNNNNNNNNNNNNNNNNNNNNNNNNNNNNNNNNNNNNNNNNNNNNNNNNNNNNNNNNNNNNNNNNNNNNNNNNNNNNNNNNNNNNNNNNNNNNNNNNNNNNNNNNNNNNNNNNNNNNNNNNNNNNNNNNNNNNNNNNNNNNNNNNNNNNNNNNNNNNNNNNNNNNNNNNNNNNNNNNNNNNNNNNNNNNNNNNNNNNNNNNNNNNNNNNNNNNNNNNNNNNNNNNNNNNNNNNNNNNNNNNNNNNNNNNNNNNNNNNNNNNNNNNNNNNNNNNNNNNNNNNNNNNNNNNNNNNNNNNNNNNNNNNNNNNNNNNNNNNNNNNNNNNNNNNNNNNNNNNNNNNNNNNNNNNNNNNNNNNNNNNNNNNNNNNNNNCCCCCUGCCUGGGCUCGGCGCGUGGAUGCCUUUUGGUCCCGGUUGGUGCCACCAACCGGGACCAAAGGCCCCCCUGCCUGGGCUCGGCGCACAGGCCACGUGGAGGACCAUCUAUCCCGGUUCGUGUUACAACCGGGACUAAAGGGGGGAGGUAUUAGUAACGACCCAUUAGUCCCGGUUCAUGAACCGGGAGUAAAGGCCCUCACGAACCGGGACUAAUAGGUGUUUGUCUACUAGUGAUAAGCCUAUGACUUAUGAAGUUGGUGAGAAGGCUUACCUUCGGGUUACACCUUUAAAGGGAACCCAUCGAUUCGGUAUCAAGGGCAAGUUGGCCCCUUGUUACAUUGGACCCUUUUGCAUUCUUGCCAAACGAGGGGAAGUUGCCUACCAGUUGGAACUACCUCCACAUCUUUCUAGAGUUCAUGAUGUCUUCCACGUCUCUCAACUCAGGCAUUGCUUCUCGAAUCAUAUCCGCGAAGUAGACCAUGAAACGCGUGAUCUCCAAGAAAAUCUCACUUAUCGAGAAUAUCCAAUUCGCAUCCUUGAUCAAGCCGAGCGUACCACUCGACGCCAGAAUAUCAAGUUUCUCAAGGUUCAAUGGUCACACCACUCCGAUCAAGAAGCAACUUGGGAAAGGGAGGAUCAUCUACGACUUGAGUAUCCCACCUUCUUCCCGAUAGACCCUAAAUCUCGGGAUGAGAUUCUUUUGAGUGGGGGUGAGUUGUCACAACCUAGCUAGUCCAUGCAUUAGAGUGUUGCAUCAUGUCUACCUUUUAUCAGAAACUUGAAUUGGGGAAGACAGAACCCCCCCAGAACCCCUCUAAAUUCAACUAGUGCUUACUAAAAAUAUUUUCAAUGAACCUGAAAUGCCCUUCUAAAAAGUUCACCCUCUUUGUCUUGGGUUAGAACCUCUGGCAAAAUUGGUGCACAAUUUUCUAGGUCAACAGAAGGCCAUUGAAUUAAAUCAUAUCUACUUUGAGUUUGGGCAUUUAAACUAUAUAAAAUAUUUCAAAUGCUCAAAUAACUCCAAACUAAAAUGUUCCAUACUGGAUAUAUUCCAACUAGCGACCAUGUGCAGUUUGGUGAUUUUUGGAGUUGCCUAAGUAUUUUUAGAAAUGCAACAAACUUACAGAAACAAUUAAAAACAGAAACAAAUGGGGAAAAAACCCUUACCUGGCCGAACCAAGCCCCAGCCCAGCUGGCCGGCCCAGCACUGUGCUGGCCCAUGCCAGCCAGCUGCUUUGCCAUCGCCACGCAGGCACAGAGCUGACGCCAGCGAGUGUGAGCUCGCCACGGCGCCAACUGCUUGCCGCCCGCGCCACCGAGCACCUGGGUGAGCUCCACGUCGCCACCCCGACCCCGUGGACACCUCAUUCGCCCCCCUGCCUCUUCCCUCGCUCUCCCGCACCAUGGCCGACGCACCCGUCGCCGCACCGCCGACGUAGUCGCGCCCUCCAUCGUCCCCGUGCUGCACCACCGUGUCCCUUCGCUCCGUCGUCAUCAACUACAUCGAGCAGGCCGAGCCCCGAGCGCUCGUGGGCCUUGCUUCGUCUUCUUUGACCUCAUCUUCACCGAGCACCACCGCAGAUCCCCUUCGCCGUCGCCGCUGCACCAGCUCGUCCCCGACCUCGCCGACCACUCCGUUGUGACCGCCGUGAGCUCAGCCACCUCCCCAUCCUCCCCGUUUGCCUUCUCGUGCACCGUAGCAGCCGCAUGGAGCUUCAUCGCACGCACCACCGCCGAGCUCGUCGCCGACGUGCCUCCGGCCAUCCACCGUCCACACCACGGUAUCUAACAUGCUCAUUGCAUCGCGUAGAGUCUAACGCCCCACUCCACGCGCCUCGCCGUGCCCCGUAGCCACGGGUCAAUUUUCACCCGACUCCGGCGACCGUCGCGGUCGUCGCUGCCGACGUUCCUGGCCACCUCGACCUCAACCACCACCACCAAACGCCGCGGCUUGUUCCUGGCUACACGUAGAUGGUCUUCGCCGUCCAUUUGGUCGCCGGAACGUGCUAACCCACUUCCUCUGCCGCAUCUGGCCUCGCCAGCGGCUAGACGCCGGCGUGUUUGACCCGUUGACGUUGACUGGGUGGGCCAGGUUGACUCCCCUGAGUCUAUGACAAGUGGGCCCCCCCCUCUGCUAAUUAACCUAGUUUAGUUCUUACUAAAAUCAGUUAGUUUAAAUAAGUGCUGACAUGCGGGACCCACUGGUCAGUUUGACCUGAACGACCCCUUUGACCAUUGACGUCACCCUGAUGCACUGCUGACGCAAUAACCAAUUUCUGGAUUUAUUGUUAUAUAGGAAAUUCCAGAAAUUGUUGCAAACUUCAAAAAUUCAUAGAAAUUAAUCUGUAACUCCAAAUGCAAAGAUUUAUAUAUGAAUUUCGAUCAAAAAAAUUCAAUAUAUCCAUUGGUAAUGGUUUCAUGCAUGUCAGAACAAGUUAACCUUGUUGUUUAAUCAAAACAAGUUAAUGCACUAAUAUGACUAUGUUAAAUGAACUACCAUUUGCAUCUUUGAUUCAAAUGAGUUCAUACCUUUCUGUUCUAGCUUGCAUUAGGCCAGGACACAUUCAUGUUGCCAUGUCAUAGCAUGCAUCAUAUUGUUGCAUAUCGUCAUGUGUGGUUCAUGUUCGGUGUGUUUUCGUGAUAGGUUCUGCCUCCGAGGAUAACCCCGAAUAUCCGUCUGAAGGGCAGUAUCCUACUACCACUACAUCAGGCAAGCAACCCAUUGAUCAUUCUGAUACAAACCCAUGUUCUCGCCUCUGCUCUUGUUUACUGCAUUAAGAUAACGCGAUUCAAACUGUUGUGUGUUGUGGUAGUUGAACCCACUUCCUUUGCAUGACCUGUCAUUGCCACGGUAACUAGAUGAAACCCACUAGCAUGUGUAGGAGUUGAUUGAGCCAUAUCUGUGUUACCUACCAUGCUAUGCUUGCUAUGCUUAGAGUUGUGUCAGGUCUGGCUCAUCAGGAUGAUGAACUAGAGUGAAAGGUUGUGUCGGUAACGAGAGUGAAGUGUUGAACACGAUUUGGUAAAGGUAUCGAUGAGAGGCCAUGUAGGAGUACAUGGUGGGUUGUUUCAUUGAGGCCGUCCUUAAGCACUGAGAUCUGUGUGUGUGAUUUAAGAUUCAGCUACUACCACGCAUUGGGCCCAAAACCAAUGGACCCUCUCGACUUAUUAACCACUCUUGUCCUCAGUCCGGGAGUUGCAAGUAGUUUCUGGUGUUUGUAGCAUGCUGGGGGCCGCACGCAGCGCUGACCUUAGGGGUGGGUUGUGUUGCGGUAGGCACGUGGCACGGUGUAUCGAUUCGCCCGUUUGGUGUCUCGGGAACCCUGUUCACAUCGUUCGGGGCCGUUAGUGGAAACCUCGGCCGGACUCCCUGCGGAUGGAACCCAAAUAGGCGAUAAACCUGGACUAGGGACUCGUGUGUUUAGUCAGGCCAUGGCCGACACCCUUGCUGGGCUUCCGCUUGAAGGUUGCCGAGUACACGUCAUGUAGUGGCGAUAAGUGGUGAGAGCGUGUGUGAAGAAGUACACCCCUGCAGGGUACAAAACUAUUCGAAUAGCCGCGUCCACGGUAAAGGACUACUUGGUCACCUAUACAGUUCAUAGACAAGUAAAUGGAUACUUCUAAAAGCCUCAAGAUAAGUGUGAGUGCCGCGGAUGGCCCUGUCGUAGGUUGACGAGAGAGGAUCCACGGUGGAGUAUUGUGUUGGUGAGUAGUGGACUCGUGUGCGACAAAUGUUUUGCAAGUUGUGUCUAUCGUUGGAUAGCUUAGCCAAGAGUCAAAGCUGGCUUGCUGCAAUAACUCCACUACCUUCUUGAGAAUGUGCAUGUAUGAUAGGAUUCUGUUGUAAGACUUGCUGAGUACCUCUGUACUCAUGUUUGCUUAAUUAAUGUUUUCAGACGACAACACCAACCCCUCCGAUGGGUUCUACGUAGACCUCGACGUUGACGAGUGACUAGCCACCCAAGUGGUGAUCCAAGACUUGUGAAGGGCCGAUGUAGAUAGAAAGGCUUCAUCAAGCCCUCUUUCUUUCUAGUGUCUGUACUCAGACUAGUUGCUUCCGCAUGUGCUUGUAUGCUUGUAUGACUUGAGUGUCAGGUCAUGUGACCCCUAUCUGUAUGAACAUGUUAUGUAUGGCUCCUCGGAGCCACUUAAAUAAAGUACUUUGAGUUGUAGAGUUUUGUUGUGAUGCCAUGUUGUAUGUACUCAUAUCGGGCAUAUUGUGUGUAUGUUUGAAAUGCUUGGUAUGAGUGGGAUCCGACAAUCUAGUUGUUUAUCCUUGGCAGCCUCUCAUAUGGGGAAAUGUAGUCUAGUGCUUCUUGAGCGAUAGUAGUCCGCUACAGCCCGGUUCACCGGAGUCCUGCUAGCCCAGUACUACUGCUCUGGACACUUGACUGGCCGGCAUGUGUUUCACUUUGUUCCUGUGUCUGUCCCUUCGGGGAAAUGUCAAGCGGUGGCAUCCGGAGUCCUGCCUAGCCUGCUACAGCCCGGGUUACCGGAGUCCUGUUAGCCCAGCGUUACAUCCCGGAUGUAUACGUUGAUGACCAACAUGCUCGAUGUGAUUCAUGUAUGCAUGUCCCCAUAGGUUAGCGCCGCUUGGGUUCACGACUAGCCAUGUCGGCCCGGGUUCUCAGUCAUGUGGAUGCUAGCGACACUAUCAUAUACGUGAGCCAAAAGGCGCAAACGGUCUCGGGCCAUGGUAAGGCGCCACCCGUGGGAUUACCGUGCGUGAGGCCGCAAAGUGAUAUGAGGUGUUACCGGCUGGAUCAAUGUGACUUGGAAUCGGGGUCCUGACAAUUACUUGCUCCUAUCAUAUGUUUGGUUGCAACAAUGUCACUUCUUCACAUAUGCCAUGUCCCAUUGCUUGUCUCAUGCUUGACUUCAUUGCCUCACACAUGAUGAACAAUUGCUCUUUAUAUUGUGUUGAGUGUUACACUAUAUUCACUACAUCCUAUGCACGUUAUGUUUGGAUUGUCUUGCACUUGACCCAUGUGUUUAGACACUUCAUUUUAUUUGGUGUUGUGAAUCCUUCCUAUGCCUACCAUAGACCUUUCAUUGAGCAAUUUGUGAAUGCUUGCUAUGACCUCGAGGUAGAUGCUUAUGCUCUUGUCACACAUAUUUGCAUCUCUACCUCACAUUUACAUGCUUGUUCCCAUGAUAUUUUUGCUUGUGCUCGAUUGAUAUGCUUACAUGCCAUGUCACAAUCCUUUGUCACACCCUAUGCUAUGCUUGAUGACAACACUUGUUUGGUGAAUCACCUCUUGAAUGCUUGGUUUUGCACGAACGCAAACCACAUUUGUUUUUCCACGGGUUUGUUCUAUUUGCUCCUUUUGAAGGAAUCACAAGAUGGUGCGACACUGGAGAGUGCCCACUUCGAGCUACUAGACGAUGAGUGCUUGGUGAUCGACCACUUCGAUAUGGCACCGCCAUCUCUUUCCUAUGGUGAUUUGGUUUUCGAUCCGAGGUCGAAUCCUUCUCAAGGGGGAGGGGAUGAUGCGGAGCAUCCUAUGGACAUCACCAUGUCAAGAGUCCAUUCGGCAAGUGACACGUGCGACAUCUACUUCUCAUACAUAAAGGUGAAUCUUCUCCUUUACACGUGUUCACUUGACCCCUUCGAGGAUGGUAUACUACUUGACACUUCUCCCGUGUGCAUGCAUAGGUAUUGUCAGAGCUUUACGGAUGUCGAGGAGUGCAAGCGCCAAGGAACGACUACACCGUCCGCGAGGGAAGCAUGGAAGAGAAGGAGGAAGAGAACCUGGUGUUGGGGAACGUAGUAAUUUCAAAAUUUUCCUACGCACAUGCAAGAUCAUGGUGAUGAUAUAGCAACGAGGGGAGAGUGUUGUCUACGUACCCUCGUAGACCGAAGCGGAAGCGUUGACGCAGCGUAGAGGAAGUAGUCCUACGUCCUCCCGGUCCGACCGAUCCAAGCACCGUUACUCCGGCACCUCUGAGUUCUUGACACACGUACAGCUCGAUGACGCACCCUCGAUCUCCAAUCCAGUAGAGGCUCCAAGGGGGAGUUCCGUCAGCACGACGGCGUGGUGACUAUCUUGAUGUUCUCCUGUCGCAGGGCUUCGCCUAAGCACCGCUACAAUAUGACCGAGGUGUAAUAUCGUGGAGGGGGGCACCGCACACGGCUAAGGAACGAUCAAUGAUCAACUUGUGUGUUCUAGGGUGCCCCCUACCCCCGUAUAUAAAGGAGGGAGGGAGGAGGUGGCCGACCCAAGGAGGGGGCGCGCCAUGGGAGGAGGAAACCUACUCCAAGUAGGUUUCCCCUCUUUUUCCUUAUCUUAUUUGGAGGGGGAAGGAAGGAGUACUAGUAGUAGGAAGGAGUACUAGUAGUAGGAAAGGAAGAGGGGGAAGGAGAAAGGAAAGGGGGGGCCGGCCCCCCUCCCCAAUUCGGAUUGGGCUUGGGGGGGCGCGCCCCCCUCCCUUGCUCCUUCUCCCUUCCUCCUACAUGGGCCCAAUAAGGCCCAUAUACCUCCCGGGGGGGUUUCGGUAACCUCCCGGAGCUCCAAACUCUUCCGGAACCUUUCCGGUGUCCAAAUAUAUCCGUCCAAUAUAUCGAUCUUUAUGUAUCGACCAUUUCGAGACUCCUCGUCAUGUCCGUGAUCAUAUCCGGGACUCCGAACAAACUUCGGUACAUCAAAAUACAUAAACUCAUAAUAUAACUGUCAUCGAAACCUUAAGCGUGCGGACCCUACGGUUCGAGAACGAUGUAGACAUGACCGAGACAUGUCUCUGGUCAAUAACCAAUAGCGGGACCUGGAUGCCCAUAUUGGUUCCUACAUAUUCUACGAAGAUCUUUAUCGGUCAAACCGCAUAACAGCAUACGUUGUUCCCUUUGUCAUUGGUAUGUUACUUGUCCGAGAUUUGAUCGUCGGUAUCCAAUACCUAGUUCAAUCUCGUUACCGACAAGUCUCUUUACUCGUUCUGUAAUACUUCAUCUCAUAACUAACUCAUUAGUUAUAUGCUUGCAAGGCUUAUGUGAUGAGCAUUACCGAGAGGGCCCAGAGAUACCUCUCCGACAAUCGGAGUGACAAAACCUAAUCUCGAAUUAUGCUAACUCAACAUGUACCUUCGGAGACACCUGUAGUACUCCUUUAUAAUCACCCAGUUACGUUGUGACGUUUGGUAGUACCCAAAGUGUUCCUCCGAUAAACGGGAGUUACACAAUUCUCAUAGUUACAGGAACAUGUAUAAGUCAUGAAGGAAGCAAUAGCAGAAUACUAAACGAUCAAGUGCUAAGCUAACGGGAUGGGUCAUGUCAAUCACAUCAUUCUCCUAAUGAUGUGAUCCCAUUAAUCAAAUGACAACACAUGUCUAUGGUUAGGAAACAUAACCAUCUUUGACUAAUGAGCUAGUCAAGUAGAGGCAUACUAGUGACUAUAUGUUUGUCUAUGUAUUCACACAUGUAUCAUGUUUCCGGUUAAUACAAUUCUAGCAUGAAUAAUAAACAUUUAUCAUGAUAUGAGGAAAUAAAUAAUAACUUUAUUAUUGCCUCUAGGGCAUAUUUCCUUCAGUCUCCCACUUGCACUAGAGUCAAUAAUCUAGUUCACAUCGCCAUGUGAUUUAACACCAAUAUUCAUAUCUGUAUAUGAUUAACACCCAUAGUUCACAUCAUCAUGUGACCAACAUCCAAAGUGUUUACUAGAGUCAAUAAUCUAGUUCACAUCGCUAUGUGAUUAACACCCAAAGAGUACUAAGGUGUGAUCAUGUUUUGCUCGUGAGAGAAGCUCAGUCAACGGGUCUGUCACAUUCAGAGCCAUAUGUAUUUUGCAAAUAUUCUAUGUCUACAAUGCUCUGCACGGAGCUACUCUAGCUAAUCGCUCCCACUUUCAAUAUGUAUCCAGAUUGAGACUUAGAGUCAUCUGGAUCGGUGUGAAAACUUGCACCGAGAUAACUUUUACGACGGGCUCUUUUAUCACCUCCAUAAUCGAGAAAUAUUUCCUUAGUCCUCACUAAGGAUAUUCUUGACCAAUGUCCAGUGAUCUACUCCUAGAUCACUAUUGUACUCCCUUGUCAAAUACAGAGCAAGGUAUACAAUAGGUCUGGUACAUAGCAUGGCAUACUUUAUAGAACCUAUGACUGAGGCAUAGGGAAUGACUUUUCAUUCUCUUUCUAUUUUCUGCUGUGGUCGGGAUUUGAGUCUUACUCAAUUUCAUACCUUUGCAACACAGGCAAGAACUCUUUCUUUGACUGUUCCAUUUUGAACUACUUCAAAAUCUUGUCAAGGUAUGUACUCAUUGAAAAUCUUAUCAAGCGUCUUGAUCUAUCUCAAUAGAUCUUGAUGCUCAAUAUGUAUGUAGUUUUACUGAGGUCUUUCUUUGAAAAAACUCUUAUUCAAGUAUCCUUUAAUGCUUUGCAGAAUAAUUCUACAUUAUUUCCGAUCAGCAAUAUGUCAUUCACAUAUACUUAUCAGAAAUGCUGUAGUGCUCCCACUCACUUUCUUGUAAAUACAGGCUUCACCGCAAGUCUGUAUAAUACUAUAUGCUUUGAUCAACUUAUCAAAGCGUAUAUUCCAACUCUGAGAUGCUUGCACCAGUCCAUAGAUGGAUUGCUGGAGCUUGCACAUUUUGUUAGCACCUUUAGGAUUGACAAAACCUUCUGGUUGUAUCAUAUACAACUCUUCUUUAAUAAAUUCAUUAAGGAAUGUAGUUUUGACAUCCAUUUGCCAAAUUUCAUAAAAUGUGGCAAUUGCUAACAUGAUUCGGACAAACUUUUAAGCAUCGAUACGAGUAAGAAAAUCUCAUCGUAUUCAACACCUUGAACUUUGUCAAAAACCUUUUUUCGACAAGUCUAGCUUUGUAGAUAGUAACACUACUAUCAACGUCCGUCUUCCUCUUGAAGAUCCAUUUAUUCUUAAUGACUCACUGAUCAUCGGGCAAGUCAAUCAAAGUCUACACUUUGUUCUCAUACAUGGAUCAUAUCUCAGAUUUCAUGGCCCCAAGCCAUUUCGUGGAAUCUGGGCUCAUCAUCGCUUCCUCAUAGUUCGUAGGUUCAUCAUGGUCUAGUAACAUGACUUCCAGAACAUGAUUACCGUACCACUCUGGUGCGGAUCUUACUCUGGAAGACCUACGAGGUUUGGUAGCAACUUGAUCUGAAGUUUGAUGAUCAUCAUCAUUAACUUCCUCACUAAUUGGUGUAGGAAUCACUGGAACUGAUUUCUGUGAUGAACUACUUUCCAAUAAGGGAGAAGGUACAAUUACCUCAUCAAGUUUUACUCUCCUCCCACUCACUUCUUUCGAGAGAAACUCCUUCUCUGGAAAGGAUCCAUUUUAGCAACGAAUGUCUUGCCUUCGGAUCUGUGAUAGAAGGUGUACCCAACAAUUUCCUUUGGGUAUUCUAUGAAGACGCACUUCUCCGAUUUGGGUUCGAGCUUAUCAGGAUGAAACUUUUUCACAUAAGCAUCGCAGCCCCAAACUUUAAGAAACAACAGCUUAGGUUUACUGCUAAACCAUAGUUCAUACGGUGUCGUCUCAACGGAUUUAAAUGGUGCCCUAUUUUAAAACGUGAAUGCAGCUGUCUCUAAUGCAUAACCCCAAAACGAUAGUGGUAAAGAGACAUCAUAGAUCGCACCAUAUCAAAUAAAGUGCGGUUACGACGUUCGGACACACCAUAACGAUGUGGUGUUCCAGGUGGUGUGAGCUGUGAAACUAUUCCACAUUGUUUUAAUUGAAGACCAAACUCGUAACUCAAAUAUUUGUCUCCGCUAUCAGAUCGCAGAAACUUUAUUUUCUUGUUACGAUGAUUUUUCCACUUCACUCUGAAAUUCUUUGAACCUUUCAACUAUUUCAGACUUAUGUUUCAUCAAGUAGAUAUACCCAUAUCUGCUCAAAUCAUCUUGUGAAGGUCAGAAAAUAACGAUACUUGCCACGAGCCUCAACACUCAUUGGAUCGCAUACAUCGGUAUGUAUUAUUUCCAAUAAGUCAGUAGCUUGUUCCAUUAUUCCGGAGAACGGAGUUUUAGUCAUCUUGCCCAAAAGGCACGGUCCGCAAGCAUCAAAUGAUUCAUAACCAAGUGAUUCCGAAAAUCCAUCUUUAUGGAGUUUCUUCAUGCGCUUUACACCGAUAUGACCCAAACGGCAGUGCCACAAAUAAGUUGCACUAUCAUUAUUAACUUUGCAUCUUUUGGCUUCAAUAUUAUGAAUGUGUGUAUCACACGAUCGAGAUCCAACAAACCAUUUUCAUUGGGUGUAUAACCAUAGAAAGUUUUAUUCAUGAAAACAGAACAACAAUUAUUCUCUAACUUACAUGAAUAACCGUAUUGCAAUAAACAUGAUCAAAUCAUAUUCAUUCUCAACGCAAACACCAAAUAACACUUAUUUAGGUUUAACACUAAUCCCGGAAGUAUAGGGAGUGUGCGAUGAUGAUCAUAUCAAUCUUGGAACUAUUUCCAACACACAUCGUCACUACACUCUUAACUAGUCUCUGUUUAUUCUGCAACUCCCGUUUCGAGUUACUAAUCUUAGCAACCGAACAAGUAUCAAAUACUUAGGGGCUACUAUAAACACUAGUAUGGAACACAUCAAUAAUCUGUAUAUCAAAUAUACCCUUGUUCACUUUGCCAUCCUUCUUAUCAACCAAAUAUUCAGGGCAUUUCCGCUUCCAGUGACCAUUUCCUUUGCAGUGUAAACACUCAGUUUCAGGCUAUGGUCCAGCUUUGGGCUUGUCUUUCCACUUGAAGUUCCCUUUCUUUCCCUUUGCCCUUCUCUUGAAACUAGUGGUCUUGUCAAUCAUCAACACUUGAUGCUCUUUCUUGAUUUCUACCUUCGUCGAUUUCAACAUCACGAAGAGCUCGGGAAUCAUUUUUUCGUCAUCCCUUGCAUACUAUAGUUCAUCACGAAGUUCUAGUAACUUAGUGAUGGUGACUAGAGAAUUCUGUCAAUCACUAUCUUAUCUGGAAGAUUAACUCCCACUUGAUUCAAGCGAUUGAAGUACCCAGACAAUCUGAGCACAUGCUCACUAGUUGAGCGAUUCUCCUCCAUCUUUUAGCUAUAGAACUUGUUGGAGACUUCAUAUCUCUCAACUCGGGUAUUUGCUUGAAAUAUUAACUUCAAUUCCUGGAACAUCUCAUAUGGUCCAUGAUGUUCAAAACAUCUUUGAAGUCCCGAUUCUAAGCCGUUAAGCAUGGUGCACAAAACUAUCAAGUAGUCAUCAUAUUGAGCUAGCCAAACGUUCAUAACGUCUACAUUUGCUCCUGCAUUAGGUCUUUCACCUAGCGGUGCAUUAAGGACAUAAUUCUUCUGUGCAGCAAUGAGGAUAAACCUCAGAUCACGGAUCCAAUCCGCAUCAUUGCUACUAACAUCUUUCAACACAGUUUUCUCUAGGAACAUAUCAAAAUAAACAUAUGAAAGCAACAACGCGAGCUAUUGAUCUAUAACACAAUUUGCAAAAUACUACCAGGACUAAGUUCAUGAUAAAUUAAAGUUCAAUUAAUCAUAUUACUAAAGAACUCCCACUUAGACAGACAUCUCUCUAGUCAUCUAAGUGAUCACGUGAUCCAAAUCAACUAAACCAUGUCCGAUCAUCACGUGAGAUGGAGUAGUUUCAAUGGUGAACAUCGCUAUGUUGAUCAUAUCUACUAUAUGAUUCACGCUCGACCUUUCGGUCUCCGUGUUCCGAGGCCAUAUCUGUAUAUGCUAGGCUCGUCAAGUAUAACCUGAGUAUUCCGCAUGUGCAACUGUUUUGCACCCGUUGUAUUUGAACGUAGAGCCUAUCACACCCGAUCAUCACGUGGUGUCUCAGCACGAAGAACUUUCGCAACGGUGCAUACUCAGGGAGAACACUUCUUGAUAAUUAGUGAUAGAUCAUCUUAAAAUGCUACCGUCAAUCAAAGCAAGAUAAGAUGCAUAAAGGAUAAACAUCACAUGCAAUCAAUAUAAGUGAUAUGAUAUGGCCAUCAUCAUCUUGUGCUUGUGAUCUCCAUCUCCGAAGCACCGUCGUGAUCACCAUCGUCACCGGCGCGACACCUUGAUCUCCAUCGUAGCAUCGUUGUCGAUUACGCCAUCUAUUGCUUCUACGACUAUCGCUACCGCUUAGUGAUAAAGUAAAGCAAUUACAGGGCGUUUCCAUUUCAUACAAUAAAGUGACAACCAUAUGGCUCCUGCCAGUUGCCGAUAACUUCGGUUACAAAACAUGAUCAUCUCAUACAAUAAAAUAUAGCAUCACGUCUUGGCCAUAUCACAUCACAACAUGCCCUGCAAAAACAAGUUAGACGUCCUCUACUUUGUUGUUGCAAAUUUUACGUGGCUGCUACGGGCUUAGCAAGAACCGUUCUUACCUACGCAUCAAAACCACAACGAUAGUUUGUCAAAUAGACUCCGUUUUAACCUUCACAAGGACCGGGCGUAGCCACACUCGGUUCAACUAAAGUUGGAGAAACAGACACCCGCCAGUCACCUGUGUGCAAAGCAUGGCGGUAAAACCAGUCUCGCGUAAGCGUACGCGUAAUGUCGGUCCGGGCCGCUUCAUCCAACAAUACCGCUGAACCAAAGUAUAACAUGCUGGUAGGCAGUAUGACUUAUAUCGUCCACAACUCACUUGUGGUCUACUCGUGCAUAUAACAUCAACGAAUAAAACCUAGGCUCUGAUGCCACUGUUGGGGAACGUAGUAAUUUCAAAAUUUUCCUACGCACAUGCAAGAUCAUGGUGAUGAUAUAGCAACGAGGGGAGAGUGUUGUCUACGUACCCUCGUAGACCGAAGCGGAAGCGUUGACGCAACGUAGAGGAAGUAGUCGUACGUCCUCCCGGUUCGACCGAUCCAAGCACCGUUACUCCGGCACCUCCGAGUUCUUGACACACGUACAGCUCGAUGACGCACCCUCGAUCUCCAAUCCAGUAGAGGCUCCGAGGGGGAGUUCCGUCAGCACAACAGCGUGGUGACUAUAUUGAUGUUCUCCUGUCGCAGGGCUUCGCCUAAGCACCGCUACAAUAUGACCGAGGUGUAAUAUCGUGGAGGGGGGCACCGCACACGGCUAAGGAACGAUCAAUGAUCAACUUGUGUGUUCUAGGGUGCCCCCCUACCCCCGUAUAUAAAGGAGGGAGGGAGGAGGUGGCCGGCCCAAGGAGGGGGCGCGCCAUGGGAGGAGGAAACCUACUCCAAGUAGGUUUCCCCUCUUUUUCCUUAUCUUAUUUGGAGGGGGAAGGAAGGAGUACUAGUAGUAGGAAGGAGUACUAGUAGUAGGAAAGGAAGAGGGGGAAGGAGAAAGGAAAGGGGGGGCCGGCCCCCUCCCCAAUUCGGAUUGGGCUUGGGGGGGCGCGCCCCCCUCCCUUGCUCCUUCUCCCUUCCUCCUACAUGGGCCCAAUAAGGCCCAUAUACCUCCCGGGGGGUUCCGGUAACCUCCCGAAGCUCCAAACUCUUCCGGAACCUUUCCGGUGUCCAAAUAUAUCCGUCCAAUAUAUCAAUCUUUAUGUCUCGACCAUUUCGAGACUCCUCGUCAUGUCCGUGAUCACAUCCGGGACUCCGAACAAACUUUGGUACAUCAAAAUACAUAAACUCAUAAUAUAACUAUCAUCGAAAACUUAAGCGUGCGGACCCUACGGUUCGAGAACGAUGUAGACAUGACCGAGACAUGUCUCUGGUCAAUAACCAAUAGUGGGACCUGGAUGCCCAUAUUGGUUCCUACAUAUUCUACGAAGAUCUUUAUCGGUCAAACCGCAUAACAGCAUACGUUGUUCCCUUUGUCAUCGGUAUGUUACUUGUCCGAGAUUUGAUCGUCGGUAUCCAAUACCUAGUUCAAUCUCGUUACCGACAAGUCUCUUUACUCAUUCUGUAAUACUUCAUCUCAUAACUAACUCAUUAGUUAUAUGCUUGCAAGGCUUAUGUGAUGAGCAUUACCGAGAGGGCCCAGAGAUACCCCUCCGACAAUCGGAGUGACAAAACCUAAUCUCGAAUUAUGCUAACUCAACAUGUACCUUCGGAGACACCUGUAGUACUCCUUGAUAAUCACCCAGUUACGUUGUGACGUUUGGUAGUACCCAAAGUGUUCCUCCGGUAAACGGGAGUUACACAAUUCUCAUAGUUACAGGAACAUGUAUAAGUCAUGAAGGAAGCAAUAGCAGAAUACUAAACGAUCAAGUGCUAAGCUAACGGGAUGGGUCAUGUCAAUCACAUCAUUCUCCUAAUGAUGUGAUCCCAUUAAUCAAAUGACAACACAUGUCUAUGGUUAGGAAACAUAAUCAUCUUUGACUAAUGAGCUAGUCAAGUAGAGGCAUACUAGUGACUAUAUGUUUGUCUAUGUAUUCACACAUGUAUCAUGUUUCCGGUUAAUACAAUUCUAGCAUGAAUAAUAAACAUUUAUCAUGAUAUGAGGAAAUAAAUAAUAACUUUAUUAUUGCCUCUAGGGCAUAUUUCCUUCACCUGGCCGCUCCAGAACGAGCGGUACUACCGCCCACUCCAAGCGGUACUACCGCUGAGGCCACCCAAGAGGCACUACCGCCCAGCAUCCGCCCUACUACCGCUCAACCCGACAAACUCCAGUGAUCGAGCGGUAUAAGCCCGGUACUACCGCCCCUCCAAGCGGUACUACCGCUCAAGCGGUACUACCACCCAUGAGUCCGGUACUACCGCCCUGCUUGUGAGCAGCCGCGGGCCUUUGGCCUUGUAUCCCUCUCCCACUUACCCCUUCGUGGCUUAGACUAUAAAUAGACCACCUCCACCUCCUUUCUAGGGUUAGAACAGAUUGAGCUUAUUUUGAGAUAGAGCUUUACUCAUCCAUACGGAUCUACUCCUCGUGAGAGACUGCGGCCUCUUCGGAGAAGAUCGAUCUUGGAUUCAAGACCCCUCGUGGGAAGAUCCGUCUAGGAUCAUCAAGACCUCCUCUUGGAGAUGAACCUUACCUUGUAUCUUUCCCUUUGUUGUUCAUGUACCCUUGUGGAUCUUGUGUGUUUGAUUGUCUAGUGGAUGUGUGAUUGGACUUGUUCUUGAGUGUUUCCCCUUGUGAUUUCUCUCCGUUCUUCCCUGUGUUCUUCGUGUUCUUCGUGGGGAUCCACUCCAAACGUGAAAAAUCGGCCUCUAGGGUUCUACCCUACAUCAUCAUCCUUCAAAAAUAUGGAGGGCCAUUAUUGACGGAAGGGAUAUUAUAUGGCGCAAGGUAUAAUCAGACGCAUCGGGGAUGGAGCGACUACACACAUAUGGGAUCACAACUGGAUUAUGAUGGAAAGCUAUAAGAGGCCAAUAACUAAGUUAGUGCAGAACCCCCCUCAGAAACAUUUUAUGUAUACACGUUAACAUUUCCCAGAUAUAUGAUUAAUAUUUUUGGAAAACUUCUAUUUUUUAUGUGUACUUUUUUAUACAUUUUGUAAUAUCAGAAAUAGUUUUUAUAGAAGGUUUAACAUUUUUCAAAUACAUGAUUACCUUUUUGUAAACUUAUAUUGUUUGACGUUUACUUUUUUUCAUAGACAUAGUGAGGGGUUAUAUCUAAGGAAUAGGCCCAAGUACAUGUAUGGCACAACCAAAUGCCCAUGUUAAUCAAGGAUGUUCCACAAGACAAAUGGGGAAACACACCAAGGCCAAUGGAGCUACAAGGCCAAGGCAUCGGAUACAAGGGGAGAGUCAACUAUGUACAGUCGGAUUACACAGCCCUUAACAGACAAGACUCAUCAGUUGGUCCACUAUUGGAAUCAGGUCAUUUGCCGUCAGCCCAGAAUAGACGCGAAGACUUUGCCGUGAGCAAGUUGACGACAAACACAAUCAGCAAAGACUAUAUCGGCAGAGAGCUAAUUUGACGUCAACUUUUCAUCGCGCUGAUGACAAAGACUUUGCCGUCAAUUAAACUAUGUGUUUGUAGUCUGUAGAGAAAACACAAACGGCAAAGAAAUUAAAAAAAUGGUCAUUUUAAAAUAAUUUUUAGAAAUCUAUAUACUGUUUUUUAAAAUGUUUAAUAUGUACCAAGAAUUAUUUCGUAAGUAUACAAAAGAUGUAUAACGUGUAUGAAAAUUACGUAGACAUCAGAACAUAUUAUAGAAAUGUUAAUCUUGUAUUUAAAAAUUUUAAAUACACAUGCAUAAAAAUGUUUUUGAUGUACAUAAAAAAAUUGUACAUAGUGUGUGAACAAAGUAUGCAUUGAAAAAACAAAAAUCUUGUUGGAAAAAAAUCUCGUGUUGUAUACGAAAAUGUAAAAGGUGUAUGAAAAUAAUUAGAUAUAUGUUUAAUGAAAAAAGGAAAGAAGGCGCAAAAAAUCCGAUUAACACCAAGAUAGGAACAAGAAAACCUGAAGAAGACCAUUGAAAAAAAGAAAUGAAUACAAGAAAGAGGAAGAAAAACAAAAAAAAUGAAGAAGCUGAUGCAGAACAGGGAACUUAGUGAAAACGAAUAAAAAUUGAUGAAAACCGAGAAGAAAAACAAGAAAACUGAAGCAAAAAUUAAGAAAAAUAUGUAAAAAAAAUGAUGAAACAUUGCGAAACAGUGAAAUACUAUGAAAACCAAAGGAAAAAAAGACUCAAAAAUAAGAACGUACAGCAAGCGAAUGAACAACAACUGAGUGAACGAGCGAACAUGCGAGAAUACGUUAAUUGUCUGGCCCAUACUUGUGGAUUCCAGAGGCGAGCCAGAAUAGGCGAGAUAUAGCUAUGACGAUUUGAUACCCUUCAUAGCUUCACGAAUGCUAUAUCUCGCUCACAGCGAAAGUAUUUUUUGUCUGGCCUGAAGGUGAAAGAAUAGCAUCAGGUCGCUGUAAGUUUUGUGAUCCUACAAUCAGAGCUCGAUAAGAUUAAAAUUCAUGUUUCUGACAACCAGUCAUUCGCUCACUCAAUUCCACGUACUAGUUUGGUUAGGUUUUUUUUUCAUUUUUUUCUGUUUUUUAUUUCUUCACUGGCUUUCUUUGGUUUUUUUAUCGGUUUUCUUUGUUUCCUUCACGUUUUACUCUUUCUUUUCCUUUUUACUGGUUUAUCUAUUCCUUUUUUCUUUGUUUCUUUCUUGGUUUUCUUUGUUUUUUCUUUCUUUUGAUGUCAACCUUUUUACAUACACAUUCAACAAUUUUCGUAUACAUCAGAAACAUUUUAUGUAUACACGUUAACAAUUCCCAGGUACAUGAUUAAUAUUUUUGGAAAACUUCUAUUUUUUAUGUGUACUUUUUGAUACAUUUUGUAUAUAUCAGAAAUAUUUUUUAUAGAAGGUUUAACAUUUUUUAAAUACAUGAUUACCUUUUUGUAAACUUAUAUUGUUUGACGUUUACUUUUUUUCAUAGACAUAGUGAGGGGUUAUAUCUAAGGAAUAGGCCCAAGUACAUAUAUGGCCCAAGUACAUUUAAUCAAGGAUGUAGUCCACAAGACAAAUGGGGAAACAGACGGGGGCCAAUGGAGCUACAAGGCCAAAGCAUCGGAUACAAGGGGAGAAUCUACAGUCGGAUUACACAACCCUUGACAGACAAGACUCAUUAGUUGGUCCGCUAUAGGAAUCGGGUAAUUUGCCGUCAGCCGAGAACAUACUCAAAGACUUUGCCGUCAGCAAGUUGAUGACAACUUUUCAUCACGUUGAUGACAAAGACUUUGCCGUCAAUUAAACUAUGUGUUUAUCGUCUAUAGAAAAAACACAAACGGCAAAGGAAAGCACCUUUGCCAUCAGCGGCUAAUCUGCAUGUGUCUUCAACAAGACUCGUCUUGUCACUAGCCUCAAACAUCACAGAUGGAAAAGAAAUUUUUUAUUUUAAAAAAUCUGCGUCGACCACCCUACUUCGCACAUGUAGCCACCGCCUGGCCGCGCUCGCUGAUCACCCACAAGUGUAGGGGAUCUAUCGUAGUCCUUUCGAUAAGUAAGAGUGUCGAACCGAACGAGGAGUAGAAGGAAAUGACAAGCGGUUUUUAGUAAGGUAUUCUCUGCAAGCACUGAAAUUAUCGGUAACAGAUAGUUUUGUGAUAAGGUAAUUCGUAACGGGUAACAAGUAACAACAGUAAAUAAAGUGCAGCAAGGUGGCACAAUCCUUUUUGUAGCAAACGACAAGCCUGGACAAAUUCUUAUAUGAAGGAAAACGCUCCCGAGGACACAUGGGAAUUAUCGUCAAGCUAGUUUUCAUCACGCUCAUAUGAUUCACGUUCAUUACUUUGAUAAUUUAAUAUGUGGAUGGACCGGUGCUUGGAUACUGCUCUUUCUUGGAUAAGCAUCCCACUUAUGAUUAACCCCUAUUGCAAGCAUCCGCAACUCAAAAGAAAUAUUAAGGUAAACCUAAUCAUAGCAUGAAACAUUGACACGGCACAUUAUAAAGAGUUCAACCCAAAUUUUGUAGUAACACUAUUAUAUUUAAAUAGUGAUUAUUCCAACACAUGGAUAAUUAAUUAAGGCACCAGGUUGCGCUUGUGACCAGGAAAGACAAACUUAUGAACUUGCAAGCAUGACAAUCAGAUCGACAUCCACACAAUGUCAAUAUGAACAUUGUCUUGAUACAACUUUAUUUGUAUUUUAUUUCAGAAUUUAAACAACUAGUUUGGGCGGGUCACACACGACGUUGUGUGACACUUUAUUUGUCACCGCUGCAUCGACAUAUCCAUCGACUAAACAACGGUGAUCCAACUAUAUAUUACUAGAGACCUUUCCUUAUCAGUAGGCACCAACUCCAGUGCCAACGCCAAAUGGCACACUAGUGGUGGUCCUAUACAACGGCACAUUGACACGGCACAUCAUUGGCAGGGUACGGAGCGCAAUGGAAGUCAUCACCUCAAGCUGAGCUAUCUGGUGUGGCUGCAAAAAGGUACCCUGUGCCAAUUGUUGUUGUUGAGGUUGUUGCCCGAGUUGCUGCUGUGACUGCUGUUGGGGUUGGGAAACGCAUUGGCCCAACUGUUGCGGUUGCUGCUGCUGAGUUUGGAUGGAACCCCGAACCUGUUGUUGUUCUUGCAGGACGAUGGAGUAGAUGAUAGCACGGAUUGCCUCAUAGCGGGAUUGCUGGGGGAUUUGCGGCAACUGCUGGCAACAUUGUUGUUGCAUCACAUGGCAACUACUCUGCUGCAACAUUUGCGACCUAGCAAGACUUUGUGGCAUUGCCACAGGGCUGCAUUGCUGCUGGAGGAAUACCUUGCAUGGGUUCAGCUGCUGCAAGAUAGAUGGAUGAACAAAUGGUAUUUGUUGUUGCGGUAGAACUAGUUGUUGUUGUUGUUGCGAAAAUGAUGGUUGUUGUGGUAGAAUUGGUUGUUGUUGUUGUUGUUGCGAAAAUGGUGGUUGUUGCGGUAGUACUGGUUGUUGUUGUUGUGAAAACGGUGGUUGUUGUUGUGAAAAUGGUGGUAGUUGUUGCUGCGAAAAUGAUGGCUGUUGCGGUAGAACUGGUUGUUGUUGCUGCGAAAAUGGUGGUUGUUGCUGUGAAAAUGGUGGUUGUUGUUGCUGUGAAAAUGGUGGUUGUUGUUGCUGCGAUAAUGGUUGUUGUUGUUGUUGUUGUUGUUGUUGUUGUUGUUGUUGUUGUUGUUGUUGUUGUUGUUGUUGUUGUUGUUGUGAACAUGGUUGCUGUUGUGGAAAUUGUUGUGGUUGUUGUUGGAUGGGUUGUUGUGGUUGUUGGUGCGAUAAUGUUUGUUGUGGUGGUAAUGGUUGUUGCUGCGAUGGUCUCUCCAAACCAGGGAUGUGGCUAUUCUCCAUUUGUGCAAUGGCACUUGUCGCCGCAACGGCGAGGAGGGCAAAGAUGAGGAAGGUCUUCAUGGUGGACUAGUGUUAACUAGUAUUUCCUGGUUUUGAUGCUUGUGUUUGUGAUGAUCUUUAUACUUCAUGCCUAUUUAUAGUAGCCAGGGCACCACCUCUUUUCUUCUUUGCAUUAGCUUUAAUAAUUCUGUUUGGAUGCAUCUAAAAUGAUUUUUGAUACAGUGUGUUAGGUUGCACUAGCUACACGCAUACUUUUGGAUUGAUCAUCAAAGUUUCUUUUUAGUUGUGCAUAUGAUCAUACACAAAGUAUAGAAAUCCUGAUGCUUGCUAAAGAUGACUUGCCUUAUUCACUUUACAUGUCACACACUUAUCUGUAUAGUAUCACUUUUGCAACCGAGUUUGGAACCUUGUAUAGGUUGUCAGCCAUAAACAAGAAAGGCAAAACUUGUGUAGGACUAAGUUGCAAUCGUGUGUGGGCUGUUAAGAUAUGCUCGAUUGUUAAAGCCUUGCGUCUGGAGGGUUCUUCUAGACUCGGUUGCUUUUCAUAAAACUAACUUUGUAUUUUCCUCUAAGAUGAUAAGAUGAAAUGACGCCUGUAGAGCAUGACAUGACUCAUUGAAUUCCCUUUACACGUAAAGGAUGGUAAUUGCUUACAAGCUACUCCUACUAGCAUAUAUCCGGUCCUAACUCUAGACACGUCAUCACCAGUUCCAUCUUUUUUUUUUAGAUAAAUCAUCAGUUCCGUGUUUUUUUUUUUUGAGACAAUCAGUUCCAUCUAUGUUUUUUUUUGAGAGAAAUAGUUCCAUCUAUGGGUGAAGGAUUUUUUUGGGGGCAAAUGAUAGAUGGGGCUGGAACAGAGGCCCCAGCCUGGAACGAGAGAUUAGGCCCAACGUAAGCGAUGUGUGUGUUAGGGCACCAAAUUCGAACUGGGCUAUAGUUUUCGGAGGCCCCAACGUCAGAAGCCCAGCCCACACUCCGCCGAUCUGCGUCGUCUUCGUCUCCCCUUCCCCGUCCUCCUCGCCGGCCGGAUCGCUCGCCGGCGCACGACGUCUCCCGGACCCCACCGCCCGCGGCCGCUCCACGUACGCGCGCGGCGGCGGAGGCGUCGGCCUCCCUCCCACCCUCCGCAUCCGGCCCCCCACCACCACCGCCACCGCCACCGCUCGAGGUACCCACUCGUUCCCCUUCCCAUUCCUCCCUACCCUCAACCUCUCUCGUAUCCUCUUCUAACAGCUCUUUUUACUUCCGUUGCAGAUGGUCUCUGAGCUCCCCCGUCGGCUGCGCGCCGUAGGCCUCCCCUCCCGGUCGACACAAGGUAUCGAUCCUGUCCGUCCGUCUCUUCCAGCGAUUCGAUUCACAUGAAUUCGAGAGGCGUGCCCAUCUCCAUGCUAGCUGCGUGGAUCAGGAGGGUCAGGAAGCAGAAUUCAGAUGCCUGACAGUGACAUACUACUACAUUUGUGGCUUUGGAAGCUGAGCAACUCCGUGCUUUAUGUGGAUGUCACUUCAAGUAAUCAUCAAAUUUCCGCCUACGCGCGCUACCCAGGUGGAGUGGAGGAGAAGCAGUUGGCAUGGGCAUUCCGUUUCUCUCCCAUGUCUGAGAAGAAAGUUCGUCUCCGGUGCAGCGAUAUCCAAGUUAGUUACAGCAUCCAGUCAUCUAUAUAAUCUCAGUGUUUAUUCUGUUUUGUACUGUCGUAUUUCAUAUGUGCAUCAGAGCAAAUGUGCUUUCUAGAGGCAUGUUGCAGCUGGCCGAGUCCCAGAUCUCGUUUCAUGUAUAUGGCCAUAGGCAGCGAUCAAUAAAAGGGUACUGGAAUUGAUCUUCUAACGUCACUGUUGUUUCUAGCUCCCUGUCUUUGUUUUUGUUGCUUCCGUCGUAUGGUUGCAAAGUUAGGCUUCAUCUGAUUUUAGUUAGUUAAUCUGAUCUCGUUAACCUGAUAAAGAGAAUUCCACCCUGCCCUUUAUUCCGCUCUUCACUGUCUCACAAUAAGGGAACAUAUUAAGCUCACCAAAUUGUGUCCCUCAAAAAUAAAAAAUAAACUCACCAAAUUGUAUCACAGGAGAUUGUCAAGUUGUGUUUUAUCAUAUCAGUAUAGUAAGUGUAUCAUUUGUCCAUAUCAACAAGGGAUAGUCAUCUGCCAGCUUAUUAUGCUCAUCUCUGAGCUCGAUCAUGCCCUUCAAUGUUAGUUAGAGGUGUCAUUAAAACAGGACAAGAAAUUAACCACUUUCCACCGGGUCUUCUCUCUUGAGCAGGAAGCAUGUGAUGCAUUCAAGAUUCGAUGAAUUCACGAAAACCAAUAUCGUGGUCCUCCCUGUGCAGCAGGUACCUGAGAUGAAUUGUAUUUUGUAAGUGCUCUGUAUGCGUGCUGUCAGCCGGCAGUGGAGGUAAUUGUUUAAUUUGCAUUCCUGCAACUUCUUGUAUUUGUAAAGAAAAUUCUUACUAUUUGCUGAGUGCACAGCCAUUGCAUUGUCACUUUUGAAAAACCGCAUUGGAUGUACUGAGAUAAAUAAUAGUAUAAUCUCUACUUGCAUACUACGAACGAGAAAUCUUCAUUCUGACUUGCAAUAAGGGAGUUUGUUUAGCUGUGCCUUAUUAGGAAAUGAAGAUACCCCCAGCUGUUAACGUGGUAUCCAAGCUAUCCUUAUUAUAUGUCAGCUCAAAAGGAAUGCCAAGUGCCGAGCUGUUGUGAGAGUUGAUGGUUGUGAUUGGUUACCAAAAAUCAAAGUCACCCACUCAAGAGAGAAAGUCAAUGCUCACGUUGGCUUCCAUUUUUCUCACACGCAAACCAAACACAUCUUGCUCACACCAUUAUCUUCUCCAUUUUGCACUGUGCUUGUGCUAAUCUGUGUAGUAUUGUUGGCAAUUUGGGAUAUGUUGGUCUCGCCAGGAGGCCUGUGCUAAUCUGUGCUAUUUCUGAAAAUAUGCUCCCCUAAUCUCCAAUUAUAUUAUGCGUAAAACCAAAAAGGUCAGACUUCUUGAGAACAUGCCAGUGCUGAUUUGUGUUUUUCCUGCUGAUAUGCACUUUAGUAUAUCAAAAUGUACACUUAAUUAGAUGUUUUAAUUUUAAAGUCACAGUUAGAGAGAGGGACAGUGCACCAACCAGCUGGUGCAAACGAAUGACCUGUGUGACGACCUGAGCGUAUUCUUGAAAAAGAAACCCGAAAUACCACCUAGAUCCAUCCACCAUUAUUGCCAGUGUUAAAAAAAAAUACAGGCGUCUUCUGGGCUCUAAAAGCCAUUUCUGGGUCUUAUCUCUUGAAGAAGCAUUUGAUGCAUUUAAGAUUCAACCAAUUAAGAAAACCAAUGUUCUGGCCUUCCAUCCGUGGCAGGAACUCAGAGAUGAAUUGUCUUUUGCACAAGUAUGCUGACACACGUCUAGUCAGUCGAGGUAAUUUUUGGAUUUGCAUUCCUGUGACCUCUGGUAUUUGGAAAAAGUAAAUCAUAUUUGCUAAGUUCACAGCCAAUGGAGCGAAAAUUUUGAAAAACUGCUUUGGAUUUACUGGCAUAAAUAUCUAGAGAGAAUUCCUUAUUAGACACUCCCUUAAAAUCAUGUUCCUUAUUUGACACUAGAAAAAAUUUCUUCCCUAUAUGACCUAUAGUCUUAAUUUCUUUCCCUAUAUGACACUCUAGUGCAUUUUGUUCACGUGAAAAGACCAUUUUACCCAUAUGUAUAAUGUGACCGCAAAUAUGUACAAGAUAAUAGUUGUUCCAAAAAAAUCAGUCGAGUUAUCCAUAUGUGACAUCAUAUAUGCUGGUAUUGUCAUGUCAGUCGAUUUACUAUUGUGCUAAGAAAUCAUGACCGAGGCCUUCGAUGGUUCAUGUGCUAAUUGACCUCAGCUAGUUGUCUAUACGUAUUUGUGUACAUAUACGUGGCCAGCUUGCCGGCCGGAGCGUAGAUAUUUAAAUACGUACGCGCACCCUGACGAUCAAGCGAAUACAUGUAUUCUAGCUUCGUAUGACCCGGUUCAUAUACAUACGUAUGUUGGCUGCACCGAACCGGGCCUACAUUCGUGCUAGCACGCAACUUCCUUCCAUACUUGCAAAUACGUGCACAUGCACUAAUGGCAUGCACGUAGGCGAUCACGGAAGCACACACAAAAAUGCUUAAAAAAUUCAUUCAUUUUUAAGAAUGCAUUUUAGUGUUAAAGCACACGUACAAAAGUACGUCAAACAAUCACACUCACAAACCAUACCGCAUGAACUAGACCCACAGCUGAAUACGUUCUAAAUACAUUGGAUGCAUGCGCUCAGGUAUACAGAAUACACAUGCAUCCCAAAAAAGACCAACGGAGGAGAUAACAUGUUCAGCUGUGCUCACUCUUAGAAACGAUUUUUUCCUAAUUAGGCUCAAUGCUACAUAUUUCUGGUCACAUUAUGUACAGGGGCAAAAAGGUCUUUUCACGUGUACAAAAUGAACUAGAGUGUCAUAUAGGGAAAGAAAUUAAGACUAUAAGUCAUAUAGGGAAGAAAUUUUUUCCCGUGUCAAAUAAGGAACACAAUUUUAAGAGAAUGUCAAAUAAGGAAUUCUCUCAAAUAUCUAAUACAAUGACCCACUUGCAGAAUUCAGCUGCGUAGCCUGACAGUGAUGUACGUACAUUUGUGGCUUUGCUAGCUGAGUAACUCUGUGCUUUAUGUGGAUGCCACUUCAAAUAAGCAUCAAAUUUGUGCCUAUGCGUGCUAUGCAGGUGGACGAGAAGCAGUUGGCAUGGACAUUCCUUUUCUCUCUGAUGUCUGGCAAGAAAGUCCGUCUUCUGUGCAGCGAUAUCCAUGUUAGUUACAAUAUCCAAUCAUCUCUAUAAUUAUAAUCUCAGUGUUUAUUCUGUUUUGUAUUGUCGUAUUUCAUAUGUGCAUCAGAGGAAAUGUGCUUUCUAGCUAGAGGCAUGUUGCAGCUGGCCGAGUCGCAGAUCUCAUUUAUAUGGCCAUAGGCGGUGACCAAUACAAGGGCACUGGAAUUUAUCUUCGAAUGCCACUGUUGUUCUAGCUCUUUGUCUUUACUUUUGUUGCUUCUGUUGUAUGGCUGCAAAGUUAGGCUUCAUCUGAUUUUAGUUAGUCAAGCGAUCUCGUUAAGAUGAUAAAAAGAAUUCCACACGAUGACACGACCCUUUAUUCCGCUCUUCACCGUCUCACAAUAACGGAACAUAUUAAGCUCAACAAAUCGUAUCCCUCAAAAAUAAAAAAGCUCACCAAAUUGUAUCGCAUACUCAUACAUAUCUUUCAUCGUCAAAUAACAGGAGAUUGUCAAGUUGUGUUUUAUCAUAUCAGUAUAUUAAGUGUAUCUUUUGUCCAUAUGAGCAAGGGAUAAUCAUCUGCCAGCUUAUUAUAUGCUCAUCUCUGAGAUCGAUCAUACCUCUUCAAUCUUAUUAGAGGUGUCAUUAAGAAAUGACAAGAAAUUAACUACUUGCCACCGGGUCUUCUCUCUUCAGCAGGAAGCAUGUGAUGCAUUCAAGAUUCACGAAAACCAAUAUUGUGGUCCUCCCUAUGCAGCAGGUACUUGUGAUGAAUUGUAUUUUGUAAGUGCACUGUAUGUGUGCUGUCAGCCAGCAGUGGAGGUAAUUGUUUAGCUUGCAUUCCUGCAACUUCUUGUAUCUGGAAAGGACACUCUUACUAUUUGCUGAGUUCACCGCCAAUGUAUCUUCACUUUGGAAAAACUGCAUUCGAUGUACCCACAUAAAUAUAUAAUAUAAUGAUGAUCUAAUAGCAAAUUAUAUGGCCAUAGGCAGUGAUGAUCAAUAAAAGGGCACUGGAAUUUAUCUUCUAAUGUAUACGUCACUAUUUUUUUAGCUCUCUGUCUUCAUUUUUGCUUCCUCUGUUGUAUGGUUAAAAAGUUAGGUUUCAGCUGAUUUUAGUUAGUUAUAAGCGGAUCUCGUUAAGCUCUUUAUCUUUAUUUUUGCUGCCUCCGUUGUAUGGUUAAAAAUUUAGGUUACAUCUGAUUUUAGUUUGUUAGGCGGAUCGCGUUAAACUGAUAAGAACUCCGUAUAGUCCUUUAUUCUGGUCUUCACUGCCUCAAAAUAACAGAACCUAUUAAGUGUCGAAAUUGUAUCUCACAAUCAUACAUAUCUUUCAUCGUUGAAUAACACAAAUUAUCAUAUCAGUACAAAAGUAUAUAUCGUUUGUCCAUAUGCACAAGAGAUAAUCAUCUGCCAGCUGAUUAUUCUUAUCUUUGAGAUCCGAUCCUGUACUCAAUGUUAAUUAGGGGUGUCAUUAAAAAAGACAAGAAAAUAACCACUUGCCCUCGGGUCUUCUCUUGUCAGCAGAAAGCAUGUGAUGCAUUCAAGUUUCAAUGAAUUCACGAAAACCAAUAUUGUGGUCCUCGAGAUGAAUUGUAUUUUGUAGGUGUACUGUAUGUGUGCUGUCACCCGUCAGUUGAGGUAAUUGUUUAAUUUGCAUUCCUGCAACCUCUUGUAUGUAUUCGGAAAGAAAAUUCUUACUAUUUUCCGAGUUCACAGCCAAUCCAUUAUCACUUCCGAAAAACUGCAUUGGAUCUACUGACGUAAAUAUAUAAUAGAGUGAUCUACUUGCAAUAUUAAGAACGAGAAAUCUUCAUUCUGACUUGCAAUAAGAGGGGUUAGUCUAGCUUUUUCCUGCUAAUAAAUGAAGGUACCCAUUACUGUCACCAGUUAAUGUGGUAUGCUAGUUGUCCUUAUUAUAUAUCAGCCCCAAAAAAGAAUGCCCAGUGCUGAGCUAUUGCAAGAUCGGAUAGUUUGUGAUUGGUUCCCAGAAAUCAAGCUCAUGCACUUGGCUCCCAGAAAGUCAACACUCACGUUCGCUUCCAGUUUCCUGACCAGCAAGACGUGCUUCUGCUAAUGUAGGCUUGUGCUCCAAAAUUCCCCAUCAAGCUGGCUCCUGCUCCCCCGAAUCCUACCCCCACCCAUCCAAAAGCUUCAAGAUCUCACAGAAAUCUCACAACUUCCGUUCGUCGGAGUAGAGCCUUCAAACAGCCCCGCCCACACAUCCACGCGGCGGCUGCUGCCAUAACUUCACCGGAGUCGCCUUCUCCUUCCGCGCCACGUCACCGGUGCCGGCCAGGCUCUGAAUCUUCUGCUGCUGCCGCCGAUACGAUGCUGGAGCUGGCAUCGACAUGCUUGUGAGGGCCACUUCUUCCGUGCUGUUACUGUGCUGCUGGUUCUGGGUGCUGCUGAUCAGGGGCAAGCUCGUGAAGGUAACUAUGCCUGCAAGAUUGGGAUUUUACUUGUAAUUCGUUCAAGAUCUACCUAUGAACGUCUUGCUCACACCAUUCUCUUCAUUAAUUUCUGCAGUGCACCUGUGUUGGAGGAGUUUCCUCCGAGAGUUCCAAUGGCAGAGCUGGUGGUCACCAUGGCGCUCCGGCCACUGGUCGCCAUGCUCAGGGACAAGGCGUCCAGCUAUCUCCUUGACCAGUACAAUGUGAUGGAGGGAAUGGAGAAGCAGCACAUGAUUCUGAAACGCAGACUUCCUAUCGUCCUGGACGUCAUCACUGACGCCGAGGAGCAGGCGACAGCCAACAGAGAAGGGGCGAAAGCCUGGCUCCAGGAGCUCAAGAGAGUAGCCUAUGAGGCAAAUGAAGUCUUCGAUGAAUUCAAAUAUGAAGCACUUCGCCGUGAAGCCAAGAAGAAUGGACACUACAAAAAGCUUGGAUUUGAUGUGAUAAAACUCUUCCCCACUCACAACCGUGUUGUCUUCGUUCAGAGAAUGGGUAGCAAGCUUUGCAGGAUUCUGGAGGAUAUCAAUGUCCUCAUUGCAGAGAUGCAUGACUUUGGGCUGAGGCAGACAUUUUUGGUGUCUAAUCAGUUGAGGCAGACACCAGUGUCCAAGGAGUGGAGACAGACAGAUUACGUCAUCAUCGACCCACAAAAGAUUGCCAGCAGAUCCAGACAUGAAGAUAAGAAUAAUAUUGUUGGUAAACUACUUGGUGAAGCUAGCAAUGCAGAUCUCACAGUAGUUCCCAUCGUUGGAAUGGGGGGCCUUGGCAAGACCACAUUAGCGCAACUCAUAUACAAUGAACCUGAAAUUCAGAAGCAUUUUCCGUUGAAGCUCUGGGUCUGCGUCUCUGAUACCUUCGAUGUGAAUUCGGUGGCUAAGAGUAUAGUUGAAGCAUCCCCCAAGAAAAAUGAUGAUACAGACAAACCACCACUGGAUAGACUUCAGAAACUGGUCAGCGGGCAAAGGUAUCUCCUUGUAUUGGAUGAUGUCUGGAAUAGAGAGGUUCAUAAGUGGGAAAGGCUGAAGGUCUGUCUUCAGCAUGGCAGCGUGGGUAGUGCUGUGUUGACAACAACCCGUGAUAAACAAGUUGCUGAAAUUAUGGGUGCAACUAGAACCUACAAUCUCAAUGUUUUGAAGGAUGACUUCAUAAAGGAGAUUAUUUUGGAUAGAGCAUUCAGUUCAGAGAAUGAAAAGCCUCCCGAGCUACUCGAGAUGGUUGGUGAGAUUGUGAAGAGAUGCCGUGGCUCUCCUUUAGCUGCAACUGCACUGGAUCUGUACUUCGUACCAAGAUCAGCGUGGAAGAAUGGAAGGCUAUAUCAUCUAGAAGCAGUAUUUGCACUGAGGAAACUGGAAUUUUGCCAAUACUCAAGCUUAGCUACAACGAUUUGCCAGCACACAUGAAGCAGUGCUUUGCUUUCUGUGCCAUAUUCCCCAAGGAUUACAAGAUUAAUGUGCAGAGGCUUAUCCAACUAUGGAUCGCAAAUGGCUUUAUCCCUGAACACAAGGAAGAUAGUCUUGAAACCAUUGGACAACUUAUUUUUGAUGAGCUUGCUUCAAGGUCAUUCUUUCUGGAUAUAGAGAAGAGUAAAGAAGACUGGGAGUAUUAUUCCAGAAAUACAUGUAAAAUCCACGAUCUUAUGCAUGAUAUUGCAAUGUCUGUUAUGGAAAAGGAAUGUGUUGCUGUGACUAUGGAUACAAGUGAAAUUGAGUGGCUUGGAGAUACUGCUCGGCAUUUGUUUUUAUCAUGUAAAGGAACAGAAGGUAGUUUGAAUGAUUCUUUGGAGAAAAGAUCUCCUGCCAUUCAAACACUGAUAUGCCAAAGUCAUAUGCGAAGCUCAUUGAAGCAUCUGUCAAAAUAUAGCUCUUUGCACGCCUUGAAGCUCUGUAUUAGAGGCAAAGAAUCAUUUCUUCUGAAAUCAAUGUAUCUGCAUCACCUGAGGUACCUUGAUCUCUCAAACAGUUCUAUCAAAUCACUUCCUGAAGAUAUAAGUAUUCUAUAUAACCUUCAAAUGUUGGACCUUUCCUACUGUUGUUAUCUUUAUCGACUUCCAAUGCAAAUGAAGCAUAUGACUUUCCUCCGUCACCUCUACACUCAUGGAUGUCAGAAGUUGAAGAGCAUGCCUCCAGAACUAGGAAAACUCACUAACCUGCAGACGUUGACAUGGUUUGUGGCAGGAGUUCCUGGCCCUGAUUGCAGUGAUGUUGCAGAGCUGCAGCAUUUAAACCUUGGUGGUUAUCUAGAGCUACGUCAGAUAGAGAAUGUUAAAGAAGCAGAGGCAAAAGUGGCAAACCUUGGAAACAAGAAGGAUCUCAGAGAACUGUCAUUAAGAUGGACUGAGGUUGGCGACAGCAAGGUGCUCGACAAGUUCAAACCUCAUGGUGGGCUGCAGGUUCUGAAGAUAUAUUCCUAUGGAGGAGAGUGCAUGGGUAUGCUGCAAAACAUGGUUGAGAUCCAUCUUUUUCAUUGUGAAAGAUUGCAAAUUUUGUUCAGAUGCAGUGCAAUCUUCACUUUUCCAAAACUGAAGGUGCUUAUGCUAAUACAUCUGUUGGAUUUUGAGAGAUGGUGGGAAAUAGAUGAGAGGCAAGAAGAACAGACAAUAUUUCCUGUGCUUGAGAAGUUGUUUAUUAGUAAUUGUGGAAAGUUGGUAGCAUUACCUGAAGCACCAUUGCUGCAAGGACCUUGUGGUCAAGGUGGUUAUACAUUGGUUUGCUCAGCAUUUCCUGCCCUAAAGGUGCUCAAAAUGAAAAACUUGGAGAGCUUUCAGAGAUGGGCUGCAGUGGAAGAGACUCAAGGAGAACACAUACUGUUUCCUUGUCUGGAGGAACUAUCAAUUGAGAAAUGCCCAAAGUUGACGGCGUUACCUGAAGCACCAUUGCUUCAAGAACCAUGUAUUGAAGGUGGUUACAGAUUGGUACGCUCAGCGUUUCCUGCCUUAAAGGUGCUCAAAAUGGAAAACUUGGAGCGGUUUCAAAGAUGGGGUGUGGUCGAAGGGACAUUGUUUCCUCAGCUUGAGAAACUAUCAGUUCAGAAGUGCCCCAAGAUGAUAGAUUUACCAGAGGCACCAAAACUCAGUGUCUUAAAAAUUAAAGAUGGUAGGCAAGAGAUCUCCGAUUUUGCAGAUAGAUAUUUUUCUUCAUUGACCAAACUGAUAUUGAAUCUAGAAAACACAGAAACAACAUCAGAGGUUGAGUGCACUUCAAUUGUAUCUGUGGACAGCAAGGAGAAAUGGAACGAGAAAUCCCCUCUUACAGUGAUGGAGCUAAGAUGCUGCAACUCAUUCUUUGGACCAGGUGCACUAGAGCCGUGGGACUAUUUUGUACACCUUGAAAAGUUGGAAAUUGAUAGAUGUGAUGUGCUUGUCCACUGGCCAGAGAAAGUGUUCCAAAGCUUGGUAUCCUUGAGGACAUUAGUGAUUACAAGCUGCGAAAAUCUGACUGGAUAUGCACAAGCUCCUCUUGAGCCAUUGGCAUCCGAAAGGAGUCAGCACCUGAGAGUUCUGGAGUCUCUUUGCUUAGAAAACUGCCCAAGUUUAGUAGAGAUGUUCAACGUCCCGACAUCUCUCAAGAAAAUGUAUAUUAAUGGGUGCAUUAAGCUUGAGUCCAUAUUCGGCAAGCAGCAGGGCAUGGCUGAGUUAGUCCAAGGAUCUUCUAGCAGUGAGGCAAUCAUGCCUGCAGCUGUAUCAGAGUUGUCAUCCUCACCCAUGAAUCACUUUUGUCCAUGCCUAGAAUAUCUACAGUUAUCUGAUUGUGGAAGCUUACCAGCGGUUCUACAUCUGCCUCUGUCCUUAAAGACCUUAGAAAUUUAUAACUGCAGUAGUAUUCAAGUCCUAUCAUGCCAGCUGGGUGGGCUCCAGAAACCAAAAGUCACUACCUCCAUAAGCAGAAGUCCUGUCAUGCCAGAGCCACCACCACCAGCAGCAGCUGCUGCAAGAGAGCAUUUACUUCCUCCCCAUCUCGAAUCUCUAGUAAUACUGAACUGUGCUGGCAUGUUGGGUGGGACUCUCCGUCUGCGUGCACCCCUCAAGAGACUGCGCAUUAUUGGCAACAGUGGGUUGACAUCGCUGGAGUGUCUGUCAGGAGAGCACCCCCCAUUGCUGGAAGUCCUUGAUCUUCAAAAGUGCAGUACCCUAGCUUCCCUGCCGAAUGAGCCGCAAGUAUACAUGUCUCUCUGGAAUCUUGAAAUUAGAGGCUGCCCUGCUAUAAAGAAGCUCCCUAGAUGCCUGCAGCAGCAACUGGGCAGCAUUGAUGACGAGUACAAAGAACUAGAUGCCCAUUAUGAAGGUAUGCUUGGAGCACGUCCUUCUAUCUUUGCCACAUUUAAUAAACAGAUGCAGUCAUCCAUUCCAUUAAAUCUACCACGCCAGCAUGUCUGUACAAGUUUGUUCUCCAUUAUUUUACUUUCGAAUGUUACAUUAGUUUGUAUGUGUUUGUUCUGACGCCAUUUGCAAUAUGUGCAGUGAUGGCACUUAAACCGAAGACAUGGAAGGAGAUGCCAAGGCUAGUCCGUGAGCGGAGGAAGGCCGCUCGAGAAGCCAAGGAGCGCCAGCAAUCCGCCAUGCAGGAGUAAACAGGUUGGAAACCAUGUAGAAAGGGCAUGGAUUCCAAUUGCUCUGAACAAUGUACAAGAUUAUGUCGUGACUGUAAUCAAUCGGCUUUGUUGAGCUUUGGCCUCUACCUAGUUCAGAUAUUUGUAAUGCGAAUCAAAUGAAUCUGCCCGGUUCAGUAGAAGUUAGGAUAAUAUACUCACAUGUGUGUCUGUGAGCUAUCUAUCGUAUCUAUCUGUUUUUGCUUUGCUUAGUUAACUGCGAAGACACUAGCCUUUAAUUGUUCAAUAAAGUUUUUCAACUGUGGCUUUUAUCUGUCGAUUUUCGUGGUUGACAGGCCUAAUCCCUGAUUGUUGCUCUUCUCUGCUCUGCUCUGCUAGGGGAAUGAGCUGUUAUUGCUUCUGCAACUUAACUGUGCCGCAGUCCGCUCUCCGUCGAGAACUGUCAGGGCCUGCGGUGUAGGGCGGCUGCUGCUUGGCGUCGAGUGGAGCAUAUCUGAAUCAACAUCCUAGGCUGAGACCAUCUCAUCUUGAUCUGGUUUGCUGUUGUCCAGUCAAGCGAGGAAACACAGGGAAGAAACAACAUAGAAAGGGCAUGGUAGUUUAUUUUAUUUUGCUUCAGAAACUGUACCAAUUUAUGUCAUGAUUGUUACCUGCUCCGUUAAACUCUGACCUUGAUCUUGUUAUUAAAGAUUCAGACACUUGCCUCGUUUAGUAGAAGCUGGGGUACUUGUAAUGUGUGCCAUAUAUAUUUCUAGUUUCAGCCAUUUCCAUAUCAAGUACAAGCUCGGAAAGGCUUAGGUGGUCUGUGAACUUUCUGGCCCUGCUUGCUUGACGCAAGUUUUACAGACAUAUAAAACAUAAGUUUAUAUAUAUAUAAUAUACAGUUAAGCAGCAGUUUCCUCGCAUGUAAGAUGGUUAAGUAGCAGCCGCAGGUAUCAGUCAGUCCGGUACUUGUUGAAUGGGAUCGACAGUUGAAUUGCUCUGCUCUGCUGCAAAACUCUGUGUUUGCCUGUGGAGGAAUGAAUAUUUCAGUUUCAGAAUUUGUGAGCUACUCCUAUUUAGUUUCUAGUCUGGUUGUGGUACUAUCUAGUUUCAGCACUGUUUAUUUAGUUUAGAAGAAAUUUACUGUUGACCUUUUUAACGUGUUUACAACACGUGCUAUUUGAAAUAUAAUUCUUUUUUUACCUGUUUCGAUACUUGUACAGAUCAAGUAGUACAAGUUGGGAGGAAAAAACCUCAGGUCCGUGAACUGUUUGGUCCUGUCUGUCUGUACAAAAUCAAGUUUGUUCGCUGUAGCCAGUAUAGUGUUGUAGAUAUCUGAAUAACUUGGUGUCUGCUUACGAGAGCAGAGGACGUGGAUGGAUGUUUGCUGCCGGCUGAUGCUGCAGGAACCGAAAGAGCCUUCUCAGUAUGCACUUCAAUGAAGAAGCAACGGACAGAUGUUCAGAUACAUCCGUUUGAGCUGACCGCUAUUUCUGGACGGAGGGAGUAUUAUGUAAGAUUUUGUGUACUUUCCCUUUAUUACUUUUGGUGCAGCUUCAGUUGAUGGUUUGCAUGCUCUUCUUAAGGAUUUACAUUCUCUUAGUGUCUUUGUUUCGUAUGUUUCUUUAGAGCCUCCUGUAGUUAAUCAGGCACUUCUCUGCUUUUAUAGACUAGUGUUAUUAUUGGUUUAUUAUUCAUGUUACUUAGGAAUUAGGGUCAAACAAGCACCUCCUGCUCUGCUGGUAGCUAGCUUAAUUCCCAGGUUUGGUAUAUAUCUAUGUUGUGAUGCAUACUCAUGUUUGUGAGCUAGUAUAUAUCUAUUUUCAGUGUCGUUUAAUGGUUCAGAGAGUGGGCUGUAACUUGUUCAGAUACUUUGUGUUAAACUGUAGAAUUGACCUGCUGCAGUAAUUUUGACAGCUGAGGUGGGAUGAGCUGCAUAUCAUUCUCUGAUUGGGAGUAACAGGUUGUUGUUGUUUGGUUCUGAUGUUGCUAAGCUGUGGUGGUGGUCACAAUUAUCUUCCUAAUCCGGCAA
RNAcentral lists this long non-coding RNA (181910 nucleotides) under Triticum aestivum (bread wheat). RNAcentral's name for it is "long non-coding RNA (TAES_LNC028382)". The record is from RNAcentral. Lineage: Eukaryota; Viridiplantae; Streptophyta; Magnoliopsida; Poales; Poaceae.